RNAcentral lists this long non-coding RNA (287709 nucleotides) under Prunus persica (peach). Lineage: Eukaryota; Viridiplantae; Streptophyta; Magnoliopsida; Rosales; Rosaceae. The record is from RNAcentral.
AAAAAUGCUCAUGUCCUCUAAACAAUUGUGCCAAAAAUUAACGGCUGGAAGAAGAAAGAGAGAGAUGGAUUUCUUGAGUUGUGUACUAUUAUGUCUUAUGGUUGCCUGGAUCGUAAUCCAAGCCCUCCAAUAUUCAUUUGCAAGAAGAAUUCCCACAAACCUUCCACCUGGACCAAAGCCAUUUCCUUUGAUUGGAAAUCUCCUAGAGCUUGGAAACAAACCCCACAUCUCUCUAACCAAGCUUUCAAAACGCUAUGGCCCCAUUAUGACUUUACAACUCGGCCAGAUAACAACAGUUAUAGUUUCUUCAUCCGCCGUAGCCAAACAAGUCCUCCGCACCCACGACCAAUUCUUCUGCAACCGAACUAUCCCAGAUGCAGUCCAAGCCUGCAAGCAUGCCAAGUAUGGCAUGCCCUGGCUGACGGUUUCCUCCACGUGGAGAAACCUCCGCAAAAUAUGCAACUCCCAUCUUUUCGCGGCCAAAGUUCUCGACGCCAAUCAGGCCAACCGUCACCUAAAAGUGCAGGAGCUCAUAGCUGACGUUAAGGAAAGCGUUGUGAAAGGUAAGGCGGUUGAAGUUGGAAGGGCUGCUUUCAAAACUACGCUCAAUUUGAUGUCACGGACUGUGUUCUCUGUGGAUUUAGCGGACCCGAACAGUGAGAGGGCUAGAGAGUUCAAGGAGUUGGUGUGGAGUAUUAUGGAGGAGGCUGGGAAGCCAAACUUGGCUGACUAUUUUCGUGUGCUUAAGAAGAUUGAUCCCAUGGGGAUACGGCGCCGUUUGGGCAAGCACUUCCAGAAGAUGAUUGAUCUUUUUGACCGCAUGAUCGUCCAAAGGUUAGAAUCAAGGAAGUCACGUGAUUAUGUCACCGGGAAUGAUAUGUUGGAUACUCUUAUAAACAUGAGCGAAGAGAAAAAUGAGGAUAUGGACAUGGCUGAAACUCAACAUUUGUUUCUGGUUAGUUGCUACUCUAGCUCUAUUAAUUAAUUGAUAAUUAAAUUGCUUAGAUAUUAUAAUGAUAACUUAUUAACGUAACUUAUUGCUAGAUUGUGUACCAUCUUAAUUGAUCAUUUUAAAAUUAUGACUAUGGUCACUUUUAUUUUUGUUGAGAUGGUAUAAGUACGUUAAUCCUACACUGAUCAAGGUUUUGUGUUCGAUCCCCUUAUAUUGCUUUUAUUAAACAAACUAUUAUAAUUUUUUUUCUCAUUAUAUGUCUAUGUGCGCAUAUUAAUUUGACUAAUUAACUUUUUGGUGAAUUAGGAUUUAUUUGGUGCGGGCACAGAAACAACUUCAGCCACAUUAGAAUGGGCAAUGGCUGAGCUAUUACGCAACCCUGAAAAGCUAUCAAAAGCUCAAGAGGAGUUGAAACAGGUCGUUGGCAAAGGAAAACCAGUGGAGGAAUCAGACAUCACUCGGCUCCCUUACUUACAAGCCAUAAUCAAAGAGACCUUCCGACUGCACCCAGUUGUCCCACUUCUUCUCCCUCGCAGAGCCCAAGCAGACAUAGAAAUCUGCGGUUACAUUGUACCAAAGGGUGCACAAGUGCUGGUCAACGCAUGGGCCAUCGGCAGAGACCCCAGCAUUUGGGACAACCCUACCUCAUUUAUCCCUGAAAGGUUUUUGGGAUUGGAUAUCGACGUUACUGGCCAGAACUUUGAGCUUAUUCCGUUUGGUGGUGGGAGGAGAAUAUGUCCUGGGUUGCCUUUGGCGAUGAGAAUGUUGAAUUUGAUGUUGGGUUCGCUUAUUAACUCGUUUGAUAAUUGGAAGCUUGAAGAUGGAGUUGUGCCAGAAAAAAUGACCAUGGAUGAGAAGUUCGGCCUCACUUUACAAAUGGCUCAUCCUGUGAUAGCUGUGCCCAUCAAGUAUUAGGAGAACCAAACCUAGCUAGCUAUGGUUUCUAUAAUAAAUAGAUUUAUGUUUUUAUUAGGGAGUUAUAAUAAUUAAUCCUGCUAAUGAUAGGAAAUGGUCAGUUGUCAGUUAUGUUGUUAUUAGGCCAUAACUCCAUAUUUAUGUGUAUGAUAAUGGCUUGUUCUAAUUGUAGAUUGUUCUCUACAUAUUUAUAUAUUUUAUAAUGAUCAUAUGAAUGACUAAGGAGAAAAUAGUUUCUAUAUGGAAUAUGGUAUCAGAGCUAAUGGCUAACGCCGAUUAGCGAUUCUCCAGUUGCCAACAUUGAGAGUUGUUGGCGCUCCUCACUCCUCACCCCUCACCCGUAAGGGUGUUUGUUUAUGUUUAGUGCUUUUUCCUCCCCUCUUCUCAAAGAUGAAUAUGUUUUUUUCUUUCCAUGUUAGAGAUUUUUUUUGUAUUGUUUCAUCCUCGGUUAUAUUAACUGCGGGCAUCGGCGGCUUCUUUCUUUUUGUUGUGCCUGAUAAAAUUGACCUUAGAUGGCUUCAUUUUCUUCAAAUCACCCCAGUUGCCUUUCCCAAUCUGUCUUGAUGAGAUUGGACAAAUAACUUUAAUGGACCAAUAUGCGCAACCCAUGUAGAAAGCCAUAUCUAUUAUAGGGUGGACUCCUAUCCUGGUGUAUGAUUUUUGUUUUGUAAAAUCACCCCAGUUGCCCUUCAAAAUGAUGGUAGAUUGACCUUGCGAAGGCUAUAUCUAAAGGAAAAGCAAACAGAGCCAUGCCACUAGAACACAGAUUUUUGUUUUGUAAAUUUUUUAUUAAGUUAUUCGGUGUUGAUUUUUCAAUUUAAAAAAUGUAUUUGGAAAUCUUGUUGGCUCAAUCACUUUUCUUUCUUUGUUUCUAAUCUUCUAGAUUUGGGAGGGCCUACUUCGGCAACGGGUGAGAAAUGGUGUUAGAAGGGGAUGGAAAAGUCGUUGAAAAAUUAGGUUGGUUUUAUUUAUAUAUUUUUUAUUUAUAGUGAAAUGAUGGAAAUGGAAGCAUGUGAUUUGAUUUAACGGAAAUUUUUAAAGGAGUUUGAUGUAGGUGGUAAAUAUUCCAACACCUUAAAUAAUUCAAGUGGUUACUAGAAAAAAUUAAAAAUUCAUGUAGUAAUCCCACACGCACCUAGAAGUUCGGAUGAUAUUUAUGUAAAUUCCCCAUUAAGGUAAAUAGAGAGCUUGUAAAAGCUUCCACUUCUAACAAAUAAGUCCGGACCCAAAUUGUUCUCGAAUGUCUUUGCCUAAGUUUGUCUCUUAGCUUAGAGGAUAUAUAUAAACAACUUAAAAGAGUUAGUCUUGAAAAGAUAUUUUCAUGCUUUCUCGAUAAGUCUCAACAAUCGUGCCAAAAAUUAAUUAAGAGUUAGGCGAGAGAUGGAUUUCUUGUGUUUGCAUGCAAAUGUGUCUUAUGGUUGCCUGGAUUUCUUGUGGGGAGCUGGGAGGAGAAAGGGAUGGAGAGAAAGAGAGGGGGUUUAUUUAUUUAUUUAUUAUAAAUAUUUUUUUAAUGUUAUUUUAUUUUUAUUAUAUAAUUAAUUUAUUAUUUUUUUAAAAAAACGGCGGGUCCUAUAGUGGACUCGUCAUCAAUUACACUAAACGGUCAACUUAACAGAAGGUUUAAAUUGGUCAAAUUUGAAAAUUAUCAAGUGUAAAUUGUUGAAAUUGAAACUCGAGAGCCUAUAUUGAGAAUGAUCCUAAAUCUUCAGGAAGUCUUUUGACGUUAGUCGUAAUAUAUAUUUGUAAUUCCAUGAGUGUUUCAUGUUGCAUGCUCCGCGGGUCCUUUUCAAAAAAAUAAGCCAUGUGAACAAGAGUGAAUUUAGCUGAAGACAUGUCAUGUCUUCUGUUCAUAGAAAAACAACAAAGAAACUUUCUUUCCACAAAUGCAUGAGUGUUUUGUCUCCAUGCGUCAGGCAUCUCAAUUUUUAAAAUUGAUUGGUAAUAAGAAUAUAUCUCAGAGCAUUCACAAUGGUAGCAUGUAAAAGAGGGUGUAUAUCAAAUUUACAUUUUCUGUCGCCGGAAUCAGCUCCAAUGGUCGUAUGUAAAUGCAUUCUCAGGCUGAGAUGUAAAAAAAGAUGGAAGUUUACAUCUUUUUUCACAUCCUAGAAGCGGGUUCCACGACUGAUAAAAGAGGAGAGAGGAGAAAGAAGAGCAGCAAAAUUUCUGGAAUUAUGUGCCCCACACUCGCGAAUACAACUUCAGUCGCCCAACAUAACUUAGUUUGGGCCCCACUUGUGGCUUAGUGCACUUGAUUUAAUGGCAUUUGAAUUGGUGCUCCAACAGAUAAAACAUCAUACGACUCUAAUUUUUUACAAACCCCAAAAUGAUUAAUCUAAAGGCCCAAACAAUUUCUAAACAAACCCCAAAACCAUCUAAUUGUCUAAAAUUGAUGCAAAAAAAGGCCUAAUUUUUUCUUCUUCUAAUUUUCUAUAUAUAAGCACAACCUUUGUUCACAAAAAUACCACUCUUUAUAACUUAUUCAAAUUUAAAUAUUUUUAGGUUUAUUUUUUUAGAAAAAUAAAUAAAUCUAACACACACAAAAUUAAUUUCAAAAUGUUAACACACACACAAAAAAUAACACAAAAUCGAAUUAACACAAGAAAACCAAAUAUACAUCUUUAUAUUUACAUCUUCCCCAUUGGAGCAAAAAUUACAUAUACAUCCCCCAGAGAUGUAAAGAGGAUGUAAAAGUGGUUUUACACCCCCAAAAAUACAACCCCCCACUGUGGAUGCUCUAACAAGGCAUGAGCUCCUACUGGGAAAAAAAAAUUCAAUAGGGCCAAUCAUUAGUUAUUUUGAAUUCUAGCUACCCAUUCUUUGACUCACCUGCAUAUAUAUAGGGGAAUGCUAGCAACCUUCUCUCUAAUCUUCUCUUUUGGACUUUCUCCCUUUUUCUUAUGACAUGUGUCACUUUCUUUACACUAAAAACAAUGUAAUUAAUGCAUCAAAUAAGAUAACAUUUGUUUCCAAAUUUGCCCUUAUUUUUUGUAUUGAUUUUAAUGUUUCCUUAAAUUUAUUAUCCAAAUUUGUUACAACUUUCUUAUCACCUUGUUAAAAAAUUAAAUAAGAAAAAAUAUUAGUUUUUUUUUUUCCUUUUUUGAAAGACUCCAACAAAUAAGACUUACCUAAUUAAUGGUUUAGAAAAAAAUAUUACCGAAUUAAUGGUUUGAAAAUGCAAUCAAUGAACUUCCUUUUAAAACAGACUUCCUUAGAAGGACGACUUUUGUCCGUAUGAAAAAAAAGAUAUAUCUUUUGUGGAUUUUUUUAAGGUCAUUAUUGUGUUUAAAAAAAAAAGUUUUUCCUCUAAAAAAAAUAGACAUUUUCUUUUUUAAAAAACAGAAUUUUUUAAUAUUUUAAUAUUUUUUACAUAUGGUAAGAGAGUUGCAAAAAAAAAAUUGGAUAAAUUGAAGGACAAUACAUUUAAUAAGGGUAAACUUGAAAAACAAAAGGCGGUUUGUUCGAUGUAUUAAUGUCAUUAUUUUAAGUGUAUGGGAAGUGACACAUGUCAUGAGGAAAAGGAAGAAGGUCCAAAAGAGAAGGUUGGAGAGAAGGUUACUAGCAUUCCGCAUCAUUCAAUGAAACAAACUCUAACAGUUAGUUCUUUCUCAUGUGAAAUUUUUUACAUUUCUCACUUCUUCACAUGCACACUGCCUUUUCUUAAUUGGUCUGUCAAUUUUCUAUUAUGUAUGAACUUAUUAAUGUGUAUGAGUUCCUAUCGUGUAUUGGGGGAACAAACAAAAAGGAAGACAGAUUAGUCAAUGAAAUAAUAUAUGGAAUUUCCAUUCUUUCUUUAUGUAAUUUUCAUAUUAAAUGACGAAGAAAAUUCUAGAGGAAGACAGAUUAGUCAAUGAAAUCAUGUAUGGAAUUUUCGUUCUUUCUUUAUGUGAUUUUCAUAUUAAACGACGAAGAAAAUUCUAGAGGAAGACAGAUUAGUCAAUGAAAUAAAUUAUGGAAUUUCCGCUCUUUCUUUAUAUAAUUUUCAUAUUAAAUGACGAAGAAAAUUCUAGAGGAAGACCGAUUAGUCAAUGAAAUAAUGUAUGAAAUUUUUGCUCUAGGAAGACAAAUUAGUCAAUGAAAUAAUGUAUGCAAUUUCCUCUCUUUCUUUAUGUAAUUUUCAUAUUAAAUGACGAAGAAAAUUCUAAAGGUAGACUUAUCAGAAAAGGAUAUACAUUUGCUCAUAAAUGAAAAAGUAAAAUACAUGUCCUCCUCCUUUGUUCUGGAGAAUGGGACAAAAGUGGGUGGUUAUAAGACUUUGAGGAAGGCUUUUACCAAUCAAUCAAUGAAGACUAGAGGAAGACUUAAAUACCAACGAAUGGCUCCUUUUUUGGUUAGGGGAACGUGUGUGUGGGUGUUAAAAUUCAUUGGAGAAAGACUAGAGGACUAUACCACAUCAUGUGGUAGAUAAUGUGUCAAUUUGCAAAUAGCUUUAGUAGCAAGUGGACUAUACUAGCCACCUACAACUUUAAGCCUGAUCAUUCAGAUAAUGCUUGUAUCUUCUGUUUUACUGCGGUUGCUAGCACAAAGAAAGCCGAUGCUUUCGUUGCCUCUUCUACCUCCACGCGGCAUUGCUCUGUCGGGCUUUCUCCUAUUGCAGAUAAUUCCCCACUACUGCCUUCGGUAGGAGUAUGGGCUGUGUCUCAAUUAGUGUGGUUGAUCUUCCGAAUUGCCUUAGUUAGCUUUGCCUUACCAACUACCUAAUUAGACACAAGGCCUCUCCUCGGAGAGAAAGUUACUAGCAGAACUGUAUAAAACUUUUAACAGUUGUCACAUAUGAUUAGGUGUGUUAAACCCCUUUCAACCUUAACUCUAGAAUUACACAGAGUAACAAGUAUUAUUUAUUGAAUUAUCGAAACAGUACAAUAUUCUCAACAACUCAUUCUUGAUACAAUAAUUGCCUAAUAUAGCUGUAAGCUCUCAUUAACCAAUUAUGUUAGAAACUAAUAGUCCUGAUCUCUUGGACCAUAGGGGUCCAAGAAAUUUGUGGUCACUCACCGUUGGAUGUAAAUUCAACGGUUCACUCACUCUUGCACUCAUUUUAAUAAACUUUUUUAUACCAUUAGAUUAAUAUCCAACGGUGGGUGACCACAAUCUCUUGGACUCCUGUGGUCCAAGAGAUCGGGACUGUAGAAACUAAUUUCUUAACUAAUCAAUUAAUAAACUGACUAUGCCAGGUCAUCACUAAUCCAGCUCAACAAUGAUGAAGGUUCCUAACAAUGUGAUCAGCAGAUGUGACAUAGUGUUAUUGAUUAAAAUAUAGCCAUCCCUACCACCUCAUGUAAAUCCCACAAGACUCCCAUUCAAGGAGGGAAAGAAAGUAGGGGGAAUGCUAGCAACCUUCUCUCCAACCUUCUCCCUUUUUCUCAUGACAUGUGGAUUUUUUUAAGGUCAUUACUGUGUUUUUUUUAUAACAAAAAAAAAAAAAAAACGUUUUCCUCUAUAAAAAAAAAAAAAGAAGACAUUUUCUUCAAAAAAAAAAAUUUUUUGUUUAAAAUUUUUCACAUAUGGUAAGAGAGUUGUAAGAAAAAUUGGAUAAAUUGAAGGACAAUACAUUUAAUAUGGGUAAACUUGGAAAACAAAAGAUGGUUUGUUUGAUGUAUUAAUGUCAUUAUUUUAAGUGUAUGAGAAGUGACACAAUGUCGUGAGAAAAAAGAAGAAGGUCCAAAAGAGAAGAUUUAAGAGAAGAUUACUAGCAUUCCUCAUAUAUAUAUAUGUACUUUUUUUGAUGAGAAAAGUCCCUUCGAGUGGACAGGAAAUUGUACUUUUUUUGUCUUUUCGCAUUUUUCUUUUCAUGUUCAAGUAGUUUUGGACCAUCCUCUUUCAAAGCAGACAUGUGCAGUUGCAAAAGACCAUCGUGCAUGUUUAUGGGAAAAAACAAAACCUCUAGCCCACUUGGCUAAAAAUUAUUGUAUGUAUGUCAUUUACCUUCUUUUUUUUUUUUUUUCCUGCAUGUCAUCUACUAUUUUACGUGAUAUGUGCAUCUGUGAGAAUGAUAGCUCUCAAACGCUAGGCACCACGAGUGAUAAAUUAUUUUGAUUAUAGAAUUUAUAGUUAAAUGAUUUUAACUAUGUGGAAUUUUUUAGACCAAAACUCGAUUUAUUCAAAUUAUAAUAGUUAAGUUUAACAACUUUUGUGCAAUUAGAACCAGAGAGAGAAUGGAUUUCUUGAGUUUUUGUAUCAUCAUGCUAAACCUUUUCUUUGUGUUGUUGUUCUCAAUUAUUCAAGCUCUGCAAAGCAAAGCCAAUCCCAAAAGGCAUCUUCUCCCACCUGGACCAAAGCCAUUUCCCUUUAUUGGCAAUCUUCUAGAGCUUGGCAACAAACCCCAUCUGUCUCUCACCAAGCUUUCUCAAAUCGGCCAAUAUUCAUAUUGGGGAUUCCCCAUCCCCACCUUCAAUGGGGAAUGGGUUCCCCAUCUAGCCCCACCUUUUGAGAUUGGCCUUGCUUUGCAGAGCUUGAAUAAUUGAGAACAACAACGCAAAGAAAGAUGACACUAGGUAUGUCAGAGGUCGUAUACUCAAGAAAGAUGGCACCAGGUAUGAUUUUACGUAUUUCAGAUUGUGUGAAAGAUUUUGAACAUGUAUGUUAAAGAAAUCUAACAGUUGGUAUUAGAGCCAGGUUGUUUGCACAAACUAAAAUCGUUUUUCAAGCAUGCCUAUUACGAUUUCUUAUAUGUUUAUGCCAUGAUGAGUUUUUGGUGAUGUUCAAAAUUUGAAGAUGGAUUAAACAUAUUUUCUAAAUAUCAAGAAUAUUAAAGAAUCUGGAAAAGCAUGUUUUAAUUUGAUUUUCAUAUCUUCAAAACUUUAAACCCAUUUUUGACCUACCCGAUGACCUUAAAACCCCAAAAAUGACCAUAUGUAAUAGCACAGCUGUGAGUUGUGUUAAUUAGGUCAUUCCCUAUUCAGAAAGGUAUUUUGUGUAAGAUCCCACAUCAACCAACGGAGAGGGGGUGAUGUGCCUUAUAUGUGCACACCCGCAUCCAUCUAGCACGAGACCUUUUGGGAGCUCACUGGCUUCAGAGUCGCAGGAACUCCGAAGUUAAGCGAGUUAGGAGAUAGAGUAAUUCCAUGAUGGGUGACCCACUGAGAAGUUGCUCGUGAGCUCCCAGAAACAAAACCGUGCCGGCAGAGAGGGGGGCCCAAAGCUGACAAUAUCGUGCUACGGCGGAGCCGAUCCCGGGAUGUGACAAUUUGGUAUCAGAGCCACUCUGCCGUGUGGUACGAGUGUGCCAACAAGGACGUCGGGCCCUUAAAGGGGGUGGAUUGUAAGAUCCCACAUCAACCAACAGAGAGGGGGUGAUGUGCCUUAUAUGUGCACACCCGCAUCCCUCUAGCACGAGGCCUUUUGGGAGCUCACUGGCUUCGGAGUCGUAGGAACUCCGAAGUUAAGCGAGUUGGGGGCUAGAGCAAUUCCAGGAUGGGUGACCCACUGGGAAGUUACUCGUGAGCUCCCAGAAACAAAACCGUGCGAGCAGAGAGGGGGGCCCAAAGCGGACAAUAUCGUGCUACGGCGGAGCCGAUCCCGGAAUGUGACAGAAACAAAUCCUUAGCACAUGAGUUUGUUGUAUUAUUAGAUACUAAUCAUCCGGCACACAUACUAUGCAUGAGUAGAGAAUAAAUAUCCCUCAUUACAUUAACUUUUUAGUUGUGGGUCAAAUCCAGAUCUUCCGUUUUCUUCUCUACUCUAUAUAUAUAUAUAUUUUUUUUUUUUGCCAAAAUUAGGAAGGAGAAAAUGUUUGCUCACACACACACUACAUAUCAAGGUGGUACGGAAAAUAUAACCUGAGACCACUAUUCUACACAUCAUUGCCCAUUUUCAUUGGGCUAAACUUCAUUGAUCAUUGUCCUAUGGAGCAACUUCAACUGGUAGUGCAGGGGCAAUUUGGUCCAUAAAUAAUAAUAAAAACCAGUAAUUUUAUUUUUAUUUUUAAAAGUUUAACUUUCAAAAUACAAAUAUAAUUUUUUUAAUCCUUUUAAAAGUAAACAAUACAAUUUAUAUACAUACAUAUAUAUAUAUAUAUAUAAUCAUUCCUUUCUCACUCUUGUCUUUCACAAAGUCCCAGAUUCAUCUUCAAGUUGGAAUCUAGGCAAGCACUUCGUCGUUAACCAUCACCACCACUUCUAGGUAUUCGUGCUACAACAACCAUCACAGUCACUUCAUCAGCUGCGGUCUUACCUUUUGAAGGCCCUAGGUCUUACAGCAAAGGUGGAAUAGGUUGAUAGUACUGAUGUUCUUGAGGGCAUGCUUGUUAGAGAAAACAUAUUCAAAUGUAAAGAAUUGUAAUGAAAAGGAGGCUCUUUUUGUGAUUGUUGGCUUGUUGAGUUGAGUUGGAAAUUCAAGUGAAGGGAUUUUAUAGGACAAAAAAUGGGAUAUUUAGGCCCCGUUCGGUUAAGUUUUAAGGGGUUGUUUUCAUUUUCAGAGAACAAAAAUGAGGUAAGAACAUGUUCGAUGGCCCAAAAGCAGAAAACACUGAGAAUGUUUUCAUAAAAUGAAAACAAGUUCACGUGUACUUGUAGAAAACAGAAAAAAGAUGUUUUUAUUCUCACGGGAAACGCUCAAAAUAGGGGGAAGAGAGAGAGAGAGAGAGAGAGAGAGGGUUGCGACCUUCAACUGCAUCAAUUAAGAUAAGGGGAAGAUAGAGGGAGGAGAGGGCUAUCUUUUUCAAGUGGUGGCGCAGCUUAAGGUGACCGGAAUUGGCACUGACGAUGGUGACAGCUACUGGGCAGUUUUCCAGUCAAAAUCUAGCACUAUCUUGAGCCUCGAUUGAUGGGUGGGUUAGGUAGAGGAGGAAGAGAGGAGGAGUUUAAUGGUGAUGGCACCAGUUGACGUGACUGGACGACGAAGAAUCGCCGGUCUGAAAGUGAGAUAGAGCGCAGGGAGAGAGAGAGAGAGAGAGAGAGAGAGAGAGAGAGAGAGAGAGUUAGGGUGAGGGAGGGAAGAGGAAGAAAGAAAGGAGGAGGAGAAAACAGAAAAAGAAAGGGAAAAAAUUGAAAAAAUAAAAAAUAAAAGAAAUAAAUAUAGUUUUUAUUUAAAAAUAAUAAUAUAAUGUUAAAUUAUACAUUUAAAAAAAAUCUUUUUAGAACAUAAAUUAGCAAAAAUACACUUGAAAAAUAACUCAUAUGUUAUUAUUUUCAAAUUGUACUACAAGACACAUUUUCAUUAUUUUUAUUUUCUGAAGAUGUUUUCUAAUUAAUCUACCAUACGCAUUUUCAAUUCCUGAAAAUGCAAAUUCGUUUUCUUAUUUUCAUCCUCUAAAAAUAUUUUGUCAAAACAUUCUCCAAAAAUGUUAUCGAAUGGGCCCUAGCUUCCACUUCAAGCUGUUUGAGUAGAUAUACUAAAGUUGAUGCUUAAAAUAUUAGGCUUUCCCCAAACUUUUGAAACCUGGUCAAUGUUCGGAUGAGAGGCAAGCUUCUGAAGCAAUUUUCAAAAGGAAUUUAGGUAUUUUAUUUAUGACAAAAAGUCAAUUUUUUUGAUUCCUAUGGUUUAUUAUUUUUACUAUUAAGGUCCUUAUUUUUAAAAUUUGAUAAUUUUUGUUCUUGUGGUUUCAAUUUGAAGCAAUUUAAGGACAAUCCUCAAUUUGUGUCAAAUUUUUUUUUUUUAAAAAAAAAAAACUUCAACUAGUUUGGGAACGUUGGGAAAUGAGGUUUGGUUACUCAUGUUUGGUUACUGCAGUAAUUAGGAAUGAAAAGUUAUCAAGGUAUGAAAUUCCCCAUACAUUGGAAGUCCAUAUCCAUGAGUCCAUAAUUACAUUCCCAAGUAUCACUACUACGUUUUAAUAUUUGUGCAACGAACAAGAAUUCGUCGUGCAAAAUGCACUACGGCGACGGAAAAAAUUAGGGAGAUUCACUAUUAUACCCAAUACAUGGGCCCAAAUUAUAAAAAUACCAUAUAUGAAAUGGACUUUAGAAACACACCCAAAGCCUGUUUACAACAUAACAAAGAGGCUUUAACUUCUUAUAAAUUGCAAAACUGCCAUCAAUUUCUUAAAACAAGCCCAACCCGAAAAUCUCAUAAAAAUACCCAAAAUACUCAAUAGGGCAUCAAAGUAAUUUAAUAAUUAAUAUUAAAUUCAAUAAGGCCAGCUGUCAUUUUUUGGGUUUGUUUAUAGAAAUUCAAUAGUGUAGGGUUUAUUUAUAAUAUUAGUGCUAAGAAUGGGUAUAUCACUAAAUAUCUCAAAAAAUUAAUCGUCAUGUAAACCACUGAAAACUGGAGCGUCCAAAAUUUCCGUCGCGCAAAAAGUCUUAGUGCAACAGAAAACUUAUGCGUCGCUCAAAGUGAGGAAGAAAAACGCGCAAAAGAAACUUAGCCCGACGACAUGAUUUAUCGUUGCAUAAGAAAAAAGUGGGAUUUUUUUUUGGCCCAAAAAUACUUGUAUGGGAUUUUUUUUAGCGCCAAACCCUUGCGCGACGGAAAUAUAGUUUGUCACGUAAAGUUUAAUGUCGGUACAUUCUUGUGUGACAGAAAUUGGCUUUCACGUGACGGCGGUUUGCUUUUGGGCGAUGAAAGUUUGUGCGAUGAAUCAAAUUUUGCGUCGCGCAAAAGUGUGAUGUCGACACGUGCUUGAGCGGCGAAUAAGUUAUUUUGUGCGACGAAAAAGUGAUUUUGUGCGACGGAAUUUUUUUUUUUUUGCAAAUGCAGUUUGCGCAACGAAAUCAUGGGUCCGUCGUGCAAAGUCCUUCUUCUUUAUAUCUGUAUUCUACCAUUGCAGAGGCAUAAUGCAAAAAAAAAAAAAAAACAUUUUGCCUCUCUCUGCCGCUGCCUCUGCUGGGAAUUCAGUACGUUCAUUGGGUAAGUAAUUUUUGUCGUUAGUUUAAAAGUAUUAAUGUAAAUUCAUACUAACACUAUUAAUUUUGUUCUCGUUAGGGAUAUUUGUAAUUAGCGUUUGGUAGAGAACGAUUGAGAAGAUAUUUUAUUCGUUUUAUAUAUUUAAAAUGUUAAAUUAAUUACAUUAUAUUAAACUUACUUUGUGAAGUUAUAUUUAUAUUAUGGUAUUAAAUUGUGAGUGACGUAGCACAAUGUGUUGUGAUGUACGAAGUUAAUUGAAAUGAACUUCGUACUUUUAUUUUUAUUUUUAGUAACACUUAGUUUCCCGUUUGAUAUUAGUUGGAUUUCGUGCAUGGAUGCGUAAAGCAUGACUGCGGUCCAAUUAAUUCUUGAAUUGUCCCAUUAUUUGGAUAGUUUGGGAAUGCAUAGUUAUGUCACGUAAUGUACGGCUACAUGAUUAAAUUUUGAUUGUGGAGAUUUUGGUGUUAUCUCUGUACGUUCUUCAAGUGGUACAUAGGUAUUUAUACCUACAGUACACCUCAAGAACUGUAUCGAGAUGCUGUCGAAAUUCAUCCGCGUCGAAAUCUAAUCUCAUGUAGUCGUACAUUACGUGACAUGACUAUGCAUUCCUGAAUGGGAUAGGGCCCUUACCGGAGGCAUAAGGUGACAAUAUGGCUUCGUAUGAAGUUGUUGUGAUUGUUGUGUUGUGAUUGUGGUUUCAGGAAUUGUGAGCAGGAGGUGGAUACAUAACCCGAAUAGAUACACAGACGAAUACUUGGAUGAAAUUGAGGAUUUUAUUGAGUUUGCACGUACACACAACCCGGGUGCAACUAGAAUCCGUUAUCAUUGUAGGAGGAGUAAUAACACGUUGUGGGAGACAAUUGAAAAUGUUGGAUUUCAUUUAGUAAGGAGUGGAAUGAUUGAGACAUAUAACAUUUGGAACCUUCACGGGGAACAAUUAGACCAUGCUUCGUUUUCAAAUGCCACAAGAGUGGACCAUGUUGAACCUAUUAUGGAUCCUAAUGAAGAAGUCAUGGAUCUUAUACACGAUGCUUUUCCAUUUGCAUCGACCAACAUCAAUUAGGAAGGGGAAGAUGACGUGCCUACACCAAUGGACAAUGCAGAGUUUGAACAAUAUAAAAAAUUGUUAAAAAAUGCCAAAAGAGUUAUACUCGGGGUGCGAGAGCUUUUCCGUUCUCACGGCCAUUGUGGAGCUAAUGCAUGAAAAAAUAAAGUAUCGUAUGUCGAACUUGUGUUUCGAUUACUUUUUGGGGGUUUUCAAGAGAAUGCUUCUGACGGACAAUUGUUUGCUGAAAAACCAUAAACACGCACAUAAGGUAUUGAAUGGUCUUGGAUUGGGUUAUGAAAAAAUUCACACUUGCAAAAACAAUUGCAUGUUAUUCUACAAAGAGCAUGAAACAUUGGAUACAUGCCCUAUAUGCAAUGAGUCGAGGUUCAAAAUGACAUCUUAGAAUAGAACGACUAAGAUCCCACAAAAAGUCAUGCGUUAUCUGCCCCUGAAACCUAAGUUCAGCGAUUGUAUAUGUUGACGUAUACUGCCACAAACAUGAGAUGGCAUAAGGAAAAACGGGUAGACGACGAUGUGAUGCGGCAUCCUACAGAUGGGGAGGCAUGGAAAGAGUUCGAUUGAACGUUUCCCGAGUUUGCUGCUGAUCCUGAAAUGUUAGAUUGAGACUUGCCACUGACGGAUUCAAUCCGUAUGGGGUUCUAAACCAACACCACAGCACUUGGCCGAUUUUCGUAGUCACAUAUAAUUUGCCGCCUUGGAAAUGCAUGAAAAAAGAAUACAUGAUGAUGACUGUUUUGAUAACUGAGGAUCUUGGCAAGUCAAUCAAUGUUUACUUAAGGCCACUGGUUGAUGAGUUGAAUGAUUUAUGGACAAACGGUGUGCGCACGUACGAUAAAUCAAGUGGGAUGAUGUUCACUUUGCGGGCAGCAGUUAUGUGGACUGUGAAUGAUUUUCCCGCAUAUGUAAUGGUUUCUGGGUGGAGCAAAAAUGGUUAUAUGGCAUGUCUUGUAUGCACGGAAGAUGUAACUUCUGGUUGGCACGCUGGAAAGGUUUGUUACCUUGGUCAUCGGAGAUGGUUGCCAUGGGACCACGAGUGGCUGAAAAAAGAUAAAGAGUUUGACGGGAACACAUAGCGUCGCCUCAGACCUAGAGAAUUGUUCGGUGAUGAGAUCAUGGAACAGCUUAACAGUUUGGAUUUUGCUCCAUUCGAGAAAACAGUUAGUCGGACCAGACUAUGUUUUUUGAGCUUCCAUAUUGGUCGAAACUAAGAUUGAGGCACAAUCUAGAUGUGAUGCAUGUUGAGAAAAAUGUAUUUGACACAUUGGUGGGUACGAUUCUAGAUAUUGAGGGCAAGACAAAGGACACGAUCAAAGCUCGUCUUGAUUUGGAAAGAAUGGGCAUAUGAAGGGGUUUAUGGAUGAAUAGGGACAGUGAUAAAGGUUGAAGGGAUCUUGCAUUUUUUCUAGGAAACCUAAUGAUAAAAAGAGUUUCUAAAGUUUGUAUCAUCUGUAAAGUUUCUCGAUGGGUUGUAAUAUCGCACGUUGCGUGAGUGUUGACGGGGGUAAAUUUGCUGGACUAAAGAGCCAUGACUGCCAUGUGUUUAUGCAACGCCUACUUCCAGUGGGUAUUCGACACCUAUUGUCGAAAGAUGUAGUGAAGCCAAUCAUGUUGUUUUCCAAAUUUUUUUUCACAACUGACUGCAAAAACGUUGCGAAAGACAGACAUUUAUCAAUUGCACCAUGACAUUGUCCAAGUCCUAUGCAAGUUUGAGAUGAUAUUCCCUCCAGCUUUCUUCACAAGUAUGAUCCACAUAAUGGUUUACUUGCCAGAAGAGGCAUUGCUUGCUGGUCCUGUCAACUAUCGCUGGACGUAUCCAAUAGAAAGGUAUAUAAUCCUUAUCAUUUGUGUAUUCAUCAUUAUCACAUGCUUGCUAAUUUGUAUCAUAUCGUUUUAUUUUGGCAGGCUUCUAGGAGAGAUGAAAAAAAUGUACGCAACAAGGCGUAGCCCGAAUGAUCAAUUAUAGAGGCUUGGGUUCUAUAUGAGUCACUUACUUUCUGUGGAAUGUAUUUAAAAGACGUGGAGAUGGCUUUCAAUCGUCCCCAGCGCAAUAUUGACGGAGGUAUGAGAAAUGAAAAACUUUCUGUUUUUGCCCAAAGCACACGAAACUUUGGAGAUCCUUGAUGAGGAGAGUCAUUUUUCAAAAAUGACAUGGAGGUAUCGUAUUGGUUCAUACUGAACAAUUGUGAUGAGAUAAUGGCAUACUUAGAUGGGCAUGAAGAGAUGAUGAAGCGAGAACAUCCAUCACAUUUGUAUGCUCAAAAACACCAUGAAUUGUUUCCACAAUGGUUUUUGGAUUUUGUAAGUUAUAAGUGUUUUGUAUUUGACAAAUAUAUAUUGUAGUAUUUAAUUUUGUCAAACUAACAUGUGAAUGGUUUUGUAUAAUAUUAGGUGAAUAAGUUGAAAUCAUCGAAUUCCCCCACUUACAGUGAUGAGUUAUAUAACUUGGCGUUGGGCCCGAUUCGUGCUGAAUUGUUCUCGGGUUGUCAUGUUAACGACUUCAAGUUUUUGGGGAUUACAUGAGAUGACAAGUUGUGUACGUAAAACAGCGAUGUCCAUGUCCCAGGUGGAGGCGAAAGUACAGACACUGAUUUCUAUGGCAAACUCACAACUGUCGUGCAAUUGCUUUACAAAGACUGAUACCAAACGAUCAUGUUUAAGUAUCGAUGGUUUGAUACCAAUCCAAAUAGGCCGGGAAGUGUUAAAAUAGACAAUGGCUUACUAUUUGUGAACAUUAACAUAACAUGGUAUGAUGACGACCUUUACAUUUUGGCAAACAUGGCAAUACAGAUUGUGUAUCUAGAUGACCCUAAAGCCGGGAGUGGUUGGAAAGUUUUUCAGAAGAUGGAUCAUAGGAACAUGUAUGCUAUACCAGAACUAGCCUCAACUGACAACGACGUCGACAAUGUGGCUGACCAACAUUUAGAAUCUUCAAUGAAAAAUGAUGCGGAAAUACUUCGAGAUACAAAUGUUAUACAAGAACCGUUUUAGAUACAAUGGGUGUCUUGAAUCGAAAUACCGAUUCUGUCAAUUACAAUUGACCUCGGGGAUUUUCCGCGAUACGAUGUUGUAGUGGGCCCGAACAAUGACGAUCAUGUAAUUAUAGAGGAGGAGGAUUGAGAGACCGAAAGUGAUGAUAGCAACGAUAACGAAAGUUAUUAUAGUUCAAAUGAUGAAUAAUGAAUUUUUUUGUAAUUUUAUUAUGUUAGUGUACAAAUUUUGGCAAACCUAAUAUAUGUGGAGAAAUGAAACAUUGUUAAAUAAAUUGAGCUAUACAAGAAAAUGAGAAAUGAAAAUAAAUUUAGUUAUAAAACAUUGGUAAAUAAAUAUAUCCAAAACCUUUUCAUAAUAAUGUUGAAAAUUAUUUUUACAAAACAUUUUUAAAAAAAAAUGAAAAUGAGAUACAAUUUGACAUAAAUGUGUAUUAGGAGCCAAAACCUUGCGCGACGAAAUCUGCCAUGUCGCGCAUUGUUUGAGCGACGAAAAAUCACUCGUUGUGACUAUGUACCUUGCGCGACCAAAAGAUUUUUUUCGUCGCGUCAAGUUGCAAUUCCGUGCGACAACUUAAUCUUUCGUCAUGUAAAGACAUUUUGCGCCACGCUUUCAGUACUGAUCGCGCCAAUAUAUUUAUUUUAAUGUAAUAUAAUAUAUAUAUUUGAAAUUGAUGAUCGAAUUGAUUCAUUGUAUUCAUAUAGGGUCAAGGAGUGUAGCUGUAAAAAAUCAUCAAAAUCGGAGUUAAAAUAACUGAUAAAUCGUGAAUUUUCAUUUAUAACCGUCGAAAAGUUUUGUCCCGUCACUUGAUCUUUGAAUGUUUGUUUUUUCCGAUUUUUGGCGUAUAUGAUCUCGAAGUAUAAACAAACAAGUUUGAUGGUUGGAUCAUUGAAACUAGUUUUGUGGAAUGCAUAUGCCAUGAAAAUAAUAUAGUCACCAACAAUUAAGAGUUUAUUUAUACUUUCGUCAAAUAUAACGUAAGAUGUUGUGGCAUCCACUAGUGUAAAGAUCUUAAAUUAAAGAUCAAAUUCAGCCAUUGUAUUAAUAUAGGGUCAAGGAGUGUAGCUGCAAAAAAUCAUCAAAAUCGGAGUUAAAAUAAUCGUUAAAUCGUGAAUUUUCAUUUAUAACCGUCGAAAAGUUUUGUCCCAUUACUUAAUCUCUGAAUGUUUUUUUUUUUCGAUUUUUGGCGUAUAUGAUCUCGAAGUAUAAACAAACAAGUUUGACGGUUAGAUUAUUGAAACUAGAUACCAAUUAGAUACAUUUAUACAGAUACAGAAUAAACGGUUCCCGUAAAUAAAUAAACUUUGCGCAAUGAAAAAAAAAUUGGUCCCGAAAAACUUUGAGGGAUGGAAUCUUACGUCACGCAAAAGAUCUUUGAGCGAUGCAAAGACAGUGGGCGUCGCCAACAAACCUUUGAGCGACAACUGGGCAUCGUACGUCGCGUAGUGUUAAGAUUGUCGAGGGUUUAGGGUUCAGGGUUUAGGGUUUAGGGCUUAGGGUUGAUGAUUGCGCGACGAAUAAGAUGUUCAUGCGUUGCGUAAAAUGGGUCACACCUUUCACUUUUUCUCUCUGCCGCAAAGCUCUAAACCCCAAAUUUUGGUGAAUCACAACCUUGCUCGACGGAAGAACAGCCACUUUGUUGCGCAAAGUCUAUAAAAGAAAACCUUGCGCGACGCUUUUGUUUGUUCGUCGCUUAAUAUCGGCCAGGCCCUUCACCUUCUCUCUCUCCCGCUAAACCCUAAAUCCCCAAUUUUGGGGGAAUAACAACCUUGCACGAUGGAAUCUCAGCUAAUUCGUCACGCAAAGUCUAUAAAAGACAACUUUGCGGGACGCUACUGUGCUUUCGUCGAGAAAUAUCGGUUAGACCUUUCACUUUCUCUCACUCGCACUAAACCCUAAAUCCCAAAUUUUGGCAGAAUCACAACCUUGCACGAUGGAAUCUCAGCUAAUUUGUUGCGCAAAAUGGUCAGGCCCUAAACCCUAAACCCCAAAUUUUGAUGGCCACACAACCUUGCGAGACAGUUGCGUUUAUUCGUCGUGCAAUGUAUUGAAAAUUCUGGCGGAAAACAUACCUUGCGCGAUGCCUCAUGGUUUUUUUCGUCGCGCAAGUUCAAUUAAAAAUAUCUUGGGCUACACUUUCCUUUGUUCAUCACGCAAGAUCGAAUAAAUUUUCAGAAACAACACGACUGCCCAGACCCUUCUUCCUUAUUCCUAUUGUUUUGCCCUAACGCUUCUCUCCCUUCGCCGUCCACCGCCUCGCUGUCAGCCACUACUCCGCCGGAAAAAGGACUGGGCUGCCAUCACCUUCGAAGCCCACACCUUCCCUGCCGUCACCGCUACGUCUGCCAACGAUUUUCGCAGAUUAUUCUCCGGCCUUGUUCUCUCUCCUCCAGCCACCAAUUCCGACACCAAAGGUAUGAUUUCUAGACUAUUUUUCCUGCUUUAGCUUAUGGUUGGAUAGGAUUUGGUUAAUUGUUUAUUUUUGGUAUCUCUAAUUUAAACCCUAAGUUUGGCCGGUUUUUGAAUUUAAAUUCCGGCCACUUCCGAUCAUUUUUCGGGUUAGGUUCGAACAAAAGUGGCUCCAAUUGAAGUUUUGAACCUAGGGAGGAACCUUGGCCCUUAGUUUUUAGAAUUUUUCGGCGAUUGUUAUCGCUUUAGACACCCAUGCGCUGCCGGCGCGUGUGGUGCCGUGUGGGAUAACUGUAGCAGUGGGGCAUUGGGUCCCAGUGCAAUCCCCUAGUUGUUACGAGCGCGUAGGUGUGCUUGGAUUUGAAUUUGGUUACCAUUUGAGUCUCGAACGGAUUUCGCCUAUUGUGCAAUUUUUGAGUUUGAUAUGUUCGGACCGUUGGAUCGAACUCAAACUCACAUAUGUUGUACCUUGUAUUUCUAGGAUCGUGUAUGAGUCGACAGAUCAUGGAUCAGAGUCCCGGAUACUUCGAAAUCGCAAACACUAUGUCAUCUAUGCUUUUAAUUAAUUAGUUAAAAUGCUUAAUGAAAUUGUAUGUGCUUAUAAUUAAAUAUUCGUAAAUUUGAUUAAUUUGUAUGUGUAUUAAUGAAAUUUUGCAAAUGUCAAACCUGAUUAGAAGUCGUAAGGCAGAGACGAUUGCACAGAGUUCACCUGCCUCAGCUCAGUCGUCAUCUGCUGCCACUGCUCCAGCACUGAUGGACCACUUGCCAGUUGGUCCCGGGGGGUCCCAGGCCCCUACUUCGUCGGAUUCAUCAGUGGCACAGCCUGUUAGCGCCAAGUGGCGUCACCAGCCAGCUAGCACCACCGACACCACAUUGACCGACGCUACUAGUGCAUCGGGGUCAGCCAAGUAUAGAUUUCCUUCAACUACAGUUCUUUGUGUGUGUGUGUGUGUGUGUGUGUGUGUGUAUUUUAUAGUUAAAUUUGUUAUUUAUUUGACAUUAAUGUCAUAUUUCUUUGCAGCUAAGAAGAGCACCGGAGGGCCGUGUCGGCAGUUGAAGACGACGAAGGUCACUCGGGUGACCAACAGUCGUAUCAACAUCGGAUAUGACGAGCGACAUCGGGCUGCACCGACGGCGGAGUUGCAUAGCUCCUUGGCCCACGACAUUGGUCACGUCGUUCGGACCCAUUGCUCAAUGCAAUGGAAGUCUUAGAAGGCCAUGCCUGACGAGAUCAAGAUAGAGGUGCGUGGCCAGUUGUCGGUAUGUAGCCUACCUUUUAAUUCUUUUCCUUUCAAACUUUAUAUAUUUCUAUUACUUAAUAUAUGUUAUUAAUUUAUUGCAGACAAACUACAACUUAGAGGACCUCGACGACGAGUCGUUGGCGUAUGUCAACAGACUCUUCCCUGAGAGGUACAAGCAGUGGAAGAGCGACUUGCACCACCAUUUUGAGGCAUUUGAUGAUCCGCAAGUCGCUCUUCAGGAGGGUUGUCCGAAGGAGUUUGAGGGGCGGGAGGAUAGUUGGGCGUGGCUCUGUGCUCAUUUUCAAGCGCUCGAUUUUGUGGUAUUUUUUAAUAUUAAUUUCAAAAUUAUUACAUAUUUCUUACUAAUGUUUAUUUAAUUUUUUAUAUUUCAUUUCAAUUUCAACUAAUACGUUUUAUUUUUUGUAUAACAGAAUAAAGCCAAAGUCAAUAAGGGCGAUAGGAAAAAGAAGAGUCUUCUCCACCAUUCAGGUUCUAGGCCAUUCUCAUAUAGGAUGGAUGCAUGGCAGUGGGUAAUAAAAAAAUAGUUUAUAUUUAAUUUUUAAUAUGUCAUUAUUAUUAAUUUAUUUUUUUCGUACUAUUAUUUUUCUUCUCUUGUAAAAUUUCGGGAGGAGGUCCAAAUUCCCAGAGAUCGAUGUCUUUGGUGACGUUUAUGUUUGACCUGGGAAUGAGUUGGCCGAGUCCCUUCAUGUAAGUAUUAUUUAACUUUAAUUCUUAUGUUAUGCAUUCAAGUUUCAGGGUUAUUAUAUGAAUGUUUUAAUUUAUAUUUUAUGUUAUGUUAAACAGAUGACGAUGGUGGAGAGGAGCCAGUUGGUUCUUCAGGAAUCCUCCGCCCAACUUCCUCCCGAUACUCCGAUCGAGUUUAUGGAUCCUCCACGAGAUGCUGGGUUUCAGAUCUUGACGGAGACGUUGGAUCAGACUCUCAGGAGGAGGCCGGGGACAUAAUGUCGAGGGAUGGGGAAUGCCCGACGGAGGGAACCUAGACCCCGUUCAUCAAUGCAGUCAAACAUUCAGGUGACUGCUUUGACAGCAAAGGUGGCCGAGCUUCAGGGUCAGAUGUCAGUGAUUCUGUAGUCCCCCGCGUGGUCCGGCAUUCCAGUACAGCAAUUUGAUACGUCGACCUCCGAGCCCGUCCACCCCGAGCAUGCCCACUAGACCACUGCUCUUGUAGACCCGCAGACCUCCGAGCUGCAUAUGCCUGACGACCAAGUAGAUUUUGGAACAUUAUUUGAUUAGUUUUUUAUUUUCACAAUUAUAUUUUAAACCUUUCUCUUGUAGUAUACAUCUAUUUUAUUUUAUAUAAUUUUUUGUUCUCUUCAAUUCAUUUUUGUAUUGCAAUUUCAUUUUAUGACCAAAAAAAAAAAAACCAAAUUUAUUUUUUUACAAAAUUAAAAAAAACAUAAUAUUAAAUUUAAAUAAUAUAUAUAUUAAUUUUGCGCGACGAAAUAUUUUUCGUUGCGCAAAUUCACAUUUUAUAAAAUAAAAAAACGUAAAACUUCAUUUUAAAUACAUUUAGUUUAUUCUUGCGUGACGAAGUCAUUCAUCUUGCAAAAAGGAUAUGCGCUAUGACGAAAAUUUCAUCGCGCAAUAUUGUUCGUCGCGCAAAUGUUGGAGACACGAGUUGGGCGACGAAGGAAAGAUCGUCGCGCAACUGUUUGCGACUUGAAUCGCGCGACGAAUAUUUUCCUUCGCACAGUAUAUUCGCGACGAACAUGCUUUUGUCGGCCAAAGGUUUGUGCGACGAACAAUUGUGUUAUCCCUAAACAUUUUGUGCAAUAAAGGUUAACCGUCGCUCAGUUUUGUGCGACCAAUGCAAAAACUUGGUCACACAAAGUCUUUCCUCACUCUCUUUGCGCGACGGAUUGUGCGCGACGAAUUUUCUGUCGCACUGAAAAUUGUGCGACUAAAAGUAACUUUGCGCGACGAAAUCCUCUUCGCCGUGCAAAUCGUAAAAUGUAGUAGUGUAUGCAUUUAACAACAAAUGCAAUUUGAAACGAGUGUUGCUAAAUGAACUCUAAAAUUAACUGAGUAUACCCUAUGUACAUCCUAAUAUUUAAAUCAAACUGUAAAAUUAACUAAGUAUACCCUAUUUAGCUACCAAAAAUAUCAUUAGCAAACCCUUAUACACUCUAAAGCAUUAGUCGCCUCCUCCUUAAGCAUCCUUACAGGGAAAGCUCAACCGAAUUGAUGCACAAUCAACUGGGAACAAUGCAUGCUUGCCACCAACUCAUCUAAUUUCGGAUUCACACCAAGGUUUUGUUGCCACCCGAAUAAAUAGUCCGCGAGGUCCAGGGCCAUCCACUUAUGACUCAUGCUUAUCUAUUUUGGAAGCUGAAGACACCUGUCAUGCAUUUCCUUUUCAAAAGUCUAAAUGGUUGAAUAUUCUAUUGUAUUACCAACGUCAAAUAGUACCAUAUAUAUAUACAGCAAUAACCUUCUAUCAACCCUACUGUUAAGGCUUUGAAGACGUGAUCCAAUAUUAGUGGGAUUUGACCUACACUAAUUUGGGCAAGUAAAGAUAUUACAAAUAUUUACAAAGAUAUUUCCUAAUACUCCCCCUCAAGUUGGAGAGUGAAUAUCAUGAAGUCCCAACUUGUCGCGCAAUGUCACAAAUUGAUCCUUCCCCAAGGCCUUCGUAAAAAUAUCUGCCAUCUGGAAGCGUGUAGGUACAUACGAAGGACUAAUUAUUCCAGCUUGUAGUUUUUCUCGAACUAUGUGACAGGAUUAGCGGCAAUAUACAAAGCUGACUGAUUAUCACAAAACAAUGGUGCAGGAGCUAUCUGUGGGACUUUUAAAUCCUGUAGUAUAAAGCGUAACCAAGUUAGCUCCAAACAUGUGUUGGCCAUAGCUCGAUAUUCAGCUUCUGCUGAUGAUCUUGAAACAUUGGUUUGUUUCUUGGAUUUCCAUGAGAUGAGUGAAUUGCCAAGAAAAACACAGUAUCCUGUAACUGAUCUCCUUGUCGCACGACAACCUCCCCCAGUCUGAAUCACAAAAAGCUUUUAAUGUAAGAUUGUUGGUGGCAGAAAAUAACAAACGCUGACCUGGAGUCCCCUUGAGGUAUUUAAGGACCCGUAUGGCAGCAUCCUAAUGAGGUCUGCGAGGCUGAUGCAUGAAUUGACUUAGUGUUCAAACAAGAUAGACUAUAUCAGGCCUUGUGACAGUAAGGUAGAUCAAUCGGCCAACCAGUCUCCUGUAUUAUCAGUAAUUCUCAAUCUGUGGGAGUGAGUUUCAAAUUCUGUUCCAUUGGGAACUUGUCUAGGUGUGCGCCUAAAAGUCCUGAAUCCUGCAAAAUAUCAAGUGCGUACUUUCUUUGAGACAUGAAAAUACCUUUCUUGGAACGAGAGAAUUCAAUGCCUAGAAAAUAUUUUAAAUCUCCAAGAUCUUUGAUACGGAAGCGAUUGAGAAGGAACUUUUUGAGACGUUCCAUUUCUUGAAGAUUAUUUCCUGUGAGAAGCAUGUCAUCAACAUAGAUAAGAACUGCAGUAAAUGAAGUGCCUUCAGCUUUGGUAAAAAGAGAAUAAUUAGCUUUAGAUUGUUGAUAACCAGCCUUUUGAAUGGUAUCUGAAAAGGUGGAAAAUCAGUUUCUAGAAGUCUGUUUGAGACCAUAAAGAGACUUGUUGAGCCGACAUACAGCGUUCUCCCCCUGUUGGCGAAGACCAAGAGGAGGCUCCAUGUACACCACCUCAUGUAAAUCGCCAUGGAGAAAAGCAUUUUGAACGUCUAAUUGGUGGAUGAACUAAUGGCGGGCAGCAGCAACAGUAAGAAGACAACAGAGGGUAGUGAGUUUGGCUGUAGGGGAGAAAGUCUCCUGAUAAUCGAUGCCUUGAAUUUGAGUGUAGCCUUUAGCAACAAGCCGAGCCUUGUAGCACUCAAUGGUGCCAUCGGACUUGUAUUUGAUUUUGUAGGCCCAUUUGCAGCCGAUCAGUUUAUGACCAACAGACAGCGGAACCAAACUCCAAGUGUUAUUGUGCUAUAAAGCCUCUAGUUCUGCAAUCAUGGCUUGGCACCAAUGUGGAUCAAGAAUAGCCUGAGCAUAGGAUGUGGGUUCUGUGUGACCUGUAAUCUUAGCAAGAAAAGCACAAUGGGCAGAGGAUAAAUGAGAGUAGGUAAGGAAGUGGGAAAGGGGAUACCGAGUACCUAAUGCAGAACGAGGUGCUGAGGUUGAGUGAUUGACGUGGUUGGACAUGUGGUAGUCUGUAUGCCAUGCCGGAGGAUGUUUAUAGCGAGUGGACUAUCGAGGAGAGGGAAUGAGAGGAAUGGGAUUAUCUGUAUGUGGAGGGGUAGGGUCGACGGAUGGGGACAAAGGUGGGAUGGGAGAGGUGGGGUUGUCAAGCUAGUCAUAUGCGUCACAGAGGAUAGAGUGGUUAGGCACUUGUGGUGGGUUGGUUGGAGGGUUGGAGGAUUGACUAGUAGGUUGGGCGGAUCAAUUGGUGGGGUCCAACUGUUAAGAAAAUCAGAGGAAAGGUAGGGCUGAGGAGUAGGUGGGGUAAGGGAGGCCGAAAAUUGAGAGAAAGGGAAGGUAUUUUCACAGAAUCGGACAUCACGGCUUACAAAGAAUUUGUUUGUCUCCAAAUUGUAGAGUUUGUAACCCUUUUGGCCAAUAGGAUAUCCAACAGAGACACAACGUGUGGCACGGGGAUGAAAUUUAUGAAUAGGAUAGACAAUAGUUGCAUAACAGAGACAACCAAAGACUUUCAAGUGGUCGAGUGAUAGGGGACGGUUGUAUAACAAUUCAAAAGGUGAUUUACUGGAAAGUAAUGGUGAGGGUAAUCGGUUAAUAAGAUAGACAGUGGUUAAGACACAUUCACCCCAGAAAAUAAUGGGUAAGUGAGACUGAAAAAGUAAUGCAUAUGCGACAGUGAGAAUGUGGCGAUGCUUGCGUUCGACGACUCCAUUUUGUUGUGGAGUGUAAACACAAGUGCGCUGAUAUUCAAUGCCAUUAUUUUGAAAAAAAUCCCUCAUGGAGAAAAAUUCAGACUCGUUAUCUACCUGAAUGGUUUUAAUGUGGGCAUGGAAUUGAGAGUGGGCAAAAGAGACAAAAGAUUUGAGAAGGUUUUGGGUUUCAGAUUUAUGCUGCAUCAAAAAUAUCCAUGUGCACCUAGUAAAGUCAUCCACAAUGGUAAGAAAGAAACAUGCCCCUGAAUGUGUGGUAACUUUGUGUGGACCCCAAAUAUCACAAUGUAACAAAUCAAAAGGAGCUUUAAUUGAUAUUGAACUUAGAGGAAAUGGAAGUCUUGUUUGUUUGGCCAUGGGACAAACACUACAAUUAUUAUCAAAAGAAAUAGUAUUGGAAGGCAAUAAUGAAGAAGCUAAUCGAAGAAGAGCAGGGGAUGGGUGUCCAAGUUGCAUGUGCCAUAAAUCGGAUGAGAGUGAAACUUGAUAUGAGACAGGUGUCUUUUGCAAUGGAGACAUGUAAUAGAGACCACCACGCUGUUUACCCAAGCCAAUCAUCUUCCUCGUAGCCAAGUCCUGCAAGGCACAGAAGGUAGGAAACAAAAUGGCACAACAGUUUAGAGAAGUAGUGAGUUUGCUGGCAGACAUAAGAUUUAAGCGAAAAGAUGGAACACACAAAACUUUGUCUAAUGUGAUAUUUGAAUUGAAUGGUAUAGUGCCAGUGGAAGUGAUUGGGGCAUGAGAACCAGUAGGUAAAUUAACAAUGGGCAUUUGUGAUUAUUCAGUUUUAGUGAAAAGUCUGGGAUCAUAAGUGAUGUGAUCAGUAGCUCCACUAUCUAAAAUCCAAGGUUUAGUGAACACAGAAUUUAUGGAAGGAAUGGAAAAAGAAGCCAGACCUGCAGCAUUUGCAUAAGCAUUGCUAUUACCAGAGGAAUGAGUUGAACUCAUCAUAGAAACAGCAUGUGCUAGUUCUUGGAGUUGCUCUGCAGAAAACCCAUGUAAAGGGUUGGAUUGAGAGGCUGGCUGGGUUGGUGCACUGAAACCAUAUGAUUGGGCCUCAUGCGAUGGAGCUGUGUCUGCGGCGUGGGCAGUAGGAAAGGACCCACGUGAAUUGAUGUGCCCUCUAGACCCUUGACGUUGUUGCUUAGAUUGAUUAUGCCUAUUGCCUUGAAUUCCUGUGUCAUUGGGAACCCAUGCCCCAUUUUUAAAUUUACAUCUAUCCUCAGUGUGGCCUCUCCUAUCACAAUACUUGCAAUGGAAUUUAAGGGUCCGACAUUCUUCGAUUGUAUGACAGUUUCUAUCAGAGUGCUCACAGUGUUUGUUCGUCGAAUUAUUCGACAUAUUGUUUGAUCGGCUGUGAAUCGCAACGGCAAUGGAAAAAUUCUCUGUUGGUCCUGAUGUUAUUUGUUGCUGUGUUUCGUCUUGAACGACAAGUGAAUAGGCUUGGCGGACAUUAGGCAAUGGCGACAUCAUGAGGAUAUUCCCGCGAACACCGUUGUAGGUGUCGUUGAGGCCCAUAAGGAAUUGCAUCAUCCGAUCUUCUUCCUUUUGUGUAUUGUGUGCUUUCAUCUCGUUACAUGUGAGAGGUGUUUGAUAUGUUUCUAAUUCGUCCCAGAGAUCUUUGAGUUUCUUGUAAUAGUCUGAAACUGUCAUGGUGCCUUGUGAGAGAGAGGCGAUGGAUUUCUGUAUCUGAUAUAUGGUUGGGGCAUUCUUUUGUGAGAAUUGAUCUUUGAAAUCUUGCCACACUUGAUGGACAGUCUUGGCAUGAACAACUGCUUUGGCUAGAUCAGGUUCCACCGAAUGAGCAAGCCAUGAUAAAAUCAUACUGUUGCAUUGAUUCCAGAGAGCAUAUUCGGUUGGUUGUUUUGUUUCUACAGGAGGUUGAACGGAUCCGUUGACAAAGCCAACUUUGUUCUUGGCCGUGAGAGCAUGGAGCAUGGAUUUACUCCAAGAUGGGUAAUUGGUGCCAUUCAACUUUAUGGGAACGAGCAUGAGACCGGGGUGAUCUGAUUGAUGAACAAAAUAUGGGUGUGAUGAAUCCAUACCAGGAUUUUUGGUGUUGGUGCUUGAAUUUUUGGAAGUAUUGUCUUUGGUUUCUAGUGGUGUUUGAUCUGACAUGAUGUUUGAAGGUGGGUAGGAAGUAGAAGGGGUCAAGUACCAGGAUGAAGCUCUGAUACCAUCUAAAGAAAGUAAAUGGUUGAAUAUUCUGUUGUAUUACCAAUGUCAAAUAGUACAAUACAUAUAUACAACAAUAGCCUUCUAUCAACCCUACUGUUAAGGCUUUGAAGACGUGAUCCAAUAUUAGUGGGAUUUGACCUACACUAAUUUGGGCAAGUAAAGAUAUUACAAAUAUUUACAAAGAUAUUUCCUAAUAUCCUCGUCGGGAAAAGAUGUUCUGGGACUUGGUGGAAGUUGUAGUGGAGGUUUCAGACAGAAUGCUGCUUCCAAAGUAUUCAAGUUCCCUAAUGCAGCCAAGGUUUGCUGAAUUCUAUACAUAAUGAAUAUGUUGCUUAAAUCUGGAUUCAUAUUUCAAAAUCAAUUGGCUUAAUCAAUUGGAUUCAUACAAUAUAGAUAUGUUUUUUACCUUUUGAAAAACGUAGAUAUUUUUCACAUACGUUUGAUUGGGAAAUGGUGAGUAGGGUGUACUUGUUAAAAUUACAUUUGUUUUACAAUUCAACAUAUCUUUUUUGGUCAUUUUAUAUUAGGUUAAAUUAGUAAUUUAAUAAACAGUUUGGUAAUAAGGUGUACUUAGUUAAUUUUAGGGUUCGUUUAACAGCAUUCUUUGAAACCCAUUCUCAAGCUUCUAAACCUUGAACCAUGUGUGUGCCAUGGAUUUAAUUUAUUUUUCUCAUUCUAUCUAAGAUCAACUUUGAUAAUAUUUUUCUUUGUUUACUGAUGAACAAAAGUUAUACUUUGCAAGUGCACUAAUCGAUAUGAUAGUAUAGCAAGCAAACACGAGAGUUGUUCCCACAGAGAUUUGUAAAGUUUAUCAAUUAAUUUCAAAUAUGAUUACCUUAAGAAAAGUGAAAAAUAAAAACGAAAUAUUAAAAGUACUAAAGUAGCCGAAAAUAAGAUUACUCAAUUUUAAUCUAAGUGUUGAAAAUCAAGAAAAUAAAAUAACAAAGGUUGAAAAUUGGUUUUGAAAAUCAAUGGAUGAAAACUAGGAUUCCGACUUCACCGUAACAAUCCCAUUCUAUGUAUUGAGUCAAUUUUGAGAAUAAAGUUCCAAUUCAAUUCUAAGGGUUUGUUCUCUCUUUAAUAUGAUGAUUCGUUCGGCCCCGGUGUCACCAAAUAUCCUCAAUUAAACCCAACUAAUGAACCCUAUAGUCAAAUUUAAUCGAGAACCCAUUAAGUUUACGAAGGACAGUCAAGAACCAAGAAGUGUCUUAGCUUGAACCCCGUCUUUAACAACAACUCAUUCAUUCAUAGUGCAUAUAAGAUUAGGGAUGAACCCCUCACCCAAUCCUAUCUUAGACAAUCCAAAAUACUUAUAAUGGUCAAUUACAAGUGUCAAGAUCACAAUUACAAUAAUGAAUGAAACAAGGAAUGUGAAUUGAUUAAAAAUAAGAUGUUAACUCAAUAAUAUGGAAUCAUCAUGUUAGGUUACAUCGGAUCCCUAGCAAAGAAUUUAGUUACCCAUAGCCAUCUUAGGAACAAACAAUAUACUAAUGAAAAUAGAAUACAAAGUUUGAAUUAAGAUAGAAAAAUAUUUAGAUGAAUCCACUGCAGUUAAACUCUUCCUUUGGCAAAUCUUGAAGGCUAUGAACGGCCAAGAAAGUGAGUAUGUGAAUUGGGUGAUUGAGAUAUUGAACAAUAUGCUAGCGUUCUCCUAAAAAAUCUAGUCUAAAAGAUGUAUUUAUAGGCCCUAGGACUUUUCUCUAAUCAUACAAGGAUUAGGAAACUUUAAAAUCCCAAAAAUCAUAGGAAAACUAGCCAAAAAUGCCAAAAAUUAUGCGCUAGAUUUGCGCCGUCCGCUCGAGUGCCAAAACGUAGUUACAUAGUUCAUAGCUUGAACCACUCGUAUGAAAACUGAUGUAACUUCCUCUAGAAGACUCGAAAUCACGAACUGUAACUUCUCUAGAAACUAGACUUCCAGAGCUUUCCAACGAAAAUUGGCAAGUUAUCUAAUUCUUCCCGAGCACGUACAGGUAAAUCCUUAAAAUUGACCUAUGUGCACAAGCAGUUUCUUGACUUGCAAGUUGCUAAUUCCAAAUUUCUAUCUUCUUUACUCAUUUUCGCUAUAUUUUGCUUCUUUUAGUGCCAACUCAAGCCUAGGGACAAUUUCCUACAAAACUCACACUAAACACAUCAAAACAACCAAUUUUAUAGAAGAAACUAAUGCAAAUCAUAGGAACAAGGCAUGAGAAAAAAGCACAAAUAUGGAGUCCACAAUUAUAUUCCUAAGUAUGCAGUUACCAAACAUAGGAAUGCAAUUUGAAACCCAAUCUCAAGCUCCUAAACCUUGAACCAUGUGUGUGACAUGGAUUUAAUUUGGUUUUCUCAUUCUAUCUAAGAUCAAUUUUGAUACUAUUUUUCUUUGUUUACUCUUCCAAUAUUUUUACAUUGAUAGAAUUUGGGUUAUACUUACUUAAGAUACCAAAUUUGUAAUAUUGAAAUUUAAUAAUUAUAAUAAAUUCUCAAGUAUAUCAUAGAGUUAUUUAAAGUUGGCACUCCUUAAUAGAAUUCUCAAAUAUAUCAAAAAGUUAUUUAAAGUUCACACUCUUUAAUAGAAUUCCUAUCUCCACUGUUGACAAGAAACUUGGAGUCCACUGGAUUCAAGACCUCGAGCCUGUCUCGAGAAUAAGUUUUACACGCCCAUGUGUACCUAAAAGUCCAAUACCUUCGUGUUGGCCAAGUUGUGGGCCAAAUUCAAGUCACCAUACUCUUCUUUCUGAAAAGUUCUAAAGGGAGUUUAGGGUAUUUUUGAUAUAAAAAAAAUAAAAAGAAAAGGAGUUUUAUCGACAAGCAGUAUUGGAUCUAGUACGGAGCCAGUGAAGGCACUAGCCCCACUCAGUUUUGUCUACACCUAUGAAGUGUCAAAUUUACAUGAUAUUUUCUAUUGAAUGGGGACAAAUUAUUUAAUAAAAAUGCCUCAAAGAAGGCUAAAGCGAGGCAAUAAGAGCAUGUGCAGCACUUCGGUUUGGCCUGGGCAAAAGGCCCCCCUGCUAGCCUAAAGCAACUCCAGCGCUUCAGUUCUUGCAUUUUCAAUUUCAUUUUUUUUAAUAAAUUAAUUAAGGAAAAAUAAAAAAGAGGAAAAUCAUUACAUAUAGCUUCUUAAGUGAAUAAUGUUCGCAGUCGGUUCCAGUGAUGCGUUCCGUGUCUGAAAUAAUGGCACUAUUAUGUCCUCCGAAGGAAUAUACUCCCCCACAUCGUGAUCUGGUGGAACCGCCUCUGUCAAUGAUUGAGUCGUUCUUGUACUCCAUUGUGUCGGACUAUGAGGAUCGAGAAUAUUUUAAUUGUAUGAUGAGUGAGUAGGUAUUUCAAUUGUAUGAUGAGUGAGAUGUGAAUUUUAUAAUAAAUAUGGACACGUGGCAACCAAAAAUUUUAUCCGAAAAAUGUUAUCUGAAAUUUUAAGUGAGAAUUUUAUAAUAAAUAGUGACAAGUAACAACCGAAAAUAUUAUCUAAAAAGCUUAUCAAAAUUAAUGAUUUAAGUAUAAAAAAAUAGAAAAUAAAGUAAAAUAAAUAGUAUUUUCCCUUGCCCUUUGAAGUGGAACUAAAAAAGACAAGACUAACACUUUUCACAUAAAUAGUGUAUGUUCUUGCCUUACCUUUGCCUCGUCCUUGCCUUUUGAUAUGGAGGUGCUCUAAAGUGGCAAGUGAAUGGCUGAGAAGAGCUGCAUUAGGCCAAACUUUACAGGUUGUUGGUAGGCUCCAUUAGCCACUGCAUGCUAGGCCAUACUUUAGGACAAUUUCUGGAUCCACUAGUGCCUCCUAAACUGUACACCAAAACCAUUCUUUAUUAUAAAAUAGUUGACCUUUGCUCAGACGCCCAUACUAACAUGGCAGAAGUAAAACAAUUGAACUUGAACACUAGAGGUGCUUGUUUGAAUAUGAAUAGCCACCUGGCGGCUGUGGAGCUCUUUUACAAUUUUCGUCUUAUCUCUCUUCUAAUUAAACAUUAAAUUACUUGCUUUCGACCGAAAAAGGAAAAAAGAGAUUAUGUUGUAAUGAAAGUAAUGAAUCCCACGUAAAGGAAAAGAAGGAAGCUUAGUCAAAAGUUUAAUGAUGAUGUUAGAAGCUUAAUGAUAAUGUUGGGUAAUGAAGCCAUCCAAUUUGCCUAUAGACUUGCUCAUUCAAUUGUAGAACACACCAAAGGAGAAGAGAAGAGAAAGAAGAGAAAGUGAGAGGAAAGAAGAGAGAGUGAGAAAUCUGAGUGUCUUAAGUUCUGUAUGAGAAGAAAUUCUGUCAGUGUAAACACUAUAAAGAGCAAAUAUAAUUCUACUCCCAAUAUUCAAUAGUACUUCCUAUACUUUGCUUAUUUUAUUUUUAUAACACGUUAUCAGCAUGAUAGUUUCUCCUUUUUAUUUCUAAAUCUUUCCCAACUGAACACUAUGUGAUUAUUUCUCUGUCUCAUCUCUGUCAUAUGUCUCUUCUCACUUUACUACUACGACGACAUGCAAACUUUCUUUUUUGUGUUCUCACAAUUUUUAUGUUGUUUCAUCCAUGCUUGUUUAAUUUACUUCUUUGUAACGUAAUUUGGAAUGGUGUGGUUUUAUACCCCAUCCAGUUAUUUUAUGGUGGUGUAAUUUUUAUUAUCCAUCGCGUUGUAACACAAAUUAUCAUAAGAAAAUGAUGGUGUGAUCUUAAAACCCAUCUAUUAUAUCUUGAACGGUGGCAUAGUUAUAUUGCCCACAAUAUAUAAUAUGUUAUAUAUUUCAUAUGUAUUAGGUGGUGAUUUUAUCCCCACAUUUAUUUUAUUUACGGGUAUGGAGUAGGUUUACCCAUACGACAAUAUUUAUUUAAAAGUGUGGCACAGGUUUAUUGUCCACACAACUGUAUUUACUUUUCAUUUAAAAGUAUGGAGUAGAAUUAGUGCCCAUACCAGCACGUUUACUUUAUCGCACAUUUACUUUUACUUAAAGUAUGAUGUGGAAUUAACCCUCAUACUUUAUGAAUUUACUUUUCCUCACAUUUACUUCUAUUUAAAGUAUGAUGCUGAAUUAACGUCCUUACAACAACAAUUUACUUUAUGAAUUUACUUUACCGCACAUUUACUUUUAUUUAAAGUAUGGUGCAGAAUUAAUGUCCAUACAAUAAGCAAUUUACUUUACCGCACAUUUACUUUUAUUUAAAGUAUGGUGCGGAAUUAACGUCUAUACAAAGCAAUUUACUUUUAUUUAAAGUAUGGUGCAGAAUUAACGUUCAUACAACAAGGAAUUUACUUUAUGAAUUUACUUUACCGCACAUUUACUUUUAUUUAAAGUAUGGUACGGGUUUAUCGUCCAUACCUGCAAAUUUAUAGCACUUUAUUUUUAUUAUUAAUUAAUAUACAUGAAUAAAGAGGGCCUGAAGUUCCACAAAAAAAAUAUAGGGCCUGAAGUUUCUAUUAAUAAAUGGCUUAAUAUCCUAGAUCCCGAGCCUAAAGUUUUGGGUAAAAUAUGCAAGAUAUUUUUGGCCAGAAGUUCAAAAAUAUAUUAAGCCUGAAGUCCCGAAAUAUGUGCAGGAAAUUAUAAAAAUGUCCAUACUGUGAGAAUAUGUGAUUUUGGCUUGAAGUUCAAAGUCUAACAGUAUUGAGAACCUGAAGUUCCAACAAUCAAAUGGACAACCCUUAAGGCAUUAUUGCAAAUUGUGUUGCCCAUUCAUAUGGCUUGGGUCCAAGGGGCAAUCCAUCCACGAGUGGCAAAAAUGCAUCCUGGAAUAAGGGGAAAGCACAGACAAGCUAUAUGCCUAGAAAUGUUGAAGGCGCUUGUCAUAGAUAUGGUGCAAAGUAUAUUGGGCACGUACAUGCUGUACGCCGAAUCAUUUGGUGGAUCUUUAUCAAUCGUCACUUAAGAACAGGAAAGUGAAGACAAAUUACAUUGAUCAAGUUAUACCAGAUCUGCAAGCCACAGAUGACCCAUCGGAGUGUUUAUCAAUCUUCACUCAGACAUGACGCAUCUGAAUGUUUCCGAUUUUGCAAUUGAAAGAUGGAAUGAAGUUUAUGGGUCCGAAUUAGAUUAAAUUUCUUAAUGUGCCAUUUGUAUUAUCUGAAGUGUUGUUUUUUAAAUUUCCAUUUCAAUCCAAUAAAAGUGACAAUGUUUUCUAUACAUUGAAUAGAAUAAUUGUUUAUUGAUUCAGCUUAUUUUAUUUAUUUGAAGGGAUGGAUGUAAAUUAUGGAUGCCCUCAAAACGAAAGUUAUGGCAAAAAUAUUUGUCUUGCAGACAGCGCGACUACUCAUACGAUCCUUCGAGAUCAAAAGUAUUUCUCAAACUUGAUGCUUACAAAAGCAAAUGUAACAACUACAUCAGGUCCUACAGAUCUGAUUGAAGGCUCAGGAACGGCCCAAGUCAUGUUACCAAAUGGAACAACACUGUCCAUUCAAGAUGUUUUGUAUUAAUCUAACUCCAGAAGAAAUCUAUUGAGUUCCAAAGAUAUACAUUUGAAUGGCUACCAUGUUGAAACAAAGAAUGAGAAAAACAUGGAAUAUCUUUGCAUUACCUCCAGUGAUACCCAGAAGUGUCACUACUACAAAAAGUGAAAAAGACGACCAGAAAACAACGACGGUCUAAGUGAAAACCGUCGUGGUUUAUAAAAAGACGACGGUUCUAAAAACACCGUCGUGUAAUACAACCUUAGACAACUAAAAAAUGGAGUUUCAAAUGGCUGUUCAAAAACAACGACGUACAUAAUUAAACAACCGACGUCUAUUUGAAACAGAUUUCCUCAGUGUAAAAUCAAUGCCAACAAAGAACGGCAGAAGUUAUGAAUCGACCGACGUAGAAAGUAAAGACGACGAUUUCAAUAAAAACUGCCGUUUUUACUCAUAAAAUAACACGACGAGGUUUUCGUAUAAGACGCCGUAUAAUUACAAACAAAUCCACGGCUUUAAAAUACAAAAUAUCGCCGUAUUAAAUUAAUUUACAACGACGGAAAAUAUAAAUAUAUCGACGUCAUUCUCGUAUAGUUCUACUACGUUAUCUUUAAAUCGUACAAUAAAAUUUAUCGUCGUAUUUAUUCAUUUUAUACGUCGUACCUUUAAUUUUAACGGUCGUCUUAAUAAGAAUUUUUGUUAACAAUUUUUUUCUUUGAUUUUCUUAUCCUACGUCGGUAGAUCUACUUAAUGACAAGAAUUGAAAUAACCACGACGGUUUAUAUAGAACACCGCCGACAUAAUCAGUUUUGUCUGAGAUCCCAAGGGUUACGAAAUCUUACCAGAUGGAACUCUGUUCCACAUCAUAAUCUUAACAGAUGACACAGAUUUGCAAAUAUUGCGUCGUGUUAGUUUACAAAUUCUAGAACAUUAAUUUCCCUCAUUUUAAAUUUCCUCGGGAAAGAAAAAUCUAUUUAUCACGCUUUGGAAUUGAAAACUAAAACUGAAAGAAUACGGGAAAAAAAACUCCAUUUAUAAUUUAAAAUUAAAAUCCACGUCGGUUGUAGUACACUUAACGACGUUUAACAAAAUAAUCUACGUCGGUAAUUAUAAAUCUACCGCCAUCGUAACUUAAUAUAGACGACGAGAAAAGACGACGGUAGAACAGAAAACCGCCGUUGUUUCAGUUUCUUUAACAUAUCUUUCUGCAGGACUUGUGUAGUUCAAAGCAUUGACAAUGUCUUCAUCAUAUCUCCCAGAAACUACUGAUUCAAUUGCUCAUGCUUUAGAGGCCAUCUGAAGCCAUUUCUAUUCUUUAUCGCAUUCUUGAAACCCAUCUUCUUCUUCUGAAGCUCUACGGAUAAAGGAAGAGGCUAUCACAAUAAAUCCGACGGAUCUUCUUAGGCAAGAAAAUCAAGCAGAGGAUCAGGCACAUCUGAUCUUCAGAUUUCCCUGAGAAGCGAACUUUCCUUCGACAGCGAGUGGAGGCCAGGCUUGCAUCUCUUUUGAUGGAAAGCAAGGAGUAUUCAGAAGCACUAAGUGUCCUAUCAGGCUUGAUCAAGGAAGUGAGAAGGCUAGUUGACAAGCUUCUUCUUGUGGACAUAUAUUUGAUGCGAGUAAGCUCAAUUUCUCUUUGAGAAAACAUCCAAAUUAUUAUCUUUGAGACAUGAGAGACUGAGAGAGGAAGAACUUGGAACCUUAAAUGUAAACCGAAAAUGAAUGAAAGCGACAAAUUUAUAGAAUAAAUUUUUAAAACCAACGGCGGUCCUUACAAACAAACCGCCGUUUAAAUUGUAAAAUCAACGUCGGUAUGAUCGACGUAUAUUACAGAAAUCCACGUCGGUAAAUUAAUAAAAACGACGUGUUAAAUAAUAUACCAUGACGCGAGUUAUUACUUAUGUACUUUAAUUUUUGAGUUUACUACGACGGUACCUACAAACUACUGUCGUAUUUAUUUACCACGUCCGAAGUUAAAUGUACCGUCGUAUUUUGUAAUUUAUACGUCGUAGUUAUAUGUAACCGCCAUAUUAUUUUUUUGAAAUGGUUUUAUAUGUAAGCAACUUUUCGUCUACUUGACUUACACAUUUGUUGUUUUUAUAUUCUUAUUUUAUUUAAAUCUGUCAUCCAAAAAAGAAACUUUACAUAUUGCAGAAUAUUAAUUUCCUUCGUUUUAAAUUUCCUCCGGAAAAAAAACUCUAUUUAUAACGCACUGUAAUUGAAAAAUAAACUGAAAGGUCACGGGAAAAAAAAUUCUAUUCAUAAUUUAAAAAUUAAAAUCCACGUCGGUUAUAUUAAACCUAACGACGUUAAAUGAAAUGAUUCCACGUCGAAUGAAAAAUAUUGCGUCGUUUUAGUUAAAAACGACGUAGUUAAAUGUAACCGCCGUAUUAUUUUUUUGAAAUGGUUUUAUAUGUAAGCAACUUUUCGACUUACACAUGCACUGUUUCCAAACCCGAUUAAAAAUUUCAAUCUCCCAGAGAAACCUUUUCGUCUUUUUUCCUUGUCAGAGCAUUGUCAGAGUUUCUCAUCGUCUUCCUCUCGUCUUCUUCGUCGUCUCUGAACUUAAACAUCGAUCAUCUUCCUCUUGCUUUCAUUGCACGCAAAAGGUAAGCUUUCAUUUUCACUAUUUUGGUUACUGUUUUGCAUGCUCAUACGUUUUUUGUUUGAAAAAUCUUUUUACCUUUUUUCUGGCCAAAAUCAUUUUACUUCUUUCCAAGUUUGAUAAAAUAUACAGACAAAGAGAGAAAGUUUCCAACUUUGAAGACAACUACAUCAACUAAAUAAGACGACGGUAGACCACGACGGUUCGUCAGUUGUUCUAGCGUCGUCUGAAAAUUGACAAAGUUGUUUUUAAAAUAAUAGUCUUUUUUUAUAUGCUUGUUUAAUUGCAGGUUUGAUUUCGCUGAACAAUGGUUUUUGUUUUUCCCUUAUUUGAUAAAAUAUAAAGAAAAAGAAACUAGGGUUGGUAUCUAAUAUAGACGAUAAAAUAUAAAUAAUAGUUUACCACGACGGUGUAUUACUAUUGACGUCGUGUGAACAUAUAUACCACGACGUUAUAUAAAUAAUGGUUUUAAACAUUUAUUACGUCUGAGAUUAUUUCAUUGCGUCGUCUAAAAUCAUAUCAUACGUCGUAUUUUUUUAAUACCGUCGUUUGUGUUCUUAAUGUUUUCCUGAAAUAUUUUCACUUGCAGUUUUGUCUGUUAAAAUGGUUUCUCAACAACAAACUAAGGAUUCUGGCUCCAAGAAGCUUGGAAUGGUAGCUCCUCAAGAUAAGUCUUCGAAGGAGAUGAAGUCUUCGAAGAAGAUGAAGUUUGCUUCAUCAUCUGCUGAGACAGAACAAACCAGCCAGACAACAAUCUCAGAUGAUUCAAAGACUGGUCGAGGUAUGAGCACAAUGCCUCGUGUUGUGAAGAGAAAGCUUCAGAAACUGAGGCCAAUUGUUGAGUACAAUAAAAGGGGGAAAGGUGUUGGCCAAGCACAUAUUGAGAUGCAGUCGUAUAUUGGUGUGUUGGCACGCUCCAGGAUCCCACUUGUGGACAAGAAAUGGUCCCAAAUCCCCAAGGAUAUAAAGGAGCAGAUUUGGGAAGCAGUUGACAUGGCUUUUGUCGUAGGCCAAGGGGGCAAGACCUCUGUUUUAGCUUCUGCUUCCAAGAAAUGGAAGGAUUUCAAGUCUACACUAACGAGGCAUUAUAUCCUUCCAUACACCAAUGACAGGGAGAAAUUAAGCCAACCCCCUGAAACAUAUAAAUUCAUAGAGAAAGCACAAUGGGAUGCCUUUGUAGCUUCAAGGCUAUCCAAAGAUUUUGAGUCUGUGCAUUCUCAACAUGCACAGAUUAGGGAGAAACUCGAGUACAAUCAUCGAUUGUCUCGAAAAGGAUAUGCUGGAUUGGAGGAUCAAUUGGAGGAAACCAUGCCUGGGGUAGAAAUUGAUCGAUCUACCUUAUGGAAGAGAGCUAGACAGGACAAACAUGGUAACAUCCCUGAUCCAAAGGUGGCAGAGAAGGCAAAAUUAAUUGUAAGCCUACUCACUCUGUUUUAAAUUUUUAUUAAACUGUGAAUUAUUCUUAUUAUGUCGUAUGUUAUAUUUUUCGUCGUGUGAAUGAUAUUACCACGUCGAAAAGUUUUUAAAAACGUCGUUAAAGGUCUAAAUAGGAAUCACUACUAUGUUUUCUGUAAUUACAGCAUAAGACGUCGGUGGUUCAUUUUCGCGUCGUGUGAAUGAUAUUACCACGUCGAAAUUUUUUUAAAAACGUCGUUAACGGUCUAAAUAGGAAUCACUACUCUGUUAUCUUUAAUUAUAGCAUAAGACGUCGGUUGUUUAUUCAUUUCGUCGUUUUAAAUAAAUAACCACGUCGGUAUAACUACCGUCGUGAUAAGUUAUAAUAACGUCGGUUUAUACGUUAUUGCGUCGUGUGAAAUUAUAUAAUACGUCGUUUGUACAUAAAUAACCGUCGUGUGUUUUUUUGUUUAUCUUUGUUUUAGGAUGAAUUGCAGAAACAAGUCUCGGAAGGCAAAGUCAGAGUAGAUGGCAGCAAUGAUGUGCUGACCAUGGCUUUGGGCCCCGAGCAUCCAGGCAGGGUGAGGGGAGUUGGUGCUGGUGUUUCCCCAAGGCAAUAUUUCAAUUUGCCCAAACCACAGAGGGUGAGCUUUGACGACCGUUUGAAGGAGAGUUUAAGAGUUCUCCUUCAAGAAGAGACUAAAAAGAUGGAGGCUAAGGCAAGGGAAGAGGCCUUAAGGAUGGAGGCUAGGACAAAACAAUUGGUAGAGGCUGAGAGGGAGCAUUUCCUGAGUCAGCUUUCCCAAUUAAUUCCCAAUUUUGAUCCAAGCAUGCUUAAACCAAGAAUUAGCCAAAGCCCCAAAAAUCCAAUGUCUGACAAAGCUAGCUGCUCUGGAGGUGAUGUGAGAUCCCUACAUUUGGAGGAUGAUACUGCCAAAAUGGGGAAACAUCAGCCAGAUGAAGAGAAGGAAGAAGAAAAAAGAGAUGAAGAGAAGGAAGAAGAAAAGGAGAAAGAAGAUGAAGAAAAGCAUGACGACAAGGUAUGUUCACAUAACUUUGCCUUUUUUAUUUGUUUUUCAAAAUUUCAGACGUCGAUAUUUUUAUUUAAUCCGUCGUUUGUUUAAAACUUAGACGGCGGAAUUUUUUUAAGACGUAAUAAAAUAUUUAAACGACGGUUUUUGCACCGUCGUUUAAAUGGUUUCAGACGACGCUUUAUUCAUAAAACCGUCGUCUUUAUUGAAUUACCACGACAGUUUUUUCACCGUCGUUUAAAUACUUUUAAGACGACGUUUUAUUACUUAAACCGUCGUCUUUAUUGAAUUACCACGUCAUUUUUUUUAUUUCUUUAAACAGGUUAUUGAAGUUGGUGCUUAUUCAAAAAUGGAGGCGCCAUCUUCUUUAAAAACCCUUUGUCGUUUUGUGGAAACGACACUCCUGCCUGAGGAUAAGACAGUCCAAUUUACAAUUGAUAAGGAGGUGUUUGGUGGUGAGCGCGAUACCUUCCUCCUGCCUGAAGAUAUUACACAAUUUGCAGGCAUGGAAGAAAUUGGAGCUACUGUAUUGGCUGUAUAUAUGAGGUUUGUACUUCUAAAAUAAUAACUCGUUGGUUUAUAUAUUGCGUCGUCUUAACUAACUAACCACGUCGUCUUAACUAACAACCGUCGUGAUAAAUAUAUUAUAACGUCCUCAUCUAUUUCAGUACGUCGUGUGAAAUAUUAUAAUACGUCGUUUUUUUAUACAUAACCGUCGUGUUUUGUGUGCUGACUUGUUUAUAUUAUUUUAUUUGUUUAGGUACUUACACGAUGUUUUGAAAAAAGCCAAUAUGUGCAGUAUGGUUGGCUUUAUCGACCCUGCUACAGUUAGUGCCAACUCUGGCACAAUAACUGAAAGAUCACGACUCGUAGCAGCUCGACUUCAGAAGACAGACGGUGAACAGAUUUUCAUGAUGCCUUACAAUCCAGGGUUAGUCUCCUUAGGAUUUUGUUUUUAUGAUUUUCAAUAAAUGACAGCUUAUAAACUAACCACGUCGGUGUUUUAUUUUAUUUAGUCGUUUGAAACUACUAACCACGUCGGUAUUUAUUUAUCGUCGUGAUAAAUAUAUAAUGUCGUCGUUAGCUACUUUACUUCGUCGUGUGAAAUACUAUAAUACGUCGUUUUUGUAAAUAACCGUCGUUUUUAUAUUAAUUUUGUGCAGCCGUCAUUGGAUUUUGCUGAUUGUAAGAGCAAAGAGAGAAACCGUCUAUUUUCUGGAUCCUCUGCCAGGAAAUCGUGUGGUCGAUGAAGAGGCCAAAAACAUCGUGAACAGUGCUUUAAAAAUAUAUAAUACCCACAUAGCCCGAGCAGGACGUAAAAAUGUAAUUUGGAAAACUCUCUCAGGCACACCAAAGCAACCCAGCAAUGUCGAAUGCGGGUAUUAUGUAAUGCGCUUCAUGAGGGACAUCAUCAUGGAUCCUUCCUUGGGGUUUGAGAAUAAGGUAAGAAGAAAUUACCUUCAUACAUUUCACGUCGUUUUUUGUAUUAUCAACGACGGUCGUGUAAAAUUAACGUCGUUGAAUGGAUAUACUACGUCGGUUAUGAAAAAUAUCGUCGUCUGUGAUUGAAUUUCUUUUUAUUUAUAAACCCUAAUAGUCAUUGUUUAUGCAGUAUGCCAAGGGAAACCAGGAAGCUUCAUACCCCCAAGAAGCCAUUGAUGAAGUCCGGAAUGAAUGGGCAGAGUUUGUUUUCCAAAUUAUUAAACAGGGCAAUUAUUGAACACUUGAUAUUUAUGUAUAAUGUACCAAUUUUCUCUAUAAUAUGUAAUGUAAAAAUUUGUUGAGGUUUUCUUAAAUUAAAAAAAAAACAAACAUACAAAUUGCUUAACCGACGUGUAAUACUUUUCCAACGACCUAAUAAAGUCAAUAACCGUCGUAUUUUGUUGUUGCGUGUUUUAAACAAAUACGACGUAAAAAAAUAGUUAGACGACGUUCUUUGAACAAUUGAGUCGUUAAUGGUUUACAAUAUCUUCAAUUUCUUAAGGGUUCAGGGUAUAAUCGACGACGUUUAUGUAACGACUACGGUUAAGUCGUGGAAUAUAUAUUUUACGUCGUAUAGUUAAAUAGCCGCCAUGGUUUCUCAUUUUAACGACGUCAUUUUAACGACUUAGUAGUCUAUUACAAUUUACAACGUCUACAAUUUAUUUAACACCGACGUGGUUUGUUGUAUGGUAAGAAUAUUUUAUUAUUUUUAUAUCAAAAUAUUCAAAAUAAAUAUAAAAUAAAUCAGAAAAUUGAAAAGUCAACUCCUAUGAAGUCAUUGAUAUAUUUUCUUCCACAUAAACCUUGAAAAAAUUCAUUUUGAAUAACAAAAAUUUAAAAUGACCAUCCAAAACAAAAUUGUUUUGAUGAGUCAUAAAAUCACUUCUAGUUUUAUGGUUUAGGGUUUAGAGUCUAGGGUUUAGAGAUUAGGGUUGUUAUUUAUUGGGGUUUAUUUUUAAAGUAUAAUUUUUGGGUAGUCUAUGUUAUAUGUUAGGCUUUAAAACCAUAAAACCUUUUAUAAACUUAAUUUUUUAAAUUGUAUAAUUUAAUUUUAUGGGUUUAGUGUAUUAAUUUUUAACGACGGUGGUUGGGUCGUGGAAUACAUAUUUUACGUCAUACAGUAAAACAUACGACAUGGUUUACGCUUUAAACGACGUUAUUUUAAUAUGUAAGUCGGUUUAUAUAAUUUACAACGUCUUUAAUUUCUUAACACCGACGUGGUUUUUCAGUCGUCGUUAUAUAAAAAAUUCAAAAUAAAUUUAAAAUUAAUCCGAAAAAUGAACGGCCUUACGUUCUUAAUCCGAAAAAUGAAGUUUCCGUCGUGGAAUAUUAAAUUUACGUCGGUACUUGUAGAACUUUCGCCUUGGUUUUUCUUUCGACGUUUUAUAACGCGCGCGCUCUAAAAAUUUUCGCGCGACCUAAAUUUUUUUAGAUUUGGCUCUUAGCCUUAUACUUUGAUCCCUGAAACCUAAAAUUUCAGAUUUCACGCGACAUAACAUUUCGCUCUCUCACUUCUGCUCUAAUUAAAAGUUGCACUCUCCAGGCUCGUCGAAUCUGUGAGCUCGUCCAACCUGUAAGUACAAACCCUAUCUUCCCCUUGUAAAUUCAUUGAAUGAUAUUAGGUUGUUUUGUUAAAGGGUUUUAGGUAUAUGCUUUGCGAUCUGUUAAUAAUGUGCUUAUAGGUAUGGGUUCAUGGAUUUUCUGUUUAAUGGGUUCAUGACAAGAUCAAAUAAAGGUGUACUUUUGCUGUUUAAUGGGUUCAUGGAUUACAUUAUCUGUUAUGUUGAAUUGGGAAUGGAUUUAAUUUUGUCGUAUCUUUUAAUCACCCUAUGUUAUGUUGAAUUGGGAAUGGAUUUAUUGUUUUCAUGCUUGGUUUCAUGUAUAUGUUGGUUUCUUGCUUGGUUUCAUAUAUAUGUUGUGUUCUUAAUGGGUUUUGUGUUCUUGAAAAUAAACUGAGACACGACGAAUUUUAAGGCGUACGACGACGAUUACACGACGGUGUUUUUAAACUACCGUCGUUGUAUUACUUAUACACGACGGUUUUUUCAUAAACCGUCGUUUGUAUUACGUAUAAUAGACGACGUCUGUUGAAAAUCCGUCGUCUAUAUAUGCCAAAUACGUCUGUUUUUGAUUAAAACCCGUCGUCUCUGUUGUUUAUUACUUGCGAUUAGAUCAUUGUAUAAUCUGCUAUAGUGAUGGUCAUUGCCUGUAUUUUCACUUUAUUAUAGAUAAUAGGUUAUAGUGUCGGAGAUGGAUAAGUCAUGGAUGCACUCGGAUAGAAGAUCGAAGGCAUAUGAGUUUGGGGUGGAAGCAUUUUUGAACUUUGCUGUAGAAAAUCUUCUAACUACAACACAUAUCCGUUGUCCAUGUGUUAAAUGUGUUAAUUUGAAGUUGUUUGGGGUUGGAAUUAUAAGGGAUCACUUAUACUUUAAUGGAAUUGACCAAAGCUAUAAGAAUUGGACAUUUCACGGAGAACCUUGGGAAGCAACUACUAAUGCUAGCAGAAAUGUUGAAGAAGAUGAUGGCCAUAGUAGGUACAGUUUUGUGUCUGAAGAAAUUGAUAUGGAUGAUAAUGAUUUUGGUGAUUUUGGUUCGGAUCCGUAUGAGUUUGCCAAUGUGAUUGGGGAUGGAGAUCAACCAGUGUACCCUGGUUGUAGAAAGUACACGAAGUUAUCGGCAUUAGUGAAGUUGUAUAAUUUGAAGGCAAAACAUGGGAUGAGUGAUGUCUGUUUUACAUAAUUAUUGAUACUUCAAGGCGAUUUGCUUCCAGAAGGAAAUACAAUACCAACCUCCAUGUAUGAGGCUAAAAAGACUUUGUGUGCAUUGGGGCUGAGUUAUGAGAAAAUGCACGCAUGCCCCAAUGAUUGCAUCUUGUAUAGGAAGGAGUAUGAGGAUUCAACUAAUUGUCCUACUUGUGGUAUCUCAAGGUGGAAGGAAGGCAAAGAUGCAAUCUUGAAAGAGGGUGUGCCAGCGAAGGUGGUGUGGUAUUUUCCCCCAAUUCCAAGGUUUAAAAGGAUGUUUCAAUCACAUGAGACAGCUAAGAGUUUGACUUGGUGGCAUGUUGCUAGAAAAUCAAUUGACGGUCAGAUGUCUCAUCCGGCGGAUUCCCCGUCUUGGAAACUUCUUGAUGAUAAAUGGCCUGAGUUUGGUAAUGAGCCGAGAAACUUGAGAUUGGCUCUUUCAUCUGAUGGAUUCAAUCCCCACAGUUCUCUAAGUAGCAGAUAUAGUUGUUGGCCGGUUAUCUUAGUUACAUAUAAUCUCCCUCCAUGGCUGUGCAUGAAACGAAAGUUCAUGAUGUUAACCUUAUUGAUUUCCGGUCCUAAACAACCCGGAAAUGAUAUAGACGUCUACUUGGAGCCUUUGAUUGAUGAUUUAAAAUCCUUGUGGGUUGGGAUUAGAGGAGUGUAUGAUGCACAUAAUGGAGAAUACUUUACACUCAGAGCUGCAUUAAUGUGGACAAUUAAUGAUUUCCCCGCCUAUGGAAACUUAUCUGGUUGUGUUGUUAAAGGAUAUAAAGCUUGUCCAAUAUGCGGCGAUGAUACACCUAGUCACAGGUUGAAAAAUGGCCACAAAAUUUGUUACAUUGGGCAUAGAAAAUGGUUACCAAUCAAUCAUCCAUAUAGGAGGCAACGUGCAGCUUUUAAUGGGAAACCUGAAUAUGGCAUACCUCCAGAGCCAUUAACCGGAGAAGAAGUGCUGCAUAUGGUUGAAAAUGGUGACAGAGUUUGUUGGAAGAAGAAAUCAAUAUUCUUUGAUCUCGAGUAUUGGAAAUACCUUCCUGUGAGGCAUGCCCUAGAUGUUAUGCACAUUGAGAAGAAUGUUUGCGAUAGUAUCAUUGGUACAUUGCUGGAGAUCCCUGGAAAAAAUAAAGAUGGGAUUGCUGCUCGAUUAGAUUUAUUGAACAUGGGGGUCAAAACUGAUUUGCAACCCGAGUAUGGAGAAAGACGUACUCGUUUGCCUCCUGGGCCUUGGAAUUUGUCAAGAGCAGAGAAGAGAGAGGUUUGCAAUUCUUUCUAUGGUAUGAAGGUCCCUGAAGGUUAUUCUUCCAAUAUUAAAAAUCUUGUAUCUGUACAAGAUUCAAGACUUCUUGGCCUUAAAUCACAUGAUUGUCAUACCUUAAUGCAACAAUUGCUCCCUGUGGCAAUUCGUUCUGUUUUGGAGAAGCCUGCAAGGUAUGCAAUAACUCGUUUGUGCUUCUUCUUCAAUGCUAUAUGUGCAAAGACUGUUGAUGUUUCCAAGCUAGAUAAGUUGGAAGAAGAUGUAGUAGUUACUCUGUGUUUGCUUGAGAAGUACUUUCCCCCUUCAUUCUUUGAUAUCAUGGUUCAUCUAGUAGUACAUCUUGUCAGAGAAGUUCGUCUAUGUGGGCCAGUAUAUUUUAGGUGGAUGUAUCCGUUUGAAAGAUAUAUGAAAGUGCUGAAGGGGUAUGUUCAGAAUCGUACUCGUCCCGAAGGUUGCAUUGCUGAGCGGUAUAUAGCUGAAGAAGCGGUAGAGUUUUGUACUCAGCAUUUAUCUGAUGUUAGUACAGUUGGAGUGCCUUCAAGCCAAAAGAUGGGAGUUUCAAAGCCAUUAUCAGGUUGCACAGUGAGCGUAGUUGAUCAGGACCUGUUGAAUCAAGCACAUCUAUAUGUCUUGGAGAAUACGGAGGAAGUCCUACCUUAUAUCGAGUACGUAUGAGUUUUAUUCUUUAAGUUUCCAUUUAAAAUUAUUUCUUAUGUUUAUCUUAUAUAUUUGGGACCGUAAUGCUUGAAUUUUUCGUGUCAUGUAGGCAACAUAUGAUCCACAUCAAGACUGCUUAUCCAAAAUUUAGAAAGAGAACAAAGUGGCUGCAGGAUAAGCACAAUAGCACUUUCAUUCAAUGGCUACGCUUCAAGGUAUAUGUUGUUGAAUAACGUAUUUCUCUUUUAAUUUUCUUCUUAUUUAUAUGUUAGGAUGAAUUAAGAUAUGAUUAAUUUGCAGGUUCAAAGUGAAGUUGAGGAAGACAAUCAUGGCGUAUCAGAAAAUUUAAGGUGGCUAGCAGCUGGUCCAAACAUGUCAGUGCCAUUAUAUAGGAGCUAUCUUAUUAAAGGUAUUAAAUUCAAUAUCAAGGCACAAGAUGAUGUGCGGACAACUCAAAAUAGUGGAGUUUAUUUACUUGCACAUACCAUGCAAGUUGCUAGUGCCAAGGAUAAAAACCCAAUUCUCUCAAAUAUGGGUUUCUAUGGUGUCAUUCAAGAAAUUUGGGACCUUGACUACCAAAAGUUUACAAUCCCAGUCUUUAGGUGUGAUUGGAUAGAUAGUUCUGGUCUUGUAGUCGACGAACUUGGAUUUACCCUUGUAGAUUUGAGUAAAAUUGGACAUAGGAAUGACCAAUUUGUUUUGGCUUCUCAAGUCAAACAAAUAUUUUUUGUUGACGACCCGAUGCAUCGUGGUUGGUCGGUAGUGUUAUCAAUGCCUAGUAGAGAAUAUAAUGAUGUUAUUGGUGAUGAAGUAUUAGGUGAUGUGAUAAUUGAGUGUGAGCCAUUUACUAGAGGGAUGCCAAAUGUUGACACAUUUGAUGAACUGGUAGGUGAGUUAGGCGGUCAAAAUGUNNNNNNNNNNNNNNNNNNNNNNNNNNNNNNNNNNNNNNNNNNNNNNNNNNNNNNNNNNNNNNNNNNNNNNNNNNNNNNNNNNNNNNNNNNNNNNNNNNNNNNNNNNNNNNNNNNNNNNNNNNNNNNNNNNNNNNNNNNNNNNNNNNNNNNNNNNNNNNNNNNNNNNNNNNNNNNNNNNNNNNNNNNNNNNNNNNUAUUGUGAAGCAAUUAUUCAGGAUAUCACGUCGGUGAAGGAUAAAGAACCGCCAUGUAAUUCAAAAUAACACGACUCCAAUCCCAUAAUACCGACGUCUAAAAAACGAGAUAUGUAAUCUGAACGUUAAAAAAUACGACGUCAUCAUACAUUUUCCACGUCGCAAGUUCUUUUAUAAACGAAGAGGAACGAAAUUAAUUCCGACGGAAAUUCAUUAUAACCGCCGUCUAAUAACAAUUAAACGACGUUAUUUGUAAUACGGCUCCCAUCAUAAUCUACGCCGUCUAUAUGUUCUGUAAUACGGCUCUCAUUUAUUUGGAACCGACGUUGUUUAGACGUUCAACGUCGUCUAUAUUAUUAAGUGCGUCGUGAGUAAUGAAUACAUAUAAAUACAACGUCGACUAUAUAAAUGUAUACGUCGUAAAUAAUGACACUGACAACUAUUUCCACGUCAUCUUUUUUAGAUAAAAUCGAAGUGGAAAAUUUAUUUCACGACGGUUUUUUGUAAAUAAGAGACGUUGUAGAACUUUAGCAGACUAAACACGUCUGUUUUUAUUGUUUUCCGACGUUGUUGUAUUUAACAACGUCUAAUAUUUAUGGUCGUUGUUUGUUUCUGAAAAUAGGACGUAUAAAUUUUUUAAUACGACUCUCAUAUAUUUGUAACUGACGUUGUUUAGUUUUUCAACGUCUACUAUAGAAACACAUACGUCGUAAAUAAUGACACUGACAACUAUUUCCACGUCAUCUUUUAUCAAAAAAUCGAAGUGGAAAAUUAAUUGUACGACGGUUGUGUUUAUAUGUGCGACGUAGUAGGUAUCAAUAACGUCGUCUUCUAAUGUAUUUAAAGACGUCAUAUUUUUUAUUGUCGUGAAAAUUAUAUUUAACGUCGGCGUAUUUUUAUUGUCGUCGUUGUAUGUCUAUCUUGCGGCCUUGUUCUCUUAAUAUGUGUCAUAUUUUCCCUUUUUAACGACGGUCUUUUUAGAGAAUUGGUCGUCUAUUAUCAUCAUCGAUUGCUUUUUUUAGAUCUUUUGCAGUACAAAGACGUCGUUUUGUAUUUUUUGAUGACGUUGUAUUGUUUAACAACGACGGUUAUUUAGCGUCGUGGUUUAUGAGGGAAAAGAUGACGGUGGAUUCCACGACCAUUGAAAAACCAAAUACACGACGGUGAUUUACCGUCGUCUUUUUGCUUUUUUGUAGUAGUGUGUAUACUGGAGAAGUUUUGUGCGCUCUCAUUAGGAUUGCACUAUACAACCAUACGGACAAUUGAGGCACAUAGUGUCAUGGACCAAGAGUUCAUUGACUCAAAUGAUUUUAAGCUUUGGUAUGACUGGGUGGGUCAUCCUGGAUCCACCAUGAUGCGUAGGAUCAUCACCAACUCUAAAGGACAUCCCUUAUUGACAAAACACAUUAUGGCAUCAAGUGACAGCUUUUGCCAAGCUUGUUCACAAGGGAAGUUGGUGAUCAGACCAUCACGACCAAAGGUUGAUGUUGAGUCCCCAUCAUUUUUGCAAAGAAUCCAAGAGGACAUUUAUGGGCCUAUUCAUCCUCCCUGUGGACUAUUUCGGUACUUUAUGGUCUUAGUGGAUGCAUCUACCCGAUGGUCGCAUAUUUGCCUUUUGUCCACUCGGAAUAUGGCAUUUGCUAGGCUCUUGACUAAGAUAAUUAAAUUACGAGUCCAAUUCCCAGAUUAUCCCAUUAAGUCAAUCAGACUCGAUAAUGCUGGUUAAUUUACAUCUCAGACUUUUGAUGACUACUGCAUGUCAUAGUCAUUGACAUUGAACAUCCUGUUCCCCAUGUUCAUACUCAAAAUGGUUGGCAGAAGCUUUAAUUAAGCGUCUUCAAUUGAUAGCAUGCACUUUGUUAAUGAAAAUAAAGUUGCCAGUUUCUGCUUGGGGAUAUGACAUUUUACAUGCAGCAUCACUGGCGCAGUUAAGGCCCGUAACCAACAAUCAAUAUUCUCCAAUACAACUCGUGUUGGGUAAUCAACCAAACAUUUCCCAUUUAAGAGUUUUUGGGUGUGCGGUAUAUGUGCCAAUUGCACCACCGCAACGUACUAAGAUGGGCCCUCAACGCAGAUUGAGAAUUUAUGUUGGUUUUGAUUCCCCAUCUAUCAUCAGAUAUUUGGAGCCCCUGACGGGUGAUAUCUUUACCGCACGAUUUGCAGAUUGUCAUUUUGAUGAGACAAUCUUCCUACCAUUAGGGAGAGAAAAAUCUGUUCCUAAAGAACAACAAGGCAAACUCGUUCAUGAAGAACGACAUGAAUUAUCGUGGGACGUACCCGCUUUGUCUCAUCUCGAUCCUCGUAUCGCUCAAUGCGAAAACGAAGUAAGAAGGAUCGUUCACCUCCAAAGUAUUGCAAAUCAGAUGCCAGAUGCAUUUAAUGAUGCAGCAAAGGUGACGAAAUCACAUAUCCAAAUUUGUUACAACUUUCUUAUCACCUUAUUAAAAAAUUACAUAAGAAAAAAUAUUAGUUUUUUUUUUUCCUUUUUUGAAAGACUCCAACAAAUAAGACUUACCUAAUUAAUGGUUUAGAAGAAAAAAAAUCAAUAAUCAAACUUACCGAAUUAAUGGUUUGAAAAUGCAAUCAAUGAACUUCCUUUUAAAACAGACUUCCUUAGCAAGACGUCUUUUGUCUGUAUAAAAAAAAAAAAAAAGGAUAUAUCUUUUGUGGAUAUUUUUAAGGUCAUUAUUGUGUUUUUUUUUUAAAAAAAAAAGUUUUUCCUCUAAAAAAAUAGACAUUUUCUUUUUUUUUUAAACAGAAUUUUUUAUUUUUUAUAAAUAUUUUUUACAUAUGGUAAGAGAGUUGUAAAAAAAAUUUGAUAAAUUGAAGGACAAUACAUUUAAUAAGGGUAAACUUGGAAAACAAAAUGUGGUUUGUUUGAUGUAUUAGUGUCAUUAUUUUAAGUGUAUGAGAAAUGACACAUGUCAUGAGGAAAAGAAAGAAGGUCCAAAAGAGAAGGUUGGAGAGAAGGUUACUAGCAUUCCGUAUCAUUUAAUGAAACAAACUCUAACAGUUAGUUCUUUCUCAUGUGAAAUUUUUUACAUUUCUCACUUCUUCACAUGCACACUGCCUUUUCUCAACUGGUCUGUCAAUUUUCUAUUGUAUGAACUUAUUGAUGUGUAUGAGUUCCUAUCGUGUAUUGAGGGAACAAACAAAAAAGAAGACAGAUUAGUCAAUGAAAUAAUGUAUGGAAUUUGCAUUAUUUCUUUAUGUAAUUUUCAUAUUAAAUGACGAAGAAAAUUCUAGAGGAAGACAGAUUAGUCAAUGAAAUCAUGUAUGGAAUUUUCGUUCUUUCUUUAUGUGAUUUUCAUAUUAAACGACGAAGAAAAUUCUAGAUGAAGACAGAUUAGUCAAUGAAAUAAAGUAUGGAAUUUUCCGCUAUUUCUUUAUAUAAUUUUCAUAUUAAAUGACGAAGAAAAUUCUAGAGGAAGACAGAUUAGUCAAUGAAAUAAUGAUGGAAUUUUUGCUAUAGGAAGGCAGAUUAGUCAAUGAAAUAAUGUAUGAAAUUUCCACUAUUUCUUUAUGUAAUUUUCAUAUUAAAUGACGAAAAAAAUUCUAAAGGUAGACUUAUCAGAAAAGGAUAUACAUGUGCUCAUAAAUGAAAAAGUAAAAUACAUGUCCUCCUCCUUUGUUCUGAGGAGUGGGACAAAAGUGGGUGUUUAUAAGACUUUGAGGAAGGCUUUUUUUUUUUUUCAAAAAAAAAAAAGUUUUUCCUCUAAAAAAAUAGACAAUUUCUUUUGAAAAAAACAGAAUUUUUUAAUUUUUUAAAUAUUUUUUACAUAUGGUAAGAGAGUUGUAAAAAAAUUUGAUAAAUUGAAGGACAAUACAUUUAAUAUGGGUAAUUUUGAAAAACAAAAUGUGGUUUGUUUGAUGUAUUAGUGUUAUUAGUUUAAGUAUAUGAGAAGUGACACAUAUCAUGAGGAAAAGGAAGAAGGUCCAAAAGAGAAGGUUGGAGAGAAGGUUAGUAGCAUUCCGCAUCAUUCAAUGAAACAAACUCUAACAGUUAGUUCUUUCUCAUGUGAAAUUUUUUACAUUUCUCACUUCUUCACAUGCAUACUGCCUUUGCUCAACUGGUCUGUCAAUUUUCUAUUAUGUAUGAACUUAUUGAUGUGUAUGAGUUCCUAUCGUGUAUUGGGGGAACAAACAAAAAAGAAGACAGAUUAGUCAAUGAAAUAAUGUAUGGAAUUUCCAUUAUUUCUUUAUGUAAUUUUCAUAUUAAAUGACGAAGAAAAUUCUAGAGGAAGACAGAUUAGUCAAUGAAAUCAUGUAUGAAAUUUCCGUUCUUUCUUUAUGUGAUUUUCAUAUUAAAUGACAAAGAAAAUUCUAGAUGAAGACAGAUUAGUCAAUGAAAUAAAGUAUGGAAUUUCCGCUAUUUCUUUAUAUAAUUUUCAUAUUAAAUGACGAAGACAAAAUUAUAGAGACAGACAGAUUAGUCAAUGAAAUAAUGUAUGAAAUUUUUGCUCUAGGAAGACAGAUUAAUCAAUGAAAUAAUGUAUGAAAUUUCCUCUAUUUCUUUAUGUAAUUUUCAUAUUAAAUGACGAAAAAAAUUCUAAAGGUCGACUUAUUAGAAAAGGAUAUACAUGUGCUCAUAAAUGAAAAAGUAAAAUACACGUCCUCCUCCUUUGUUAUGAAGAGUGGGACAAAAGUGGGUGUUUAUAAGACUUUGAGGAAGGCUUUUCCCAAUCAAUCAAUGAAGAUUAGAGGAAGAGUUUUACCAAUCAAUCAAUGAAGGCUAGAGGAAGAGUUAAAUAGCAACAAAUGGCCCCCUUUUUGGUUGGGGGAACGUGUGUGUGGGUGUUAAAAUUCAUUGGAGAAAGACAAGAGGACUAUACCACAUCAUGUGUGGUAGAUAAUGUGUCAAUUUGGAAAUAGCUUUAGUAGCAAGUGGACUAUACUAGCCACCUACAGCUUUAAGCCUGAUCAUUCAGAUAAUGCUUGUAUCCUUUGUUUUACCGCGGCUACUAACAUAAAGAAAGCCGAUACUUUCGUUGCCUCUUCUACCUCCACGCGGCAUUGCUCUGUCGGGCUUUCUCCUAUUGCGGAUAAUUCCCCAUUAUUGCCUUCGGUAGGAAUAUGGGCUGUGUCUCAAUUAGUGUGGUUGAUCUUCCGAAUUGCCUUAGUUAGCUUUGCCUUACCAACUACCUAAUUAGACACAAGGCCCCUCCUCGGAGAAAAGUUACUAGCAGAACUAUAUAAGACUUUUAACAGUUGUCACAUAUGAUUAUGUGUGUUAAACCUCUUUCAACCUUAACCCUAGAAUUACACAGAGUAACAAGUAUUAUUUAUUGAAUUAUCGAAACAGUACAAUAUUCUCAACAACUCAUUCUUGAUACAAUAAUUCCCUAAUAGAGUUGUAAGCUCUAAUUAACCAAUUAUGUUAUAAACUAAUUUCUUAACUAAUCAAUUAAUAAACUGACUAUGCCGGCUCAUCACUAAUCCAGCUCAGCAAUGAUGAAGGUUCCUAAUAAUGUGAUCAGUCGAUGUGACGUAGUGUUAUUGAUUAAAAUAUAGCCAUCCCUACCACCUCAUGUAAAUCCCACAAGACUCCUAUUCACGGAGGGGAAGAAAGUAGGGGGAAUGCUAGCAACCUUUUCUCUAACCUUCUCUUUUGGACCUUCUGUUAGUAUGAAAAUAGUGUUGUCAUUUCCUAGACUCUAGCAUAGGUUGAAAAUUAGUGUGUGAAGAAUUGUUACUGGACGUUUUGGCACAACUCAUUCAACCCCAUACAUCCGAGGCAUGACUUGACCGAUAUGAGAAACUUGAUUUCAGGUAAAUCAUGGCAUAAUCAUGCAUUCAUUAUAGGAUUCCUAGUUUGAGUUUUCUUUUUCAAUCAAGUAUUUUUAUGUUAAUCUUAUUUUUAAUAGGAUUAGACUUUAUCUCUUAAGAUUACUUUUCUAGUUGAACUCUAUCUUGAUUUAAGUUAAAAUAUUAUCUUUUCCUAAGUGACAUGCACAAUGCUUAUUUUCCAAUUACCUUGCUUUAGGAGUCAAUUGGUUCUUCAUAAAAGUGGACGGUUGGUAACAUCAUUAAGAGUCCUUAAUGAAUCAGACUUUGUAUUUUUAUUGAAUCAGAAUUUAUAUUGUUAAUCGGAUAACUGUUUGGCCCUUAUGUGGCGUCUCAUUUAGGAGAUCAUAUUGCACCAGGUUUAAAAGAGUCUUAGCUGAAUUGGUCUUAGAGUUAUAAUUGUUUUGGAAGUGUAGUCUCGCAAGUUUCUCUCCUGUGAGAGAAACUUGCUUUGAAUAAAAGGAUGUCUGUUUCUUUUCAUUGUAGCUUUUGAACGUAUAAAAUUGUUGGGGUAUAUUGAAUCUAUGUUGGGAAAAGCUGCUGUACUUAGUUUACUCGGUAAGUCAUCAAGUGCUUAUGUUGCUUGGUGAUUGAUCAAAUUCAUUCAUCAUUCAUAUUGCAUUCAUUUGCAUUGUUCGGUGACUCAUACGGUUGAGGGCACCAAGACCGUGGUGACGGUUUUUUCUCCGGUGAGCUUGAAACAAUGAUGACCAGUAUUGCGUUUAACAUAAGGAGUGUCGAAGAUCAUCCCUUGACAGAAGUUGAAUUACGAAGAAGUUGGUAAACGUCAUCUAGAAUGUGUCUAGAAUAAGUGUGUGAGUACUUCUUGUAAUCAUCGUUCUAUAGUGGAUUUGUAUUGGACUGAGGAGUCCCAUGGAUUUUUUCCAGAGGAGGGGUUUUACCACGUAAAAUAAUUCUCUGUGUGUUUCUUUAUUUUAUGUUCAGCAUGUUUCAGGAUUGAUAAGCCAUAUCAAUCCUGCUACAUAAGUUUAUUUUUACUUAUUUGAUUAUAAUAUUAAAUUGGCCUAUUCUCCCCCCUUUAGGCAUUUUUAGUCAUCCUACAGGUAUUUUCACCUUCUUCCUUUUCUUUAUGACAUGUGGAUUUUUUUAAGGUCAUUAUUGUGUUUUUUUUUAUAACCAAAAAAAAAAAACGUUUUCCUCUGUAAAAAAAAAAAAAAAAGACAUUUUCUUCAAAAAUAUAUAUAUAUAUAAAUUUUAAAAUUUAAAUUUUUUUACAUAUGGUAAGAGAGUUGUAAGAAAAAAUUGGAUAAAUUGAAGGACAAUACAUUUAAUAAGGGUAAACUUGAAAAACAAAAGGUGGUUUGUUUGAUGUAUUAAUGUCAUUAUUUUAAGUUGUAUGAGAAGUGACACAUAUCAUGAGAAAAAAGAAGAAAAUCCAAAAGAGAAGAUUGGAGAGAAGGUUACUAGCAUUCCCUAUAUAUAUGUACGUUUUUUGGUGAGAAAAAUCCCUUCGAGUAGACAAGAAAUUGUACAGGAAAUUGUACAUUUUUUUGUCUUUUCGCAUUUUUCUUUUCAUGUUAAAGUAGUUUAGGACCGUCCUCUUUCAAAGCAGACAUGUGCAGUUGCAAAAGACCAUCGUGCAUGUUUAUGGGAAAAAACAAAACCUCUAGCCCACUUGGCUAUAAAUUAUUGUAUGUAUGCCAUUUACCUUCUUCUUCUUCCUUUUUUUUUUUUUUUUCCUGCAUGUCAUUUACUAUUUUACGUGAUAUGUGCAUCUGUGAGAAUGAUAGCUCCCAAACGUUCGGCACCAUGAGUGAUUAACUAUUUUGAUUAUAGAAUUUAAAGUUAAAUGAUUUUAAUUAUGUGGAAUUUUUUAGACCAGAACCUCGAUUUAUUCAAAUUAUAGAAGUUCAAUUUAACAACUUUUGUGCAAUUAGAACCAGAGAGAGAAUGGAUUUCUUGAGUUGUUGUAUCGUCCUGCUAAACCUUUUCUUUGUGUUGUUGUUCUCAAUUAUUCAAGCUCUGCAAAGCAAAGCCAAUCCCGAAAGGCAUCUUCUCCCACCUGGACCAAAGCCAUUUCCCUUCAUUGGCAAUCUUUUAGAGCUUGGCAACAAACCCCAUCUCUCUCUCACCAAGCUUUCUCAAAUCUAUGGCCCCAUUAUAACUUUGCAAUUCGGCCAAUAUUCAUAUUGGGGAUUCCCCAUCCCCACCUUUAAUGGGGAAUGGGUUCCCCGUCCAACCCCACCUUUUGGGAUUGGCCUUGCUUUGCAGAGCUUGAAUAAUUGAGAACAACAACACAAAGAAAGAUGGCACCAGGUAUGUCAGAGGUCGUAUACUCAAGUAAGAUGGCAACAGGUAUGUCUUUACGUAUUUCAAAUUGUGUGAAGAUUUUGAACAUGUAUAUUAAAGAAAUCUCACAGUUGGUAUCAGAGCCAGGUUGUUCGCACACACUAAAAUCGUUUUUCAAGCAUGCCAAUUACGAUUUCUUAUAUGUUUAUGCCAUGAUGAGUUUUUGGUGAUGUUCAAAAUUUGAAGAUGGAUUAAACAUGUUUUCUAAAUAUCGAGAAUAUUAAAGAAUCUGGAAAAGCAUGUUUUAAUUUGAUUUUCAUAUCUUCAAAACUUUAAACACGUUUUUGACCUACCUGAUGACCUGAAAACCCCAAAAAUGCCCAUAUGUAAUAGCAUAGUUGUGAGUUGUGUUAAUUAUGUCAUUCCCUAUUUAGAAAGGUAUUUUGCGUCAAAAACGAACACCAAAAACGUCUAAAACACUGUUCACUGCAGAAAUUACUAUUCACUGCAAUUUAGGGUUUUCUCUCUUGAACUGUAUUUGUUUCGUUAUUUUCUGAGCUAGAUAGGUGCUUAUUUUUGUUCUGAGAAUCAACAAAUUUUUCUUAACAAAACCAAACCUAAAUACUCAAAUCCUAAAGAAAUAACAAAAAUUGCAUCAUACCUAAAUUACUUGAUAAGUUUCUUCAACAAAUAGAAUCUGUCAUGUAAUUUAUUUAUGAUGGCACAAGAUAACACGUAAUUUGUGUAAGGUAUAAGUAAUCUCUUGCCACAAAGGUGUGAUACUUAAUUAAGGAAGCUUGCAUAUAUUAUUUGUUAGUUUAAUGAAUAAAGUGAAAUGGAAAAACUAUUUUCUCUUAACAAAUUGAGAAUUGGUGUCUUGGAAAGUAAUUAUGUUUUUUUUUUUUUGGUUGCAAAUCCUUACAGCUUUGAACGCUCUCUCAAUCAAUUUCUCACAAAUUGAAAGAUUCACUGGAACAAACUUCAAAACAUGGACGUAUGAUUUUGAAGUUAUUCUCGGAAUGAAUGAGAUCGUUUAUGAUCUCACUCAUGAUUAUAUUUAAUUCAAGCUAGCCAUUUCGCUUAUGUGUCUUGUAGUACAACUCCUAGAGCUUAGGAAAAAGGAAAAGCCUCUGGUGGUUAAUAGGAGCCACUCGUGCCAACUAAUCACAAAUGAAAUUCUAGUAAAGAAUACAAUGGAGCUAAUUAAGAAGCGGAACGAAGAUGAGCUGGAGCAAAAAAGGGUUAAGAUGCAGUGACGUCGUCGAUCUUAUGGAGGACCCAUAAGGAUAUACAUGGCUACAAAGGACGGUCUCAGAAGUCUCAGGAUCACUGUAAAGCUCGGUGUAUGCGCUUAUGGGAGAGGACGAAACAUCAAUAAGCUAAUUCGAUACAAAAAUCUCCUAGUGUAGUUUGUGAAACAUACGCCCCAACUUGAAUCACUUGUUGAGAUUUUUGAUACCUCCACUAAUAGGGAGAUAGUGGUACUUAACCCGUUCCUUGCUAGGGAGAACAACACUUUGGCAUCAUGUUGUGACAAGGAGGAUUAGAUAGCUACAUGUUGUUUUCAUUAAAUAUUAUUGGAAUAUUUAAUUUUAAGUUGGAUUUAGGAUUUAUUUUAAAGUUGGAUGAUGUAGUUUCAUUACCGUAAAUAAAGAGAAAUUUAAUUUCUAAUUCAAGAUUAUUAAGACUUGGUUUUAUUUUGGAUUCAAUAAAGAUGUUUUUGUAUCUCAGAAUUCAAAGACAAUAAAGAUGGAUUAUACUGUCUCAAUUACAAUAAAUCUUUUUGAUAUCAACAAACGGGUGUUCACCAUUAAACAGAAUGGUGCAGUCAUCCACAAAUACUACAGCCAACUGCAGCACAUCUUUCAAGAAAUUGAAUCGCAUGCACUGCGACGCCGAUGUGACUGAUUGCCAGAAAGAACUAGAUUGUCUUCGUGUUCACCUUUUUCUUGUCGGGCUCAACCCUGAGUUUGAUCAAGUUCGGGGGGAAAACCUAUGCAAAGAUCCUAAAUGAGACCAUGAUCAAAGCUUUGCAUAUGUACGUCGCGAAGCUCAACAACGACUGACCAUGGCCAGUGCUCCGGAAACCGUUGUGAUGGUCACUCAACGUCAACAAGGCCCUUAGAUCUCUACUGGUGGCUCUUCUCAUACUAAGGUCACAGACACUCAUCUGGAGCAUAAAUGCACUCACUGUGGUGGAAGUAAACAUACCCGUGCUGGUUGUUACGAAUUGAUUGGGUGCCCAGAUUGGUGGGACCACUCCAAAGCUCCCCCCAAGAAUAGGAGCAAAUCACCCAACACAUCUUCUGACUCAGAUCUUGUAAGUCCUGCUGUUUCAACUACAUCGGCUCUCGCCUCUGCAUCUGUAGCCAUAACAGGUAACCAAGGUUAUGUUUUACAUAGUUCUUCAAAGAAACAUACAUGAAUUAUUGACACCGGAGCCACUGAUCAUAUGACCUUUGAUCCUGGACAAAUUGCCUCUCAUACACCGUCUCCUCAAUCAGUGGUGUCUAAUGCCAAUGGUACCCUAUCCCCUAUAAUUAGGGAGGGUUCACUCUCUCUCUUUCUAAUUCUUUCAAUUUGGAUUCUGUGUUGAUUAUUCCAUCCUUACAUCAUAAUCUCUUGUUUGUUGCCCAAAUUACUAAGGCUUUGAAUUGCACUGUAACCUUUUGGCCUACUCAUUGUGGUUUUCAGGACAUUCUCAGUAACAAGACAAUUGGUUGUGGUACUAGGAGGGGCAAACUUUACUACUUGGACUUAGCAUCUGACAAUGAAACACACUACCGAAGUAUGGUUAUGGCAUCGGCGUCUUGGAUAUGCUUCGUUUGGAUAUUUACAGAAGCUAUUUCCUCCCUUAUUUUCCAAUUUAGAUAUUUUCAAUUUUAAGUGUGACAUUUGUGAAUUGGCCAAGAGCCAUCGUGUUCCUUUUCCCUUAAGUUCAAAUAAAAGUUUAGUUCCAUUUUCUCUUGUUCAUUCUGAUGUUUGGGGCCUUGCUAAAAUUACCACUCCAGGGGGAGCUCGAUGGUUUGUCAUGUUUAUAGAUGAUUGCACCCACAUGACCUGGGUUUCCCUUCUAUAAAAAAAAGAGGAAGUCAGUUCCAAGUUUCAAUAGUUCUAUCAAAUGGUGGAGACUCAGUUUCAUGCUAGAAUUCAGAUUCUUCGUUCUGACAAUGACAGAGAAUUUCUUGACCAUGAUCUUAACAAGUUCUAACAAGAUCAUGGCAUCAUACAUCAACGCUCAUGCCCCUACACUCCCCAACAAAAUGGAGUCCCUGAAAGAAAGAACAUACAUUUAUUGGAAGUAGUUCGUGCCUCUCUCUUUGGUGCCAAUAUGCCUUGAUCUUUUUGGAGAGAAGCCGUCGUCUCUACAGCAUACCUCAUCAAUCGGAUACCUUCCAGUAUCCUAAAUUUCCAAACACCACUUCAAACGCUUCACCAUCAUAUCCAAAUACCUCCUACCCCAAACCUAGAACCCUGUAUUUUUGGCUGUGUUAUAUUUGUCCAAUUACAUGAUCACCAACGAAGCAAAUUAGAUCCCCAAGCCGAGAAGUGUGUUUUCAUUGGCUAUGCACCUCAUCAGAAAGGAUACCGAUGUUAUCAUCCUCCUAGUCAGAAGGUCUACAAUUCCAUGGAUGUUGUGUUCCAGGAACAUGACUUAUAUUUUUCAGCAGUACAUAAGGAGAAUCAAGAAUCCACCACUCCUCAAAUUGUCGAUUUUUUCCCCAAGAUGUCACUCUGCUUCAAAACGACCGGUCGCCAAUGGAAAGCGACCGGUCGCCCCCCCUUAGGUCUUCAAACAUGGAGAACUUGCUUCCAAAUGACUGGUCGCCAGAAGACAACAAAUGGUCGCUAGAGGAAAAUUAUCAGUUGUCUCCACGCUAUCAAAAUCAGGAGGAGGAAAUUGAACCGUUUAUGAGAUUUUGCCCGCUUUAGUUCCAGUACCACACCAAUCACCUGCUAAGGAAGUCAUUCAGGUAACAUCUUUCCCUGAAACUGAUAACACUAAUGAAAUAUCCCAUGAUGAUUGAUUUCAGAAGGCAUAGAGGCUACAUGUCAGCUUCCAGAAAGGAAGAAUCGUGGCAAACCUCGAGUACAAUAUGAAGCAAAUCUUAAAGCCAAGGGAAAAUACCCCAUCAAUAAUUAUAUAUCUCUCAGUAGAUUAUCAGAGUCACAUGUGCACUAUGUGAAGUUGUUGGCUAACAUAUCUGUCCCCAACAGUGUGACUGAAGCAAUAGAAGACCCAAAAUGGAAAGAAGUCAUGAAUGAAGAAAUGCGAGCUCUGCAAAAGAAUGUCACAUGGGAACUCGUGCCCUUACCUCAUGGAAAGAAGACAGUAGGAUGCAGGUUUUUUUAUAUUGUGACACUCAAAGCAGAUAGAUCCAUUGAAAGAUAUAAAGCUAGAUUGGUGGCGAAGGGGUGCACACAGAGAUAUGUGAUAGACUACCAGGAGACCUUUGCCCCAGUAGCCAAGAUUAACACUAUUAGAGUCAUAUUUUCUCUAGCAGCAAAGCUCGAAUGGCCACUACAUCAGUUUGAUGUCGAAAAUGCAUUCUUACAUGGAGACUUGGAAGAAGAAGUAUAUAUGGACUUACCCCCAGGAUGUAAUUCAGCUCUUGACAAGAAGAAUCAAGUUUACGAGCUCAAAAAGUCAUUACAUGGGUUAAAGCAAUCUCCUAGGGCAUGGUUUGGCAGAUUUAUUAAAUCUAUGAAGAAUUUUGGAUAUAAACCGAAUAAUUCAUCACACCCUGUCCUUGAAGCGUGAUGAAGGAAAACUUAUUGCAUUGAUUGUUUAUGUAGAUGACAUAGUCGUACUGGAAACGACGCAUGAGAGCAACUGAAGUUGCAAAAGUAUUUGUCUUAGGAAUUUGAGAUGAAGAAUUUAGAUGAUCUGAAGUACUUUCUCGGAAUCGAAGUAGCAAGGUCAAAAACUGGUAUAUUUCUGUCUCAAAGGAAGUAUGUAAUGGAUCGACUCACUGACACAUGAAUGCUUGGAUGUAAGCCUGCUGACACACCCAUUGAUAUGAAUCACAAGUUGUGUGAAGAUAUGAACCAAGAACCAACCAAUAUGGAACAGUACCAACGCCUUGUUAGAAGGUUGAUAUACCUGGCAUACACAAGACUAGAUAUUGCAUAUGCUGUGAGUGUGGUUAGUCAGUUUAUGCAUUCACCCAGUGUUUCUCAUAGAAAUGCAGUUGAUCGGAUCUUAAGAUACUUAAAGUUAGCCCCUAGGAAAGGAUUAAUGUUCUAAAAAAAUGGAGAUCUUGAAGUUGUUGGAUAUACAGAUGCUGAUUGGGCUGGUUCCAGUACAGAUAGACGCUUUACUUCUGGUUACUUUACAUUUGUUAGAGGUAACCUAGUCACUUGGCAGAGUAAAAAAAUAAAAUGUGGUUUCUCAGUCUAGUGCAGAAGCAGAGUAUUGAGGAAUGACUCAAGGAGUCUGUGAAUUAUUGUGGAUCAGAAGACUCUUGACAGAAUUGAGCUUCAAGCUAGAAAAGCCAAUGGAGUUGCAUUGUGACAACAAGUCAGCUAUCGAUAUUGCCCAUAAUCCAAUUCAACAUGAUCGAACCAAAUAUGUUGAGGUGGAUAGACAUUUCAUCAAAGGAAAAAUUGAUAAUAAGAUCAUCUGCCUACCAUUCGUAAAAUCAGAAGAUCACCUGGCAGAUGUCUUAACAAAAGCUAUUUGUGAAAGAGUAUUUCAUGACUCACUUACCAAGUUGGGCAUUGGUGACAUAUAUACACCAACUUGAAGAGGAGUGUUGAAGUGAGUCUCCUAAUUAAUCAAGGAGAUGUAUUUCCUUGAUUAAUUAAGGGAUUUACUUUCUUGUUUUAUAUAGUUGACAAAUCAUUGUAUAAUUAGGAGAUACUAUCCUAAUUGAUUACUGUAUCUAUAUCCUUGUAAAGCACUUAUGUAAAUUCCUAUAUAUAUCUUCUUAUGGAGAAGAAUAAAACUUAACCUAAAGUAUUCAAACCAUAUUCAUAUUUUAGCAAGCUGUAGCCGCACCUUUCUUUUACCGCCCGUUAUUUUUGUGUCUCCGUUGCACCGUCUUCAUUGCAGACCGUCCUCUCCAUUGAGCUCUCUCGUGGCAAGCCACGGCAGCUCCAUUUAUCUCCCUGGGUAGUGAUGGCCAAAUUUCUGUUUCCUCACCGAGCCUCGUCACUACUCACCGAGCAUUCUCCUCACCAGCCUUUAUCUCUCUCAUGCCGUGUAACUCAAGUGGUUUUGAACUAGGGAUGGCAAUGGGUCGAAUCGGGGGUGGGUAUGCCUUUUCCAUCCCCAUCCCGUUUUUUUUCCAAUUCCCACCUUCAUUACUACAAUAUUCAUAUUGGGAAUUUCCCAUCCCAACCUUCAACUGGGAAUGGGUUCCCCUACUUGCCCCAUUACGUACGGAAGAAAAAUCAAUAUAAAACUACUUUUUUUGAAAGAAAAUAAACAGGACUAGAGCAAGACAAUGAGUACAUAUAAUAUAUUAUCUACGUACAAUGUUUACAUAUUGACUAGGAAGUUAACUAAAUAUAUAAGUAGUGUAGCGUAAGAUUUGUAUAAAUUUUAUAAAUAUAUAAUAUAAAACUUAGUCGGCACAAUCACUUUAAUAACAUAUUUAAAUAUACUAUAUUCUAAAUAGGGAGGGUUCGGGUCGGGGAUUAAAAUACCGUCCCUCCCCCUCCCCUAACACCAUAUCCAAAAAAUUGACAGUACCUGCCCUCAUACCCGUUUGUUAUCCUUCUUACCCGACCAUUAGGGUCGAAUCCAUGUGAAGACCCUUACCCGUGGGAAAAAUUGCCAUCCAUAUUUUGAACAGUUAUCUUCCUUGCACUCGAGAUUCUGUGUUUGAAUCUCACCCACCCAAUAUCGAUCGCUUUUAUUUUUAAAAAAAAAUAGAGACUAUCUCGUGUAUAUAUAAUAUAUCUCAAUCAUUCAUCAAGUUUGAAUCUCAAUAACAAUUGGUUGUUGUAAGAACGUCCAACAGAAUUAACUAUGAAGAUUUAUUGGGGUGCAUAGAGUAAUUGGACUGUCUUGGCUUUAUGGGGCUCCUAUCUAUUAUAGGGGGGAUUCUUAUCCUGGUGUAUGAUUUUUGUUUGUAAAAUCACCCCAGUUGCCCUUCAAUAUGAUGGUAGAUUGACCUUGCGAAGGCUAUAUCUAAAGGAAAAGCACAGAGCCAUGCCACUAGAAUACAGAUUUUUGUUUUGUAAAUUUUUUAUUAAGUUAUUCGGUGUUGAUUUUUCAAGUACUUAGCAUGAAAAAAAAUGAAAUAGAAUGAUUUUUUUCAUUAAAAAAACACUUUUGAAUGAAGCCAAUUUGGCCAUCUAAAAAGAUUCUGUUUUAGCGGAUAGCUAGUAACUUUCUUUCUGUCCAAACUAGACGCAUAACUAAGUCCAAACGAUAAGACUUGUCGGAUUGGGAGGCUCUCCCUCCCUCCUUCAACUUUUAUGUGUGUGUGUGCGUGCGAUUAGAACCAAAGAGAGAAUGGAUUUCUUUUGUUUUUGUAUGGUCCUGCUAAGCCUUUUCUCUGUGUUAUUGUUCUCAAUUACUCAAGCUCUGCAAAGCAAAGCCAAUCCCAAAAGGCAUCUUCUCCCACUUGGACCAAAGCCAUUUCCCUUCAUUGGCAAUCUUCUAGAACUUGGAAACAAACCCCAUCAAUCUCUCACCAAGCUUUCUCAAAUCUAUGACCCCAUUAUAACUCUGCAACUAGGCUAAGUAACAACGGUGAUUCUUUCUUCACCAAACACAGCCAAACAAGUCCUCCGAACCCACGACCAAUUCUUGUCCAACCGAACCAUCCCAGAUGCAUUUCAAGCCUAUGACUUUCGCCAGGACAGCCUGCCAUGCAUACCACCUUCGGCCAAAUGGAGAAGCCUUCGACAAAUAUGCAACUCUCAAUUGUUCGCCGCCAAAAUCCUCAAAGCCAACCAACCCAACCGCCGCAUAAAAGUGCAAGAGCUCAUAUCUCAGGUCAACGAAAGUACAGUCAAUAGUGAGGCGGUAGUUAUUGGAAGGGCCGCUUUCACUACGCUCAUUCUGCUGUCUCGUAUUGUUUUCUCAGUGGAUUUGGCUAACUCAAGUAGCGAGAUGGCCAGGGAGUUCAAGGAGACUGUGUGCGGUUUGAUGGAAGGGGUAGGGACCCCAAACGUGGGGGAAUUGUUUUCCUGUCUUUAGGAAAAUUGACCCCCAGGGCAUUAGGCAGAGCAUGAUCAAACAUUUCAAUUAGAUGGAACAACUCUUUGACUGCAUGAUUAGCCAAAGAUUGGCAUCAAGAAAAGCCCAUGAUUAUGUCAGAACCAAUGAUAUGCUGGAUACUCUUUUGAACAUCAGUGAAGCGAAUAGUGAGGACAUGGACAAGACCAAAAUUCGACAUAUGUUUCUGGUUAGUUAUUUUGUCUUUGCUCAUCAUUAUAGUUAAACUACUAUAUCAAUUAAUUUAAUUUACAGAGAGAAGGGAUUCAAACUUAAGUGCAAAGAGUUGGCGAACUGGCCUGGCCUGGCCUGACCGUCUACUCUCGUUAGGUGUUUUUUAUUUUGGUUUUUAAUCCCAUUUUGUUUUUCUGACUUGUUAUGUUAAAAAGGCUCUAUUUGCCGCGGGGACUGAUACAACUUCAGCCACAUUGGAAUGGGCCAUGGCUGAGCUGCAACGCGACCUUGAAAAGCUGUCAAAAACUCAACAAGAGCUGGAGCAAAUCAUUGGCAAAGGAAAACCAGUAGAAGAAGCAGACCAAAAUAAUGGUUUUUUGCUUGGCAUUGCAUGUCAAUUGGCAUGCUCGUGCUUGAAUUUUAUUAUUUUUUAAAUGGCUAUGAUUGAGUCAAAACGACGCUUGACGGGAUAACAUUUAGCAUGGGUUCAUAGAGCCAGUACAUUUUACGGGCUUGCUACGACCUUUUUACUUAGCGUGUUGCAUAUUUGCUUGGCGUGGCACGUAGAUUGCAACUCGCGUGAGAGUGUAUGAUGAACUUUCGCAUGCCCAAAUGGGGGUUUCUUUUUAGUAAGGUGUCGCACUGGGCCAGGAAUAUAUUUGGGCCCACUCUUAGAUUUUUUUGGGCCUCAACACACUCAAGAUUCUGUGUUUGAAUCUCACACACCCAAUAUCGAUCGCUUUUAUUAAAAUAAAAUAAAAUAAAAAAUAGAGACUAUGUCGUGUAUAUAUCUCAAUCAUUCAUUAAGUUUGAAUCUCAAUAACAAUUGGUUGUUGUAAGAACGUCCAGCAAAAUUAACUAUGAAGAUAGUUUUUUCUUUGAGGAAGGUUUAUUGGGGUGCAUAGAGUAAUUGGACUGCCUUGGCUUUAUGGGGCUCCUACCAUUGUUGACAAUGGGGCUACUAAUUAUAUUGGCCGUGUUUGUGUUUAAAUAGCUUGAGAAAAUUUGAAGUUUCUUGCCCACAAAGAGAAUUCUUACAAGAUUUGAUGACCUUAAACAUGGUGCAAGUUAAAAGAACAGUAGGGUUGGUAGGGUUGGUGGUCCUUUGAUUUCUACCCGGCAGCUGUCAAAUUUUUUUUUUUUUUUUUUCUGUUGUUUCAUCCUUGGUUAUAUUAGCCGCGGGCCUCGGCAGCUUCUUUCUUUUCUUUGUAAUUCCGUCUUAAUUUUGGUUAUGCAUGAUAAAAUUGACCUUAAAAUUUUUGUCGUGCAUGAUAAAAUUGACCUUAAAUGGCUUGACCUUUCAAUAAAAAAAACAGUUUAUUCGAUGCACGUUCUCAACACGUCUUUUUCCUUUGUCCAUAAGUAAGAAUUGAUGGGGCUCAUGAUAAGAAUUUAGAUGACUUCAUUUUCGUCAAUUCACACCAGGUGCCUUUCCCAAUCUGUCUUUGAUGAGAUUGGACAAAUAACUUUAAUGGACCAAUAUGAUUUUAUCUUGGUAUGACAAUAUUUAUAUGAUAUUUGGCACUGACCGUGUAUAGAAGGACAAAUUUGAUAAAAGCUUCCUUACCAAAAAUGGCUUGUAAUAGCUGCUUUGAAUUAUUUUGUGUGAUGCGGUUGCAUUAUUUGGUUAGUGCCUACCCAAAUUUUCUCAAAUGUCUUUACCUAAGCAAGUUGUUCUCAAAUGUCUUUACCUACGUUUGUCUCUUAGCUUUUAGGGGAUAUAUAUAAACAACUUAAAAGAGUUGGUCCUGAAAAUAUAUUUUCAUGCUUUCUCGAUAAGUCUCAACAAGAAUAUUUAUAUGAUAUUUGGCACCGACCGUGUAUAGAAGGACAAAUUUGAUAAAAGCUUCCUUACCAAAGAUGGCUUGUAAUAGCUGCUUUGAAUUAUUUUGUGUGAUGCGGUUGCCUUAUUUGGUUAGUGCCUACCCAAAUUGUAUUAUUUGAGUAAGGAAAAUUGGCAUAUAUAUCACCUGAAAUUUUAGGCAUGUGUAGAAUUACUAUUUUAAAUUUUAAUUUUAUUAACCACAUGAACUAUGUAAAGUGUUGAAAUUUACUACCUACGCCUAACUCCGUUAAAUUUUUUCGUCAAAUCAAGUCACAUAAUGCAAAUGUGAUUUUUAAGGGCAUUUAUGUCAAUCAAUAUACACAUAAAUUUAGAAAAUUUAAAAACUAACAGAAUUUAAUUUUAAAUGAAAAAAAAAAGUAGGAAAACUAACCUAAUAAUUUCACAAACUUCCCCACCUCCUUCCAACACCUAUUCUCCCCCACCAAAAUAAAGUGAACAUUUUCUCUGUGAAAUUGAGUUAUUCUUGGUCGAUGGUUGAGGCCAAUCUUCUUCUUUCUUCUUCUUUUUGUUUUUUCUGAAAAUUUUGGUGUUAGUUGCUUCACUAGGCUUAUAUCUCAUACGUCCUGCCUCUUAAAAUUGCUUGGCGCUUUCGAUAAAAAAACAGUUUAUUCGAUGCACGUUCUCAGCACGUCUUUUUCCUUUGUCCAUCAGUAAGGUUGCCGGUCUAGUUCUUUCGAUUGAUGGAGCUCAUGGUAAGAAUUUAGAUGACUUCAUUUUCGUCAAUUCACAUCAGUUGCCUUUCCCAAUCUGUCUUGAUGAGAUUGGACAAAUAACUUUAAUGGACCAAUGCGCGCAAGCCAUAUGAUUUUAUCUUGGUAUGACAAGAAUAUUUAUAUGAUUUUUGGCACCGACCAUGUAUAGAAGAACAAAUUUGAUAAAAGCUUCCUUACCAAAAAUGGCUGUUAGAGAUUGCUUGUAAUAGGUGUUUUGAAUUAUUUAGUGUUGAUUUUUCAAUUUAAAAAUUGUGUUUGGAAAUCUUGUUGGUUCAAUCACUUUUCUUUCUUUGUUUCUAAUCUUCUACAAAAAAAAUUUGGGGGAGAUGGUAAAUUAAUAUUUCAACAUUUUAAAUAGUUCAAGUGGGUUACUAGAAAAAAUUAAAAAUUCAUGAGGUAAUCCUGUACACACCUUAAAUUUCAAACGAUAUUUGUUCAAAUUUCCAUUUGGGGUAAAUAGAGAUGGCUUGUCAAAGCUUCCACCCGUGACAGCUAAGUCCAGACCCAAAUUGUUCUCAAAUGUCUUUACCCACGCAAGUUGCUCCGAAAUGUCUUUACCUAAGUUUGUCUCUUAGCUUUUAGGGGAUAUAUAUAAACAACUUAAAAGAGUUGGUCCUGAAAAUAUAUUUUCAUGCUUUCUCGAUAAGUUAGGCGAGAGAUGGAUUUCUUGAGUUGCAUGCUAAUAUGUCUUAUGGUUGGCUGGAUCUCAAUCCAUGCCCUCUAUUAUUCAUUUGCAAGAACAAGUCCCAAUAAGCUUCCGCCUGGACCAAAUCCACUUCCUUUCAUUGGAAAUCUUCUAGAGCUUGGAAACAAGCCCCACCUCUCCCUAACCAAGCUUUCACAACGCUAUGGGCCCAUUAUGACUUUACAUCUUGGCCAAAUCACGACCGUCGUGGUUUCUUCAUCCGCCAUAGCUAAACAAGUCCUCCAAACCCAUGACCAAUUGUUUUGCAACCGAACAGUAUUAGAUUCAGUCCAAGCCUGUAAACAUGGCGAGAACGGCAUGCCCUGGAUACCUGUUUCAGCUAAGUGGAGAAACCUUCGCAAAAUAUGCAACUCCCAAUUGUUCGCCACCAAAGUUCUCGACGCCAGCCAAGGCAACCGCCACCUAAAAGUGCAAGAGCUCAUAGCUGAUGUCCAUGAAAGCGUUGUAAAAGGUGAUGCAGUGGAGAUUGGAAGAGCUGCUUUCAAAACUACGCUCAAUUUGAUGUCGCGGACUGUCUUCUCUGUGGAUUUAGCGGACCAGAAUAGUGAGAGGGCUAGAGAGUUCAAGGAGCUGGUGCGGAGUAUUAUGGAAGAGAUUUCGAAACCAAACUUGGCUGACUAUUUUCCAGUGCUUAAAAAGAUUGACCCCGUGGGGAUACGGCGCCGUUUGACUCGUCACUUCCUGAAGAUGUUUGACCUCUUCGAUCGCUUGAUCAUCCAAAGAAUGGAAUCAAGAAAAGCACCUGACUAUAUCAUGACCAGUGAUAUGUUAGAUACCCUUAUAAACAGUAGUGAAGAGAAAAAUGAGGAUAUGGACAUGGUUGAAACUCAACAUUUGUUCCUGGUUAGUGGCUAUCUAUAUAUACUCUAGCUCUCUUGUUCUUUAAUCUUGAUAACUUUGUUUCAAUUGAUACUAAGUUACUAACUAGUGAAUAUAUGUAUAGAUUGCUUAGAUUUCAAAAUUAAUUAUGAAUACUAUACAUUUUCGCUUUUGUUUUUGUUUUGUUAAUUGCUAUUUGUACCAUCUAAACUGAUUAUUUCAUUUGCUACUGUCUCAAUCGGAGGUCAAGUUUACCACGAAAAUGGUAGAUCAGAUGUUGAAUUGAUAUGGUAUAAGUAAUUAUAUUCCUACUAAUUAAUCAAUUUGGUCAAUUAUUAUAGGAUCUAUUUGCUGCUGCCACAGAUACAACUUCAGCCACAUUAGAAUGGGCAAUGGCUGAGCUACUACGCAACCCCGAAAAACUGUCAAAAGCUCAAGAGGAGCUGAAGCACAUCAUUGGCAAAGGAAAACCAGUGGAGGAAUCAGACAUCACUCGGCUCCCUUACUUACAAGCCAUAAUCAAAGAGACCUUCCGCUUGCACCCAGCAGCUCCAUUGCUAAUUCCUCGCAAAGCCGGAGCAGAUGUAGAAAUAUGCGGGUACAUUGUACCAGAGGGUGCACAAGUUUUGGUCAAUGCAUGGGCCAUAGGCAGAGACCCCAGCAUCUGGGACAACCCAAACUCGUUUAUGCCGGAGAGGUUCUUGGGAUUGGACAUAGAUGUUACAGGGAGGAACUUUGAGCUUAUCCCAUUUGGUGGUGGACGGAGAAUUUGUCCUGGGUUACCAUUGGCAAUGAGAAUGCUGAACUUGAUGUUGGGGUCACUUCUUAACUGCUUUGAUAACUGGAAGCUUGAAGAUGGGGUUGCACCAGAGACCAUGAACAUGGAAGACAAGUUUGGCCUCACUUUAGAGAAGGCUCAGCCCCUAAUAGCUGUGCCCAUGACAUAGGAGAUCCUAGCUAGCUAUUGGUUUUUACGUACAUUAAUAAAAACCAUGCACUGUAUCCUCCUACUUAUCAAGUUUGAAACUCAAUAAUGAUCAAUUGUUGUGAAACUGUUACUGUCACCCAUUGGUUUAACUAUGAUUAAUUACUGCUACCCAUUGGUUUAAUAAACGCAAUUUUUUUUUUCUCCAAUUAUCUAUCUACUGUCUCCUACAGUAUUAAUAAUUUAUUAAUCCCACUAAAACUAAACUUUUGAAUUAACAACAGUGCUUUUAGUCGACAAAAAAAGACGUCUACGGCUUAAAACCAACAUGUAGUGGUGUAUAAUCAUCAAUCUCGCUCAUUUACGAAAAUCAUCAAUUUUGGCUUGAGCUCACGGCCCAAGUCUAUAUGAGCUUGGGCCGUACUCGUAUUGGGCCAUUAAAUAGGUCGAUAUGAGCAUACGCUAAAUUUGACUUAUGUAUUGUAUUUUUUUAUAAUUUUUUUUACAACUGAAUUUAAAUCUUUUUUUAUAAUUAUGUAUAUACUAAAGAUUUAGGAUUUGUUAAAAAAAAAAGGUCAAUAACUUUAUUUAAAGUACAUUUAAAUAGAAAAUUGCUAUAUUAUUGUUUGGGUUUUAAAAAUUGAAACUUGAAAAAUAAAAUUAUUAUUUUAUAUAUAAAGAAAACAUUAAUUUUUAAUAUAUACUAGCCUCUCCACACGCGCUUCCGCGCUUGCUAGAGGCUUUUUUUAAAAAAAAUUUAAAUUUAUUUUAGAAUUAAAAAAGAUAAUGGGUAGUUGUAUUCCAUAAAAAUAGAAUCCAUUAUCUUAUUUUUCUUUUAUUUUUCUUUUUUUUAAAUAUGAAAAAUUGUGAAUUUACUAUAUUAUCCUCAUUUAAUUAAUAAUUUCAAUUCUUAAUGUUUGCAUUAACCAAGUACAUUUUAUGGUAUUUUGAAUGUUUUACCAUUAUUAGCCUUUUGCUUUAUAUAUAUAUAUAUAUAUAUAGAUUAUUAGAGAAUAGAAAUAGUCUUGAAUUUAAGAUAUAUUUAAUAAUAUUAUAUAUUAUUUUUCUCUAAAAACAAGUAUAAUUUAAUAAAUGGGCUUUAAACAAGCAGGCCUAUUGGAUUUCGAGCUGGUACAGUCUGCGACAGGUUAGGAGCCCGCCCGGCCCAUUAGACCUAAUUACUUAGUCCCGACACGACCCAAAGAUAUGAACCAUGAUGUAUCAUGUCUAUCUUAAGCAGACUAUGUUCGUGCUAUGUCGGGUCGGCCCAGUUCAUAUGACACCUCUAUGAGAGAGUUUCGUGACACAAAUUGUUGACUUUCUAUAGCUACAAUUAAGAGCUGAACAUCAUGUCGAAUCAUAAUAUUUUAUUACUUUGUUUGAUUUGACUGACAUAUAUUAAUUCUCGUAUUUGUAUUUGUAUCUGUAUAAGAAGUGUAUAGCUUGUGUAUUAUAUUACUCAAAAGAAUAACAAUUUCUAAUUACUUUUCAUUUUCUAAAAAAUCAUUAAAAUAUUAUAUUAGCCAAUUUUACACCAUAUUGUUCCAACUCAACAGUAUUUCCAUUCCUGAAUCCAAAUCCAAGCUUUGUGUAAAUACAUAAGGCAAGGCCUUGCAAAUGUAAUUAUAAGUCCUUAACAGCAAGCAAGUAUUGAGCAAUUCCAUCCUUCCUUCUCACAAGCGAAUCCUUAAUAGAUCCUGAAAGAGAAUUUUUUUCGCCAGUUACUGAUCAGUAUUUUCAGUUAGGUAUAUGAUGAAGGCUAGGAAAAUCAAGAACAAAAAUAACUUAACCUUUGAAUCCAACAAUAGCAACAUUCUCUACAUCCAUAUUAUUUAUCUCUCACCUCAUAUCAUGUCUUCCUGCAUCAGACAAUAGCAAAGAAUAUAUCAAGACAAAACAUUGAAUUUAAAACUAAAUAUUAUUCUUCAUUUUCUCAGUCAUAUCAAACAAAAAAUAAAUCAUUUCCGAAACAAAAAAAUAGAUCUGAGAUACAUGUGAGUAAGAAAGUCUUAGAGAUUCAGAUCUAAGUUCAAUUGUGAGCCGAUAAAAGCCUCAGAAAAUCCAUGCAGGCCAUUCCAAAUCCAAAACCUAACAAUAAGAAGAAAGAAAAGACAUAAUGGUGACAAGCAAGCAAAACCAUUGACCAGCCACCCAUGACAAGACUCGACCCAAAUUCCGUUUUGGAAUCCGAGCCGGACCCUGUGCGUGUCCGACACCUGACGGAUGCCGGGCUCGAAUAGCCUAAUUGCCCUUCCCUACAAAGCACGAUAAAAUAACAAGGUUGACUUCUACCGAAAAUUCGGCAGAAUCUCCCUUGUAACUGGAUCAAUACCAAAACAUUUACACUUGCCAAACAAACAUAAAUACACAACCAACUGCCAAUAUAUGUAUACAUACAUUUCAACAGUUAAAUUCUAAUUCUAGGGCAAAUUAUAAGAGCGACUACUAAGAAUUUACAAAGGAGUCAAUCCUUUUACAAAAAAUAAAGUCCUACAUCAGAAAGGAAAGCGCGGAAGGUGGAAAAGGGCCCGGUGGUGGAUCACUGUGCACGCCUACUGCUUGGGGGCGCAAAACAUUAAAAAGGGUGAGUGGACUCAAAAAAACAAAGUUUGGAAAAAUACAUAUGAACAUACUAACCCCACUGUAAAAACACUUAUACAAACUAAAUUAUUCUCUUUAUUAUAUUCGUACUGAAAUCAAUGCACUUAUAUAAUUAUACAUAUAUAUACCAAUCAUACUCAUGGUCAACAUUAAUUUCUUAAAAGCAUUGAAAACAGUUUAAAACUACCACCUAAGUGUACCCCUUAUUUCCGUCAAUUCCUAAUAUCCGUCAAUUCCUCGCAUCACCAUGGAUGACACGUACUCAUAGGUCUCAGUGAUACAAGGUCAGUCUGAGCUGCAACUCGCAGGAUUCAGAGGACCGUAGUCAGCCUGAUUCGCAUUACUCGCUCCACACGAGUUCGGGUACCAUAGAACUCAUGGGGCAACUGUCAAGGAUGCUGACUAAACCGAAGGCAACCAAUAAAAUCCGAAGGCAACAUUUGAUCUGAAGGCAACUUAUUUACCAAAGGCAACAUCUGUAUAUCUGGCUACCUAAGGUGGUUUAGGAAAAUAUAAAGUUUCUGAAGAAAAUCUGCUAAAUAAGUGAAUUUCUGUAAACUCUAAAACUCUGCUGCCAUUUAUCUGAUAAUUAACUAGAAUUUCUUUUCCUAUAUCCUUUAAAGGAUAUUCCACUCGACAUCAUGCAAAACAAAAUAUUAAAAGCAUAUAACGGCUUAUAAAACACUAAUAUUUGAAUAAAACUUAUUCAAGAUCAAAUACUGUAACUGAACUGCUUAAAGUCAUUUAUAAAAACAAAGAGUCCACUCACUGAUGGUCCGUGCUCACUGGACCCCUUGAAGGUCCCUCAUACGGGUCAACUAGUGCCCGGGUGUCUGAUUCAAUGACCAUAAUAUUCUAUUAAUACAAUACUCAAUAUAGUAUUCAUUUAAAAACCCUGACCCCUGGCUCCAAGAAGUACGUGCGUCAGAUUAAAGUUGUUCCUAUGCCCAUAAAAGCUUUCCUUCCAAUUGGAAUAGUUUAGCAGUAUCUUGGGACUCAAAAAGUGCUAAAGUCCCAAAAAGUCAACCCGGGACCCCGCGGGUCCACGACCUCACAAUUAUGAUCCGGAAGCCUCUAGAAGUUCCAAUAUACCUAGGACACAUGUUCCGAGGGUUUGAUCUCAAUCGGACGGUCGGAUUGAUCACGAUCGUACAAUCGCACGAUUUCUAAACCCUAGCCCUAGGGUUCGCGAUUUCAGAGUAUCCGAAACUCUGAUUCACAAUCUGUCGUAUCCUAAACAAUCCUGCAAUUGUCUAGAUGAACAUAUCUGAAAAUGAUUACAAUCCAACGGCUCAACAGUAUUGAACCCGAAAAUCGCACAAUAUGCAAAAAUCUGUUCGAGGCUCAAACGGUAACCAAAUUGAGAUCCGUGAAUUCCUACGCGCUCGUGACAACACGAGGAUCAUUCUAGGAUUGAAAGUGUGCUCCAUAAACUGCCCACGCGCCGCCACACGCUCCGGCAGGGCGUGGGUGGCUUGAUAAUUUCUGGCGGUUGAAAAAUCUCCAAACCGCUGGCCCAAACUCCUGUCCUAAGUAAAACACCAUAUUUGAAACCACUUUUGUUCUUGGACUUACCCCAAAAACUGGCCGAAAGUGGCCGGAAUUUCAAACUCAAAACCGGUGAAACUUUGGAUCGUGAUUUGAUCUAUCUAGGCUAAAAAUCGUUCCAAUCCUACCCAACCAGCAGCUAAGUCAUGAAAAAGAGGUAAAGAUUCAUACCUUACUCGACUGAUUUGGUGGCCAGAGGAGAGAGCUCGAAAGCUUGGAAGUUUUCUCAAAAUCGGCUGGGUUUUGGACGUUUUCCGGCGAAAAUCGUGACAGUCAAGUGGCAGGGAAGGUCGGGCUUGGUGGCGGAGCUGACGUCAGUGUGAUUGGGUCUGGUCCAGCGGGUCGGGGCGAGGUGUAGCGGUGGCUGGGUGGUUAUGGAGGUUCAGCUGGGGAAAGGCGCACGGGAAGGAGGCUGCGGGGAGAGAGAAGAGAGACUAAGGGAAAAGGGAGAGAAGUGAGGUUUUUAAAAUCUGAAUUUUCAAAUUACCAUUUUGCCCCUCUACGUAUUUUGACCGUAUCUUCUUCGUUAAAGCUCCGAUUCGAGCCCACUUCUUGUCUACGAACUAGUUUCGUCAUACUCUACGCAACGGUUUGUGUGAAAUUGUCAAAUUCCUUCUCGGUCAAAAAGUCAACUUUUCUUUACUAAAUUAUUCCAAAGGCAAAAUUGUCUUUUCCUCUUGAUAAAUUAAUAAGUAAAUAUUAAUUAAGGUUUGGGUUAUUACAACCCAACUAUCACCAAAAUCAAUUUAGUGACUCAAAAAACUUGACUGUUGCCUUCUUUUUUUUUUGGUUGUUGUUGCUGUUGUUGUUGUAGUGAAAAUAAGAAAAAAAACAUUAUCAUUGUCUAGGUUCACCCUUUGACACAGCUCUCAGAGGGUGGGCCAUGUGUAAACUGAGGCCAAACUUGCCUUCCACACUCAUGGUCUUUGCUCUGGUACAACCUCAUCUUGAAGCUUCCAAUCAAAAGAGUCUAUAAGUGAACCCAACAUCAAGUGUAUCAUUCGCAUUGCAAAUGGCAAGCCAAGACAAAUUCUCCUCUAAUGUAGAACAAAUGGCUGAACGGAUUGAAGAAGAAUUGGUGCAAAGAAUGGAAAAAAGACGCAGCAGGAAUUUACAAAUUUGGCGUCCGAGCUCCAAUUGGGUCACAUAAUACCUUCUCGAAAAGGGAACGACUUCCAAUAGAGUGCAAACUUGGAACCAGCCCCAGAAGGAGAACCCGUAUGCUAAGACCAUGACAGAUAUUUGUUAUCGAUGCCAAAAACCAAGGCAUCGUUCCAACGUUUGUCUUGAGCAGAGGCAAGCUAAUUUUAUAAAAGAUGUUGGUGAUGAUGAAGAAAAUGAUGAAGUUGUAGACGAUGAUUAUGCAGGGACUGAGUUUGCAAUUGAGGAGGGAAUAGAAAGGCUUACUUUGGUUUAACAGCGAGUUCUUUUGGCAGCAAAAGAGGAAGGGCAGCGACAUAGCAUUUUCCGUUCUCUUUGUUCAAUCAAAAAGAAAAUCUGUGAUGUGAUCGUAGCACUAGUAAAAAAAACCCUUUGCGCGACCAAAUUUUGCGCGACGAAAAACUAUUCGUCGCUCAAAGUCACUUUGCGCGACGAAACUCAAAACUUCGUCGCUCAAAGUCUUACGCGACCAAAUUUUGCGCGAUGAAAAAUAAUUCGUCGCACAAAGUCACUUCGCGCGACAAACUUUUGCGCGACGACAAUACAUCGUCGCUCAAAGUCUUGCGCGACCAAAUUUUGAGCGACGAAAAAACAUUCGUCGCGCAAAGUAACUUUGCGCGACAAACUUUUGCACGACAACAAUACAUCGUCACUCAAAGUGACUUUGCGCGACGAAACAAUAAACUUCGUCGCGCAAAGUCCUUAUAAAAAUAAAAAAUAUAUAUUUUUAAAUCUUUGCGUGACGUAAUCCAAACAUUUCGUCGCCUAAACCAAUUUAUUUUUGUUUUUUAUUUUGUAUGCAUAACACUUAAGAAAUUAAACAGUAUAUAUAUUUAUUAAGUAGCUUUAAAUUUAUUAUUUUAGAUCGAAUCGGAUUUUUGUUAGAAAAAUAUAUUAUUGUUGUUCAGAUUGAGUUUUUGUUAGAAAAUAUAUAUUUUAAAUUGACAAUCGAAUUAGUUCAUUGUAUUCAUAUAAGGUCAAGGAGUGUAGCUGUAAAAAAUCAUCAAAAUCGGAGUUAAAAUAACCGUUAAAUCGUGAUUUUUUAUUAUAACCAUCGAAAAGUUUUGUCCCAUUACUUGAUCUCUGAAUGUUUAUUUUUUUCGAUUUUUGGCGUAUAUGAUCUCGAAGUAUAAACAAACAAGUUUGACAGUUGGAUCGUUGAAACUAGUUUUGGUGAAUGUAUAUGCCAUCAAAACAAUAUAUUCACUAACAAUUAAGAGUUUAUUUAUACGUUCGUUAAAUAUAACAUAAGAUUUUGUGGUAUCCACUAGUGUAAAUAUUUUAUAUUGAAGAUCAAAUUAGUUAUUGUAUUCAUAUAGGGUCAAGGAGUGUAGCUGUAAAAAAAUCAUCAAAAUCGGAGUUAAAAUAACCAUUAAAUCAUGAUUUUUCAUUUAUAACCGUAAAAAAGUUUUGUCCCGUUACUUGAUCUCUGAAUGUUUAUUUUUUCCGAUUUUUGGCGUAUAUGAUCUCGAAGUAUAAACAAACAAAUUUGACGGUUGGAUCGUUGAAACUAGUUUCGUAGAAUGUGUAUGCCAUCAAAAUAAUAUAUUCACUAACAAUUAAGAGUUUUUUUUUAUACUUUCGUUAAAUAUAACAUAAGAUUUUGUGGUAUCCACUAGUGUAAAUAUUUUAAAUUGAAGAUCAAAUUUUGUCAUUGUAUUCAUAUAUGGUCAAUGAAUGUAGCUGUAAAAAAAAUCAUCAAAAUCGGAGUUAAAAUAACCGUUAAAUCGUAAUUUUUCAUUUAUAACCAUCGAAAAGUUUUGUCCCGUUACUAGAUCUCUGAAUGUUUGUUUUUUGCGAUUUUUGGAGUAUACGAUCUUGAAGUAUAUACAAACAUGUCUGAUGGUUGGAUCGUUGAAUGGUGUGUGUAUAUAUAUUUAUUUAUUAAGUAGCUUUAAAUUUAUUUAUUUUGUACGUAUAACACUUAAGAAAUUGAAUAGUAUAUAUAUUUAUUAAGCAGCUUUAACCUUAUUUAUAUUUUAAAUUGUAAAAUAAAAUUAUUUUAUUUUUAUUAUUCAUAACAAUUAUUUUUAUAAAUAUUGUGCUACGAACCAAUUUUUCGUCUCUCAAAACUUUGCGCGACCAACAGUUUGUCGCGCAAAACUCUAAAAAUUUGGACGGGUACCAAAAAUGGGACGCGGGAUUUAAAAAAAAAAAAAAAUUUAGACUUUGCGCGACCAAUAUUUUCUGUCGCUAAAAACUUUGCGCGACCAAUAUAUAUUUUUUGUCUCGCAAAAAUUUGGGCGGGUACCAAAAAUCGAACGCGGGAAUUUUUUUAGACUUUGCGCGACCAAUAUGUAUUUUUCGUCGCGCAAAAAUUUAAAAAUUUAGGGUACCAAAAAUGGGACGCGGGAUUUUUUUAAAAAAAAAAAAUUUAGACUUUGCGCGACCAAUAUUUUUUGUCGCUCAAAACUUUGCGCGACCAAUAUAUUUUUUUCGUCUCGCAAAAAUUUGGGCGGGUACCAAAAAUCGGACGCGGGAAUUUUUUUAGACUUUGCGCGACCAAUAUGUAUUUUUCGUCGCGCAAAAAUAUAAAAAUUUUGGGGGGUACCAAAAAUGGGACGCGGGGAUUUUUAUUUUUUUAAAAUAAUUUUUUUUAGACUUUGCGCGACCAAUAUUCAUAUAUUCGUCGCGCAAAAGUUUGCGCUACCAAUAUUCAUUUUUCGUCGCGCAAAGUGAUACGGUUUUUAAAACCGAAAUAACUCCACCAUUUUCUCAAUGUCUUUCUCUACUCUUACCUCUCCUUUCUCUUUCCCUCUCCCCAAAUCCCACCAUUUCUCUCACUCACUCCUCUCACUUAAUCUCUCAUCUCUCUCUUCACUAUCUCUCACUCUCUCUCACCCACUCUCUCAUCUCUCUCACUCACUCUCUCAUCUCUCUAUCACUAUCUUCUCUAAUUCUCUCACACUCACUUCUCCCUCUCAUUCUCACUCACUCUCAAUCUUGCCAAAAGGUAUAUUCUCUCCAAAUUUUAAAUUUUUUUCAUUAAUAUGUGUUUUUGGAGUUAAUUUUGAGUUUGUGUGGGUUUUGGGGUUGAGUAAAGGGGAGGGAUUGGAGUUUGGGUUGGAUUUGUGGUAUAACAAUUUUAGGGGAGAUUAUGCCUUUUUUUUGUUUUUUUUUUUUGGUUAUUUGACCAUAUUUGUUUUUUUUUUGUAGGGAAUCAUCGAGACUUUGACGGCUAAAGUUGAGGAUUAGGAAGCUAUCAAAACAUAUCCUCCGCCACUACCACCACAAUACGCUUGUAUUAGGAUUUUAUUAUUGUACUUUGUUAAUUUAUGUGUAUAUUUUGAAUAUUAUAUAUAUAUAUUUAUUGGAUAAUUUGAUCACUAUUUUUCAUAUGUAAUUUUAUUUUGAAUAUGUCAAUUUAAAUUAAAGUAAUUAAAAAAAUCAUACAAUUAAAUUAAAUUUAAAAAGUAAAAACUUGAAAAAAUUAAUAUCAAUUUAAAUUAAAGUAAUUUUAAAAAGAAAUCAUACAAUUAAAUUAAAUUUAAAAAAUAAAAUUUUGAAUAAAUUAAUAUAAAUUAAUUAAUAUUAAAGAAAUAAUAAAACAAAAAGUCAAAAACCUUGCGUGACAAAAUAUUUCGUAGCGCAAACUAUUAAAUUAGUUUAUUUUAAAUUAAAAAAAUUUAAAACAAAAAAUAUUUCGUCGCGCAAAUAUUUGCGCGACGUUAGUAUUCGUCGCGCAAAACUCAAAAAAUUUGGGCGGGUACCAAAAAUUGUACGCGGGAAUUUGUUUUUUUUUUAAAUUUUUUUGAAGACUUUGCGCGACCAAUGGUUUUCGUCGCGCAAACCUUUGCGCGACCAAUGUAUUUCGUCGAGCACAACUUUGCGCUACCAAUAUUUUUCGUCGCGCAAAGUCACUUUGCGCGACCAAUAUUUUUUCGUCGCGCAAAGUCACUUUGCGCGACCAAUGAAAAAACUUCGUCGCGCAAAGUCUUUCUUUACGAUCUUUGCACGACGGAUUCUGCGCGACGAAAUUUCUGUCGCGCUGAAAUUUGUGCGACUACAAUGUAUUUUGCGCGACGAAAUUCUCUUCGUCGCGCAAAGUGUAAAAUGUAGUAGUGUAGACAAUGGGAGUUGCAAGAAUUUUGUGUCAAAAAAAUUGGUGGAGCGUUUGCAGCUUCCAACACAGCCAUAUAUCAGCCCUUAUUCACUGAGUUAGGUUAUAAAAGGAUCUUCAGUUCGUGUUACUGAGACUUAUCGUGCGCCACUCUCCAUUGGUAAGCAUUACAGAGAUGAAGUCGUAUGUGAUGUUAUUGAUGUGGAUGCUUGUCAUAUCUUGUUAAAGCGACCUUGGCAAUAUGAUGUGGCUGCAACCUUUAAGGGUCGAGAUAAUGUGAUUUUGUUUUCCUGGAACAACCACAAGAUUGCAAUGGCUACUACAGUGUCCUCAAACAAAUCAAUUGAGCCCAAAACUAAGAGUUUUGGUUUUCUAACUCUGAUCAGCAGCGAGUAAGAGUUAAAUGAGGCAAAAAAGAAGCAUAUUAUUUUUGUCCCAUGGUGUUGAAAGGGCUAUUGAAGGCCAGCAAAGAAGAAAAUGUAAUUCCUAUUGAAGUGCAACAGAUUUUGACAAAAUUUCAGGAACUGAUUUAUGACAAGCUGUCAAACGAGCCAUCGCAUUUGAGAGAUAUACAACACCACAUUGAUUUGGUACCGAGGGCUAGUCUACCGAAUCUGCCACAUUGUCGCAUAAGCCGUAAGGAGAAUUUAAUUCUAAGAGAGCGAAUUGAAGAUUUGUUACAAAAGGGUUUUAUCAGGGAGAGCUUGAGUCCCUGUGCGGUUCCAAUCCUUCUUGUUCCAAAGAAAGAUCAGUCUUGGCGUAUGUGUGUUGAUAGUUAACCAAUCAACAAGAUUACAAUAAAAUACAUAUUUCCCAUCCCAUGGUUGGAAGAUAUGUUGGAUGUGCUUGAAGGCUCUAAGAUGUUUUUCCAAAAUAGAUUUGCGCAGCGGAUACCACCAGAUUCGCAUCAGGCUAGACGAUGAGUGGAAAAUAGCGUUUAAGAGCAAGGAAGGGUUAUACGAAUGGCUGGUGAUGCCGUUCAAAUUGUCAUGGUUUAUUUUGAAAGAAAAUAAGCUAUAUGUGAAUCUGAAAAAAUGUACUUUUUGCACAAAUAAGCUACUGUUUUUGGGUUUUGUGGUUGAUGAGAAUGGUAUCCAGGGGGAUGACGAGAAGAUCAAGCAAUUCUUGACUGGCCAACUCCAAAAACAAUCUUUGAAGUUCGAAGUUUCCAUGGUUUAUCCACUUUUUUUACAGGAGGUUUGUGAGGCAUUUCAGUUCCAUUGUCGUGCCUGUUACUAAAUGUUUGAAGAAGGGUAGGUUCAAUUGGGGAGAAGAGCAAGAAAAAAGUUUUGCUCUUGUAAAAGAAAAACUUUGCACCGCCUCGAUUCUAGCUCUUCCAAAUUUUGAGAAGGUGUUCGAAGUUAAAUGUGAUGCCAGUGGCGUGGGAGUGGUAGCCGUGCUCUCUCAAGAUAAGAGACCAAUUGCUUUCUUUUCUGAAAAGUUGAGCGACGCUCGUCAAAAGUGGAGUACUUAUGACAAAGAAUUUUAUGCAGUUGUUUGGGCUUUGAAACAAUGGAAGCACUAUCUUAUUCAUAAGGAAUUUAUUUUGUUUAUAGAUCCUCAAGCUUUGAAGUAUAUUAACAGCCAGAAACAUAUUGAUAAAAUGCAUGCCAAAUGGGUGACUUUUUUUGCAGAAAUUUUCAUUUGUUAUCAAGCAUACUUUUGGCACCUCAAAUCGUGUGGCUGACGCACUGAGUAGAAGGGCUUCUCUGUUAGUUACUCUUACUCAAGAAAUUGUGGGGUUCAAGUGUCUAAAGGAUUUAUAUGAAGAUGAUGAUGAUUUCAAGGAAAUAUGGGCUAAAUGUGCUAAUCAUGAGCCAAUGGCAGAUUUCUUUCUUAAUGAAGGGUAUUUGUUCAAGGCCAACUUGUUAUGCAUUCCUGUUUCCCCCUUAAGGGAGAAACUCAGUCGGGAUUUACACGGAGGAGGGUUGAGUGGCUACUUAGGCCGCUAUACAACAAUAGUAGGAUUGGAGGAGAGAUUUUAUUGGCCACAGUUGAAGCGUUAUGUUGGAACAAUUGUGCGCAAAUGUUAUAUUUGUCAAGUUUUGAAGGGACAGGUACAAAACACUGUAUUAUACAUGCCUUUACCAGUUCCUAAUGAUAUAUGGCAGGAUCUUGCUAUGGAUUUUGUCCUUCGUUUUGCCUCGAACUCAGAGAGGUGUGGAUUCAGUUUUUAUGGUGGUUGAUCGAUUCUUAAAAAUGGCACAUUUCAUAGUCUGCAAGAAGACUGCUGAUGCAUCUAAUAUAGCCAAACUGUUUUUCAAGGAGGUUGUUCGUUUGCAUGGAGUACCUACAUCUAUAACUUCUGACCGUGAUACAAAAUUUUUGAGCCAUUUUUGGAUCACUUUGUGGGGAAUGUUUGGGACUACUUUGAACAGUAGUAGCACAACCCAUCCUCAAACUAAUGGCCAGACUGAGGUAACCAAUCGAACAUUGGGAAAUAUGGUGCGAAGCAUUUGCAAAGAGAAGCCGAAACAACGGGAUUAUGCGCUGUCACAGGUGGAGUUUGCAUAUAACAAUGCAAUUCAUAGUGCAACCGAGAAGUCACCGUUUUCCAUUGUUUAUACUAUUGUGCCUAAUCAUGUUGUAGAUUUGGUGAAGUUGCCUAGAGGCCAAAAAACCAGUGUUGCAGAGGGAAAUUUGGCUAAAGAAGUGGUGGCUGUUCGUGAUGAAGUGAAGCAAAAACUCGAGCAAACUAAUGCUAAGUACAAAGCCGCUGCAGACAAGCAUAGGCGAGUUAGGGUGUUCCAAGAAGGUGAUUUUGUUAUGGUGUUUCUGAGGAUGGAGAGGUUCCGUGCUGGUACAUAUAGCAAGCUGAAGCCUAAGAAAUAUGGUCCUUACAAGGUGCUGAAAAGAAUCAAUGACAAUGCCCAUGUUAUUGAAUUACCAAAUUCCGUGGGAAUUUCUAAUACUUUUAAUGUUGCUGAUUUGUAUGAGUUUCAUGAAGAUAGAACCCUUUAUCCUAAACAUAACUCGGGGUCGAGUUCUUUAAAGGUGGAGGGGACUGAUGUAGAACAAAUGGCUGAAUGGAUUGAAGAAGAAUUGGAGCGAAGAAGGGAAAAAGGACGCAGGAGGAAUUUACAGAUUUGUCGUCUGAGCUCCAAUUGGGUUGCAUAAUACCUUCUUAGAAAGAGAACGACGCCACGAGUCCAACUCACCACUUUGUUGUGACAUAUGGUAGAUGUUGGGCUUCUGAGGAUGUUUGGCCUUCUAAAAGUGCAUUUAAAGAUUGCAUUCAAUUUAUAGACUUUCCGUUCAUUUUCUGUUACGUUUUCAAUAACUCCCUAGGACAGUCCAAUGGGUGAGAACAUGGUAUUUAGUCAGCCGUCAUGCUUGGUUGAACUUAUCUUGAAUUUUAUCAAAUAAUUCAAAGAGAAUUUCUCUCUACCUUCCUGGUUGAUUUCAUAUUAUUAUUCUUUAGGAUUUUCGCUUGAAAACCUAUUUACUUGUGUUGCGUCAUCCUCCCACCACCAAACGGAAUAAGCUCAAUGCUUUUGCCUAUAACAUCAAUAUCCAUUCCCAAGAACCUCUCCGGCAUAAAUGAGGUAGGGUUGUCCCAAAUGGGGUCUUUGCCAAUGGCCCAUGCAUUCACCAACACCUGCGCACCCUUUGGUACAAUGUAGGCACAAAUUGCUACGUCUGCUUCGGCUCUGCGAGGGACAAAUAGAGCUGGUGGGUGUAGCUGGAAGGUUUCUUUGAUUAUUGCUUGUAAAUAAGGAAGUCGAGCAAUGUCCGAUUCCUCUUAUGGUUUUCCUUUGCCAAUGACUUGCUCUAACUCCUCUUGAGCUUUUGACAGUUUUUUCAAGGUUACGUACUAGCUCAGCCACUGCCCAUUCCAAUGUGGCUAAAGUUGUAUCUUUGCCCGCCACAAGUAGAUCCUAAAUAAAGAAGUGCACAAGGCAUUUACCCCACAUGAGUAUUACUAUUAUGGGCUUCAGCAACACUUACAUUUUUUAAAGCCUUGUGAGGCUAUAUGGGCCCGCCACUUUUCCGAAAAAGGAUACCAAGGUCAGCAUCUACAAAUUCUAUUAAAAAAAACACAAACACACACACAUUUAUAUUUCUCUCCUUCGGCACCUUGCCAAGUUUUAUGCCCUUUGGGAAUUUUCUUUCGACACACAAGUUUCAUGCAAAGUUCCUUCGGUAAUUUCCUUGCUGCACCCAAGUUUCAUGCAAGUGCCUUUGGCACCUUACCAACUUUCAUGCCUUUCGGCAAUUUCUUUGUGACAAGCAAAUUUCAUGCAAGCUUUGUGCCUUCGACAGCUUGUCUUGCGACUUGCAAGCCUCUUUGCCUUCGGCACCCCCGUGCUCUUCAGAACCUUGCCUUGCAACAUGCAAGCCUUGUGCCACAAAGCAAUAGUGCGCGAGUCCCACAACAGCUUUCUUGCACAUGGGAUGUGUUAGCUUCAGUGGGAUCUACCGAAAUUUUUUUGGCCCAAGAAAUAGCUGGACUGCUAUUUGACCCCAAGUUUGGGUUUUCCCAAAUUUUGGCCUCUUCAUUUUAUUUGGUUGGGAGAGGAGUUGGGCUAAAAUUUGAGAUUUUUUGGUUUGUCCUCAUGGGUUGGAGAUGGCCUUACCCCUCUUGACCGUGGUUUGGUGACCCACUUUGUCCUUUGUCAUCAACUUUGUCCAAAAAUUUGUUAAUUAUGAUGACAUGGUAGGGGUAUUUUUGUAAUCUCAUACACAUGGAUCAUUAUCCACCAAUUAAGAGUGUGACGUGAUAAGUAGCCCAUCUCCACAUAGAUAAGAAUAUAAUUAAAUAUUAUAAUUAUUAAAUCUAAUUUUUUAAAAAGAAUUAGACCCCAGCCGCCUCAAUCCUCAACCUCCAUCCACACCCCCCCUCCUCUCCUACAAAUACCCUUGGAAGAAACUGUUAGAAGUGUGCCCUAAGAGCCAAUACAUUUGAUACAAUCUCCUUAGAAUUUCAUAUAUGAUAUAUAAAGGGCAAACUUAUUUUGUUAUCUUUUACAUCAUGUAAAGAAACAAAUGUCCAGGGUAUGCUAAAUAAGAGAUAAGGUAAUCUAAAGAAGAUUAAAUUCGGGAGACCUUUAAUCUCUAACUGUAGUAUUCCAAAAUGUUCCUAAUCAUAGGGUUAUCAAAUGGGCAUUGAUAAACCGUCAAGAUUAGCACAAAUUAUGUAUGCUCAAUUAGGAGGAUGGUUACUUUCAAACCCUUUGCGUAAUUGACACUACUACAAGUAUGUGGGUGCUCAUUACUGAACGUGAUUAACCUUAGUUUUCGUAUGGAGUAUUUAUCUAUAUGUCAAACGAGAACUCAUAGUUGCAAUAAUGCAAAUUAGUUCUUAGACCUGAGGCAUCAUAAUUGUCAUGUGAUGCGUUAUUGAUCUUUAAUAGCUCUCAAAGGCAUGUGUAAAAGAUUUGUCUUAAGUGUUGUUGGGAUCUCUUAAUUCAUCAUAGGGGUAUGUGAAUGUAUAAUAAGGAAUCUCUACCUUCGAUAAAGAAGGAGAAUGUUUCAAGAUGUGAUUCAGCAAAUCUUUGGCUAAAGUUUUUUUAGCUUGAUUUAGAAAGUUAUUCUUAAUUAUGUUCUUUUGAAUCACAUGAGGUUAUAAAUCAUAUUAGGGUUUAACAUAAUCAAUCUGUACCUUAAUAAUAUGAUUUGAAACAUUGUAUAAGAGAAGGACCGUAUUGCAUUGCAGUUCCAACUGAAUGGGUUCUUCAUCUAUUUUGGUUAGCUUGGGUAGCCUUAAUAUAUUGCCAGAUGUCACUCUUGGCUCAUGGAAGUCCUAGGAUUGAUUGUGAUCAAUCCAUAUAAAGGAAGAAUUAAAUGGGGGUUUUAAUUCCAGUUGAUUAGAAAGAGUUUUAAUGUUUUCCCACUCCCUCGCUAAUUAGAAUCUAUACUACUACAAAAAGGGCAAUAGACGACGGGAAUUGAUCGUCGUGUAGCAAGUUUUCUAACCGUCAUGAAAUUGACCGAUAUUUUUUUAAAAACAAAACCAAGACGGCAAAAAGGAGACGUUGUUCAUCGAGAAACAAUGUCAGAAUUAAUAAAAGCCGAAGUAAGUAAAGAAAAUGACCGCCAAAAUAACUAAUGGUGAACGUGUAAACGACUCAAUUUGGGAAACAACCGUCGUCUAAAUCAUAAAACAUGACGUUGUUUAGUAAAAUAUCGCUAGAAAAAAAAAAGCCACCAUGUCAUAAACAAUUAACUGAACGACGUUAAUUAAGACAUUCCACGACACAUUAUAAUAUAUUACGCCACUUUUAUUUCCAGAUAUGAUGUUGUAAAUAGUGUACACCGUCAGUCUUUACUCAGAAGUUGACGUAUUAAAAGAUAUACACGUCUAUUAGUAUAUCAGAGACGACGUUAGGAAAACAUACCACGACACAUCUGUUUCCACAUGGGACGUUUUUAUACAAUAUUUCACGACACAUGGUCACCAAGGAGACGUGAAAACUAUUAAUGACGUCAGUAAAUAUGGGAAUAAACAGGUUCUACGUCUCCUUUACUUUAAACUCUGACAGUGAAAUUAGAUUUACAACCUCGGUUAUUAUAAACACCGUGUUGUAUGUCGUAAUACAAACGUCGCAUAACCUUCGAAGACGACGUGGUUACGCUGUACUACGUCAUCUUUGUUUUUAAAGACGACAUUUGCAUGUAAUAUUUUACGACACAUAGUCACCAAGGAGACGUGAAAACAAUUAAUGACGACAGUAAAUAUGGGAAGAAAGAGGUUUUUACGCCUCCUUUAUUUUAAAUGCUGAUGGUGAAAAAGAACUUACAACGUCGGUUACUGUAAAAAGGUGUCGUAUGUAGUGAUAUAAACGUCGCUAAGCAUAUCAAAGGCGACAUGGUUACUUUGUUCUACAUCAUUGUUAUUUCUAAAGACGAUGUAAUUCAAAUAUUCACCAAGUCCUUAAAGACAUAAAUUGACGUGGUAUGUUGUUAAGACGUUUCUUAAUAAGAGUGUAUCGUCGUGUUUGUGAAGUAAAACGACGGUAUAUGUGUUAUGAGGUCGUGUUAUCCGCUUUUAAAUGUCGUCUUUUUGGGCCUUCUCGUCGUGAUAUCCUGUAACAACGGCUUGUCAUUACCGUUGUUGUUCUAUUAUUAGUGCAGUCUUUUGAGUUAUGUUUUAGACGGCGGUAAGUACAUCGUGGCUAUCUCAUUGGAUACAUACGACCUUUUUAAUAUCCAUUUUUUUAAACAGACGUCUUCUGCAGUUUUUUUCUUUGUUUUUUUUAUAGGUUUUAAGGUCUUCCAUUGCAUGACGUAUGAUAAAAAAACGACAUCUUAUAUUAUUAUGACGUCUGUUUUCGCAAUUUUGUUAACAGGACCGUCGUAUUUUGGUACUUGAACUAGAUGUUUUUGUACUAAAAGCUUUGAGCCCAAACCCUGUAUAAUGAAAGUGAAAACAAUGCAAUACAAUUUCUUACAAAAUUAAUGUCAUACACAGCCAUUUGGGGCGUAAGUAAUGUCAUAAAUUACAAGCAUCAUUCAAUCCAUAUAUCUUCAAACCCAUCUCGAAUAUUUUGACUCCCAGACUCACCGGCUAGUUCAUCAAAUAUUUUGAUUCACAUCACCUAAGACAUCAUCACCAAUAACAUCAUUAUAUUCUCUAUUAGGCAUUGAUAACACUACUGACCAACCAUAACAAAUUUGUCAUUCCCAUGUCCAAUUUUAUUCAGAUCUACAAGGGUAAAUCCAAGUUCGUCGACUACAAGGCCAGAAGUGUUAUCUAUCCAAUCACACCUAAAGACUGUGAUUGUAAACUUUUGGUAAUAAGGUCCCAAAUAUCUUGAAUGACACCAUAAAAAUCCAUAUUUGAGACAAUUGGGUUCUUAUCCUUGGCACUAGCAACUUGCAUAGUAUGUGCAAGUAAAUAAACUCCACUUUUUGAACUGCACGCACAUCAUCUUGUGCCUUGGUGUUAAAUUUAAUACCUUUGAUAAGAUAGCUCCUAUAUGAUGGCACUGCCAUGCUUGGACCAGCUGCUAGCCACCUUAAAUUUUCUGAUACACCAUUAUUGUCUUGCUUAUUAAGUUGACUUUGAACCUGCAAAUAAAUCAUAUCUUAAUUCAAUCUAAUAUAAAAAGAAGAAAAUUAAAAGUGCAGCCAUUGAAUGAAAGAGGUAUUGUGCUUAUCUUGCAGCCACUUUGUUCUCUUUCUAAAUUUUGGAUAAGUGGUCUUGAUGUGGAUCAUAUGUUCUCUACAUAACACGAAAAAUUCAAGCAUUACAAUCCCAAACAUAUAAGAUAAACAUAAGGAAUAUAAUUUAAAAUGACUACUUAAGAAUAAAACUCAUACUCGAUAUAUGGUAACACUUCCUCUGUAUUCUCCAAGACAUAUAGAUGUGCCUGAUUCAACAAGUCCCAAUCAACUAAACUCACUGUGCAACCUGAUAAGGGCUUUGAAAGUCCCAUCUUCUGGCUUGAUGGUGCUCCAACUGUAUUAACAUCAGAUAAAUGCUCGGUGCAAAACUCUACAGCAUCUUCAGCUAUAUACUGCUCAGCAAUGCAACCUUCAAGAUGAUUACGGUUCUGAACAUACCCCUUUAGCACUUUCAUAUAUCUUUCAAACGGAUAAAUCCAUCUAAAAUAAACUGGCCCACAUAGACGAACUUCUCUGACAAGAUGUACUACUAGAUGAACCAUGACAUCGAAGAAUGAAGGGGGAAAGUACUUCUCAAGCAAACAUGAAGUUACUACUACAUCUUCUUUCAACUUAUCUAGCUUGGAAACAUCUACCAUCUUUGCACAUAUAGCCUUGAAGAAGAAGCACAAUCGAGUUAUUGCAUACCUUGCAGGCUUCUCCAAGACAGAACAAAUUGCCACAGGGAGCAUUUGUUCCAUCAAGGUAUGACAAUCAUGUGAUUUAAGCCUAAGAAGUCUUGAAUCUUGUAAAGAUAUAGGAUUUUAAUAUUUGAAGAAUAACCUUCAGGGACCUUCAUACAAUAGAAAGAAUUGCAAACCUCUCUCUUCUCUGCUCUUUACAAAUUCCAAGGCCCUAGAGGCAAGGGAGUACGUCUUUCUCCAUACUCAGGUUGCAAAUCAGUCUUGAUCCCCAUGUUCAAUAAAUCCAAAUGAGCAGCAAUCUCAUCUUUAUUUUUUCCAGGGAUCUCCAACAACGUACCAAUGAUACUAUCGCAAACAUUUUUCUCGAUGUGCAUAACAUCAAGGGCAUGCCUCACAGAAAGGUAUUUCCAGUACUCUAGAUCAAAGAAUUUUGACUUCUUCUUCCAACAGACUCUAUCACCAUCAUUUGCACUUCCACCUCCCCCUUUUUUCGAGCCCCAUUUAUAAUUAAUACCUUCAACCAUUUGUAAUACUUCUUCUCCGAUUAAUGGCUUUGGAGGCGUGUCAUUUUCAGGUUUCCCAUUAAAAGCUGUACGUUGCCUACCAAUAUAUAUGCCUGAUGUAACAUAUUUUGUGCCCAUUUUUCAACCUGUGACUAGGUAUAUCAUCACCGCAUAUUGGACAAGCUUUAUAUCCUUUUACGACACAAUCUGAUAAGGAAAAAUCAUUAAUUGUCCACAGUAAUGCAGCUCUGAGUGUAAAGUAUUCUCCUAUAUGAACAUCAUACACUCCUUUAAUCCAUCAACUAUAUCUGGUACCUAGAGAAUUGUGGGGACUGAAUCCAUCAGAUGAGAGAGCCAAUCUCAAGUUUCUUGGCUCAUUACCAAACUCGGGCCAUUUAUCAUCAACCAGUUUUCAAGAGGGAGAAUCCGUCAGAUGAGACAUCAGACCUUCAAUUGCUUUUCUAUUAGCAUGCCAAGUCAAACUCUUAGCUAUCUAGUGUGAUUGAAACAUCCUUUUAAAUCUUGAAAUUGGUGGAAAAUACCACACUACCUUUGCCGGGACACCUUCUUUCAAGAUUGAAUCUUUGCCUUUCUUCCAUCUUGAGAUUCCACAAGUAGGACAAUGAGUUGAAUGUUCAUACUCCUUCCUAUACAAGAUGCAAUCAUUGGGGCAUGCGUGGAUUUUCUCAUAACUCAGCCCCAAUGCACACAAAGUCUUUUUUACGUCAUACAUAGAGGAAGGUAUUGUAUUUCCUUCUAAAAACAAAUCUCCUUGAAGUAUCAACAAUUCUGUAAAACAGACAUUACUCAUCCCAUAUUUUGCCUUCAAAUUAUAUAACUUCACUAAUGCCAACAACUUAGUGUACUUUCUACAACCAGGGUACAAGAGUUGAUCUCCAUUGCCAAUCACAUUGGCAAACUCAUAAGGAUCGGAUCCAAAAUCACCUAAAUCAUUAUCAUCCAUCUCUAUUUCUUCAUACACAAAAUUGUACCUACUAUGUUCAUCAUCUUCUUCCACAUUUCUACUAGCAUUAGUAGUUGCUUGCCAAGGUUCUCCGUGAAAUGUCCAAUUCUUAUAACUUUGGUCAACUCCAUUAAAGUAUAAGUGGUCCCUUAUAAUUCCAACCCCAAACAAUCGAACAUUUGCACAUUUAACACAUGGACAGUGAAUAUGUGUUGUGGUUAGAAGAUUUUCUAUUGAAAUUUUCAAAAAUGCUUCCACCCCUAACUCAUAUGCCUUCGAUCUUCUAUCCGCAUGCAUCCAUGACUUAUCCAUCUCCAACAAUAUACACUAUUAUUUAUAAUAAAGUGAAAAGACAAGCCAUGACCAUCACUAUAGCAUAUUAUAAUUACUUUGAUAGAAAGUAAUUUAACAUAAAGACAACGGCUUUUUUAAAACAUCCGACAUUUUAUACUUAUACAGACGACGGUUUUCUUCAAAAACCGACGUUUUAAGCAAGUAAACAGUGAUUCUGAAAACAACAAUACAAUUACAUACGACGGUAGUUAAAUAAACAUCGCCUUGUAAAGAAAAUAAAGACGACAGUUUUUACGAAAAACAGUCUUCAAAAUCUUAAAGAAAAGAAGGCUAAUGUUGAGCCUAUUCUUAACAACUAAAAUGAGUUAUUAAAAACAGCAACUUUAAUUCUCGCAAGUGCACGAAUCGUUUAUAGUAUAGCUUAUGUAAAUACGAGGUCGAUCCCACGGAGAAUGGUAACUUGGUUCCAAGUUAAAUUACUUAGAAUGCUAGAAAAACAUAGAACAAAGAAACUGACUAACUAGCUAAAGGCAAGGUCGAAUUCAACAAUGCCUCUUGCUAAUUACUCAAGGUCUAGGACAGAAUCCUAGCACCACACACGCACUCGAAAUGGGGGAUUUUGUUGUUGAAAUGAAAACAAGAAAGUGAAAUGAAAGUGCUCGAAAGUAAACACUGGCAGCAAUCAACAAGUUGUGAAACAAUGAUUGAGAGAUGUUAGAGCCUUGGAAUCCACCACUAGUUUUCCUAACCAAGUUAUGAAUGCAUAGAAAUUGACUCAAGCUUCAUUAACAAUAGAUUAUCGCAUACAAGCCUAUGGUAUCUAGGUGCAGGAUGCAUGAUUCUCCUAAGGCAUGUGAUUAUGCAUGGUAUCUACACAACACGUGAUCUCUAAUAUGCAACCUAAGUAUGGUAUCUACUUAGAAUAAAGCAUACAAGAGUCAUUAAGCUCCUUGAGAAUAUGAUAUGAUAAUCACACAAGUCCUAGAACAUGGUAUCUGUCCUAGUCAACCUAUGGUUAUUAACCCCUUGAAUGAUUCUUAGGCCAUUCAUGUGUUGCUUGUGAAAGGAGAGUAGAAUUGGUGAAUCUAAACCCAUUCCCAACCUGUGAUAGAUGCAUAAAAUCCUAGUUAGCUACUCCAAGAAAACAUACAUCAGGCACCUAAUAAACUGGAGAUUAACAACUUGAUAAUAAAAGCAAGGAAAUCAAUUAACUAUAAAAUCAUCCAUAACAUUGAAUAUUCAUGACUAGGGCUUCAUCCUAAGCCCUAACUAAAUGGAUUAGUUAGACAUUACUAUGAAUACAGAAAAUAAGAAAUACAUAGAUAGGAUAAAGAGAGGAGAAGAACUAGAUGAUGGCAGCAAGGAAGUUCCCAGGACAGCUCCAAGCUCCCUUGACAGCUCUAAGCUCCCUUCUCUCUUUGUGGUGAAUCUGAAUGUGUGUAUGAGAGUAAUGGAUGAAGUGAAUGUGUGUGUCUGCCCUCUCUCUUGAAUGAGUGUGCAACUCUUUAUUUAUAGAGUGCAAUUUCGUGCUCCCCUUUGGCUGGUGAAGCACACCUCUCUUAGCUGCUCCCAACUGCUCCAGCUACCCAUACUUGCCAACUGCUCCAGCUGACAAAUACAUGCUUUGGUAUGGUUUCUUUAUGGAAAACUUGACUUUUGUUUAUCUUUCUGAGCUUCUGAGCUGAUUUGACUCCCAUGUAUGGCGGCCCAUGUGUAGCACAUGGCUCUAGGGAUGUAGCCACAUUAAAUGUGAUGGCAGCCAACAUGACAUUUCUGUGAACUUGGUUCAGUCUUUGACGUGUUGAGGGCUCUAGAUUUAUCCAAUUGGGCUGAAAUGUGGAUAUGUUAUAAUAGACACCCAUUGGAACAACUUCUAUGAAGGAUGUCUCCUCAUCCGACCUGUGUAAGUUACUGAAAUGAGGCCUGCAAGAUGACCUACGAAACUGGACUGACAAGGAGUGUGGCACAAAUUGGUUUUGUCUUUAAGCUCAUAUUCCUCUUGUGCCACUCAGCCCUUAACAUGCAUGAAUUGUAUCAAAUGUCAUCCCCUUGCUGUCUUAACCUACAAAGCACACAAACAUAGGUAAGAGACUCAAAAUAAAGAGAAGCUAAGAAAAAUUACUAAGGAAAGAAGGCAUGCAAAUGUGUGAAAUUAUGAGCUUAUCAGCUAAAUCUUCUUUUAUUCAGACCAUUUCUAAGAACCCAAUAUAUGUUAACAACCUAUAACAUUGAAUUUUAUGAAAAGCACGCAAAUAUUAAAGUCAUUCCUUAUUCAUAACAACAGAGAUUGAUGAAGAACAUAUAUCCAAAACCCAACAAUGCAGUCUAUGAUUUCAGAAUAAUCUUCUAAACCCUAAACAUAUAUCUAAAGCCAUUCCCUAAAUCCUAUAUGUUUGUACUUCAGAACCUAGAAUUGAAUAUCAAUCAAUGAAUUACGAAGCAUGAUAUUAGGGUUUGUACUUACAGGCAGGCAGAGCUCACAGAUUAUGCUCUCUUUGGAUUCGACGGAGGCUGGAGAGCGCAAUUUAGAAUUAGAGUUUAAGUGAGAGAGCGAAAUGUAGAGUUAUAGCGAAAUCUGAAAAUUUUAGGUCGCGGCCAAAUUUUUAGAAAGCGUGCUUCUUCAAACAUCAACAGAAAUAAUACAAAACCGUCGUUAAAAACACAUCGGUUAAUAUAAGACAGACAACGUGGUAAAGUAGUAACACGGCGGUAAAACAUAAAACCGACGUCAAAAGAACUAAAUAAUAUUUCUGGGAUUUGGUUUUCCUGGAACAGAAAAUAAAAUACAACACUGGCAUCAUAUACUAAACCCUAAACCCUAAACCCUAAACCCUAAACAUUAAAUUAUAAUUUUGUAAAAAAAGGUUUAGGGUGGUUAAACACUGAAUACCUACACCCCUAAAUACCUAAACCUCUAAAUCCCUAAACCCUAACCCUAAACCCUAAAUAAUAAUAUUUUUAAAAAAAAAUUGUACAAAAAUACAAAUGUUUGAGAAAAAUAAAACAAAAAUUGCUACGGACUCCUUACGACAAUGCCAUCUUAAUUAGAUUGCUAAAACCAGUAUUUUAAAAUUUUAAAAAAAAUUAUCCCCACCAAUGAAUGACACAAGCCAUAUGAUUGUUUAUAACUCAAAUUACAUUUUUGAAAGCUUUAGGAUAAAGACAAUAUCUCAAUGGCUGCAUAGGAGUUAUGGUGUAUUUCUUUUUGGAAAUUUUACAAAUUUAUUAUGAAUAUUAUGAAUUAAGGUCAAUAAUUUUUUUUUAUAAAUACAACAAACCACGUCGGUUUUAAAUCCGCAUAUGACGUUGUAUGCAGUUUAAACUUCGUUAUUUAUUCAGAUAACACAUUUACGACGUCAUACCUUUGGACGUUGGUUUGGUACUCCUACGUCGUCUAUGGUAGUAACCGACAUGGUAAGGAGAAUAGACAGCACAAAGCCUAUUCUUAUAAAUAAACCGACAUUGUGGUUUAGUACAGAAGGCAGAAAAUAAGUCAAAACUGCCACUAAAGAUUGUUUAAGACGUCAGGAAUAUAGACGUCAGUUAAAUAAAAUAACGUCAUUGUAAGUAUUUCAAAAUUCAUUUGAAAUAUCAUAAAGUUGACCAAACGAUGGUUUUAAAAAGGGAUGGUCGUUGAAAUUGCAUAAGACGUCAUUUGUUAUAUAGUUAUCAACGUGGUAUUUGCUUACAGGCUCUUUGUUUUUUGUGUUACGUUAAAAGGAAAAACGUCAUUUAUUGACUUUUAAAAUAUACCGUCGUGUUACGGAAGUUUACAUGUCAUUUUAUGAAUUUACUGUCGUUUCUUUAUUUUCAAGUUUCAUAAGACGACGGUUGUUGAAACAAUCUUGUCGUUGGAAGGGACUUCAGACGACGGUUUAAAGAAUUACUUUAGUUUUAAAAACUGAAAAAUAAUUUUAUUGACAGCCAAAAAAAACAUAUACAUUAUACCCUAAACCCUGUACAAAAAAUUGUCUAUUCAAAAAAAAAAAAAUAUGUACAUUUUUCAUAACUAUUUAUAAAAAUCCUCUACUCCAUAUGAAGGCAUAAAAAUCUGCCCAUUCUUUCCUCACUUCUUGGGGGUAUGGUGCUUGAUCUUUGCCCUUUUCAAACUGCAAUCAAUAAAAAUGAUUAUUUAGACUUCAUCAAUGGUUUUGUAGAAUCUGUGAUAGAGAGCCUAAAAACCAUGGCGGUACAUCCAUUCAAACGACGGUAAUUCUAUUUACCGUCGUCCACUUACAAAAACCACAAAAAUCAAAAUCAUAAAGUUUUCCAUUUACGUUCUUCUCAAACUCCAAAGAAUGAUAUGUGAUUAUGUCUCUCAUAAAGCGCAUGACAUAAUAGCCACACUCUACCCUGCUGGGUUGCUUUGGUGUGCCUUGUAGAUUUUUUCAAAUCGGUGCUUUACAGCCUUGUCUGCCUAUGUGUGAAUUAUACAUCUUGAUAGCACUGUUUCAUGACAACAAAGUGUUAUUGAAAAAAAAAAAAAUUAGGCUACAAACACACAUUACACUUUAGUAUAUCAACUUACGUGUUCACUAUGUUUUUUGCAUUCGUCAUCAACCACUCGAUUUCCGGGUAGUGGAUCUAGAAAAUACACAGUCUCCCUCUUUGGUCUCACAAUGACCAAGACCCAAUGACGACUACACAAAAUAAACAUAGAGGUUAAACAAUUUUAUAUACACUGCAUCAUACAAAGAAAAUCGUGUUGACUAACGUACCCUGGAUUGUAAGGCAUAAAGAAAAUAUGUUCCCCAUCUAUCUUUUGAAGUCGAUUGGCUAACAAACGUGAUCUUUGAGUUAAUGAUCCAGAGUUAGCACUAACUUGAGUGGGGUCAACAAAGCCAACCAUGUUCACCAUAUUUGCUGUUUUCAAAACAUCAAAUAGGCACCUACAUAUAUGAAAUGAUGUCAUGAGUUUUUUAAUCUUUUUAAAGAAAGGAGAGUGUGAAAUGACAAUGAGUUGAUAAGGACAAACCUCAUGUAUACAGCAACCACAGUAGCCCCAAUUUCAUUCAUGGUUGCAAACUGUGUAAUAUCUUCAAUCAAGACGAAGGUUUGAUGAUCAAAACCAAACACCUCUUUCUCAGUUGUAAAUAUCAUAUCCUUCUCAUGAACCUUUAAUGUCGUCUUCAUAUAACGACAAAGGGCUUGUAAAGAAGAUGGCAAGACUAGGUUUGAGUAAUCUGGUACUUGUUGUUCCUUGUCAGAAACGUCCAAGCACUUGUCUUUCUGCUUGAAGAAAUAAGGAAAGAUAUAUAAUACAUAAGUGAAAAAACCAGAGUAAACUACACAAACUUAAACGUCAUGGUAAUUGGGAUAAACACGACGGGUAAGAGACAAAAAUGACGUGUAAAUUGAAUAACCACGACGGUAUGUAAAAACCGUCGUCGUAUGUAUUAAUUACGUCUGUAUAAAACAGAGCCCUAGAAAAGUAACAAUUGCCAAUAUCAACUUAAAAGCAUGCUUUAGCAGAAAUACAGAUACCGUGAAAUGCAGAUAAAGAGAGAAAGAAAGAGAGAGUGGAACAGAGUGAGUGAAGAAAAAUUGAAAAAUAAAUGAAAAUACGACACUAUCUGAAUCCCCAAUACCGUCGUGGUAGUUAAAUUCCGACGAUGGGUUAUUUAAAAAACAGACGUGGUAUGAAAUUAAAACGAUGGUAAGUAAAAACCGUCGUCUUAUGUUUUUAUUACUUCGGUAUGAAACAGAGCGCUCCAAAAUUAACAAUUGAAAUUAUCAACUUAAAAGCAAUGCAGAUAACAUCAAUUGCAGAGAGAGAGAGAGAGAGAGAGAGAGAGAGAGAGAGAGAGAGAGAGAGAGAGAGGGACAGAGAGAGUGAAGAAAGAUUGAAAAAAAAAAUUAAGACACUAUCUAAAUACCCCAUACCGUCGUGGUAUUUAAAUGACGACGUCUUAUUAAAAAAACAGACUUGGUAGGAUAUUUAAUACGUCGUUAACCAAAAAACGACGUCUUAUGGCAUAUCUAACGACUAUAUUGAACCCCAGUGACGCAUAUGUAUUUCCAAAUAAGAAAGAAUUUCAAAUUUCAGAGAAUUUACCCUUUCAUCUUGCUUUUCUGCAUCCUUGGAUUUCUGUUUUAAGAAAUAAAGAAAGAUAGAUAAGACAGCUUGUAUAAGAAUGAAAAAUUUCACAAACGUACUGUCGUAGUAAGGAAUACACACGAUGGUUAAUAAUAGAAGAUGACGUCUAAUUUAAAUUGAGAUGACGGUAAAUAAAAGACGUCGUUGUGGGUUGUUUCUAACGUCUGUAAUUAAGGUAACGACAUCUAAUUGGUUUUCAAAAGCAGUAUGCAGAGUUCAUAGAAGUUACCAUUUCUUGUUGUUGGCCUCCAUCUUUGGCAUUAUCAUCCUCAAAAUUGAGGGCUCUAACAUCAAGAGCCCCAGAGCAGCUUGCUUUAUUUGACAUUGGAGUUUUGGGACUUUGCUCAGGACCUUGGAUAGUUGUUAGUUUCAGCAUGCUUGGAUCAAAAUUUGGAAUUAGUUGGCGCAGUUGAUUCAGCAAAUUCUCCCUCUUAGCUUUUACCAAUUGCUUGGUUCUAGCCUCCAUCUUCGAGGUCUCUUCUUUAAGGACAUCUCUUACACUUUCCUUUAAUUGAUCAGCAAACUUUACCCUUUGUUGUCUAGCUAAAUUGAAGUAUUUCCUAGUGGAAAUCCCAACCCCAACACCUCUAACUCUCCCUGCUUGCUCAGGACCCAAAGCCAUAGUCAACACAUCAUUACUUACAGAGACAGUAAGAGUGUCUUCACUGACUUGUUUUUUGCAAUUCAUCCUAAUUAACACAAAGACACAUUAAAGUCAAUAAAAACAUAAAGUUUGUUUCAUAUGCAAGUCUAAUUAAAAUUCCAAUGCAGUUUAAUACAAAUUUAAAACAGAGUGAAAUGAAUUUAGGCUUACAAUUAAUUUUGUUUCUUCGCAACCUUUGGAUCGGGGAUGUUAUCGUGUUUGUCUUCUCUAGCUUUCUUCCACAAGGUAGAUCGACCAAUUUCUACGCUUGGCAUGGUUUCUUCCAAAUCAUUCUCCAAACCAACAUAUCCUUUUCGAGACAAUCGAUGAUUGUACUCGCAUUUCUCUCUCCUCUAUGCUUGUUUAGCAUGGACAGACUCAAAUUGUUCUGAUAACCUUGAAGCUACAAACACAUCCCAGUGUGCUUUCUCUAUGAAUUUAUAUAAUUCAGGGGUUGUCUUAACUUCUCCUUCUCAUUGAUGAAUGGAAGGAUAUGAUGCCUCGUUAGUGUAGACUUGAAAUCCUUCCAUUUCUUGCCAGCAGAUGAUAACACCAUUUUUUUACCCCCUUGCCCUACCACAUAAGCCAUGUCAACGGCUUCCCAAAUAUGCUCUUUUAUAACCUUGGGGAUUUCAGUCCAUUUCUUGUCCAUAAUUGGGACUCUGGACCUUGCCAACACACCAAUAUAGGAUUGCAUCUCAGCAUGUGCAGGGCCAUAUGGUUUCCCCCUUUGGUUGUACUCAAUAACUGGCUUGAUUUUCUUCAAUUUUCUCUUCACAACACGGGGCAUUGUGUUUAUACCACGACUAGACUUUGGCUCCUCAUAAAAUGUUGUCGUGCUGCCUGGUUCUAUCUUAGCAGGUGAAACAAAUUUCAUCUUCUUCGAGGGCUUGGUUUGAGGUUUAGAUACUUUAAGCUCCUUACAUUCAUUUUCGUUCAAGCUAGAAUCCUUACUUGGCGCUUGAGAAACCAUGGUUAUAGAGAAAUGAGACCUGCAAGUACAGAAAAAAUAACAUAAAAGUCAAUAAGAAACGACGCUUAUUUAAAAAAACGAUGUACUAUAAAAUUUCAUACAAAGGAAUAUAAAAACAACCGACGCAAUAAGAAUUAUAUAACGACGGUAGUUAACUACCAACGUGGUUUGAAAGUAACACGAUGUAAAUUUUGAAUUUUUCACGAUGGUAGUAAGAAAACGUCGUGGUUUUACAUUACAACGACGUGAAAUAUAAAAUACCGUCGUCUUAUUAAAAUGAAAUACAAAAUACAGAGUACUGUUUUCAGACCAUUUGGUUCUUGUCUUUAUAUUUGGAAAAACUUAAAUUGAUUUUCACCAGAAAAAAAGUAAAAAUAUAUUUCAACAAACGUCGUGGUAUUCAAUUACAACAACGUUAGUAAUAAAAUAUAGUUGUCUUCUUAAUAUGAAAUUAAAAAACUGUUCCAAGACCAUUUGGUUUACUACUUCAAACACAAAAAGACAGUAGAUUUUAUCAUCGUGGUCAAUGACACUUUGUUCUUUGUCAGUAGAUUUUAUCUAAAAAGUAAAAUGAUUUUCGCAUGAACAGGAACAAAGAUGAGAAAUGCUUACCUUUUGCUUGCAAUGAAAUUUAUCGCUUGCAAAACAAGAACAAAAAUGAUUUUUCAAAGACAAAGACGAAGAGGAGAGGAAGCCGAUGAGAUUCAGACACGGUACUUUGGGAACAAAAAUGAGGACAGCGUGAAAUUUUUUCUCGGGUUUGGAAACAAUAUAAAUGUAGGUCAGGAAAGGCGAAAAGUUUAAAAUAUUAACGAACCGUUUCAUAACACGAUGCUAUUAAUGACAACCGCCCUAGUAAAUGGUUCUACACGGUUGUAAAUAUGUAGUUCACGCCCUGGUAAAGAAUAUUAAACGACACACACUUUUCCGACGUGGUUAGUUUAACUUAUAAUUCAAUAGUGUUAUAGAUGUCGUCGUAGUAUUUUUUUAAUAAUAAGUCGGUAAGUUUACCUGUACUGACGUCUUUACUUUCUACGUCAGUUACUUAAUAGAUUCUGUCAUUGGUUUUUCGCUCUAAGUACAAGACAACGCAUUUUAGUUAUGCGUGUCGUGGUUUCUCUGCAAAAACCGCCCUAGUAAGUCUUUAUUACGUCGUUAAACUAACAGAAACGGAUGUCGUUAGUAUUUUAUGCGCAGGGGCGGAGCUACAGCCAAGCCUGCCAUGGCCCUUGCCCCCCCCCCCACUUAAUUAUUAAUCUCUUGUAAUAUAUUAUAAAAUAUAUGAUAUAGCAAUAUAAUUACUGCAAUUAGAUUAGUAAUGGCCCUCCCAGUUGAAUAUGAAAAACCUAGUAGAAGUGAUUUUGAAAUUUUGGCCCCUCCAUACGAAGAAUCCUAGCUCCGCCACUGUUUAUGCGACUAGAGGGUUGGUACGAACCGACGUAGAUUACUUUUGUUAGACGGCGGUAAGUGUAAUGUAACCGACAUGGAUGUGAAGAAUUUUUUUUUUAAAUUGGGUUUUUUUCACGCGUUCUUUCAGUUUCAGUUUUCAAUUAGGGUUACAACUUCUUCUUGCCCUUGGCUUUGUCUCCCCUCUUUGGAGGCAAUAGUUUGGAUGUUGAUGUGUGUGUGCGUUUGUAUAUCUGAAAGAUACAAAUACACACACAUCAUCAACUUCUAAAAAAUUGUCUUUCUGAAUGCAAAUAUGUGGUUGCCGUCGUCAAUUUUUAGAGGCAAAUUUUUUGGAUGUUGAUGUGUGUGUGCCUUUGUGUAUCUCAAAGACACAAAGACACACACAUCAUCAACAUCUAAAAUAUUGUCUUUCUCGCACAUUGGUGGUCCGAUUAUGAUGAGGAACAGAGUUCCCUCUGGUAAGAUUUCAUAUCUCUUGGGAUCUCAGACUAAUCUGAUUAUGUUGGCGGUUUUCUAUAUAAACCGUCAUGGUUAUUCUCAAUUCUUGUCAUUAUGUUGAUCUACCAUCGUAAGCUACCAAAAUCCAAGAAAUAAAUCGUAAAAAAAAUUAAUAAAUAUUAAGACGACGGUUUAGAUAUAAGGUGAGCCGUAUAAAGUGAAUAAAUACGAUGGUAAUUUUAACUUCACGACGUGGUAAAUUUUAUUAUACGGCAUUAAUUGAACAAACCGACGUGGUAAAGUUAUAGAUACCGUCGUAGUACAAUACAAAAUAAUAAGUCGAUAAAUUUAUCUUUACCAUCGUUGUACAUUGAUUUAAUACGGCGAUAUUUUGUAAUAUACCGACGUAGAUUUUUUUUGAAAUUAUAUGGCUCCAAAUACAAAAACUUGGUCGUGUUUAUUACGGAGUAAAAAUGGCUACUGUUGUUGCACACCGUCGUCUUUACUUUCUGCGUUGGUGGAUUCAUACCUUCUGCCAUUGUUUUUGAGCUCAGAGUUUACCUAUGAGGAAAACCUUUUCAAUAAGACGACACUUUUUUAAUUUGGUGCGUCGUUUUUUAAAAACACCCAUUGGAAUCUCCAUUUUUUAGGUGUUUAAAUUACUCAUACACGGCGGUUUUAUAACACUGUCGUCUUUUUGAGCACAACGAUGGUUUUUUGUUAAACCAUCGUUUUUUUCUGGUCGUUUUUUUCACUUUUUGUAGUAGUGCUAAUGGAUCACACACCUUAAAUGGUUAACUUUGAGUAAUACAAAUGAGAACGAGGAAAUCAAUUUGAUUGAUUUGAUGUAGAUGAUUUACUACGAGUAAAAACGUAUUUGGGCCUCGAUAAUAGUUAACAGGAAGCCCAAAUGGUUGAGUAUCAAGCCCAAGGGCUUAAGACACCUAAAUAUUAUGAUUUAAGUGUCACAAUGCCCAAUUUUGGAAGCUCAAUGGGGUUUGGCCGAAAAUGCAUAAGUAAAUGUGUUUGGGAAUUGUUUCCAUAAGCUCAUUAACACACAAACACAAUCCAAUAUCAACCAAAUAGGUUUAGGAGAUCGAAGAGAGAUAAAAUAGAGUUUUCAAGAGUGAAACACUUUCAUCUUUCAAGGGGUUUAGAUUGAAACCAAUCUUGAGAAUCUUGCACUAGCAUCCUUGUAUUCUCAAGAUACUUCCUCUCAUCUCAAGGUUCCAUUGGUGUAGAGACUUAGAGGCCAUAUACUUUUGUGGCUCACAUGGAGGAGAAAGAUCAAGGAGCAAAAAUCAAGAUCAAAGAGGAGGUCAACAAAGAGGAAUUCAUCAAGAGAAGACCAAACACAAAUUGGUUCAUAUAAUUGCUUCAAGGGUAAUUAGAUCUUAUCAUUUCUCUUGAAUUUUUCAUUUAUGAAAUACAUAUCAAUGUUCAUGGCUUAAGAUACUUGGAAAAAGUUUGUUUUUGAAUGUAAACAAUCACCAUAGACUUCCGCUGCGAUUAAUUUGAUUAAAUGCAUGUUUAAUAUUCAAAUGAACUUUGUAUAAAUGUUUUAAAUCCUACCCAAAAAAAAAAAACCCAUGCCACCCUCAUCUCAACCUCCCCAACCAUCGUCCCUCCUCCUCCCUUGACCAGCCACAACAACAACCACCCCUAGGGCUCGUCAAUGGGCCGGGUCGGGCUAGUCCAAUUCAAAUUUAAUGGACUUGGGUUGGGUCGGGCUGAGCUAGACCGAGCUUUAAAGAUGAGAGAGAAAAUACCGGACCGGUUAUUUUUAAAAAAUUCAAAGCCCAAGCCCAACCCAUGGGCCGGGCUAAGCCUAACGGGCAAGGCUGAAAUGAGCCUACUUCAUUAAAAAAAAAAAAUUCAUAAACUUAAUCAUAAGGGCAUUUUAGUCCAAAUUUGAGAUUAAACUCACUUAAUUCCAAUAAUUUCACAUCAAACCAAAUUCAUAAAACACCAAAUAAAGUCACACAACUUAAUAAGAUUUUUCACAAAAAUAAUAAAACCAAGUAUUAUGUUUGAGGUUAUUACAUAAUUAGACCGUAAUACGUUUUAAAAAAUAAUAAGUAUCAAAUUUUUUUUUUUAAAGGAUGGUAUGAAUAAAUAUGCAAAUAUUUGGUGAUGUGUUCAAAAAAAGCAUGAUUAUAUUUGGUGGUACGAUUAUGUUUCGUGAUAUGAUUAUAUUUGGUGAUGUGAUAUGUUGUUCAUCUUAUAUAUAUAAUUAUUGAAUUAGUAAUUGACACAAAUUAAUGUGCUAAUCAUCCAAUUAUAAACUAGGAAUGAGUAAAGAAAAGUAAAUGAAAUGAAACAAAUUAUAUAUGUGAUUUAAGUGAUAUAAUCCUAAACCUAAACUCUUAUUUAUACAUAAUUAUAUAUGUAUGCGGGUCUAAUAGGCCGGGCUUUUAUAGGCAGGCCGGGCCAGGCUUUCUUGGGCUUAAUCGGGCCAGGCUUAUGGCCUGGGCCGGGCUUCAGACACCUAAGCCCAAGCCUAGCCCAGUCGAAAGCAAGCCGGGCCAUCUCAAAGCCCAUAACGGGUCGGGCCGGGCUUUUUUUCAACGGGUCGGGCGGGCUCCCAUCAGCCCAUGAGCCCGUGGGCCAAAUGAUGAAGCCUAGCCACCCCCACCCCAUCCUCAACCCCAGCCCACCCCAUCACCACCCCUUCCUCAACAUCUAUUGAACAGACCCCAAACCCACUCGAAGUAAAUGAAUAAAUUGAAUUGAUACAAUAAUUAUAAUAAAUAGAUAAUUGAAAAUCCAAAAACCCCCAAUUAUGUACUCUACAUAACCAACACCGUAGCAAAAACCCCCAAUGGCCACAGCUUCGGCAGUGGAGAAACUAUUCAAAUGGCACUGUUAUUGGCGAGUGCGGGAGCCUAUGAGGGAGAUCCAUCAUAACAUCUCGUCCCAAAAAUCACUGUUCAAUUGAUUAUUUAUUAUGAAAUUACAUUUUUGCCCUUAGGUGUAGGGCACUUUAGUCACUUUUUAUUUGGAAAGGAAUUUGGGGAAUUGAGUGGCACCGUUGAGUUGAGAUCAACGAUACGAGUUCGUAGACAGGCGUCAUGUUCAAUUCAGAGUUAAAACGAAGAAGUUAUGAUUUACGGAAAUGUAGUUGAACAACCGCAAUUUUUGCAAAGUUAAAAUUUAAAUAUCCCAGCUUCUCUCUCUCUCUCUCUCUCUCUCUCUCUCCUUCACUAAAACAAACCGGCCACUUUGGCUUGCAUUUUCUCCUCCUUCUGACCACGGCGACCUAUUAAACGUUCAUCUCUUCUUCCUCUUCACGUUCAUACCCAUUUCCACUUUCGAAACUCCAAGAUUGAUCGCGAUUUUGGACUAGAACUGAGCGAAACCCUAAUUUGUGGCCCGGCAAAGUUCGUACGAUUUCUAGCGAUUCCGGCAGCCAUAUGAAACUUCAUUCCCUCAUCAUGCUCUACUUGUUUAUGUACUUAGUUUGGAUCGAUUUUGAGGUUUUACAAAUCAAUUCUUAAACCCAUUUUUGGUCGUGGUCCAAGAACAAAAGUUUAUCCCUUUGUUAGUUUGAUCGUAUUGGUAUAGGUGUUUGUCAGGAGUUUCCGAGAAAUUCCCGUUGCAGGAAAUUUCUCAAAACAACCACGCACUAGCAGCGCCGGGUGACGGCGUGUCGGCCACUGUGUGGCACCCUAUUGAGUUCUAAAUUGUUUCCCUUGUCAUCAUGAGCACGACGGUAUGCUCGGAUUUGGAUUUGGUUAUCGUUUGACAUUUGAACAGAUAUUGCACCUAUUUUGGUUGGGAGGUGUUUGUGGUUUGGUUGUUUGAUUUUAAAACGGUAUUUUCCUAUGAGAGUUUUGUUAACUGUUUAUGAAUUAUUGUUCUAUCACUUUUACUUUCUGAGAAUGAUAUAUCCAUGUUUAUUUUUAUAUGUGUGCUAAAAUGGAUUAAAAAUUGGAUUGUGUUGUUUUCGGAAAUAUGGUUGUCUUUGGAGAUAUUGAUAUCUUCUUCUGACAUCCCGGUUGCCUUCUGAAAUAUUGAUGUCUUCAAACAUCCUGGUUGUCUUCAAAAAUACUGUUGCCUUCGGAAAUAUUGAUAUCUUCGGACAUCCUGGAUGCCUUCGGACAUCCUUGAUGCCUUCGGACAUACAGUUACCUUCGGAAUAUCUUCGGAUAUACAGUUGCCUUCGGAAUGUCUUCGAACAUAAGGUUGUCUUAGGAAUAUCUUCGGACACCUCAGUUGCCUUCGAAUUUGUCUACACACGUAUGACAGUGUGCCCACGAGUUUCGAGGACUCUUGUGUUGGAAAAUUUAAUAUUAACUAAUAUUGAUUUUCCUAUUUGAAUGGAAAUUAAUAAAAUUCAUUGGGUUAAAGGCAUCUUCACAUGGGGGGUGACAACUCUUCAAACCAAGGGAUGCAUUGUUUGGGGUGACAACUCUUCAGACCAAGGAAUGCAUUGUUUGCCUUUUCAGAUUGAGAUACCUUUUUAGAAAGGGUAUUUCAUCAUCUAUAAAUAGAGCAAUCCUCCUACAGUUUUAUUCAUUCAGUUUAAUUCUCUACAUAUAGACUUUCACAUAUAGAAAGCAUUAGAGUUUUCAUAAAGGGAGGUUCCUGCAUAAUUUGGUUCAAAGUUCCUUGUGAAUUGCAGUGCUUCUUUCAUAAGGAGGGGAGUCGUUGUAUCCUGGGAGGCGAACGCUAGUGAACCAUAAGCACCAGUGUGGGGCGUAAUUCGUCUUAAGGUCAGAGUGUCCAACACUUGCCUCGACUCAAUUAAGGUUCUUUUAAUUACAUACUACUGUUGUAAAAAUUUGUUUUGUUUGUAGUGUUUAUUUGAUUAUUUUAUAGCAAUUUAGCACUCAUAUUUCCUACAUCUUGAACCGUGUAAUGCAAGGAUUUGCAUUCUCAAGUGGAGUAUAUCUCCCUGAGUUAUGCGAGGAUUUGCAUUCUCAAGUGGGGUAUAUUUUCUUGAGUUAUGAGAUGAAUGCGGUCUCAGGCCGACCUCGUUUCCUCCAAGUUCUAUGAUGAUAUAUCACAGACGUGGCCACAUGUGUGGUGCAAGGGGAAUUGACAAAUUAUUUGUGUUCUUAGGUUGAGUAUAUCUCCAUGAGUCCUAUGAGAGGAAUUGAUAGUAUAUUAUUGAAAUUGAUGGAUUAUAUUUGAGGUACAGUUAAAAGGAUAUUCUUCACCACCCUCCCUGCUCACAUUAUCUGCACAGGGUUGGCCAAGAUCCCUAGUCACCUACCCGACUUGUCUAUACAGGGGGGUGGUUAGCUAGUUUUCCCUUCCCCUGUUGCCUUCGGAUUUGAUGGUAUUCCCAUAUCCCCUCCCCCCCUUUUAGGGUCAAGCCUCACAUAUCCCUUGAUGGGUGAUUACAGGAUAUAUGCAAUAUGUGGAUAAUUGCAAGUAUGGCUUUCUGGUAAAAGGUUUGGUUAUGUAAGUGUUUGGAUGUACAGCGAUAAACUAAUUGAAUAGUUAGAUACAUAAUUACAUGGUAUGACAUUCAGUUAUAAAGCCCCUCAUUGUGAGAGAAAUACCUUUAUAGUCCGCAAUAUUUCAACGGAGCUCUAAAUAAUGCUCUAUCCACCAUAUUUAGAGCAUCAACCAGGAUGGCCUUAGAUAACCUGAUAAGAUAAACAACGCCAUCCGCCAUACGAAGUGGUGGCGUUAGAUGAGGUUUGUAAAUUAAAUCACCAUUUUUUCCAAUCCACAACGUAAAGAAAGAGUUGAAGGCAUAUAGAAACAAACAACGCCGUCCAAAUAACAAAAUGCAUCACACUCAAACAGGGACAGUGGGACAUUUUUGGUAGGUGCUUUCAGGAAAAAUGGUUAAAAAGAGGUUGAGUAGGUGCUUUCAGGAAAAAUGGUUAAAAAGAGGUUGAGUGGGGAUGGGGAUGGGGCUCUAUAUUUUAUGUAUUUUUUAUUUUUUGUCUCUCCUAAGAGCUGGUUCCCCUCAUGAAAUGAGCAGAAAAAUUCUCCACCACUUCUUAUUUUAGCUGCAUGUAGGCUUCCCAAGAGAUAGAAGAGAAGUUCACUUGGGGUCUGCAGGCUCUUAGAGCAACUCCACCCAUUUGCCUUUUGCUAUGGUAAGGGAGGGGAUAAGGCAGCUACUAUUCACAUGAAUAGUGAUUGCCCUUGUAAAAAGCCAUUUCUGUUUCCACCCGUUGCCAUGACAAAGGGCAAUUACUAUUCUUUUUUUUUUUUCACAAUUUUUUUUACCUCAAUAAUUAAUUUGGAUAAUAUUUUCGGAUAAGAUUUUCGGGUUUCUAUGUGUCAAUACUAUUCAUAGCUCAUAAUCGGAUAAAAUUUUCAGUUUCAAAUUUCAUAUAAAUUUCAAAAACAAAUUGGCAGGUAUUUAUAGAAAAAAAUUCACUAAUUUUUGGGUAUUUUUAAAAAAAAAUUCAGAAUUUUUUUUAGUAUUUUAUGGUAAAAAAAUUGGCUGUCAUUAGAUUGGAAGAAAAAAUCCGAUCGGAGAGCCCAGACGACAUCACAUGGCAACAGAAAAAAAAAAAUUCAAAUGAGUGGGCUGACGCCAGCCUGGCGUCAGCGAUGACAUCAACCCAAAACUCGAGCUCGUGCUUGGGCUGAACUCCCCCUCGAGCCAGCCCAAGGUCGUGGCCCCCACCUCCUGCCCAGGCAAACCUUCGCUGCUGGAAACAUGAUUUGAACUGCUCUUAUACCCAAGCAAGUUGAAGUAUUCCUCCCUUUAUUUAUUUAUUUAUUUUUUUAAGAAAAGAGAAAUAUAUUAGUACUGUCUAUUUUGCCACAUGGUAGGAAAGUCCCCACCUAAGUUUUUCUCUUUCGUGUUUAUCUCCUAGCAUGUUGGAUAUAUAUAUAUAUAUAUCAGUAGUGAAAAAAAUGCUCAUGUCCUCUAAACAAUUGUGCCAAAAAUUAACGGCUGGAAGAAGAAAGAGAGAGAUGGAUUUCUUGAGUUGUGUACUAUUAUGUCUAAUGGUUGCCUGGAUCGUAAUCCAAGCCCUCCAAAAUUCAUUUGCAAGAAGAAUUCCCACAAACCUUCCACCUGGACCAAAGCCAUUUCCUUUGAUUGGAAAUCUCCUAGAGCUUGGAAACAAACCCCACAUCUCACUAACCAAGCUUUCAAAACGCUAUGGCCCCAUUAUGACUUUACAACUCGGCCAACUAACAACAGUUGUAGUUUCUUCAUCCAUCGUCGCCAAACAAGUCCUCCGAACCUAUGACCGAUUCUUUUGCAACCGAACGAACGCAGAUGCACUCCAAGCCUGCAGCCAUGCCAAGCACGGCAUGCCCUUCAUACCUGUUUCAGCUAAAUGGAGAAACCUUCGCAGAAUAUGCAACUCCCAAUUGUUCGCCACCAAAGUUCUCAACGCCAACCAAGCCAACCGUCAACUAAAAGUGCAAGAGCUCAUAGCUGAUGUCAGCGAAAGCGUGGUAAAAGGUAAGGCAGUUGAAGUUGGAAGGGCUGCUUUCUUAACUACCCUCAAUUUGCUGUCACGUACUGUCUUCUCUGUGGAUCUAGCGGACCCGAAAAGUGAGACGGCUAGAGAGUUCAAGGAGUUGGUGUGGGGUAUCAUGGAAGAGGUCGGGAAACCAAACUUGGCUGACUAUUUUCCUGUGCUUAAGAAGAUUGAUCCCAUGGGGAUACGGCGCCGUUUGACCAAGCACUUCCGGAAGAUGAUUGACCUCUUUGACCGCUUGAUCUUCCAAAGGUUGGAAACAAGAAAAUCACAUGAUUAUGUCACAGCCAAUGAUAUGUUGGAUACUCUUAUAAACAUGAGUGAAGAGAAAAAUGAGGAUAUGGACAUUCCUGAAACUCAUCAUUUGUUUCUGGUUAGUUAUGGAUAUAGCUUUCCUACAUAUACUAAUUGCUAAUUAGAGUGUAUCUUUUUGUGAUUAUUAAGGUUGUUUUUGGUUUUGUUUAUACCAUCUAAACUGACUUAAAGACGGUUGAGAUAGUACACGUAGUUUUAUUAGUUCAUUAUUAUACAUAUAUGCUAGCUCCGAUUAAUUUUCUGACUAAGUAAUCAGCCAUUUGGUGAAUAAUAUAGGAUUUAUUUGUUGCGGCCACAGAAACAACCUCAGCCACAUUGGAAUGGGCAAUGGCUGAGCUACUAUGCAACCCUGAAAAACUGUCAAAAGCUCAAGAGGAGCUAGAACAAGUAAUUGGGAAAGGGAAACCAGUUGAGGAAACAGACACUGCUCGACUUCCUUACUUACAAGCAAUAAUCAAAGAGACCUUUCGGUUGCACCCAGCUCUUCCGUUUCUUCUCCCCCGCAAAGCCGAAGCAGACCUGGAAAUCUGCGGGUAUUUUGUACCCAAGGGUGCACAAGUGUUGGUCAAUGCAUGGGCCAUAGGCAGAGACCCUGGCUUUUGGGACAACCCGGCCUCAUUUAUCCCAGAGAGGUUCUUGGGAUUGGAUAUGGAUGUCGCUGGCGGAAGCUUUGAGCUUAUCCCGUUUGGUGGUGGGAGGAGAAUAUGUCCUGGCUUGCCCUUGGCAAUGAGAAUGUUGAACUUGAUGUUGGGUUCACUUCUUAACUCGUUCCAUAAUUGGAAGCUUGAAGAUGGAGUUGUACCAGAAAACAUGAACAUGGAAGAGAAGUUUGGCAUCACUUUGCAAAUGGCUCAGCCUCUGAGAGCUGCUGCCAUGGCCGUGCCAUAAAAUAUCCUACUAGCUAUUUGUUUUUACCUAAGUUAAUAUGUUGUGAAAUUGAAUAAAAACUAUUCAUGCCAUGGAAUAAAAACUAUUCAUGCCAUGGAUACUCUCACAAGUUCCUCCAAAUAGGUUGUGUCCAUUUUCUUGCCAUGGAAUAAAAAUUGCAUAUUUAACUUUCAGUUGUCCAUUUUUUCUUAUGCUCAUCUGGAAUGGAUUUUGUUUACUCAACGUUGUUUUAACUUCUAGUUUCAGGUUUUCUUCUUCGUGUAGAGCAUUCAUUUUAUUAUAAUAGAUUACAAAACCCAAUCUGAUUUUAAACAAUAAAAUUAUUGCCAAUAAUGAACCAUUUGUUUGAAAGAAGAAAAUUAUUGGCAAUAAUUAAUAGUUUUAGGUGGGUCGAGAUGACAUAUGGGAGAAGAAAAUAAUGGAAGGAAACAACAAAGUAAGAUCCAUUUGUUAAUCAAAGAGUUUUUGCUGUUCACAGUCGCUUAAGGCAACUGCGAAAUCAAACUCUCUCUUUAUUUGAAAAACUUCAAAUUUUUCGCUUUCGUACCAACUAGAGAUUAUAACGACCUUUCGAACAAUAAAUCGAGCGAAGAACAAUUCCAACCAUUGCAUUUCUUGCUAAAAUAUGAAACCUAACUUGAGAAUAUUUGUUUGUAGGAAUUUUUUAUGUAUUCUUCUCCUUGUAGGAGAUCAUAUUUAUAAUACAACGAAACUUUAAUGGGCAAGUAAAUAAUAAAUUCAUAUUUCUAUUUACAGUAGGAAAUCAGGAAUUAAAGUAAAUCAAUUACAAUUAUAAUAAGAAUUCUUGGUAUGAAAAGAAAGUAAGUCAGUGGUCCACAAGACACGCCAACACUCUCUCUCACGUUGGUACAUAGAUGUCGUCAAUGCCCAACUGAUCCAGUGAAUUGUGGAAUGCUUUACUGGAAAUUGCCAAUUUGGCGUCAGCAUUGACAUCAGCCCAAAACUCGGGUUCGCGCUCGGGCUGAACUCCCUCCUGGGCCUACCCAGGUUCGUGGCCCCCACCUCCUACCCGGGCAAGCCUUUGCUGCUAGAAACGUAAUUUGGGCUCAAAACGCUCCCAGCCCGCCCCCUAACUUCUCCACUGAAACUGCUCUUAUACCCAAGCAAGUUCAAGUAUUCCUCCCUUUAUUUAUUUAUUUUUUUAAGAAAAGAGAUAUAUAUUAUUACUGUCUAUUUUGCCACAUGGUAGGAAAGUCCCCACCUAAGUUUUUCUCUUUCGUGUUUAUCUCCUAGCAUGUAGGAUAUAUAUAUAUAUAUAUAUAUAUAUUAUUGAAAAAAUAUGCUCAUGUCCUCUAAACAAUUGUGCCAAAAAUUAACGCCUGGAAGAAGAAAGAGAAAGAUGGAUUUCUUGAGUUGUGUACUAUUAUGUCUAAUGGUUGCCUGGAUCGUAAUCCAAGCCCUCCAAAAUUCAUUUGCAAGAAGAAUUCCCACAAACCUUCCACCUGGACCAAAGCCAUUUCCUUUGAUUGGAAAUCUCCUAGAGCUUGGAAACAAACCCCACAUCUCUCUAACCAAGCUUUCAAAACGCUAUGGCCCCACUAUGACUUUACAACUCGGCCAAAUAACAACAGUUAUAGUUUCUUCAUCCGCCGUAGCCAAACAAGUCCUCCGCACCCACGACCAAUUCUUCUGCAACCGAACUAUCCCGGAUGCAGUCCAAGCCUGCAAGCAUGCCAAGUAUGGCAUGCCGUGGCUGACGGUUUCCUCCACGUGGAGAAACCUCCGCAAAAUAUGCAACUCCCAGCUUUUCGCGGCUAAAGUUCUCGACGCCAAUCAGGCCAACCGUCACCUAAAAGUGCAGGAGCUCAUAGCUGACGUUAAGGAAAGCGUUGUGAAAGGUAAGGCGGCUGAAGUUGGAAGGGCUGCUUUCAAAACUACGCUCAAUUUGAUGUCACGGACUGUGUUCUCUGUGGAUUUAGCGGACCCGAACAGUGAGAGGGCUAGAGAGUUCAAGGAGUUGGUGUGGAGUAUUAUGGAGGAGGCUGGGAAGCCAAACUUGGCUGACUAUUUUCCUGUGCUUAAGAAGAUUGAUCCCAUGGGGAUACGGCGCCGUUUGGGCAAGCACUUCCAGAAGAUGAUUGAUCUUUUUGACCGCAUGAUCGUCCAAAGGUUAGAAUCAAGGAAGUCACGUGAUUAUGUCACAGGGAAUGAAUGUUGGAUACUCUUAUAAACAUGAGCGAAGAGAAAAAUGAGGAUAUGGACAUGGCUGAAACUCAACAUUUGUUUCUGGUUAGUUAUUGCUACUCUAGCUCUAUUAAUUAAUUGAUAAUUAAAUUGCUUAGAUAUUAUAAUUAUAACUUAUUGCUAGAUUGUGUACCAUCUUAAUUGAUCAUUUUAAAAGAGUGCUGCUAAAUGAAUCUUAAAAUUAACUGAGUACACUCUAUGAUCUAAGUACAUCUUAAUAUUUAAAUCAAAAUAUAAAAUUAACUAAGUACACCUUAUUUAACUACCAAAAAUACUCAUUGUACACCCUAAUACACUCUAUCUCGUCCAAAAAAAAAAAAAAAACCAACAACAUUCAUCGAUCUCCCUAUGAUCCCCUUUUCUCCAUACUUUGAUUCUCAAAAAUUUUAACUGUAAAAUCUGGACAGUAUUGUUCUUUUUGAUAUAUCCUAAAUCUAACUAUAAUGAUACAAAAACGUUCAACAUAAUUCUUUGAUUUCAUUCCUCUUGAUGCUAAAACGUUCAAAUUAUGAUUUUGCCUGCGAAAACUUCAAAAUCUUCCUUAGUUCUUUAAUGUUUUAGUCUUUAACUCCAAAUGGUAGAGCAAAUAAACAAAGACUCAAACAAAUAAUUAAUUAGGAUUGCAGAUAAGGACUUCACUGUAAAGAUCAAUCAGCCUUGUAUUUAUAUAUGCCUUCAAUUUUCUUCGAAGAAUGCUAGCCAUUGAUUGAUGUGUGUCUCACAGCGAGUCCAUCCAUCAAUGGCUAACACAAACAAGCACUGCACUGUAUUGAAUCAGCCCCUGCAUAUUUCUUUUAAUAGCUUCAAGUUUAUUCUUGGCAAAACGAAAAUUUCAGCAACUGUAUUGCUGAAAUACACUUUGCUUUGCAAACAUAAGAGCAGUUUUUAAUAUGUCUUCAUGUAAAAUUGCAUUUUCAAGAUCUCAUGUUCAGAGACUGUACAUUCAUCAUGAAAAUUUGCAGAGAGCUAAGAAGAAACAACUACAUUGUGUGGUUUAUUAUAGCAAUCAGUCAAGUCUUUGCAGUUAUUUUUUUUUUCUCUUUUUUUUUUUUCUUUUUUUGAAACUGCUACUCGGUAUUGGCCAAAAGAAAACUGCUCUUUAUUCUUCCAGUUUGGUAUUUUGUAUGUUUUAUACUGAGCAGAAGAGUGAUUGAAAGAAGAAGAGGUUCUACUGAGCUUGGUUUUGAGAGAUAAAAGAGUUCGGCUGUCCAAAUGCUAAGAUGGAGAAGAAGAGAAGUGUAGGGAAAAAUAUGCCGUGUCAUAUUUUAGAUGGUUUUUAAAGAGUGUUGCUAAACGAAUCCUAAAAUUAACUGAGUACACUCUUAAAAUAUGUGGUGUUAUGUUUUACAAUUGAAUAUAUCUUUUUUAGUCAUUUUAUAUUAGGGUAAAUUAGUAAUUCAAUAAAUACUUUGAUAGUAGGGUGUACUUAGUUAAUUUUAGAGUUCGUUUAGCAGCACUCUUUUAAAAUUAUGACUAUGGUCACUUUAUUUUUGUUGAGAUGGUAUAAGUACGUUAAUCCUACACUGAUCAAGGUCUUGUGUUCAAAUCCCCUUAUAUCGCUUUUAUAAAAAUAAAAAUAAAAACUAUAUAUAUAUAUAUAUAUUUGGUGCCCAUAUUAAUUUGACUAAUUAACUUUUUGGUGAAUUAGGAUUUAUUUGGUGCGGGCACAGAUACAACUUCAGCCACAUUAGAAUGGGCAAUGGCUGAGCUAUUACGCAACCCUGAAAAGCUAUCAAAAGCUCAAGAGGAGUUGAAGCAGGUUGUUGGCAAAGGAAAACCAGUGGAGGAAUCAGACAUCACUCGGCUCCCUUACUUACAAGCCAUAAUCAAAGAGACCUUCCGGCUGCACCCAGUUGUCCCACUUCUUCUCCCUCGCAAAGCCCAAGCAGACAUAGAAAUCUGCGGUUACAUUGUACCAAAGGGUGUACAAGUGUUGGUCAACGCAUGGGCCAUCGGCAGAGACCCCAGCAUUUGGGACAACCCUACCUCAUUUAUCCCUGAAAGGUUUUCAGGAUUGGAUAUCGACGUUACUGGCCAGAACUUUGAGCUUAUUCCAUUUGGUGGUGGGAGGAGAAUAUGUCCUGGGUUGCCUUUGGCGAUGAGAAUGUUGAAUUUGAUGUUGGGUUCGCUUAUUAACUCGUUUGAUAAUUGGAAGCUUGAAGAUGGAGUUGUGCCAGAAAAAAUGAACAUGGAUGAGAAGUUUGGCCUCACUUUACAGAUGGCUCAUCCUGUGAUAGCUGUGCCCAUCAAGUAUUAGGAGAACGAAACCUAGCUAGCUAUGGUUUCUAUAAUAAAUAGAUUUAUGUUUUUAUUAGGGAGUUACAAUAAUUAAUCCUACUAAUGAUAGGAAAUGGUCAGUUGUCAAUUACGUUGUUAUUAGGCCAUAACUCCAUAUUUAUGUGUAUGAUAAUGGCUUGUUCUAAUUGUAGAUUAUUCUCUACAUAUUUAUAUAUUUUAUAAUGAUCAUAUGAAUGACUAAGGAAAAAAUAGUUUCUAUAUGGAAUAUGGUAUCAGAGCUAAUGGCUAACGCCGAUUAGCGAUUCUCCCGUUGCCAACAUUGAGAGUCGUUGGUGCUCCGCACUCCUCACCCGUAAGGAGGGUGUUUGUUUAUGUUUAGUGCUUUUUCCUCUCCUCUUCUCAAAGAUGAAUAUAUUUUUUUCUUCCAUGUUAGCGAUUUUUUUUGUAUUGUUUCAUCCUUAGUUAUAUUAACUGCGGGCAUCGGCGGCUUCUUUCUUUUUGUUGUGCCUGAUAAAAUUGACCUUAGAUGGCUUCAUUUUCUUCAAAUCACCCCAGUUGCCUUUCCCAAUCUGAUGAGAUUGGACAAAUAACUUUAAUGGACCAAUAUGCGCAACCCAUGUAGAAAACCAUAUCUAUUAUAGGGUGGACUCCUAUCCUGGUGUAUGAUUUUUGUUUUGUAAAAUCACCCCAGUUUCCCUUCAUUAUGAUGGUAGAUUGACCUUGCGAAGGCUAUAUCUAAAGGAAAAGCAAACAGAGCCAUGCCACUAGAACACAGAUUUUUGUUUUGUAAAUUUUUUAUAAAGUUAUUCGGUGUUGAUUUUUCAAUUUAAAAAAUGUAUUUGGAAGUCUUGUUGGCUCAAUCACUUUUCUUUCUUUGUUCUACUCUUCUAGAUUUGGGAGGGGCUACUUCGGCAACGGGUGAGAACUGGUGUUAGAAGGGGAUGGAAAAGUCGUUGAAAAAUUAGGUUGGUUUUAUUGAUAUAUUUUAUAUUUAUAGUGAAUUGAUGGAAAUGGAAGCAUGUGAUUUGAUUUAACGGAAAUUUUUAAAGGAGUUUGACGUAGGUGGUAAAUAUUGCAACACUUUAAAUAGUUCAAGUGGUUGCUAGAAAAAAUUAAAAAUUCAUGUAGUAAUCCCGCACGUACUAAAAAGUUCGGAUGAUAUUUAUGUAAAUUCCCCUUUAGGGUAAAUAGAGAUAGCUUGUAAAAGCUUCCACUUCUAAAAAAUAAGUCCGGAUCCAAAUUGUUCUUGAAUGUCUUUACCUAAGUUUGUCUCUUAGCUUAGAGGAUGUAUAUAAAAGACUUAAAAGAGUUAGUCUUGAAAAGAUAUUUUCAUGCUUUCUCAAUAAGUCUCAACAAUCGUGCCAAAAAUUAAUUAAGAGUUAGGCGAGAGAUCAAUUUCUUGUGUUGCAUGCAAAUGUGUCUUAUGGUUGCCUGAAUUUCUUGUGGGGGAGCUGGGAGGAGAAGGGGAUGGAGAGAAAGAGAAGGAGGGGGGGGGGGGGGGGUUGUUAUUUAUUAUAAAGAUUUUUUUAAUGUUAAUUUAUUUUAUUAUAUAAUUAAUUUAUUAUUUUUUUAAAGAAACAGCGGGUCCUACAGUAGACACGUUAUCAAUUAAAUCAAAUAGUCAACUUAAUAGAAAGUUUAAAUUGGUCAAAUUUGAAAAUCAUCAAGUGUAAAUUGAUGAAAUUGGAAUUCGAGAGCCUAUGUUCAGAAUGAUCCUAAAUCUUCAGGAAGUCUUUUGACGUUAGUCCUAAUAUAUAUUUGUAAUUCCAUGAGUGUUUCAUGUUGCAUGUUCUGCGGGUCCUUUUCAAAUAAAUCAGCCAUGUGCACAAGAGUGAAUUUAGCUGAAGACAUGUCAUGUCUUCUGUUCAUAAAAAAACAACAAAGAAGGUUACUAGCAUUCCUUAUAUAUAUAUGUGUGUACUUUUUGUUUUUGGGUGAGAAAAGUCCCUUCGAGUGGACAGGAAAUUGUACUUUUUUUGUCUUUUCGCAUUUUUUUUUUCAUGUUAGAGUAGUUUGGGACCAUCCUCGUUCAAAGGAGACAUGUGCAGUUGCAAAAGACCAUCGUGCAUGUUUAUGGGAAAAAACAAAACCUCUAGCCCACUUGGCUAUAAAUUAUUGUAUGUAUGUUGUUUACACCAUAAUGAACCGAGCAGACCCAGCAUCAAAGCGACUAGCACCAAGGCAGCCACGCCUUCUCCCAUGCCGAAGGAAGACACACUUCCGAGGUGCCUGACACCUGCCGAAGCUCUCAGCUGCCAAACCUAAUCUCCAGGACACGUGUCGCCACCACAACGGCUUGCACAAAGUCCCACAUUGGAACUUUGUGCAAAGCUCCCACUUUCACUUCCCUAUAAAUAGGGAACAGUACCAAGGUACAAAAAACGACUAUUCUCCCACUUUUACUGUUACUCUGCCAGAAUUACUACUUGUAACUGACUUAGGCAUCGGAGAGCCUUCGGCCAGCACCACACCGGUGUCCGAAGCUUAAUGAUUGCUUCUCCUCUUUUACCUUCUACAGGUCUCUCACCAACCCAUUUCACCAAGGGCCUCAGCCUUCUUCUCUGCUGAAGACUCAGCACAUCUAAUCACUAAGUUGGACUCAAUAUUGGCCGGGCCAUUUUGAGCAUCAACAGUUUGGCGCCGUCUGUGGGAACUCGACACUUGAAUCCCCUCUUUCUCUAUCAGCCCAGCUGGCUCCUUCACCCCUCAGGCCCCGUCGCCUCUUCUUCACCCCACAUUCUGCUAUGCCGACCGAGGAUAGCCGCGACACCCAGCACCAUACCCCCCGCGAUGGUACUUCUAGAAGGAAAUCUUAGGAAGAUGCCACUCUCCAGGCAGAAGUGGAGCGCCUCCGCGACAGUGUCACUAAAAUGUCGGAAAAAAACGAGCACCUUCAUUGCAAGAACAUUGAGCUAGAACAUGACUACCGUGUUUUAAAGCGGAACUGGGAAAGGACUCACACCCAGGAUGCCCAGCAAGACCUCACCCAGAACGUUGGGCCUACUCAGCCGAACCAGCCGGUACACUCCAGCCACAGUGCCUCGGCCCAAGCUAGGCUCCGCAAAGGUAAAGACCACCUUCAUCCGGAGAUAACCCAGUCGCGACCCCUUUGCGUUCCCCCACCGAGGGACCGGCCCCAUGAACCAGUCAGGAUCUACCAAGAUUGCAGGGAUCGCCUCUCGGACCGUCAGCCGAGGCCGGUCCCUAUCCCUGUCAACCUCGAAGACCCACGGGUGACACACCUGGGCCUCUCGCCAGCCCCCGUCCGCAUACCCGACGAGGAAGGUGUCGGGGACUCGGAUACUUGGGACUUUUAUAAUUCGGAGACCCAGCCAAAUUACCACACCGGGGCGCUGGAAAAUUGGGAACAAUCCCCAGUCCCUGUCUGCCCCGCCCCUAGGCCUUUGGCGCCUGAAACUCUUCCUCAUGCCGACCCGGCCAUGAGGUUUCUCUUUGAAAAGGUCCGGCGCCUGGAAAGCGAACAACAUCGCAGCCCAUCAACUCCUUCUGGGCUAACCACGACCAGGGCCCUUUACCGNNNNNNNNNNNNNNNNNNNNNNNNNNNNNNNNNNNNNNNNNNNNNNNNNNNNNNNNNNNNNNNNNNNNNNNNNNNNNNNNNNNNNNNNNNNNNNNNNNNNNNNNNNNNNNNNNNNNNNNNNNNNNNNNNNNNNNNNNNNNNNNNNNNNNNNNNNNNNNNNNNNNNNNNNNNNNNNNNNNNNNNNNNNNNNNNNNNNNNNNNNNNNNNNNNNNNNNNNNNNNNNNNNNNNNNNNNNNNNNNNNNNNNNNNNNNNNNNNNNNNNNNNNNNNNNNNNNNNNNNNNNNNNNNNNNNNNNNNNNNNNNNNNNNNNNNNNNNNNNNNNNNNNNNNNNNNNNNNNNNNNNNNNNNNNNNNNNNNNNNNNNNNNNNNNNNNNNNNNNNNNNNNNNNNNNNNNNNNNNNNNNNNNNNNNNNNNNNNNNNNNNNNNNNNNNNNNNNNNNNNNNNNNNNNNNNNNNNNNNNNNNNNNNGCAGAGCUGAUGAAGCAGCAGCAGUCCAUGCUAAGGCCGAAUACUUCAAUACCAAGCGGUGGCCCAGCUAACCUGAUGCGCAACGCUUUCGCUGAUCCUCCACUUGCUUCAGCACCGCCCCAGCCCCACUCAGCAUUCUACCCUGCCCCGAGUACUCAGGACAACCAACAACAUAAGCGGAAGGAUAGCUACCAGCAUCCCUUUCGGUAAUAACAAACGUGGCAGACAUGGCAACCACCACCAUUCUAGCGGAGGCAACCCGCCUAGGCCUGCUGAUCGGGCCCCACUUCCAUUCGCACCCAAGCCCAGGUUCGAGGUAUUUACCACCCUCAACACCACCUAUGAGAACGUCCUGGUGCGUGAAGCCCCCAUCAUCCCCAAGCCACCCCCCCGGAGACCAUCCAGCAAGCCAAUGCCAAACACGGGGGUCUUCUGCCGCUUUCAUCAAUUCAGCGGCCAUGACACCGAGUCUUGUGUUGCGUUGCGCAACAUAAUUGAAGGGCUCAUCCGGGAGGGUAAGCUGGACAACUAUGUGCGCAACAUACCAGCCCCGCCUAACCCUCACCAACGACAAAUCAACAUGAUCUCCACCAUCAGCGGAGGUCCUACCCUGGCUGGCACCUCCAACAAUUCCAUCAAACAUUAUGUCCGCUCCACCUAUGCGCACCAGGUCUUCACCACCGAGCAGGGACGAUUGCCAAAGACCCACAGGACUGGCUGGGCCCCCAUUACCUUCUGCGAGGAGGAGGAGCGUGGUGUUAUCCUCCCCCAUGACGAUCCACUCAUUAUCCGGGCUGACAUUUCUAACUUCGACGUUGGGCGUAUCCUGGUGGACACUGGCAGCUCGGUCAGUGUGAUGUUUGCCGAGUGCUUCAAUGAACUCCAGGUCCCGCCUCACCUACUCGACCGAAGCAUCACACCCCUUGUGAGCUUCUCGGGUGAUGUGGUCCAGCCCAUUGGCAGCAUUCAUCUCCCUAUCUCAAUUGGGGCCGCACCCCAGCGGACGACAAUCACUACCCCCUUCCUUAUCGUCGAUUGCCCCACAGCCUACAACGUCAUCCUCGGCUGCCCAGCCCUGGCCCAAAUGAGAGCUUUUAUUUCCACGCAUAUGCUACUGUUGAAGUUCCCCACUCCUAAUGGCCCAGGCACGGUGCGCGGCGACCAACUCGGGGCCCGAAGCUGCUAUGCUUCAGCAGUAAAAUCCACCAAUCGCCAACCUAGGAGCGAGGCCCUUUCGGUAACCAUGGCUCCCGCCCCUCCUCAAGCUGGCACAGACCCACCUGAAGACCCAAGGGAGGAGUCCAUCGCACCGCAGGCCGAACCUAUGGAGGACCUGGAGCUGGUUACCCUCCAUGACGAUAUCCCGGAUCGACAAGUCCGGAUCGGCACCUCCAUCUCGCCAGAGCUUCGCUCUGACCUGGUCGCCUUCCUCCGCCUCAACUCCGAAGUCUUCGCUUGGUCCUACAAUGACAUGCCGGGCAUCUCACCAGACAUCAUAUCUCAUAGGCUUAGCGUCAAUCCUGCCGUCAGACCAGUCCGAUAGAAGCGUCGCGCUUAUGAUCCCGAGCGCUAUGAGGCCAUGAGGGCGGAGGUGGAACGAUUGAGUAGCAUCGGAUUCAUCAGGGAGGUUGACUAUCCUACAUGGCUGGCUAAUGUCGUGAUGGUCCGCAAACCAAGAAAGGGCUGGCGCAUGUGUGUCGACUACACCAACCUUAAUCGGGCUUGCCCAAAGGACAGCUUCCCGCUACCCCGCAUUGACCAGCUAGUCGACGCCACAGCCGGCCACGCCCUCCUUAGCUUCAUGGAUGCUUAUUCAGGUUACAACCAGAUCUUCAUGCACCCCGAAGAUCAGGCCCACACCUCUUUCAUUACGGACCGCGGCCUCUACUGCUAUAAGGUGAUGCCCUUCGGCCUCAAAAACGCCGGGGCUACUUAUCAGCGUCUGGUGAAUCAGCUCUUUGCCCCCCUGAUUGGCAAUACCAUGGAAGUCUAUGUCGAUGACAUGCUAGUCAAGAGUCGCACGGCUGACCAGCACAUCCCCAACCUCUCUGCCAUGUUCACCAUCUUGAAGCAAUACAAAAUGAGGCUUAACCCCACCAAAUGUGCAUUCGGGGUGGCUUCCGGAAAAUUCCUUGGCUUCAUGAUAAGCCAGAGAGGCAUUGAGGCCAGUCCAGAAAAGAUCCAGGCCAUCUUAGAUAUGACAAUACCUAAGACGGUCAAGGAUAUCCAAAGCCUUACAGGGCGUGUCGCAGCCCUGACCAGAUUUAUCUCCAAAGCCACUGACCGCUGCGCCCCAUUCUUCAAGGCCCUUAAAGGCACCAAAAGAAACAUCACCUGGACUGCUGAAUGUGACACGGCUUUCAGCGAGCUGAAGGAGUAUAUGGGCCGGGCCCCUUUAUUGUCAACCCCUGAGCACGGAGACAUCCUCGUGAUUUAUCUCUCCAUCUCAGCUUCGGCUGUUAGCUCUGUGCUCAUCCGAUCAAAAGAUCACGCGGAGCACCCAGUGCAUUAUGUUAGUAAAGCAUUGCAGGAUGCCGAAGUUCGUUACCCGGACAUCGAAAAAUUGGCGUUCGCCCUGGUCGUCUCGGCAAGACGCCUCCGACCAUAUUUCCAAGCUCACACCAUCCAUGUCUUAACCAACCAACCACUCCGACAGGUGUUGCAGAACCCAGAAACUUCUGGGAGGCUGGUCAAAUGGGCCAUUGAACUGGGCGAGUUUGAUCUUCAUUACAAACCCCGCCCGGCUAUGAGGGGUCAGGCCGUUGCUGACUUCCUAUCCGAAUUCACGGAUCCCCAAGCUUCCGCAGCUACCCAGCUCAUAACCGAACCCAAUCCCCCUUCCAGCCAGGACCAAACCCCCACCGAAGGCAAUCUCGACCUAACCCAGCCCCUGUGGACCUUAUUCGUAGACGGCUCUUCUAAUGCCCAGGGCUGUGGGGCCGGCCUCGUUCUCAUCUCCCCAGACAAGGUUGCCCUCGAGUACGCCCUUCGCUUCAAAUUCCAAGCCUCCAACAAUGAGGCCGAAUACGAAGCACUCAUAGCUGGUCUUCGAUUAGCCAAAGAGAUGGAUGCCAGGCAAAUUCAGAUAUUUAGCGAUUCACAACUCGUGGUCCACCAGGUCAACCAGGACUUCACGGCUAAGGAUCCCUCUAUGACGGCCUACCUCCAGCACGCUCGGCACCUGCUGGCGACUUUCCACGCCCACUCUCUCAAGCAAGUGCCGCGCUCCGAGAAUAGCCAUGCCGAUGCACUAGCCAGGUUGGCAUCAGCCUUGGAGCAGGGACUGGGUCGCCACAUCCACAUCGAGUUUUUGGCCCAGCCCAGCACACAAGCCCCACUCAUCUGCACUAUUGAUCACAGCCCCACAUGGAUGGACCCCAUCCUCCAGUUCUUACAGAACCAAACACUACCAGCUAAUCCGGCAGAAGCACGACGCGUACGCCAUCGCUCUGCCCGUUACCUGAUCAUUAACGGCUCCUUAUACAAGCGGGGUUUCAGUCUCCCAUACCUCCGAUGCCUGACUCCAGAGGAGGGUCACUAUGUCCUCCGAGAAAUCCAUGAAGGCAUCUGCGGCAACCACUCGGGCGCACGCUCGCUAGCCCAUAAGGCAAUCCGCCAAGGAUACUUCUGGCCUUCACUCCACACUGACGCCCAGGCCUUCACCCAGAAAUACGACAAGUGUCAGCGAUUCGCCAACAUCCCACAACUCCCGGCUGAACCGUUGACUGCAAUGGUCAGCCCUUGGCCAUUUGCCCAAUGGGGACUGGAUCUCAUUGGACCGAUGCCAGAGGGCAAGGGCCAAGUCAGGUAUGCAGUUGUGGCCGUGGACUACUUCACCAAGUGGGCUGAGGCCGAGGCCUUGGCCACCAUCACUGCGGCUCGCAUCGAAUCCUUUGUGUGGCAAAACAUUGUAUGUCGCUUCGGCAUCCCCAACUCCAUCGUCACCGACAAUGGCCGGCAAUUUGACAACGCCAAAUUCAAACAAUUUUGUUCCAACCUCAAGAUUCGUCUGUGUUUCGCCUCCCCAGCCCAUCCACAGUCCAAUGGCCAGGUCGAAGCCGUGAACAAAAUCAUCAAGAAGACCCUCAAGACAAAACUUGACAAAGCCAAGGGCUGCUGGCCAGAACUACUCCCAGAAGUACUCUGGUCCUACCGCACCACCUUCCGCACAUCCACGGGUGAAACGCCGUUCUCCCUAUCAUUUGGAACCGAGGCCGUGGCUCCGGUAGAGAUUGGCCAGCCCACAUACCGAACCUCCACUUACGAUGCCACGGCCAAUGACGAGCAGUUGGCCCUCAACCUCGACUUCAUUGACGAACUCCGGGACCAAUCGAACAUGCGCAAUGCCGCGUACAAGCAACGCAUCGCCAAAUACUAUGACUCCCGAGUCAAGCCCCGUGCUUUCAAAAUGGGGGACUGGGUCAUGCGCAAGGUUUCCUUGGCUACCAAAAAUCCUAACGAAGGUACCCUCGGCCCUACAUGGGAAGGUCCUUACGAGAUUAUCAAAAUCUGCCGCCCCGGCACUUAUCAGCUUCGUGAUUCCACAGGCAAGACGCUGCCUCACCCGUGGAAUGCUGACCACCUCAAGUACUAUUACAAGUAAACAUAUCUAGACCCUAGGACAAUACUUUGGUCUUGAUUAUUUACUAUAAGUUAGACGUAAGGUAUCUAGACCCUAGACCACUUGUACCUUCUGCCUUUCGGCAUCUAUUUCAAUAAAAUGCCUGACUCAGGCUCAUUCUCAUGAACUCACAUUGUUAUCAUUUUUAACACAAUUGAUAUCAAGCUAAGUUCAUAUCAUAAAUAAAAACAGCCUUGCUCCAGGCAAGGACAAAUGUUCAUACAUAACCACAGUAAACAAAACACAAUCACUAGAGUACAAAAUACAAAAUAGCUAUAACACAUCACGAAGGCAACGCCUUCAGGACUCGGUCGAAGGGGCAUCCUCAGUGGCUGGCUCAGCCUCUGGUGUCGGGGCGCUAGCAUCAGCAGGAGGGGUCUGUGCAGGAGGCUCGCCACUGGUGUCAAAGUUAAUCUCCAGUGAGGGGUUGAACCUAACCAACCUAUCUUCCCAGCGAAGCUGCUCAUCAACCAGUCGGUCCAUGAUAUAGCUCUUCAGCUCCUCUGAGGAUCGGAAGGACUCAAUCGCCUCGGCUCGGGCAGCAGCCACCUCCUCGGCCCUAGAUCUCUUCAGCUCCUCCACCUCCUUGGCCAGGGCCGCCUUUUGAACCAGCAAGGUGUUCUUCUCUCGGAUGGCCUCCUGCGCCUCCGCCAUUUUGCUCUUGGCUAGCUCAUCCCGCCUCUUCAACCUCUGGAUCUCCUUGUCAGCCUUGGCCAUGCUGACGUACAUCUCGCCAAAGGCCUGCAAAACCAAAACCAUGUUAGUCAAUCCACACAAAAAUAAUCCAACACAGGUACAUUCAAAAAGGGCCUAAACACUUACAUAGGCAGAGGUGAGGAUCGUCUUUUGGGCCCGGUCAAUGAAGGAAGAAGCUGGAGUCCUCGCCAAGGCCUCAGGGUCGCUCUUCACGCCUUCCAGGAAGACGUUCACUAAGGGCACCUCCUGCCGGUGCAUAGCCAGGUUGACCUCCUUCUUCUGCUGGCGUAGCCUGCCGAAGUCUACCUUCUCUACCCCUUCAGCGAACACAUCCUCCAUGCCGAAGGGUAGCUUCGGCGGUGCCUGCAGAUCAAAGGGCGGAAGCCUCGGCCCUGCCCCCAUCACAUGCUAAUGAGCCUCCUCCAAAGCCUUCCUCUUCCCCAGCACGUCCGCGACCCGACCCUCAUCAUCAUCCCUGGGUCGUUUUCCAGCACUCUUCUCAGCUUUCUUGGCCCGAGACUCCCUCAGCCGCUUCUGCAUCUCGGCCUCAUCAAUGUCUACGGCCACCUUCGUGCUCCCCCUUAUGAUGCCAGCCACUGUCAAAACAAACAAAGCAAUUCUAUUACUCAAACUUACAAAGGCUCAGUACAAAACAAAAAGAUAACCCAGGUACUUACUUCCUUGCAGCAGUCCGGACUCAAACAAAUUCUUCUGCGUGACUAGGUUCCCGCACUCACGCUCAGUCUCUGAUAGCUGCGCCCUCACCCACUCAACUUCGUCUUCUUGCUCCUUGGAGAUAGGGCCCCACUUCACUGAACCUGCAUCAAGGGUUAGAAACUACUUAGCCAUUUACACUGGCACAAAGGAAGUACAGAACAAAAAAUAGGAGCCAAAACAACACAAUCAGGCAUUGGACAAUCUUAAGGGAUGGGGCAAGGACCUAUAGACUGGAAGUGGGUAGGAAUGUGCUGGACAACGCUCUUCCCUAGAGGACAUUCCCAGUCCCCAUAGGCCAAGCACCACCUGUUCCUCCAGGACUUUUGCGUUGUGGGCUUGUGUCCAAUAAAAUAGCCCCUCUCCUUCGCCUUUCGGCAAUUGGCCUGUACCCAGCCAAAAUUCCCCUGUUGCUUCGAAAUGGAGUACAGGUACAUGAACUGCUCAAACGUUGGCUCCCCUAACCCAGCCAACCACCAGGCGAUAUACACCCCAUGAAGAAGAAUCCAAAAGUUGGGAUUAUACUGCCCCGGUGCAUACCCCAACUUGGCCAACAUCAUCUGAACCCACGGAUGAAACGGCAGUCUGAAGCCGUGCCGAUACAUAUCUGUAAAAAUCAUCACGGAGCCAUCUGAAGGAUAUCUGACUACAUCGGCCUCAGUGGGUAACCUCAAGCCCACAUAGGCUGGCACACAAAAAUCCGUUCGUAGCUGGGCCAAUUUCGCUUCUGUAAGUGUAUUCCGCCUUGGCAACGGGACACCAACCCGGAUGUCUAAUCCCUAUGACACCGAAGCCACGGCUAUACCCACAGACCCUGAUGGUGAUGCCUGGUUGCUCGAACCCACUUCUUGCGUCUGAGGCAAGGCUAGAACCCGAUUUGCUAUAGCCUCUAACUCUAUAUAAUUUCUCUGCAUCUCCCUAUAUGCAGCCGACCCAGAGUCUCCCGAUGGCUCAGCCCUCUCACCCCCAGGCCAUAUCAUCCUACUUUCUAUGGUUCCUUCCACCAUACCCUCUGUCUCUGAACUUUCCUCUUCAGAACAUAUAUAUUGACUCGGCUCUUGACUCUCAGUAUCAUCCCCGCCGAAGGCAGGGGGGUCAAGACUUUCCCUAUCAGAACUUUCAGACAUCUACAAAUAUGGAAAAACAAGAAAAAGGAACUAAAUGCACAUGCAGAGAGGAUCGAACCACAACAACAAGAAUUUGCCAAAUCUUCAUACCAGGCAAGAAUUCUACAUGUUCAUACAUAUGUUCAACAUGUUCAUCAUGUUCAUGCUCAUGUUCAAUGUGUUCUUCCUAACCUUCAACAUGUUCAUGCAAAACAAGACAUUUCAAUUCAAAAGUUCAAGCGAAAUAAGGUCUAACCUUGUUCGUACCACCACGUACAAGUCGCCGGAAAUCACCUCAGCCACAAGCACCACCACAAAACCUUCGCCGGAAAUCUCUUCUCCUCCUCCUCAAAUUCUCACAAUUUUUCUCAACUCAAGCCAAGUGUGAUGCCUUCACCACCCAAGUUCCUUUAAAUAGCCAACUAAGGGUACCACGCCUCGUUUCACGGGCAAACCCUAGCACCCUUUCAUAUUCCCUCCUAAAUCCCUUGUACCUACACACAAUUUGAAAUUCAAUUUUCAAAUAUACAAGCAAGAAACAAAAACAAUUGUGAGAAAUUUAGGGACCUUGCCGAACGGCAAGGCCCGUGCAAAAACAAAAUGGAGCCCCAAAAUUUCAAGUGUCCUAGCCUAUUUCAUAAGCCCAAUCUUAUUACAGGGCUAGGGCCCAAAAUUGUCCAAGGCCAAGACCCAAAUUUGAUCAACACAACGGUCCAAAUAAAAACCUGCUCAAGACACCCUUGCCGAACGGCAAGGGCUAUGCAUGCAUCAAAAAGGGGGCAAAAGGAGACCAUACCGAAGCACACCACCCAGCUGCUGCGCCGAGGACCUCCUGGGCUUGCCAAAACCGCCUGCCGCAGGACUCCCAAAUCGCUGCCAAGUCCCCUGCCGAGUGGUAAGACACGUCCGCCGCUCCAAAUUGCUCAGCAGCUCCUUUGAUCUCGGCAGCUCCACCUCACGCGGCUAGACCAAUUGCCGAAGCCUACCUCACGCGGAUCCGCACCUGGCCCUGCUCAAAGUCCAGCCCACUUGCCGAAGUACCAGCCGCCUUACUCGACCUCUGACCAGCAGCUCCGUGGCCACGACCUGCCGAGCGGCAAGGGCCAGCCACUCGGAUGUGCUCCCAAUCACUCGUGGUUCACCUUGCCGAAGCUGCACAGCCCAGCUUCCCUUGCCGAAACACCACACAACUCGACAACCACCCAAUCACCCUUGCCGAACGGCAAGGGUCUUCCAAAUCCAAUUCUCCAUCCCUGCUGCAGCCUUGCCGAAGCCGAUAUUGCCAAAGCUGCCCAGCCCCUCCUUGCAGAACGGCACCCUCCACCCGUGCUCUUUGCCAAACCGUGAGCUACCCCACCCUAGCUCCAAGUUGCCGAACGGCACCUUCCACCCAUGCUCUUUGCCAACCCGUGAGCUACCCUCAACCCUAGCUCCAAAUUGCCGAACGGCACACUAGCAAACCCCAAUACCAAAAUCUACCAAACUGCCGAAUGAAGCCUUGCCGAACGGCAUGAUGCAUCAUCUCGUUUUUAUACCCCCCUCCUCCAACAACCCUAGCCCUUCUUAAUUGCCAAAGCCCAACUCGGGCCCAACUCUUGCCAAUUGUCGAAGGCCCAAUUCAAGCUAGGCCUUCAAGCCCUCUCAAUAUGACCUAGCUCCCAAGUUCAAAACAAAAAAAUAUAUAUUUUGCUAGACCCUUGCCGAACGGCAAGGGCCAUGGAAGCUUUGUGGGGAGGUCCAAAAAUCCCAAAUGGCCCGGCCAUUCCCAAAAAAAAAAAAAAAAAAAAAAAGGAGCUAGACCCUUGCCGCACGGCAGGAGCCAUGAAAGAAUUGGAGUCUCCAAAAUUUUCAAAGUACCCGGCUCCCUCGAAGGUCUGGCUCCUCUAGGGACCCAGCUCCCAUCCUAUCUGCAACAUGCCCAAGUACCCAGGUACCCAGCUACCAUGUGUUGACGCAACUCCUAGCUUGCCAACUUGGGGGACUAGGGAGUGCCCUGCGGCUCCCAAUGAAGCUGGAAUGCUCGGUUACAAUUACAAAAACUCACAAGUUCCCAACCCAGAAGUUACUUCUCGACCGCGAACUUGGGGGACUACUGUUUACACCAUAAUGAACCGAGCAGACCCAGCAUCAAAGCGACUAGCACCAAGGCAGCCACGCCUUCUCCCAUGCCGAAGGAAGACACACUUCCGAGGUGCCAGACACCUGCCGAAGCUCUCAGCUGCCAAACCUAAUCUCCAGGACACGUGUCGCCACCACAACGGCUUGCACAAAGUCCCACAUUGGAACUUUGUGCAAAGCUCCCACUUUCACUUCCCUAUAAAUAGGGAACAGUACCAAGGUACAAAAAACGACUAUUCUCCCACUUUUACUGUUACUAUGCCAGAAUUACUACUUGUAACUGACUUAGGCAUCGGAGAGCCUUCGGCCAGCACCACACCGGUGUCCGAAGCUUAACGAUUGCUUCUCCUCUUUUACCUUCUACAGGUCUCUCACCAACCCAUUUCACCAAGGGCCUCAGCCUUCUUCUCUGCUGAAGACUCAGCACAUCUAAUCACUAAGUUUGACUCAAUAUUGGCCGGGCCAUUUUGAGCAUCAACAUAUGUCAUUUACCUUCUUCUUCUUCUUUUUUUUUUGUUUUUUUUUUCUGCAUGUCAUUUACUAUUUUACGUGAUAUGUGCAUCUGUGAGAAUGAUAGCUCCCAAACGCUAGGCACCACGAGUGAUAAACUAUUUUGAUUAUAGAAUUUAAAAUUAAAUGAUUUUAACUAUGUGGAAUUUUUUAGACCAAAACUUGAUUUAUUCAAAUGAUAAUAGUUGAAUUUAACAACUUUUGUGCAAUUAGAACCAGAGAGAAUGGAUUUCUUGAGUUUUUGUAUCGUCCUGCUAAACCUUUUCUUUGUGUUGUUGUUCUCAAUUAUUCAAGCUCUGCAAAGCAAAGCCAAUCCCAAAAGGCAUCUUCUCCCACCUAGACCAAAGCCAUGUCCCUUCAUUGGCAAUCUUCUAGAGCUUGGCAACAAACCCCAUCUCUCUCUCACCAAGCUUUCUCAAAUCUAUGGCCCCAUUAUAACUCUGCAACUCGGCCAAUAUUCAUAUUGGGGAUUUCCCAUCCCCACCUUCAAUGGGGAAUGGGUUCCCCGUCUAGCCCUACCUUUUGGGAUUGGCCUUGCUUUGCAGAGCUUGAUAAUUGAGAACAACAACACAAAAAAAGAUGGCAUCAGGUAUGUCAGAAGUCGUAUACUCAAGAAAGAUGGCACCAGGUAUGUCUUUACGUAUUUCAAAUUGUGUGAAAGAUUUUGAACAUGUAUAUUAAAGAAAUCUAACAGUUGGUAUCAGAGCCAGGUUGUUCGCACACACUAAAAUCGUUUUUGAAGCAUGCCUAUUAUGAUUUCUUAUCUGUUUUAUGCCAUGAUGAGUUUUUGGUGAUGUUCAAAAUUUGAAGAUGGAUUAAACAUGUUUUCUAAAUAUCAAGAAUAUUAAAGAAUCUGAAAAAGCAUGUUUUAAUUUGAUUUUCAUAUCUUCAAAACUUUAAACAUGUUUUUGACCUACCCGAUUCAGAAAGGUAUUUUGCGUAAAAAACAGACACCAAAAACGUCUAAAACACUGUUCAUUGCAAAAAUUACUAUUCACUGCAAUUUAGGGUUUUCUCUCUUGAACUGUGUUUGUUUCGUUAUUUUAUGAGCUAGAUAGGUGCUUGUCUUUGUUCUGAGAAUCAACAAAUUUUUCAUAAUAAAACCAAACCUAAAUACUCAAACCCUAAAGAAAUAACAAAAAUUGCAUCAUACCUAAAUUACUUGAUAAGUUUCUUCAACAAAUAGAAUCUAUCCUGUAAUUUAUUUUGCCACAAAGGUGUGAUACUUAAUUAAGGAAGCUUGCAUAUGUUACUUGCAUAUGUUAUUUGUUAGUUUUGUGAAUAAAGUGAAACGGAAAAACUAUUUUCUCUUAAGAAAUUGAGAAUUGGUGUCUUGGAAAGUAAUUAUGUCUUUUUUUUUUUUUUUUACAAAUCCUUACAGCUUUGAACACUCCCUCAAUCAAUUUCUCGCAAAUUGAAAGAUUCACUGGAUCAAACUUCAAAACAUGGACGUAUGAUUUUAAAGUUAUUCUCGGAAUGAAUGAGAUCGUUUAUGAUCUCACUCAUGAUUAUAUUUAAUUCAAGCUAGCCAUUUCACUUAUGUAUCUUGUAGUACAACUCCUAGAGUUUAGGGAAAAGAAAAAGCAUAUGGUGGUUAAUAGGAACCACUCGUGUCAACUAGUCACAAAUGGAAUUCUAGUAAAGAAUACAGUGGAGCUAAUUAAGAAGCGAAACGAAGAUGAGCUAGAGCAAAAAAGGGUUAAGAUGCAACGACGUCGUUGACCUUAUGGAGGACCCAUAAGGAUAUACAUGGCCACAAAGGACGGUCUCAGAAGUCUCAGGAUCACUGUAAAGCUCAGUGUAUUCGCUUAUGGGAGAGGACGAAACAUCAAUAAGCUAAUUCGAUGAAAAAAUCUCUUAGUGCAGUUUGUGAAACAUACGCCCCAAAUUGAAUCACCUGUUGAGAUUUUCGAUACCUCCACUAAUAGGGAGAUAGUGGUACUUAACCCGUUCCUUGCUAGGGAGAACAACACUUUCAUGGCAGCAUGUUGUGACAAGGAGGAUUAGAUAGCUACCUGUUGUUUUCAUUAAAUAUUAUUGGAAUAUUUAAUUUUAAGUUGGAUUCAGGAUUUAUUUUAAAGUAGGAUGAUGUAUUUUCAUUACCCUAAAUAAAGAGAAAUUUAAUUUCUAUUUCAAGAUUAUUAAGACUUUCUUUUAUUUUGGAUUCAAUAAAGAUGUUUUUGUAUCUCAGAAUUCAAAGACAAUAAAGGUGGAUUAUAUUGUCUCAAUUACAAUAAAUCUUUUUGAUCUCAACAAACGGGUGUUCACUAUUAAAAAGAAUGGUGCACUCGUCCACAAAUACUACAGCCAGCUGCAGCACAUCUUUCAGGAAAUUGAUCAUCGCACUCCCAAUCGCAUGCACUGUGGCGCCAAUGUGACUGAGCGCCAGAUAGAAUUAGAUCGUCUUCGUGUUCACCUUUUUCUUGCCGGGCUUGACCUUGAGUUUGAUCAAGUCCGGGGGGAAAUCCUACACAAAGAUCCUAAAAGGGACCUUGACCAAACCUUUGCAUAUGUACGUCGCGAAGCUCAACAAGGACUGACCAUGCUAGUGCUCCAAAAACCGCUGUCAUGGUCACUCAACGUCAACGGGGCCCUCAGAUCUGUACUGGUGGCUCUUCUCAUACUAAGGUCAUAGGCACCCGUCUGGAGCAUAAAUGUACUUACUGUGGUGGAUGUAAACAUACCCAUGCUGGCUAUUACAAAUUGAUUGGGUACCCGGAUUUGUGAGCCCACUCCAAAGCUCCCAGCAAGAAUAGGAGCAAAUCACCCCAACACAUCUUAUGACUCAGAUCCUGUAAGUCCUGCUGUUUCAACUACAUCGGUUCCCGCCUUUGCAUCUGUAGCCAUAAUAGGUACCCAAGGUUAUGUUUUACAUAGUUCUUCAAAGAAACACACAUAGAUCAUUGACACCGGAGCCACUGAUCAUAUGACCUUUGAUCCUAGACAAAUUGCCUCUCAUACACCGUCUCAUCAAUCAGUGGUGUCUAAUGCCAAUGGUACCCCAUCCUCCGUAAUUAGGGAGGGUUCACUCUCUCUCUCUCUCUCUCUCUAACUCCCUCAAUUUGGAUUCUGUGUUGGUUGUUCCAUCCUUACAUCAUAAUCUCUUGUCUGUUGCCCAAAUUACUAAGGCUUUGAAUUGCACUGUAACCUUUUGGCCUACUCAUUGUGGUUUUUAGGACAUUCUCAGCAGCAAGACAAUGGGUUGUAGUACUAGGAGGGGCAAACUUUACUACUUGGACUUAGCAUCUGACAGUGAAGCACAUUAACGAAGUAUGGUUAUGGUAUCGACGUCUUGGACAUGCUUCGUUUGGAUAUUUACAGAAGCUAUUUCCUUCCUUAUUUUCCAAUUUAAAUAUUUUCAAUUUGAAGUGUGACAUUUGUGAAUUGGCCAAGAGCCAUCGUGUUCCUUUUCCCUUACGUUCAAAUAAAAGUUUAGUUCCAUUUUCUCUUGUUCAUUCUAAUGUUUGGGGCCUUGCUAAAGUUACCACUCCAGGGGGAGCUCAAUGGUUUGUCAUGUUUAUAGAUGAUUGCACCCGCAUGACCUGGGUUUCCCUUCUCAAAACAAAAGAGGAAGUCAGUUCCAAGUUUUAAUAGUUCUAUCAAAUGGUGGAGACUCAGUUUCAUGCCAGAAUUCAGAUUCUUCGUUCUGACAAUGACGGAGAAUUUCUCGACCAUGAUCUUAACAAGUUCUUACAAGAUCACGGCAUCAUACAUCAACGCUCAUGCCUCUACACUCCCCAAAAAAAUGGAGUCCCUGAAAGAAAGAACAUACAUUUAUUGAAAGUAGUUCCUGCCUCUCUCUUUGGUGCCAAUAGGCCUCGAUCUUUUUGAGGAGAAGCCGUCGUCUUUACAGCAUACCUCAUCAAUCGGAUUCCUUCCAGUAUCCUAAAUUUCCAAACACCAUUUCAAACGCUUCACCAUCAUAUCCAAAUACCUCAUAUCCCAAACCUAGAACCCCGUUUUUUCGGAUGUGUUGUAUUUGUCCACUUACAUGAUCACCAACGAAGCAAAUUGGAUCCCCGAGUCGAGAAAUGUGUUUUCAUUGGCUAUGCACCUCAUCAGAAAGGAUACUGGUGUUAUCAUCCUCCUAGUCAGAAGGUCUACAAUUCCAUGAAUGUUGUGUUCUGGGAACAUGACUUAUAUUUUUCAGCAGUACAUGAGGAGAAUCAAGAAUCCACCACUCCUCAAAUUCUCAAUUUUUUCCCCCAAGAUGUCACUCUGCUUCAAAACGACCGGUCGCUAGUGGAAAGCGACCGGUCGCCCCCACUUAGGUCUUCAAACAUGGAGAACUUGCUUCCAAACAACCAGUGGCCAGAAGACAACAAAUGGUCGCCAGAGGAAAAUUAUCAGUUGCCUCUACGCUGUCAAAAUCAAAAGGAGGAAAUUGAUCCGUUUUAUGAGAUUUUGCCCGCUUUAGCUCCAGUACCACACCAAUCACCAGCUGAGGAAGUCAUUUAGGUAACAUCUUUUCUUGAAACUGAUAACACUAAUAAAAUAUCCCAUGAUGAUUUGAUUUCAGAAGGCAUAUAGCCUACAUGUCAGCUUCCAAAAAGGAAGAACCGUGGUAAACCUCGAGUACAAUAUGAAGCAAAUCUUAAAGCCAAAGAAAAAUACCCCAUCACUGAUUAUAUAUCUCGCAGUAGAUUAUCAGAGUCACGUGUGCACUAUGUAAAGCAGUUAGCUGACAUAUCUGUCCCCAACAGUGUGACUGAAGCAAUAGAAGACUCAAAAUAAAAAAAAGUCAUGAAUGAAGAAAUGCGAGCUCUCCAAUAGAAUGUCACAUGGGAACUCAUGCCCUUACCUCAUGGAAAGAAGACAGUAGGAUGCAGGUGGAUUUAUACUGUGAUCCAUUGAAAGAUAUAAAGCUAGAUUGGUAGCGAAUGAGUGCAUACAGAGAUAUAUGAUAGACUACCAGGAGACCUUUGCCCCAGUAGCCAAGAUUAACACUAUUAGAGUCCUAUUUUCUCUAACAGCAAAUCUCGAUUGGCCACUGCAUCAAUUUGAUAUUGAAAAUGCAUUCUUACAUGGAGACUUGGAAGAAGAAGUAUAUAUGGACUUACCCCUAAGAUGUAAUUCAGCUCAUAACAAGAAGAAUCAAGUUUGCAAGCUCAGAAAGUCAUUAUAUGGGUUAAAGCAAUCUCCUAGGGCAUGGUUUGGCAGAUUUUCUAAAUCUAUUAAGAAUUUUGGAUAUAAACCGAGUAAUUAAGAUCACACCUUGUUCUUGAGGCAUGAUGAAGGAAAACUUAUUGCAUUGAUUUUUUAUGUAGAUGACAUAGUCGUACUGGAAACGAUGCAUGAGAGCAACUGAAGUUCCAAAAGUAUUUGUCUCAGGAUUUGAGAUGAAGGAUUUAGAUGAUCUGAAGUACUUCCCCGGAAUCGAAGUAGCAAGGUCAAAAACUGGUAUAUUUCUGUCUUAAAGGAAGUAUGUAAUGGAUCGACUCACUGAAAUAUGAAUGCUUGGAUGUAAGCCUGCUGACACACCCAUUGAUAUGAAUCACAAGUUGUGUGAAGAUAUGGACCAAGAACCAACCAAUAUGGAACAAUACUAACACCUUGUUGGAAGGUUGAUAUACAUGGCAUACACAAGACUAUAUAUUGCACAUGCUGUGAGUGUGGUUAGUCAGUUUAUGCAUUCAUCCAGUGUUUCUCAUAGAAAUGCAGUUGACCGAAUCUUAAGAUACUUAAAGUCAGCCCUUGGGAAAGGAUUAAUGUUCUCAAAAAAUGGAGAUCUUGAAGUUGUUGGAUAUACAAAUGUUGAUUGGGCUGGUUCCAGUACAGAUAGACGCUCUAGUUUUGGUUACUUUACAUUUGUUGGAGGUAACCUAGUUACUUGGCAGAGUAAAAAAUAAAAUGUGGUUUCUCGAUCUAGUACAAAAGCAGAGUAUGGCUCAAGGAGUCUGUGAAUUAUUGUGGAUCAGAAGACUCUUGACAGAAUUGGGCUUCAAACUAGAAAAGCCAAUGGAGUUGCAUUUUGACAACAAGUCAGCUAUCGAUAUUGCCCAUAAUCCAAUUCAACAUGAUCGAACCAAACAUGUUGAGGUGGAUAGACAUUUCAUCAAAGGAAAAAUUGAUAAUAAGAUCAUCUGCCUACCAUUCGUAAAAUCAAAAAAUCAAUUGACAGAUGUCUUAACAAAAGCAGUUUGUGUAAGAGUAUUCCAUGACUCACUUACCAAGUUGGGCAUUGGUGACAUAUGCACUAACUUGAGGAGGAGUGUUGAUGUGAGUCUCCUAAUUAAUCAAAGAGAUUUAUUUCCUUGAUUAAUUAAGAGAUUUACUUUCUUGUUUUAUAUAGUUGACAAAUCAUUGUAUAUUUAGGAGAUACUAUCCUAAUUAAUUACUUUAUCUAUAUCCUUGUAAAUCACUUAUGUAAAUUCCUAUAUAUACCUCCUUAUGAAGAAGAAUAAAACUUAACCUAAAGUAUUCAAACCAUAUUCAUAUUUUAGCAAGCUGUAGCCACACCUUUCUUUUACCACUGCAACCUUUUCUUCUAUUAGCCCGUUAUUUUUGUGUCUCCGUUGCACCGUCUUCAUUGCAAACCGUCCCCUCCAUUGAGCUCUCCCGUGGCAAGCCACGACAGCUCCAUGUAUGUCCCUUGGCAGUGAUGGCCAAAUUUCUAUUUCCUCACCGAGCCUCGUCACUACUUGCUGAUCAUUCUCCUCACCAGCCUUUAUCCCUCUCAUGCCAUGUAACUCAAGUGGUUUUGAACUAGGGAUGACAAUGGGUCGAAUCGGGGGUGGGUAUGCCAUUUCCACCCCCAUUCCGUUAAGCUUUUUUCCCAAUUCCCACCUUCAUUAUUGCAAUAUUCAUAUUGGGAAUUCCCCAUCCCUACCUUCAACGGGGAAUGGGUUCCCCGACCUGCCUCAUUACGUACGGAAGAAAAAUCAAUAUAAAACUACUUUUUUUGAAAGAAAAAAAACAGAACUAGAGCAAGAUAAUGAGUACAUAUAAUAUAUUAUCUACGUACAAUGUUUACAUAUUGACUAGGAAGCUAACUAAAUAUAUAAGUAGUUGUAGGGGUCUUUUUGUUCCAGCAGCCUGAUGAAUGGGCUUGGGCUGCCGUAAGAAGGAGACGAACAAAAUUCCCCGAAUGCCUGAGUGCAAUAACCAAGCUCCCAAGAGAGUUUUUUAAAAGUUCAGUGAAACUUUAGAAAAACACUCUUAGGUUAUUUUCACAAAUAGCCAAAUAAAUUGAUUAGUGCCUUAGCUUGAGGAGCUUGUGGCAUGGGAGCUAAGCUUUCACAAGUUUAGUAAUUUGAGAGAGAAAGAGAAGGAACAGAGAGUUAAAAUGGGGGAGAGGCAAAUUAGGAAAAUUUCUUCCUCAUGGGAAAAUGAAACAACUAAAGAGGGGAAUUGGGUGGCUUUAGUAAAUUCCCAACUGCUUGACAAAGCUUGGUCAGGCUCUGGUUGAUGAUGCUUCUAGGUAGAUGAAGCUCCUUUUUAUAAGCGCAAAGGACCCCUAGCUUUGUAUAAUCUCCUUCUUUCUUUUUCUUUGCUUCUUUCUACUAAAUCCUAUUCAGUGAAAUUUUCCUAUCCAAGGUGCAUGGGUAAGGGGCCCUUUGUGGUUCCAAGGGUUUUGAGUGGCUCGACCUUCCCAUGAAGGUGAGGUGCCACCUGCUUUUCUUCUUGGUUUUCAAAAUGUGGCCUAUAGAGGGAAGAAAGAAGGGUAGAGUCUUUUGUCCAUGGGUAUUCAUCCUUCAUUCGUGGAUUUCUUUUGGUCCUGCCAUGGCUCUUUGUUAACCAUCUUGGAAUUCUGACGAGGAUGAAACAUGAUGCCAGGUUUUCCUACAAACUACCGGGCUAGGCUUAUGAGUGCAAUAUUGGCUUAUUAAUGUAUUGUUUCCGGUGCCUAAUGGGUCUUCGUCAAGUUGCUGGAAACGGCCAAUUUGGUUUUGGGCAUUUGAUUGAUGUUGGCUUUGUCCAAGUGCUAUGGCAGAUUACUAGAUAUCCUCCUAAGGCAUUGGGUCAUUUUCCUCCUCUCUCAUGCUAACCCAUGUGUUUGGGCCCUAGGAACGGGCUGGAUUUUUAAUGCUCCCAAGUGGCCUUAAAACUUUUGUUCCUCGAACCCUCAAUGGGCCCUGUGAUGGCUUGUUUCCUUCCAUACCAUAACCUUCUCAGCAAGCCCUAGUUAAUUAUGUGGCUUGGGCCCACUAAAGCCUAUAGCAUGGCUCGGUAUUAAAACAGCGAUUUCUUCGCAUGGCCUUGCAUGUUCGUUUAGCCUAUUUGUGCUUGUGUUUUAUUGCGCCGCAUUAGGCCAUGAUCGGGUCAAGUAGCAUCGGAUUAGAUUGGUAAGCAUGAUUUUAUAAAGCUGGUGCAUUUUGGUCCUUUUGCGCAUGUUUGCUUGGCGUGACACAUGGCCCAUGACUUAUCUAAAUGCGUCCUUUGAUUUCUCUCAUGUCCUGAUUGGGCCUCCUCUGCGAUUAAUUAUUCACAUUGGGCUAAGAAUAAACCUGGGCCUAGCCCUUGGAUUUUUGGGCCUCAACAGUAGUGUAGCUUAAGAUUUGUAUAAAUUUUAUAAAUAUAUAAUAUAAAACUUAGUCGGCACAAUCACUUUAAUAACAUAUUUAUAUAUACUAUAUUCUAAACAGGGAGGGUUUGGGUCUGGGAUUAAAAUACCGUCCCUCCCCUCCCCUAACACCAUUUCCAAAAAUUGAUCGUACCUGUCCUCAUACCCGUUUUUAAUCCUUCUUACCUGACCAUUAGGGUCGAAUCCAUGCGAAGACCCUUACCCGUGGGAAAAAUUGCCAUUCAUAUUUUGAAUAGUUAUCUUCCUUGCACUUGAGAUUCUGUGUUUGAAUCUCACCCACCCAAUAUCGAUCGCUUUUUUUUUUAAAAAAAAAAAAAAUAUAGAAACUAUGUCGUGUAUGUAUCUCAAUCAUUCAUCAAGUUUGAAUCUCAAUAACAAUUGGUUGUUAUAAGAAUGUCCAGUAGAACUAACUAUGAGGAUAGUUUUUUUUUUCUGAGGAAGGUUUAUUGGGGUGCAUAGAGUAAUUGGACUGUCUUGGCUUUAUGGGGCUCCUAUUUAUUAUAGGGUGGAUUCUUAUCCUGGUGUAUGAUUUUUGUUUUGUAAAAUCACCCCAGUUGCCCUUCAAUAUGAUGGUAGAUUGAUCUUGCGACGGCUAUAUCUAAAGGAAAAGCAAACAGAGCCAUGCCACUAGAAUACGGAUUUUUGUUUUGUAAAUUUUUUAUUAAGUUAUUCGGUGUUGAUUUUUCAAGUACUUUUAUUUUUAUUUUAUUAAACCUAGCCAAAACGAAGUCGUUUUGGCUAGGUUAAAAAAAAAAAUUAUUCGGUAGUAGUUGCUGCCCGAUAAAACAGAUUGGGGGAAACCCUAAAUCCCCAACCCCAACCCCUAAUUCUACCCAACCUUCACCCCAGUUGAUGGCCUCCCCACAUGGAUCACCUUCCGGCGCCGCCAAUCUCCUCAUCCAAUGACGGCACCAAACCCCAAAUUCAAUUUGGUUUGAAAUUUGCUCUCAAAAUUGAAAGUAUGUUAUCAUAUUUCCUAAUCUUUUUAUGCUUUGAUGAGAUUGAUUAAUAUGUUGAUUAGUUUGAAUGAAUUAGAGUUUUUAAUUAAUUAAAAUAUUUAGUUUGUAUGUUUUAAUAUGAUGGAUUUCGUCCCUCCAAUUGAAAGUAUGUUAUCCUAAUUUCUAAUCUUUUUUUGUAUGCCUUAAUUGAUUAAUAAAUAUGUUUGUACGUUUUUGUUUUUCUUGAUUAUUAGUUGUUGUCGAUUGUAUUUAUUAGGAGUUUUUUUUUAAGGACCCGCCCCGAAUUUUCUCAAAACCCGAGACGAACCCUUUGGAAUUUCUGACAUCACUCCGAUGUCAGACCCAAUCACUAAAGACCGAGACUUCCUGCCGAAAUUUCGGCAGAGUCUCCCCUAUAAAUUGGACAUUUCCCAAAAAUUUCAACCUGCAUAAAAAUGCAUUUAAUAUUUCCAACUGGCAGCAUGCACAAUAUAAUUCAUGCAAUUCACACAAAUGGCCUUCGGCCUUCCAAUAAUUCUUAAACGAUUAUCAAACAAUUCAAAUACCAAAUAUAACUAAUAUUUAGUCUGCGGCUGCACCUAACAACCUUAGGCUGCCUACGUACCCUCCUUGAGGGAUCAAGUCACACGUAGUUCUUCCCUAAAACCCAGUUCCCCACUUGGGCGAUACCUUAUUUCAUUUUUUUGUAUUUCAUAUAAUCUCCUCAUACGCCGGUACAACCAACGCCACGUAUGGGGCCUGUCAACACGCCGGAUAACCUACGCCACGUGCGACCAUGCCAUACUAUCAUAAUAUCUCCUCAUACACCGGUACAACCAACGCCACGUAUGGGGCCUGUCCCAACGCCGGAUAACCUACGCCACGCGGGACCUCAAUAUCAUAUCACAAAUCUCCCCAUACGCCGGUACAACCAACGCCACGUAUGGGGUCUGUCGACACGCCGGAUAACCUACGCCACGUGCGACCUCAACACAAUAUCACAUAGCUCCCCAUACGCCGGUACAACCAACGCCACGUAUGGGGUCUGUCUCAACGCCGGAUAACCUACGCCACGUGAGACCUGAACAUAAUAUCACAAAUCUCCCCAUACGCCGGUACAACCAACGCCACGUAUGGGGCCUGUCCCAACGCCGGAUAACCUACGCCAUGCGGGACCUCAAUUUCACUUGGUGGUACUUGUGGUAAAUCCAACAUCCGGGGAGGUACCUAAAGUAGUGCGUAUAGCACUCCAAACUGACAUUCUAGACUCUGUUGUACCUUUGUACAACCAUAUAUAAUUAUAAUUAUAUAAAUUAAUUCUAAUAUUGUGUAACCCUCCACAAUCAUCUAGCACCCGAUAAUCCCCCCUAGAAAGGUGAGAUUACUCUGGGAGACUCACGGUCAACCAAGGGUCAAACUACUCUAACCCUGGUCAACCGGACCUGCAGAACCCACGACCUCCAAUUUCCGAUCCGAAGGUCCCUAUGGGUUCUACCAGGUAUAGGACACUUGUCCUAAAACUUUGGCUCAGAUCGAACGGUCGGAUUGCUUACGAUCGCACGAUCUGACAAUUAAUAUAAAAUACAAACUUUAAAAUUAUUAUUCGGAACAUCCGGGGCUCCGAUUCACAAUCCGUGAAUUUCCACACGAUCCUAGAAUUACCUAGAUUAACAUAUAUUAAAUUUGGGUCCAUCCAUCGGUCUCAACCUAUCGAACCCGGAUAACGCACAAUUUGCGAAUAUCCGUUCCAUAGUCAAACGAUGUCCGAAUUGAGAUCCGCAAAAUCCUACGCACUUGUGACAACCUAAGGAUCUCAUCGGAACACAUUGCUACUUUUCUACAGUGCCCACGCUCCGCCGCACGCGCCGGCAGCGCGUGGGUGCCCAAAGCGAUAACGCUUCGCCGGAAAAUCUCAAAACCACGGCUCCAAACUCCUACCCUAGGUAUAACACCCUAUUUGGAGCCACUUUUGUUCUUGGACCUACCCCAAAAAGUGGCCGGAAAUGGCCGAUCACGGCGGCCGAAGUUUCGGCCGAUUUUCAAUUCGAAAAUCGAGUUGUCUACGCUAAGAAUCGAUCUAAUCCUACCCAACCAUCAGCUAGAGCAGCUCGAGAGGUUCAAAAUCCAUACCUGAGUCGACGGAAUUGGUGGCCGGAGGAGGGAGAUCGGCGGCUUUGAAGUUUGGACGACGUCGGCCGCUUCAUCUCCAGAUUCCGGCGAAUCCGCGGCGGCUGGCAGCGGGAGGUGGCUGGGGUAGGAAGAGGACGACGGCCCGGUCAUUUUGGUACCGGUCCCGUCGUCAUUGGUGGCCGGAGGAGAGCACGGCCGGCCAAAACGUGGCCGGCUGUCGCGCGCGGGAGAUAGGAGAGAGAGAGACCCGCGGGGGAGAGAGAGAGAGAGAAAGAGAGAGAAAACCAGAUUUUUAUAAAAAAUCCCAUUUCGAAAUAUUUACGAUUGUGCCACUGGAUUUCUUUUGACCAUAUCUCUCUCGUUAUAACUCCGAUUCGAGCCCACUACGUGUCUAUGAACUCGUCCCAGUACGACCUAUCCAAAAAUACAAGUCACGGUCCCAAACUCUCUCCGGUUAAAAAUAUGACUAAAAUACCCUUAAAUAAUUAAAUAAUUAAAUAGGGGUUAAAUUCGGGAUCGGGGUGUUACAUUUUUUUAUUAUAUUGUAUUUGUUUUUUUUUGUCAAAAUUAUAUCAUAUUUGUUUGUUUGUAUAAAUUGGAUUAAUUUUUGUGUUUAUUAAUCAAUGAAGAUUCUUAUAUAUUUUGGUUAGUUAGAAUAAAUCUUGGCAAUUUGGAUUAUUAAUUAGUUUGUUUGUUUUUUGAAUAGAAAAUAUGGAACGAUACUUUAAGAGAAAGUUCUCAUCAACUACUUCGAGUUCGGAUAAUGUAGGUAGUUUGAACUCAAGAGAUGUGGCUAGUUCGAAAGAAAGUGAGUUGCAAAAUCUUAUGAAUAAUCUUCCUACAGACCCUGGACUUUGACCUCAAAUGUUGGAUUAUGAUCCUAACAUUCGAGAUGAAGUUCGAAGAGCAUAUCUACAAAAAGGUCCCUGUCACCCUAAGAAUCACACAUUUUCACAAAUCGAUCUUUUAGGGUAUGAUUGACGCUUUAAUGUCAAGUGGUUUGAUGAAUUUGAUUGGUUAGAGUACAGUAUAAGCAAAGAUACUGCAUUUUGCUUUUAUUGUUAUCUCUUCAAAUUCAAUUUCAAAAUUGGUCAAGGGUGUAGUGAUGCCUUCACAGAGAUGGGUUUCAGAAAUUGGAAUAAGAAAGAAAGAAUUAAGAAUCAUAUUUGAGGUGUUGGAAGUGUUCAUAAUCAAUAUAAACAAUAUUGUGUAGAUCUUAUGAAUUAGAAGCAAUACAUGCAAACAGUUUUGGGCAUGCAAUCAGACCAAGCUCGUAUUGAUUAUCGUAUUUGCUUGAUAGCUUCUCUUGGUUGCAUAAGAUUUUUGUUGAAGCAAGGUCUUCAUUUUCGCGGUCAUGAUGAGAGUGACACUUCAAACAACAGAGAGAAUUAUUUGGAGCUCUUACAAUUUCUUGCUGAUCAUGAUGAGAAAGUUAAGGCCGUUGUGUUAAAAAAUGCUCCAAAGAAUCUCAAGCUAAUAGCUUUAACAAUUCAAAAAGAUCUUGUGAAUGCUUGUGCGACUGAAACUAUUAACUAAAUCAUUAAGGAUAUGGAUGGUGCAUUCUUUUCUUUAUUAGUUGAUGAAUCUCAUGAUGUGUCAGUAAAAGAAGAGAUGGCAGUGGUGUUUUGUUAUGUGGACAAAAGUGGGGAUGUAAUUGAAAGGUUUGUGGGCAUUCAACAUAUUAGCGACACUACAUCAAACUCACUAAAUGAGGCUAUUGACACAUUGUUUUCAAGAGAGGAAUUGAGCAUUUCUAUGCUAAGGGGACAAUGAUAUGAUGGAGCUAGUAAUACGAAGGGUGAGUUCAAUGGUCUUAAAACAUGAAUUUUGAGAGAAAAUCCAUGUGCUUAUUAUAUUCAUUGUUUUGCAUAUCAACUUCAAUUAGCUCUUGUGGCCAUGACAAAGGGAAAUGCUGAUAUUGCCACUUUCUUCUUGCAAUAGCUUGGUUAAUAUUGUUAGAGCAUAAUGUAAGCGUUGUGACAUGCUUAAAGAUCAACUCUAAAAUGAUGUUAUGGAAGUUCUUGAAAAAGAUACUCUUCCAACAUGGCGAGGCUUAAAUCAAGAAACUUGUCUCAAGCGUCCCGGUGAUGCACGUUGGAACUCACAUUAUAGUACAUUACUUAGUAUCAUUUCCAUGUUCAAAUAUGUGGUGAAAGUGCUUAAAUUGAUUAUUGUGGAUGGCUCCACUGAUAAUAUAGGUGAAGCAAAUAGAUCAUUGAGAGAAAUACAAUCCUUUGAGUUUGUUGUAAAAACAAAAAUCCUGCGACAAAUAAGACAAGAAUAUGUGUACAAAAUAAUAUUUGUAUUAAUGAAGUUUAGAGUUACAAGCUCUAUAUGAAAUCCUCUAAUUCAAUCUCCAAAGCGUUUAAAGAAAAUUUGUAUUUGAUACAAGAAGGGUCAUAGAGAAUUGAUCUUGAUCAAACGGGUAGCACAAGGCUUGUUUGGUGAUUGGAUCUUUCUAGGGUAGAGGAACUGACAUGUAUUUGUUGUGCUUGGUGGCUCUUCCAAAGUGAGGUGAAGAAUGCAUAGAGCUUUCUGUUUCUUAUGAGUGCUUGGUGUGUCUAAGCUCUUGGUCCUUUCUCACAAAUAUGAGCCUAGUAUUUAUAGGCAAAGAAGUGGGUCUUGGUUUGGAAUCCCUAAUCUGAAUCCCUUGAUUUGUGGUAUUGAUUUCUAAUUUGAUUUAAUUUGAGCUAAUUGAUUUAAUUUAGCUCUUAAUUAAGUCAAAAUCAUUUAGUUAGGGAAAUUAACUCGUGAUUUAUGAAGAUGACUAAAUAAGGAUAAUUUAUUCCUUUUUGGCAGAUGAUUUCAUUUAAUUGAUGAAGUCCUUAGAUGCUAACAUGUGUCAUUUCCGGUGCACAUCUUUGUCUACGUGAGUCAUGUGCCACGUAUAUUUGUGUGGGGCCCACAGAUUUUCUAGUUAUCUUUGACUAGUCAAAUUUUGAAUUUUGACUAUUAACUAUAAAUUAGUGAAUUUAUAUUUCACCAAAAUUUCCAUGUCUACAUUUGUAUUUCACCUAUUUUUCAUGGGAUCUAUAUUGGGAGCCACAAAUGAUUUGUCACAAGCAUUACCAAAGAAAGAUCAAGACAUUGGGAAUGCAUUUACUUUAGUCAAAGAUUGCAAGGACCAACUACAACACAUGAGAGAGAAUGCAAUUGAAGCCUGGUUUGAUCAAGUAUCUUCCUUUUGUGGAAAACAUGAUGUCGAGGUUCCGAACGUGGAUGAUGCAUAUGUAGCUCAAUAGAGAUCACAUCGGAGAGCUCCUAGAAUAACACAUCUCCUUCAUUGUUGUGUGGACAUCUUUAUUCAAAUCAUUGAGUGGCGACUUGCAGAAUUAAAUCAUCGUUUCAUGAGGUAAAUACUGAGUUACUUCUUUGUUCGGUAUGUUUGAGUCCGGAUGAUUCAUUCAUAGCUUUUGACAAACAAAAGCUACUUCAUUUUACUGAAUUUUAUCCUAAAGAUUUUAAUCCCCGAGACCUCUUGGUACUUGAAGAUCAACUUAGGAUUUAUAUUCAUUAUAUGCGUACGAAGAGCCAUUUUUUCUCAAUUGAAAGGGGUUAGUAGCCUUGCAAGAAAAAUGGUAGAGAAAGGGUUGCAUUGAACAUUUAAUUAUGUUUAUUUGCUUCUCACAUUAGCCUUAACUUUACCGGUUGCAAUAGCUUCUGUGGAGAGAGCAUUUUUUGCUAUGAAUAUUGUGAAAGGUCAACUUCGUAAUUGAAUGGGAGAUCAAUAGUUGAGUGAUAUCUUACUUGUUUAUAUUGAGAAAGAUGUGUUCGUAUUGAUAAUAAAACUAUAAUGCGACAUUUUUAGAAAAUGAAAACUCUUCAUGGACAAUUGUAAUGUGGUUUUUCAAUUAAUUACGAAUUAUAAUAUUAUAUCGUUUCAUUUCUUUUUUGGUCUAUUUUGUAUAGAAUUUUUUUAACCUUUUAGACAUUGACCCCUAAAAGGAAAAUUCCUGGAUCUACCACUGGAAUGGACGAUAUUCAUUCCUAUAUUUAGGAACGUUGGGAAAUGAGGACUAGAAAAUGCAAUUAUCUCUCAUUCUCAUGUUUGGUUACUGCAGUAAUUAGGAAUGAAAAUUUAUCAAGGGUAUGAAAUUCCCCCUACAUGCGAAGUCCAUACCCAUGAGUCUAUAAUUGUAUUCCCAAGUAUGCAAUUACCAAACAUAGGAAUGCAAUUUGAAACCUAUUCCUAAGCUCCUAAACCUUGAACCAUGUGUGUGCCAUGGAUUUAAUUUGAAUUUCUCAUUCUAUCUAAGAUCAACUUUGAUAAUCUUUUUCUUUGUUUACUCUUCCAAUAUUUUUACAUUGAUAGAAUUUCGGUUUUACUUACUUAAGAUACCAAAUUUGUAAUAUUGAAAUUUAAUAAUUAUAAUAAAUUCUCAAGUAUAUCAUAAAGUUAUUUAAAGUUGGCACUCCUUGAUAAAAUUCUCAAGUAUACGAAAGAGUUAUUUAAAGUUGACACUCCUUGAUAAAAUUCAUAUCUCCGCCGUUGACAAGAAACUUGGAAUCCAUUGGAUUCAAGACCUCGGCCUCAAGAGAAUAAGCUUUACACGCUCAUGUGUACCUAAAAGUCCAAUACCUUCAUGUUGGCUAAGUUGUGGGCCAAAUUCAGGUCCUCCAUACUUUUCUUUCUUAAAAGUUAUGAAGGGAGUUUAGGGUAUUUUUGAUAAAUAAAAAAAUAGAGGAGUUUUACCUACAAGUAGUGGCGAAUCCAGUAAGGAGUCAGUGAAGGCACUAGCCCCACUCAGUUUUGUCUACACCUAUGAAGUGUCAAGUUUUCAUGAUAUUUUAUGUUGAAUGAGGGCAAAUUGUUUGAUAAAAAUGCCUCAACGAAGGCUAAAGUGGGGCAGUGAGGGGGCAAAUGAAUGGUCUUUACCCGUAUUAGGAAAAACUUUACAGGUUGUUGGUAGGCUCCAUUAGCCACUCCAUGCAAGGCCAUACUUUACAUGUUCUCACCCCAGGCAGGAAAUUUUUUUACGCGGUAGAUUUAAAACAUGACUGAGAAAUAUCAUAUAUUUUCAGUCUUUUUGUCUGAGCCAAAAUUUUCCGCGCUUACACCUCCAAUCCAUUAACCUUUGUUUCUUUCUUCCACCACAACACUUUCUCUUCCCUGUGCUUUCAUCCCUGGUAAUGUUAUAGCUGCUCCUCGGGGUUAUAAGAUUUUUAUUUCUUCUUUUCAACACCUUCUCUUCCUUGUGCUUUCAUACCUGGCAAUAUCAUAGCUGCUCCUCCAGGUAUUAGAAUAUUUUUAUUACUUAUUUUUUAAUUUUUUUUUGCUUUAUGAUAUAUGGGUAUUUUCUAUUUUGCUUAUACAAAGUUUUCUGAUGUUCUUAUAUGGUAUGGGAUUGUUAACUAAAAAGAUUUGGGUUUCUUUGGAAAUCACGAAGGUUGGAAUUGGAAAAACAGAAAGCACUGAUGGAUGGGUUAUAUGGGUUUGGCCACUAAUUGCUCUUUAUUUUUGUAUGGUUUUGGCUAAGUUAUUCUAUUUCGUUUUUUGGUUGAAAGUUUAUCUAAUUCAGGUUUGAUAUGCACUUACGAGUUUGGCUUUUGGUUUAAGCAUUGCUACAGUAUUCUUUGCUAUUGUUUACCAAUGUCCAAUUGACUAAUAUUUUUGUUAUUUUUUGCUUUAAUAGAUGAAAAUUUAGAGAUGGGAAGCCCACAGAAAAGACUCGGGACAUAUGAAUUCAUGGAAGAUGUUAAUGAGAAUAAUUCAGAUUUAGUUUUCAAUCCUCAAGUAGAAGAUCAGCAUGAACCAAAAAUUGGUCAAGAGUUUGAAUCACUUGAGGAUGUCUAUAACUUGUACAAAAACUAUGCAAAAUAAGAGGGAUUUAGUGUUUGAAGUUAUUGUCAGCAAAAGAGUAAAACUUCUAGUGAGAUCUUAAGAAAAGAAUAUGUAUGCUACAAAGAGGGAGUAUAUUCGAAAGAAGUUUCUAAUAGAAGUGAAAGGCGGCGAGGUGUAGUACGAAGUAGAUGUAAGGCUAAAAUUCUGAAGUAAGAGAAGGAACAAAAUACAUAAUUUCUAACUUUGUGGAGGGCCACAAUCAUGCUUCGAUCGGCCCUCAUAUGGUACAUUUGUUGAAAUCGUAUCGCGAAAUUUCUGAAGUUAAUAUCCCAAAGCAUCAACAAUUUAGUCUUCUUGAAGUGCAAGCAGGAGCGAUGCAAAACAUUGGAUAUACAAAGAAAGAUUUAUAUAACUACAAAAGACAAUUGCAGAGAAAGAUGAAGGGGCAUGAUGCACAUAUAUGUUGAGUGAGCAUUUUAUUGGUGAGCAAAAAAAAAAGAAUCAUUCUUUUUUAUGAUAGAGGCUGACGAUGAUGAUAGGCUUAAACAUGGUUUUUGGGCUGAUAAUUAUUAGAUUGGGUAAAAAAUAAUAUUUCAUUCAUAUUGAUAUAUAAUAAUAGGAAGGUUAUAUAUACAGAGCCUAGGAAACUAUUCUAGGAAAGUAAUUAUGUUCCUAUAAUCUUGUAGAAUCAAAUAGUUGACUUAGACUAGUUAGGAAUGUACAGCUUAUUAACACUCCCCCUCAAGUUGGAGCAUAUAUGUCGUCAAUGCCCAACUUGCUAAGUAAGCUGUGAAAUACCCUGCCUGUGACUGCUUUGGUACCUUAAUGAAAUGUCUGUCAACUUCAACAUGCUUAGUUCUAUCAUGUUGCACUGGAUUAUGUGCAAUGUCUAUUGCAGCUUUGUUGUCACAAUUCAGUUGCAUGGCAUGUUUGGGUUUGAACCCCAAUUCCCCCAACAAAUUCCUUAUCUAGAGUAGCUCACAUACUCCGUGUGCCAUACUUCGAUAUUCUGCUUCAACACUUGAUCUUGACACUACUUUUUAUUUUUUACUUCACCAAGAUACUAGAUUGCUUCCCACAAAGGUAAAGUAUCCAGAUGUAGAUCGCCUGUCAGUAACAGAGCCCGCCCAGUCUGCAUCAGUGUGACCCUCAACAUCUAGAUGACCAUGUUGUGCGAACAUCAAUCCUCUUCCAAGAUAUGACUUCAAAUAUCUCGGAAUUCGGUUUACUGCAUCCAUGUGGGCUUCACUUGGUGCAUGCAUGAACUGACUCACCACACUUACAGCAUAUGCUAUAUCAGGUCUAGUAUGUCCUAGGUAGAUUAACUUACCCACAAGGCGUUGAUAUCUUUCUUUGUUGAUGGGUACCUAAUCAGGAUAUUCACCAAGCUGAUGAUUCAACUCCAUUGGCGUAUCUAUUGGUUUGCUUGCUAACAUUCCAGUGUUAGUCAAAAUGUCAAGGAUAUAUUUCCGUUGUGAUAGAAAUAUUCCUUGUUCUGAACGAGCCUCUUCGAUUCCUAGGAAAUACUUCAGAGCUCCAAGAUCUUUCAUUUCAAACUCACUUGCCAAGUGGUGCUGCAAUGCUGCCUUUUCCACUGGGUCAUUCCCGGUAACUACCAUGUCAUCAACAUAUACAAUAAGGGCAGUGACUUUACCUUUCUUAUGUUUCAAGAAAAGAGUACCUUUCUUAUGUUUCAAGAAAAGAGUAUGAUCUGAAUUACUUUGGUUGUAUCCAAAAUCCUUCAUUGAUUUGCUGAACUUUCCAAACCAUGCUCUGGGUGACUUCUUCAAUCCAUAAAGAGACUUUCUCAGUUUACACACCAUGUUGCUAGUAUUGGGCCCCAUCUUGCAUCCUGGAGGGGAAUCCAUAUAGACUUCUUCUUCUAGGUCGUCAUGCAGGAAGGUAUUUUUGACAUCAAACUGGUGUAAUGGCCAAUUUAGGUUUGCUGCCAAAGAAAGAAGUACCUGAAUUGUGUUUAUCUUGGCUACAUGGGCAAAGGUCUCCCCAUUGUCAAUCCCAUAAGUCUGAGUAUAACCUUUCACCACCAAUCUUGCUUUGUAUCAUUCAAUGGUGCCAUCUGCCUCAAACUUUACUGUAUAUAUCCAUCUACAACCCACUGUUAUCUUCCCUUUAUGAAAGAUAGUCAUCUCCCAGUGGAAUUCUUCUGGAGGGCCUCCAUGUGAUCAUUCAUUGCUUGAGUCCACUUGGGAUCUUUCAGAGCUUCCUGCACAUUACUUGGAAUAGAUACAGUGGAUAAUUGACAUACAAAUGAUGCACAUGAUGGAGACAACCUAUGUAGGGACACAUGAUUAGCAAUAGGGUAUUUAACUUUUGUUUUUUGGUCUGGAUCAUAUUGUUGUUUAGGAAUCCCUCUAGUGGUACGAAUAUGUAACUUAUAACCUGUGUUUCCUGUAUGACUCGACUCAGGUAAAGUGCUUAAGUUGGAGUUUAAAUGUUCAGUUACUUGUGGGGAAUCUCCAGGACCUGAUUGGAUGAUUGGUGAUGGUACUGUAGUAGGAGGGAAAUUAUUUGAAACAUUUCUUGAGUUUCCAGUAACUCUUGAUCUUGUUGCACUACUGUAGCUGGUUGCUCGGACACUGAUUGCUCUAAAACAUUUUGUUGAAUUUGGAUGAUCUGAGUAUCUUCUGCAAAGAUAGAGCUCUCCCCCUGCAGAGGAUGCUCAGAAACUCCUCCUGAGUAAUAGAACUCACUCUCGUGGAAAGUCACAUCUGCGGUAACAUGCAUGGUCUGAGUGGGAGGAUGGAAACACUUAUAGCCCUUCUGUGUCAGCAUAACCCACAAAGACACAACGCAGUGCACAUGGGUCAAGCUUGCCACCCUGAUGUGGAUACACCUGAACAUAAGCAGCACAACCAAAGAGACGUGGUUCGAGAUUUGGUGUGGAUGGCAUGUUGAGGAGAGUGGUCAAUGUCUGAAAUGGAGUUUGAUACUGAAGAGUGCUGGAUGGUGUUCUAUUAAUGAGGUAAGCAGCAGAACAAAGAGCCUCCUCCCAAAAAUGAUGAGGCAUACAUGCCUCAAAUAAAGAGGCACGAACAACCUCUAAGAGAUGAUGAUUCUUACGCUCUGCGACGCCAUUCUGUUGUGGUUUAUGGUGUAUAGGCACAUGUGGUUUGAUGAACAAUUCCAUGUUGACUUCAAAAAUUAUGUAGGUCAUGGUUGGCGUGUAACACCCCGACUCCAAAUUUAACCCUUAUUUAAGUUAUUUAAAUUAUUUAAGGGAAAUUACAAAUUUACCCUUGAGAUAAGGGCAUUUUGGUCAUUUUCUUAACCGAGAGAGUUUGGGACAGUGACUAGUAUUUUUGGAUAGGUCGUACCGAGAGGAGUUCGUAGACACGUAGUGGGCUCGAAUCGAAGUUGUAACGAGAGAGAUAUGGUCAAAAGAAACCCAGUGGCACAAUCGUAAUUAUUUCGAAAUGAGAUUUUUUUAUAAAAAAUCAUAUUUCUCUCUCUCUCUCUCUCUCUCUCUCUCUCUCUCUCUCUCUCUCUCUCUCUCUCUCUCUCUCCUGCGAGCUCUCUCUCUCUCUCCUCGUAUCUCCGGCCACCAGUCGCGGCUGCAGACGGGACCGGUGCCAAAAGGACCGGCUCGGCCUCGGCGUCACAACCCAGCCCUCCCCCGACAUCGGCCGCCGCUCCAGCUGCCGAAAAAAGGCGAUUUUCGCCCGAUUUUUGCCCGAACUUCGUCGACUCCGAUCUCCCUCCUCUAGCCGCCAUUUUUCGCGAUCAAGGUAUGGAAAUUCAUCCAUUCUUCAUACUCUAACUGAUGGUUGGGUAGGAUUGGAUAGAUUCUUAGCGUAACCAAUUCGAUUUACGAAUUGAAAUUCGAAUCACGAUUCCAGCCACUUCCGGUCAAUUUUUGGGGUAGGUCGAAGAACAAAAGUGGCUCCAAAUAGGGUGUUAUACCUAGGGUAGGAGUUUGGAGCCGUGGUUUUGAGAUUUUCCGGUGGUGCGUAAUCGCUUUGGACACCCAACGCUGCCGGAGCGUGUGGCGGCGCGUGGGCCAGGGUAGUGGAGUAGCACUGUGUCUUGAUGAGAUCCUUAGGUUGUCACGAGUGCAUAGGAUUUUGCGGAUCUCAAUUCGGACGUCGUUUGACUAUCGAACGGACGAUCGCAUAUUGCACGUUAUCCGGGUUUGAUAGGCAGGGACCGUUGGAUGGUCUCAAAUUUAAUAUAUGUUAAUCUAGGUAUUUCUAGGAUCGUGUAGGAAUUCACGGAUCGUGAAUCGGAACCCCGGAUGUUCUAAUUAAAUAAUUUAAAGUUUAUGUUUUAUAAUAACCAUCAGAUCGUGCGAUCGUGAGCGAUCCGACCGUCCGAUCUGAACCAAACUUGCAGGACGAGUGUCCUAUACCUUGUAGAACCCAUAGGAACUUUCGGAUCGGAAUUUGGAGGUCGUGGGUCCUGUGGGCCCGUUGACCAGGCUUUGGGUAGUUUGACCCUUGGUUGACCGUGAGUCUCCCGGAGUAAUCUCACCUUCCCAGGGGGAUUAUCAGGUGCUAGACUAUUGUUGAGGUCUACACAAUAUUAGAAUUAUUAUAUAUGUUUGUAAAAGUACAAAAAGAGUCUAGAAUGUCAGUUUGAAGUGCUAUACGCACUACUUUAGGCACAUCCUCGGAUUUCAGUUACACUACACGUACCACCCUGAGAAAGUUAGGUCCCACGUGGCGUAGGUUAUCCGGCGUGCGGACAGACCCCAUACGUGGCAUUGGUAGUAUCGGUGUAUGGGGAGGUUACAUGACAAUAUGUUGAGGUCGCACGUGGCGUAGGUUAUCCGGCGUGUCGACAGACCCCAUACGUGGUGUUGGUUGUACCGGCGUAUGGGGAGAUAUGUGAUAUGAUGUGUAGGUCUCGCAUGGCGUAGGUUAUCCGGCGUUGAGACAGACCCCAUACGUGGCGUUGGUUGUACCGGCGUAUGGGGAGAUUAUGUGGUAUUGUGUUGAGGUCGCACGUGGCGUAGGUUAUCCGGCGUGUCGACAAACCCCAUACGUGGCGUUGGUUGUACCGGUGUAUGGGGAGAUAUUGUGAUAUGAUAUGCAGGUCUCGCGUGGCGUAGGUUAUCCGGCGUUGAGAUAGACCCCAUACAUGGCGUUGGUGGUACCGAUGUAUGGGGGAGAUAUUGUGACAGUAUGGUAUGGUCGCACGUGGCGUAGGUUAUCCGGCGUGUUGACAGGUCCCAUACGUGGCGUUGGUUGUACCGGCGUAUGGGGAGGUUAUGUGAAAUACAGAGAAAUAAAAUAAGGUAUCGCCUAUGUGUGGAAUUGGGUCUUAGGAAGAACUACGUGUGGCUUGAUCCCUCAGUGAGGGUACGUAGGCAGCCUAAGGUUAUUAGGUGCAGCCGCAGACUAAAUGUUAGUCAUAAUUUAUAUUUGAAUUUAUUAUUUGGCUUGUUUAAGGCAUGAAUUCACUUGUUAGCGUGUUUGGUAGUUUGUUGAGAAUUAUUGGAAGGUCGAAGGCCAUUUAUGUGAAUUGCAUGAAAUUAUAUUGUGCAUGCUGCCAGUUGUGGAUAUUAAAUGCAUUUUUAUGCAGGUUGAAAUUUUGGGAAAUGUCCAGUUUAUAAGGGAGACUCUGCCGAAAUUUUGGCAGAAAGUCUCGGUCUUUAGUAAGUGGGCUCGACAUCAGGGUAAUGUCAGGAAUUCCACAGGAUUCGCCUCGGGUUUUGGGAAAUUCAGGGCGGGUCAUUUCAGGUGUAGUCUCCUCCAUUGUCAGACCGAAGUGUAGUGAUUUUCUUGUCAAACUGAGUAGCAACAUAUUGAUAAAAUAACUUGAAUUUGGCAGUGACUUCACUUUUCUACUUUAGGGGAAAAACCCAGGUCAUCCGGGUGCAAUCAUUAAUAAACGUCAUAAACCACUUAAAACCGCUAAUAGUGGGAACUCGUGAUGGUCCCCAAACAUCAGAAUGGAUAAUUAUGAAAGGCAGAGAACUUUUAUUCAAUCUUAAUGGGUAAGAAAUACGAUGGCUUUUCUCCAAAAUGCAAGUUUCACAAUGAAAGUCUAAUUCAGCAAACUAGGAAAACAAAUAUGGAAAUAAAAGUUUCUGAUAACCAAAAGAAGCAUGCCCUAAUUGUCUAUGCCAUAGCCAAAUUUUCUUCAUCCUGAUAGACUCAUCUCCUCUCACAUGAUGUGCGUGACUCAAUCUCGUACUGCUGUCUUCUGGCAAGUCCAGAUAUGACAACUUUCCCCUCUGAGUACCACAUCCAAUCACGGCCUUGGUGAGAAGAUCCUAAAAUAGACAAUACAAUGGCCAAAAACACACGGUACAAUUAAGGGAAUCAAUGAUUUGAGGAAUAGAUAACAAGUCAUAGUCGAGUGAAAGGAAAACUAAGACAUGAUCAAGACUUAAUGAGGAUGUAAGAGAUAAAGACUCUUCUGCCAUAACUUGGGAGGUGGUUCCAUUGGAGUGUCAAUAAUCCAUGAUCUAUUACAAGUAAGUGAAGAUGUGCAAGAGGUACCUGAGGUGGCCAAGGCCUUAGAGCCAGAUGUACCUAAUGGGGGUUCUGAUGCAGUCUCCUCAGAUGACUGAGCGGAGGCAAAUGAGGCUCUGGUUGAAUCCUUUUUGCGCCUUUUGUGGACCCAUCCUUCUGGAUAACCAAUGAUCUCAUAACAUUCCUUAAUUGUGUGGUUAUCCAAACCACAUUUGGUACACUUCAUUGGAGGCCGGUUACGAGUAGGGUCGACAUUAUAGUUGUUCGGCCGAGAUUAUUUAGACCUCGCAACAGCCAAGGCUGUGGCUUCGGAGGUUACACCAGCUUCAGACAUGGUUCCCUGUUGGUUACUCUCUCUUUUAAUAUGUGCAUAUGUUGCCUCAAGUUCGGGCUUUGGCUCCAUCCGCAACAUCUCUCCUCAAAUUUGCUCGAAAUUAUUGUCCAAACCUGCAAGAAAUAUAUAAACUUGGAGAUGAUCAACCUCUUUGCGUCUAGUCUCAAUGUCUUUCGGAUGCUCCGUGGUGCUUGGACUUAAUUGAUCAAGUUCGUGAAAAAUCUCAGUGAGCUCACUGUAAUAUUUGGCAACUGAUGCACCAACUUGCUUCAUUAUGAAUGACCGUCUGUGAAGGUCAUAAAUCUUGGCUUCAUCAGCACCAUCUGAAUAGGUUUGCUUGAUUGCAGCCCAGACUUGCUUUGCUGUGUCAUAACGAAUAAAUCGUUUAAUCUGAUUAGGUUGCAUGGCGUCGAACAACCAACUCUUGACUUGGCAAUUCGAUGUACCCCAUUUAUUAAAUGUGGGAUCUGUGUCUGCAGGCUGGGCAAUAUCACUGGUCAAGUGGCCAUGUUUUUCUCGCCCAUCUAUCUUCAUCUCUAUGAUUUGAUGCCACAGAGAAUAAUUAUUCUCAUCCAGUUUGAUUCCUACGGAGAAGUUGGAGGUGUCACUUUACAAAGUGACGAUUUGUGUGGUAGUUUUGGAGCCUCCCGACACUAAGGAUUGAUUGGUGUUUGCUGACCCAUCAUCGUUGGCCUUGAUAUUGGCUGACAAACAAUGAGAAAAAAAAAGGGCAAAAAGAAAUUUUGUCUGGGGGAAACAUUACUCUGGGGUAACUGAUUAGAAAAGGAAAAACAAAAAUAUUAAGUUGAGGAAAAACAAGUGAACGGUGGACAAAGGCAAGAUUGGUGGCGAAAGGUUAUACCCAGACUUAUGGGAUUGACUAUGGGGAUGGACUAUGGAAAAGGCGAUAAGACAAAUUGUUUUGCAAUAAGAAAUAUUGGGUUGAAAGGAAAAAAGAACAAAGGAACGGUUUGAAUGGGUCUGUGAGUGGAAAGUGAUUUGCAAUAUUGCAAAACGUGAUUUGACUAGAGGAAAGGUUUGAAUGGGUUUGUGAGAUCACUACUACAAAAAAGCAAAAAGACGACGGUAAAUCACCGUCGUGUAUUCGGUUUUUCAAUGGUCGUGGAAUCCACCGUCAUCUUUUCCCUCAUAAACCACGACGCUAAAUCACCGUCGUUGUUACAAUAUACAACGUCAUCAACAAAUACAAAACGACGUCUUUGUACUGCAAAAAGAUCUAAAAAAGCAGUCGAGGAUGAGAAUAGACGACCAACUCUCUAAAAAAACCGUCGUUAAAAAGGAAAAAUAUGACACAUAUUAACAGAACAAGGCCGCAAUAUAGACAUACAACGACGAAAAUUAAAAUAAGACGCCUUUAAAUAUCAUUUUCACGACAAUAAAAAAUAUGACGUCUUUAAAUACAUUAGAAGACGACGUUAUUGAUACCUACUACGUCGCCUAUAUAAAAAGAGCCGUCGUAAAAUAAAUUUUCCACUUCGAUUUUUCUAUAAAAGAUGACGUGGAAAUCACUACUACAAAAAGUGAAAAAGACGACCAGAAAACAACGACGGUCUAAGUGAAAACCGUCGUGGUUUAUAAAAAGACGACGGUUCUAAAAACACCGUCGUGUAAUACAACCUUAGACAACUAAAAAAUGGAGUUUCAAAUGGCUGUUCAAAAACAACGACGUACAUAAUUAAACAACCGACGUCUAUUUGAAACAGAUUUCCGCAGUGUAAAAUCAAUGCCAACAAAGAACGGCAGAAGUUAUGAAUCGACCGACGUAGAAAGUAAAGAAGACGAUUUCAAUAAAAAUUGCCGUUUUUACUCAUAAAAUAACACGACGAGGUUUUCGUAUAAGACGUCGUAUAAUUACAAACAAAUCCACGGCUUUAAAAUACAAAAUAUCGCCGUAUUAAAUUAAUUUACAACGACGGAAAAUAUAAAUAUAUCGACGUCAUUCUCGUAUAGUUCUACGACGUUAUCUUUAAAUCGUACAAUAAAAUUUAACGUCGUAUUUAUUCAUUUUAUACGUCGUACCUUUAAUUUUAACGGUCGUCUUAAUAAGAAUUUUUGUUAACAAUUUUUUUCUUUGAUUUUCUUAUCCUACGUCGGUAGAUCUACUUAAUGACAAGAAUUGAAAUAACCACGACGGUUUAUAUAGAACACCGCCGACAUAAUCAGAUUUGUCUGAGAUCCCAAGGGUUACGAAAUCUUACCAGAUGGAACUCUGUUCCACAUCAUAAUCUUAACAGAUGACACAGAUUUGCAAAUAUUGCGUCGUGUUAGUUUACAAAUUCUAGAACAUUAAUUUCCCUCAUUUUAAAUUUCCUCGGGAAAGAAAAAUCUAUUUAUCACGCUUUGGAAUUGAAAACUAAAACUGAAAGAAUACGGGAAAAAAAACUCUAUUUAUAAUUUAAAAUUAAAAUCCACGUCGGUUGUAGUACACUUAACGACGUUUAACAAAAUAAUCUACGUCGGUAAUUAUAAAUCUACCUCCAUCUUAACUUAAUAUAGACGACGAGAAAAGACGACGGUAGAACAGAAAACCGCCGUUGUUUCAGUUUCUUUAACAUAUCUUUCUGCAGGACUUGUGUAGUUCAAAGCAUUGACAAUGUCUUCAUCAUAUCUCCCAGAAACUACUGAUUCAAUUGCUCAUGCUUUAGAGGCCAUCUGAAGCCAUUUCUAUUCUUUAUCGCAUUCUUGAAACCCAUCUUCUUCUUCUGAAGCUCUACGGAUAAAGGAAGAGGCUAUCACAAAUCCGACGGAUCUUCUUAGGCAAGAAAAUCAAGUAGAGGAUCAGGCACAUCUGAUCUUCAGAUUUCCCUGAGAAGCGAACUUUCCUUCGACAGCGAGUGGAGGCCAGGCUUGCAUCUCUUUUGAUGGAAAGCAAGGAGUAUUCAGAAGCACUAAGUGUCCUAUCAGGCUUGAUCAAGGAAGUGAGAAGGCUAGUUGACAAGCUUCUUCUUGUGGACAUAUAUUUGAUGCGAGUAAGAGAGGAAGAACUUGGAACCUUAAAUGUAAACCGAAAAUAAAUGAAAGCGACAAAUUUAUAGAAUAAAUUUUUAAAACCAACGGCGGUCCUUACAAAAAAACCGCCGUUUAAAUUGUAAAAUCAACGUCGGUAUAAUCGACGUAUAUUACAGAAAUCCACGUCGGUAAAUUAAUAAAAACGACGUGUUAAAUAAUCUACCAUGACGCGAGUUAUUACUUAUGUACUUUAAUUUUUGAGUUUACUACGACGGUACCUACAAACUACUGUCGUAUUUAUUUACCACGUCCGAAGUUAAAUGUACCGUCGUAUUUUGUAAUUUAUACGUCGUAGUUAUAUGUAACCGCCGUAUUAUUUUUUUGAAAUGGUUUUAUAUGUAAGCAACUUUUCGUCUACUUGACUUACACAUUAGUUAUUUUUAUAUUCUUAUUUUAUUUAAAUCUGUCAUCCAAAAAAGAAACUUUACAUAUUGCAGAAUAUUAAUUUCCUUCGUUUUAAAUUUCCUCCGGAAAAAAAACUCUAUUUAUAACGCACUGUAAUUGAAAAAUAAACUGAAAGGUCACGGGAAAAAAAUUCUAUUCAUAAUUUAAAAAUUAAAAUCCACGUCGGUUAUAUUAAACCUAACGACGUUAAAUGAAAUGAUUCCACGUCGAACGAAAAAUAUUGCGUCGUGUUAGUUAAAAACGACGUAGUUAAAUGUAACCACCGUAUUAUUUUUUUGAAAUGGUUUUAUAUGUAAGCAACUUUUCGACUUACACAUGCACUGUUUCCAAACCCGAUUAAAAAUUUCAAUCUCCUAGAGAAACCUUUUCGUCUUUUUUCCUUGUCAGAGCAUUGUCAGAGUUUCUCAUCGUCUUCCUCUCGUCUUCUUCGUCGUCUCUGAACUUAAACAUCGAUCAUCUUCCUCUUGCUUUCAUUGCACGCAAAAGGUAAGCUUUCAUUUUCACUAUUUUGGUUACUGUUUUGCAUGCUCAUACGUUUUUUGUUUGAAAAAUCUUUUUACCUUUUUUCUGGCCAAAAUCAUUUUACUUCUUUCCAAGUUUGAUAAAAUAUACAGACAAAGAGGGAAAGUUUCCAACUUUGAAGACAACUACAUCAACUAAAUAAGACGACGGUAGACCACGACGGUUCGUCAGUUGUUCUAGCGUCGUCUGAAAAUUGACAAAGUUGUUUUUAAAAUAAUAGUCUUUUUUUAUAUGCUUGUUUAAUUGCAGGUUUGAUUUCUCUGAACAAUGGUUUUUGUUUUUCCCUUAUUUGAUAAAAUAUAAAGAAAAAGAAACUAGGGUUGGUAUCUAAUAUAGACGACAAAAUAUCUUAUUGUUUUACGUCGUGUGAAUGUUAAUACCACGACGGUGUAUUACUAUUGACGUCGUAUGAACAUAAAUACCACGACGUUAUAUAAAUAAUAGUUUACCACGACGGUGUAUUACUAUUGACGUCGUGUGAACAUAUAUACCACGACGUUAUAUAAAUAAUGGUUUUAAACAUUUAUUACGUCUGAGAUUAUUUCAUUGCGUCGUCUAAAAUCAUAUCAUACGUCGUAUUUUUUUAAUAACCGUCAUUUGUGUUCUUAAUCUUUUCUUGAAAUAUUUUCACUUUCAGUUUUGUCUGUAAAAAUGGUUUCUCACCAAGACCAAAGUAAGGAUUCUGGCUCCAACAAAAAUGGAGGUAAGGAGCAAGUACCUCCUCAAGAGAAGUCUUCGAAGAUAAUGAAGUCUUCGAAGAAGAUGAAGUUUGCUUCAUCAUCUGCUGAGACAGAACAAACCAGCCAGACAACAAUAUCUGAUGAUUCAAAGACUGGUCGAGGUAUGAGCACAAUGCCUCGUGUUGUGAAGAGAAAGCUUCAGAAACUGAGGCCAAUUGUUGAGUACAAUAAAAGGGGGAAAGGUGUUGGCCAAGCACAUAUUGAGAUGCAGUCGUAUAUUGGUGUGUUGGCACGCUCCAGGAUCCCACUUGUGGACAAGAAAUGGUCCCAAAUCCCCAAGGAUAUAAAGGAGCAGAUUUGGGAAGCAGUUGACAUGGCUUUUGUCGUAGGCCAAGGGGGCAAGACCUCUGUUUUAGCUUCUGCUUCCAAGAAAUGGAAGGAUUUCAAGUCUACACUAACGAGGCAUUAUAUCCUUCCAUACACCAAUGACAGGGAGAAAUUAAGCCAACCCCCUGAAACAUAUAAAUUCAUAGAGAAAGCACAAUGGGAUGCCUUUGUAGCUUCAAGGCUAUCCAAAGAUUUUGAGUCUGUGCAUUCUCAACAUGCACAGAUUAGGGAGAAACUCGAGUACAAUCAUCGAUUGUCUCGAAAAGGAUAUGCUGGAUUGGAGGAUCAAUUGGAGGAAACCAUGCCUGGGGUAGAAAUUGAUCGAUCUACCUUAUGGAAGAGAGCUAGACAGGACAAACAUGGUAACAUCCCUGAUCCAAAGGUGGCAGAGAAAGCAAAAUUAAUUGUAAGCCUACUAUCACUCUGUUUUAAAUUUUUAUUAAACUGUGAAUUAUUCUUAUUACGUCGUAUGUUAUAUUUUUCGUCGUGUGAAUGAUAUUACCACGUCGAAAAGUUUUUAAAAACGUCGUUAAAGGUCUAAAUAGGAAUCACUACUAUGUUUUCUGUAAUUAUAGCAUAAGACGUCGGUGGUUCAUUUUCGCGUCGUGUGAAUGAUAUUACCACGUCGAAACUUUUUUAAAAACGUCGUUAACGGUCUAAAUAGGAAUCACUACUCUGUUAUCUUUAAUUAUAGCAUAAGACGUCGGUUGUUUAUUCAUUUCGUCGUUUUAAAUAAAUAACCACGUCGGUAUAACUACCGUCGUGAUAAGUUAUAAUAACGUCGGUUUAUACGUUAUUGCGUCGUGUGAAAUUAUAUAAUACGUCGUUUGUACAUAAAUAACCGUCGUGUGUUUUUUUGUUUAUCUUUUUUUAGGAUGAAUUGCAGAAACAAGUCUCGGAAGGCAAAGUCAGAGUAGAUGGCAGCAAUGAUGUGCUGACCAUGGCUUUGGGCCCCGAGCAUCCAGACAGACUGAGGGGAGUUGGUGCUGGUGUUUUCCCAAGGCAAUAUUUCAAUUUGCCCAAACCACAGAGGGUGAGCUUUGACGACCGUUUGAAGGACAGUUUAAGAGUUCUCCUUCAAGAAGAGACUAAAAAAUUGGAGGCUAAGGCAAGGGAAGAGGCCUUAAGGAUGGAGGCUAGGACAAAACAAUUGGUAGAGGCUGAGAGGGAGCAUUUCCUGAGUCAGCUUUCCCAAUUAAUUCCCAAUUUUGAUCCAAGCAUGCUUAAACCAAGAAUUAGCCAAAGCCCCAAAAAUCCAAUGUCUGACAAAGCAAGCUGCUCUGGAGGUGAUGUGAGAUCCCUACAUUUGGAGGAUGAUACUGCCAAAAUGGGGAAACAUCAGCCAGAUGAAGAGAAGGAAGAAGAAAAGGAGAAAGAAGAUGAAGAAAAGCAUGACGACAAGGUAUGUUCACAUAACUUUGCCUUUUUUAUUUGUUUUUCAAAAUUUCAGACGUCGAUAUUUUUAUUUAAUCCGUCGUUUGUUUAAAAAUUAGACGGCGGACUUUUUUUAAGACGUAAUAAAAUAUUUAAACGACGGUUUUUGCACCGUCGUUUAAAUGGUUUCAGACGACGCUUUAUUAAUAAAACCGUCGUCUUUAUUGAAUUACCACGACAGUGUUUUCACCGUCGUUUAAAUCCUUUUAAGACGACGUUUUAUUCCUUAAACCGUCGUCUUUAUUGAAUUACCACGUCAUUUUUUUUUAUUUCUUUAAACAGGUUAUUGAAGUUGGUGCUUAUUCAAAUAUGGAGGCGCCAUCUUCUUUAAAAACCCUUUGUCGUUUUGUGGAAACGACACUCCUGCCUGAGGAUAAGACACUCCAAUUUACAAUUGAUAAGGAGGUGUUUGGUGGUGAGCGCGAUACCUUCCUCCUGCCUGAAGAUAUUACACAAUUUGCAGGCAUGGAAGAAAUUGGAGCUACUGUAUUGGCUGUAUAUAUGAGGUUUGUACUUCUAAGAUAAUAACUCGUUGGUUUAUAUAUUGCGUCGUCUUAACUAACUAACCACGUCGUCUUAACUAACUACCGUCGUGAUAAAUAUAUUAUAACGUCCUUAUCUAUUUCAGUACGUCGUGUGAAAUAUUAUAAUACGUCGUUUUUUUAUACAUAACCGUCGUGUUUGUUUUUGCUGACUUGUUUAUAUUAUUUUAUGUAUUUAGGUACUUACACGAUGUUUUGAAACAAGCCAAUAUGUGCAGCAUGGUUGGCUUUAUUGACCCUGCUACAGUUAGUGCCAACUCUGGCACAAUAACUGAAAGAUCACGACUGGUAGCAGCUCGACUUCAGAAGACAGACGGUGAACAGCUUUUCAUGAUGCCUUACAAUCCAGGGUUAGUCUCCUUAGGAUUUUGUUUUUAUGAUUUUCAAUAAAUGACAGCUUAUAAACUAACCACGUCGGUGUUUUAUUUUAUUUAGUCGUUUGAAACUACUAACCACGUCGGUAUUUAUUUGUCGUCGUGAUAAAUAUAUAAUGUCGUCGUUAUCUACUUUAUUUCGUCGUGUGAAAUACUAUAAUACGUCGUUUUUGUAAAUAACCGUCGUUUUUAUAUUAAUUUUGUGCAGCCGUCAUUGGAUCUUGCUGAUUGUAAGAGCAAAGAAGGAGACCGUCUAUUUUCUGGAUCCUCUGCCAGGUCAUCGUGUGGUCGACGAAGAGGCGAAAAACAUCGUGAACAGUACUUUAAAAAUAUAUAAUACCCACAUAGGCCGAGCAGGACGUAAAAAUGUAAUUUGGAAAACUCUCUCAGGCACACCAAAGCAACCCAGCAAUGUCGAAUGCGGGUAUUAUGUGAUGCGCUUCAUGAAGGACAUCAUCAUGGAUCCUUCCUUGGGGUUUGAGAAGAAGGUAAGAAGAAAUAACCUUCAAACAUUUUACAUCGUUUUUUAUAUUAUCAACGACGGUCAUGUAAAAUUACCGUCGUUGAAUAGAUAUACUACGUCGGUUAUGGUCGUCUGUGAUUGAAUUUCCUUUUAUUUAUAAACCCUAAUAGUCAUUGUUUUUAUGCAGUAUGCGAAGGGAAAACAGGAAGAGCCAUACCCCCAAGAAGCAAUUGAUGAAGUCCGGAAUGAAUGGACAGAGUUUGUUUGCCUUCAACUUAAAUAGGGGAAUUAUUGAACACUUGAUAUUUAUGUAUAAUGUACAAAUUUUGUCUAUAAUAUAUAAUGUAAAAAUUUGUUGAGGUUUUCUUAAAGUAAAAACAAAAACAAACAUACAAAAUGCGUUACCGACGUGUAAUAAUUUUCCAACGACCUAAUAAAGUCACAAACCGUCGUAUUUUGUUGUUUCGUGUUUUAAACAAAUACGACGUAAAAAUAUAGUUAGACGACGUUCUUUGAACAAUUGAGUCGUUUAUGGUUUACAACAUCUUCAAUUUCUUAAGGGUUCAGGGUAUCAUCGACGACGUUUAUGUAACGACAGCGGUUAAGUCGUUGAUAUAUAUAUUUUACGUCGUAUAGUUAAAUAGCCGCCAUGGUUUCUCAUUUUAACGACGUCAUUUUAACGACUUAGUAGUCUAUUACAAUUUACAACGUCUACAAUUUAUUAACACCGACGUGGUUUGUUGUUGUGGUAAGAAUAUUUUAUUAUUUUUAUAUCAAAAUAUUCAAAAUAAAUUUAAAAUAAAUCAGAAAAUUGAAAAGUCAACUCCUAUGAAGUCAUUGAUAUAUUUUCUUCCACAUAAACCUUGAAAAAAUUCAUUUUGAAUAACAAAAAUUUAAAAUGACCAUCCAAAACAAAAUUGUUUUGAUGAGUCAUAAAAUCACUUCUAGUUUUAUGGUUUAGGGUUUAGAGUCUAGGGUUUAGAGAUUAGGGUUGUUAUUUAUUGGGGUUUAUUUUUAAAGUAUAAUUUUUGGGUAGUCUAGGGUAUAUGUUAGGCUUUAAAACCAUAAAACCUUUUAUAAACUUAAUUUUUUAAAUUGUAUAAUUUAGUUUUAUGGGUUUAGGGUAUUAAUUUUUAACGACGGUGGUUGCGUCGUGGAAUACAUAUUUUACGUCGUACAGAAAAACAUACGACAUGGUUUACGCUUUAAACGACGUCAUUUUAAUAUGUAAGUCGGUUUAUAUAAUUUACAACGUCUUUAAUUUCUUAACACCGAUGUGGUUUUUCAGUCGUCGUUAUAUAAAAAAUUCAAAAUAAAUUUAAAAUUAAUCCGAAAAAUGAAGCUUCAAAAUGAACGGCCUUACGUUCUUAAUCCGAAAAAUGAAGUUUCCGUCGUGGAAUAUUAAAUUUACGUCGGUACGUGUAGAACUUUCGCCUUGGUUUUUCUUUCGACGUUUUAAAACGCACGAACUCUAAAAAUUUUCGCGCGACCUAAAUUUUUUUAGAUUUGGCUCUUAUUCUUAUACUUCGAACCCUGAAACCUAAAAUUUUCAGAUUUCGCGCGACAUAACAUUUCGCUCUCUCACUUCUGCUCUAAUUAAAAGUUGCACUCUCCAGGCUCCGUCGAAUCUGUGAGCUCGUCCAACCUGUAAGUAUAAACCCUAUCUUCCCCUUGUAAAUUCAUUGAAUGAUAUUAGGUUGUUUUGUUAAAGGGUUUUAUGUGUAUGCUUUGCGAUAUGUUAAUAAUGUGCUUAUAGGUAUGGGUUCAUGGAUUUUCUGUUUAAUGGGUUCAUGGAUUACAUUAUCUGUUAUGUUGAAUUGGGAAUGGAUUUAAUUUUGUCGUAUCUUUUAAUCACCCUAUGUUAUGUUGAAUUGGGAAUGGAUUUAUUGUUUUCAUGCUUGGUUUCAUGUAUAUGUUGGUUUCUUGCUUGGUUUCAUAUAUAUGUUGUGUUCUUAAUGGGUUUUGUGUUCUUGAAAAUAAACUGAGACACGACGAAUUUUAAGGCUUACGACGACGAUUACACGACGGUUUUUUUAAACUACCGUCGUUGUAUUACUUAUACACGACGGUUUUUUCAUAAACCGUCGUUUGUAUUACUUAUAAUAGACGACGUCUGUUGAAAAUCCGUCGUCUAUAUAUGCCAAAUACGUCUGUUUUUGUUUAAAACCUGUCGUCUCUGUUGUGUAUUACUUGCGAUUAGAUCAUUGUAUAAUCUGCUAUAGUGAUGGUCAUUGCCUGUAUUUUCACUUUAUUAUAGAUAAUAGGUUAUAGUGUCGGAGAUGGAUAAGUCAUGGAUGCACUCGGAUAGAAGAUCGAAGGCAUAUGAAUUUGGGGUGGAAGCAUUUUUGAACUUUGCUGUAGAAAAUCUUCUAACUACAACACAUAUCCGUUGUCCAUGUGUUAAAUGUGUUAAUUUGAAGUUGUUUGGGGUUGGAAUUAUAAGGGAUCACUUAUACUUUAAUGGAAUUGACCAAAGCUAUAAGAAUUGGACAUUUCACGGAGAACCUUGGGAAGCAACUACUAAUGCUAGUAGAAAUGUUGAAGAAGAUGAUGGCCAUAGUAGGUACAGUUUUGUGUCUGAAGAAAUUGAUAUGGAUGAUAAUGAUUUUGGUGAUUUUGGUUCGGAUCCGUAUGAGUUUGCCAAUGUGAUUGGGGAUGGAGAUCAACCAGUGUACCCUGGUUGUAGAAAGUACACGAAGUUAUCGGCAUUAGUGAAGUUGUAUAAUUUGAAGGCAAAACAUGGGAUGAGUGAUGUCUGUUUUACAGAAUUAUUGAUACUUCAAGGCGAUUUGCUUCCAGAAGGAAAUACAAUACCAACCUCCAUGUAUGAGGCUAAAAAGACUUUGUGUGCAUUGGGUAUGAGGCUAAAAAGACUUUGUGUGCAUUGGGGCUGAGUUAUGAGAAAAUGCACGCAUGCCCCAAUGAUUGCAUCUUGUAUAGGAAGGAGUAUGAGGAUUCAACUAAUUGUCCUACUUGUGGUAUCUCAAGGUGGAAGGAAGGCAAAGAUUCAAUCUUGAAAGAGGGUGUGCCAGCGAAGGUGGUGUGGUAUUUUCCCCCAAUUCCAAGGUUUAAAAGGAUGUUUCAAUCACAUGAGACAGCUAAGAGUUUGACUUGGUGGCAUGCUGCUAGAAAAUCAAUUGACGGUCAGAUGUCUCAUCCGGCGGAUUCCCCGUCUUGGAAACUUCUUGAUGAUAAAUGGCCUGAGUUUGGUAAUGAGCCGAGAAACUUGAGAUUGGCUCUUUCAUCUGAUGGAUUCAAUCCCCACAGUUCUCUAAGUAGCAGAUAUAGUUGUUGGCCGGUUAUCUUAGUUACAUAUAAUCUCCCUCCAUGGCUGUGCAUGAAACGAAAGUUCAUGAUGUUAACCUUAUUGAUUUCCGGUCCUAAACAACCCGGAAAUGAUAUAGACGUCUACUUGGAGCCUUUGAUUGAUGAUUUAAAAUCCUUGUGGGUUGGGAUUAGAGGAGUGUAUGAUGCACAUAAUGGAGAAUACUUUACACUCAGAGCUGCAUUAAUGUGGACAAUUAAUGAUUUCCCCGCCUAUGGAAACUUAUCUGGUUGUGUUGUUAAAGGAUAUAAAGCUUGUCCAAUAUGCGGCGAUGAUACACCUAGUCACAGGUUGAAAAAUGGCCACAAAAUUUGUUACAUUGGGCAUAGAAAAUGGUUACCAAUCAAUCAUCCAUAUAGGAAGGCAACGUGCAGCUUUAAUGGGAAACCUGAAUAUGGCAUACCUCCCGAGCCAUUAACCGGAGAAGAAGUGCUGCAUAUGGUUGAAAAUGGUGACAGAGUUUGUUGGAAGAAGAAAUCAAUAUUCUUUGAUCUCGAGUAUUGGAAAUACCUUCCUGUGAGGCAUGCCCUAGAUGUUAUGCACAUUGAGAAGAAUGUUUGCGAUAGUAUCAUUGGUACAUUGCUGGAGAUCCCUGGAAAAAAUAAAGAUGGGAUUGCUGCUCGAUUAGAUUUAUUGAACAUGGGGGUCAAAACUGAUUCGCAACCCGAGUAUGGAGAAAGACGUACUCGUUUGCCUCCUGGGCCUUGGAAUUUGUCAAAAGCAGAGAAGAGAGAGGUUUGCAAUUCUUUCUAUGGUAUGAAGGUCCCUGAAGGUUAUUCUUCAAAUAUUAAAAAUCUUGUAUCUUUACAAGAUUCAAGACUUCUUGGCCUUAAAUCACAUGAUUGUCAUACCUUAAUGCAACAAUUGCUCCCUGUGGCAAUUCGUUCUGUUUUGGAGAAGCCUGCAAGGUAUGCAAUAACUCGUUUGUGCUUCUUCUUCAAUGCUAUAUGUGCAAAGACUGUUGAUGUUUCCAAGCUAGAUAAGUUGGAAGAAGAUGUAGUAGUUACUCUGUGUUUGCUUGAGAAGUACUUUCCCCCUUCAUUCUUUGAUAUCAUGGUUCAUCUAGUAGUACAUCUUAUCAGAGAAGUUCGUCUAUGUGGGCCAGUAUAUUUUAGGUGGAUGUAUCCGUUUGAAAGAUAUAUGAAAGUGCUGAAGGGGUAUGUUCAGAAUCGUACUCGUCCCGAAGGUUGCAUUGCUGAGCGGUAUAUAGCUGAAGAAGCGGUAGAGUGUUGUACUCAGCAUUUAUCUGAUGUUAGUACAGUUGGAGUGCCUUCAAGCCAAAAGAUGGGACUUUCAAAGCCAUUAUCAGGUUGCACAGUGAGCGUAGUUGAUCAGGACCUGUUGAAUCAAGCACAUCUAUAUGUCUUGGAGAAUACGGAGGAAGUCCUACCUUAUAUCGAGUACGUAUGAGCUUUAUUCUUUAAGUUUCCAUUUUAAAUUAUUUCUUAUGUUUAUCUUCUAUAUUUAGGACCGUAAUGCUUGAAUUUUUCGUGUCAUGUAGGCAACAUAUGAUUCACAUCAAGACUGCUUAUCCAAAAUUUAGAAAGAGAACAAAGUGGCUGCAGGAUAAGCACAAUAGCACUUUCAUUCAAUGGCUACGCUUCAAGGUAUAUAUUGUUGAAUAACAUAUUUCUCUUUUAAUUUUCUUCUUAUUUAUAUGUUAGAUUGAAUUAAGAUAUGAUUAAUUUGCAGGUUCAAAGUGAACUUGAGGAAGACAAUCAUGGCGUAUCAGAAAAUUUAAGGUGGCUAGCAGCUGGUCCAAACAUGUCAGUGCCAUUAUAUAGGAGCUAUCUUAUUAAAGGUAUUAAAUUCAAUAUCAAGGCACAAGAUGAUGUGCGGACAACUCAAAAUAGUGGAGUUUAUUUACUUGCACAUACCAUGCAAGUUGCUAGUGCCAAGGAUAAAAACCCAAUUCUCUCAAAUAUGGGUUUCUAUGGUGUCAUUCAAGAAAUUUGGGACCUUGACUACCAAAAGUUUACAAUCCCAGUCUUUAGGUGUGAUUGGAUAGAUAGUUCUGGUCUUGUAGUCGACGAACUUGGAUUUACCCUUGUAGAUUUGAGUAAAAUUGGACAUAGGAAUGACCAAUUUGUUUUGGCUUCUCAAGUCAAACAAAUAUUUUUUGUUGACGACCCGAUGCAUCGUGGUUGGUCGGUAGUGUUAUCAAUGCCUAAUAGAGAAUAUAAUGAUGUUAUUGGUGAUGAAGUCUUAGGUGAUGUGAUAAUUGAGUGUGAGCCAUUUACUAGAGGGAUGCCAAAUGUUGACACAUUUGAUGAACUGGUGGGUGAGUUAGGCGGUCAAAAUAUUCGAGAUGGGUGUGAAGAUAUAUGGAUUGAAUGAUGCUUAUGUAAUUGGCAGUGUAUGACAUUAAUUUUGUAAUAUAUUGUAAUGUGAUUUCUUCACUUUCUACGUUCAAAUAAAACACGACGUUAUUGUGAACCAGUUAUUCAGCAUAUUUACCGACGUCUUAAAGCAACGUAACAAUGAAGAACCACGACGCAAUUGUGAAGCAAUUAUUCAGGAUAUCACGUCGGGGAAGGAUUAAGAACCGCCAUGUAAUUCAAAAUAACACGACUCCAAUCCCAUAAUACCGACGUUUAAAAAACGAGAUAUAUAAUCUGAACGUUAAAAAAUACGACGUCAUCAUACAUUUUCCACGUCGCAAGUUCUUUUAUAAACGAAGAGGAACGAAAUGAAUUCCGACGGAAAUUCAUUAUAACCGCCGUCUAAUAACAAUUAAACGACGUUAUUUGUAAUACGGCUCUCAUCAUAAUCAACGCCGUCUAUAUGUUCUGUAAUACGGCUCUCAUUUAUUUGGAACCGACGUUGUUUAGAAGUUCAACGUCGUCUAUAUUAUUAAGUGCGUCGUGAGUAAUGAUGAUAGAUAUAAAUACAACGUCGACUAUAUAAAUGCCACCGACGUUGUUUCGCAUUUCAACGUCAACUGUAUAAAUACAUACGUCGUAAAUAAUGACACUGACAACUAUUUCCACGUCAUCUUUUUUAGAAAAAUCGAAGUGGAAAAUUUAUUUCACGACGGUUGUUUGUAAAUAAGAGACGUAGUAUAUUUCAAUAACGUCGUCUUCUCAUGUAUUUAAAGACGUCAUAUUUUUUCUUGUCGUGUAAAUUAUAUUUAACGGCGUAAAAUUUUAGUUGUCGUCGUUGUAUGUAUAUCUUGCGGCCUUGUUCUUUUAACAUGUGUCAUAUUUUUCCUUUUCAACGACGGUGAUUUGUUUGAGUUGGUCGUCUAUUCUCAUCCUCGACUAUUUUCUAGAACUUUAGCAGACUAAACACGUCUGUUUUUAUUAUUUUCCGACGUUGUUUUAUUUAACAACGUCUAAUAUUUAUCGUCGUUGUUUGUUUCUGAAAAUAUGACGUAUAAAUUUUGUAAUACGACUCUCAUAUAUUUGUAACCGACGUUGUUUCGUUUUUCAACGUCUACUCAAUAAAUACAUACGUCGUAAAUAAUGACACUGACAACUAUUUCCACGUCAUCUUUUAUCGAAAAAUCGAAGUGGAAAAUUAAUUUUACGACGGCUGUUUUUAUAUAUGCGACGUAGUAGGUAUCAAUAACGUCGUCUUCUAAUGUAUUUAAAGACGUCAAAUUUUUUAUUGUCGUGAAAAUGAUAUUUAACGGCGUCGUUUUUUUAUUUCCGUCGUUGUAUGUCUAUCUUGCGGCCUUAUUCUCUUAAUAUGUGUCAUAUUUUUCCUUUUUAACGACGGUUUUUUUAGAGAGUUGGUCGUCUAUUCUCAUCCUCGACUGCUUUUUUAGAUCUUUUUGCAGUACAAAGACGUCGUUUUGUAUUUGUUGAUGACGUUGUAUAUUUUAACAACGACGGUGAUUUAGCGUCGUGGUAUAUGAGGGAAAAGAUGACGGUGGAUUCCACGACCAUUGAAAAAUCGAAUACACGACGGUGAUUUACCGUCGUCUUUUUGCUUUUUUGUAGUAGUGAUUGUCCAAUUUCAUUGGCCAAUCGAUAUUGGAUUGAGCCCAAAACUUGGUCAACAUCGUAAUAUGGUGGGAGGAUUCAUUUGGUGAGUUUUGAGUGAAAUCCAAUGGAUAAAACUACGCAAUACACCUACCACUCCGUUUACAGAACGAACUUCGUAUUAGACGUUGUUAAAUAAAACAACGUCGAAAACAAAUAAAAACAGACGUGUUUAGUCUGCUAAAGUUCUAAAAAAUAGUCGAGGAUGAGAAUAGACGACCAACUCAAACAAAUCACCGUCGUUAAAAAGGAAAAAUAUGACACAUAUUAAAAGAACAAGGCCGCAAGAUAGACAUACAACGACGACAACUAAAACACUACGCCGUCAAAUACAAUUUUCACGACAAGAAAAAAUAUGACGUCUUUAAAUACAUGAGAAGACGACGUUAUUGAAAUCUACUACGUCUCUUAUUUACAAACAACCGUCGUGAAAUAAAUUUUCCACUUCGAUUUUUCUAAAAAAGAUGACGUGGAAAUAGUUGUCAGUAUCAUUAUUUACGACGUAUGUAUUUAUAUAGUUGACGUUGAAUGCGAAACAACGUCGGUGGCAUUUAUAUUGUCGACGUUGUAUUUAUAUGUAUUCAUUACUCACGACGCACUUAUUAAUAUAGAUGACGUUGAACUUCUAAACAACGUCGGUUCCAAAUAAAUGAGAGCCGUAUUACAGAACAUAUAGACGGCGUUGAUUAUGAUGAGAGCCGUAUUACAAAUAACGUCGUUUAAUUGAUAUUAGACGGCGGUUAUAAUGAAUUACCGUCGGAAUUCAUUUCGUUCCUCUUCGUUUAUAAAAGAACUUGCGACGUGGAAAAUGUAUGAUGACGUCGUAUUUUUUAACGUUCAGAUUAUAUAUCUCGUUUUUUAGACAUCGGUAUUAUGGGAUUGGAGUCGUGUUAUUUUGAAUUACAUGAAGGUUCUUAAUCCUUCCCCGACGUGAUAUCCUGAAUAAUUGCUUCACAAUAGCGUCGUGGUUCUUCAUUGUUACGUUGCUUUAAGACGUCGGUAAAUAUGCUGAAUAACUGGUUCACAAUAACAUCGUGUUUUAUUUGAACGUAGAAAGUGAAGAAAUCACAUUACAAUAUAUUACAAAAUUAAUGUCAUACACUGCCAAUUACAUAAGCAUCAUUCAAUCCAUAUAUCUUCACACCCAUCUCGAAUAUUUUGACUGCCUAACUCACCCACCAGUUCAUCAAAUGUGUCAACAUUUGGCAUCCCUCUAGUAAAUGGCUCACACUCAAUUAUCACAUCACCUAAGACUUCAUCACCAAUAACAUCAUUAUAUUCUCUAUUAGGCAUUGAUAACACUACCGACCAACCACGAUGCAUCGGGUCGUCAACAAAAAAUAUUUGUUUGACUUGAGAAGCCAAAACAAAUUGGUCAUUCCUAUGUCCAAUUUUACUCAAAUCUACAAGGGUAAAUCCAAGUUCGUCGACUACAAGACCAGAACUAUCUAUCCAAUCACACCUAAAGACUGGGAUUGUAAACUUUUGGUAGUCAAGGUCCCAAAUUUCUUGAAUGACACCAUAGAAACCCAUAUUUGAGAGAAUUGGGUUUUUAUCCUUGGCACUAGCAACUUGCAUGGUAUGUGCAAGUAAAUGAACUCCACUAUUUUGAGUUGUUCGCACAUCAUCUUGUGCCUUGAUAUUGAAUUUAAUAAGAUAGCUCCUAUAUAAUGGCACUGCCGUGUUUGGACCAGCUGCUAGCCACCUUAAAUUUUCUGAUACGCCAUGAUUGUCUUCCUCAAGUUCACUUUGAACCUGCAAAUUAAUCAUAUAUCUUAAUUCAAUCUAACAUAGAAAUAAGAAGAAAAUUAAAAGAGAAAUAUGUUAUUCAACAACAUAUACCUUGAAGCGUAGCCAUUGAAUGAAAGUGCUAUUGUGCUUAUCCUGCAGCCACUUUGUUCUCUUUCUAAAUUUUGGAUAAGCAGUCUUGAUGUGGAUCAUAUGUUGCCUACAUGACACGAAAAAUUCAAGCAUUACGAUCCCAAAUAUAGAAGAUAAACAUAAGAAAUAAUUUAAAAUGGAAACUUAAAGAAUAAAACUCAUACGUACUCGAUAUAAGGUAGGACUUCCUCCGUAUUCUCCAAGACAUAUAGAUGUGCUUGAUUCAACAGGUCCUGAUCAACUACCCUCACUGUGCAACCUGAUAAUGGCUUUGAAAGUCCCAUCUUUUGGCUUGAAGGCACUCCAACUGUACUAACAUCAGAUAAAUGCUUAGUACAAAACUCUACCGCUUCUUCAGCUAUAUACCGCUCAGCAAUGCAACCUUCGGGACGAGUACGAUUCUGAACAUACCCCUUCAGCACUUUCAUAUAUCUUUCAAACGGAUACAUCCACCUAAAAUAUACUGGCCCACAUAGACGAACUUCUCUGACAAGAUGUACUACUAGAUGAACCAUGAUAUCAAAGAAUGAAGGGGGAAAGUACUUCUCAAGCAAACACAGAGUAACUACUACAUCUUCUUCCAACUUAUCUAGCUUGGAAACAUCAACAGUCUUUGCACAUAUAGCAUUGAAGAAGAAGCACAAACGAGUUAUUGCAUACCUUGCAGGCUUCUCCAAAACAGAACGAAUUGCCACAGGGAGCAAUUGUUGCAUUAAUGUAUGACAAUCAUGUGAUUUAAGGCCAAGAAGUCUUGAAUCUUGUAAAGAUACAAGAUUUUUAAUAUUUGAAGAAUAACCUUCAGGGACCUUCAUACCAUAGAAAGAAUUGCAAACCUCUCUCUUCUCUGCUCUUGACAAAUUCCAAGGCCCAGGAGGCAAACGAGUACGUCUUUCUCCAUACUCGGGUUGUAAAUCAGUUUUGACCCCCAUGUUCAAUAAAUCUAAUCGAGCAGCAAUCCCAUCUUUAUUUUUUCCAGGGAUCUCCAGCAAUGUACCAAUAAUACUAUCGCAAACAUUCUUCUCAAUGUGUAUAACAUCUAGGGCAUGCCUCACAGGAAGGUAUUUCCAAUACUCGAGAUCAAAGAAUAUUGAUUUCUUCUUCCAACAAACUCUGUCACCAUUUUCAACCAUAUGCAGCACUUCUUCUCCGGUUAAUGGCUCGGGAGGUAUGCCAUAUUCAGGUUUCCCAUUAAAAGCUGCACGUUGCCUCCUAUAUGGAUGAUUGAUUGGUAACCAUUUUCUAUGCCCAAUGUAACAAAUUUUGUGGCCAUUUUUCAACCUGUGACUAGGUGUAUCAUCGCCGCAUAUUGGACAAGCUUUAUAUCCUUUAACAACACAACCAGAUAAGUUUCCAUAGGCGGGGAAAUCAUUAAUUGUCCACAUUAAUGCAGCUCUGAGUGUAAAGUAUUCUCCAUUAUGUGCAUCAUACACUCCUCUAAUCCCAACCCACAAGGAUUUUAAAUCAUCAAUCAAAGGCUCCAAGUAGACGUCUAUAUCAUUUCCGGGUUGUUUAGGACCGGAAAUCAAUAAGGUUAACAUCAUGAACUUUCGUUUCAUGCACAGCCAUGGAGGGAGAUUAUAUGUAACUAAGAUAACCGGCCAACAACUAUAUCUGCUACUUAGAGAACUGUGGGAUUGAAUCCAUCAGAUGAAAGAGCCAAUCUCAAGUUUCUCGGCUCAUUACCAAACUCAGGCCAUUUAUCAUCAAGAAGUUUCCAAGACGGGGAAUCCGCCGGAUGAGACAUCUGACCGUCAAUUGAUUUUCUAGCAGCAUGCCAAGUCAAACUCUUAGCUGUCUCAUGUGAUUGAAAAAUCCUUUUAAACCUUGGAAUUGGAGGAAAAUACCACACCACCUUCGCUGGCACACCCUCUUUCAAGAUUGAAUCUUUGCCUUCCUUCCACCUUGAGAUACCACAAGUAGGUCAAUUAGUUGAAUCCUCAUACUCCUUCCUAUACAAGAUGCAAUCAUUGGGGAUGCGUGCAUUUUCUCAUAACUCAGCCCCAAUGCACACAAAGUCUUUUUAGCCUCAUACAUAGAGGUUGGUAUUGUAUUUCCUUCUGGAAGCAAAUCGCCUUGAAGUAUCAGACAUCACUCAUCCCAUGUUUUGCCUUCAAAUUAUACAACUUCACUAAUGCCGAUAACUUCGUGUACUUUCUACAACCAGGGUACACUGGUUGAUCUCCAUCCCCAAUCACAUUGGCAAACUCAUACGGAUCGGAACCAAAAUCACCAAAAUCAUUAUCAUCCAUAUCAAUUUCUUCAGACACAAAACUGUACCUACUAUGGGCAUCAUCUUCUUCAACAUUUGUACUAGCAUUAGUAGUUGCUUCCCAAGGUUCUCCGUGAAAUGUCCAAUUCUUAUAGCUUUGGUCAAUUCCAUUAAAGUAUAAGUGAUCCCUUAUAAUUCCAACCCCAAACAACUUCAAAUUAACACAUUUAACACAUGGACAACGGAUAUGUGUUGUAGUUAGAAGAUUUUCUACAGCAAAGUUCAAAAAUGCUUCCACCCCAAACUCAUAUGCCUUCGAUCUUCUAUCCGAGUGCAUCCAUGACUUAUCCAUCUCCGACACUAUAACCUAUUAUCUAUAAUAAAGUGAAAAUACAGGCAAUGACCAUCACUAUAGCAGAUUAUACAAAGAUCUAAUAGCAAGUAAUACACAACAGAGACGACGGUUUUUAAACAAAAACAGACGUAUUUGGCAUAUAUAGACGACGGAUUUUCAACAGACGUCGUCUAAUAUAAGUAAUACAAACGACGGUUUAUGAAAAAAGCGUCGUGUACAAGUAAUACAACGACGGUUUUUUCAUAAACCGUCGUGUAAUCGUCGUCGUAUGCCUAAAAAGGCGUCGUGUCUCAAUUUAUUUUCAAGAACCCAAAACCCAUUAAGAACACAACAUAUAUAUGAAACCAAGCAAGAAACCAACAUAUACAUGAAACCAAGCAUGAAAACAAUAAAUCCAUUCCCAAUUCAACAUAACAUAGGGUGAUUAAAAGAUCCGACAAAAUUAAAUCCAUUCCCAAUUCAACAUAACAGAUAAUGUAAUCCAUGAACCCAUUAAACAGAAAAUCCAUGAACCCAUACCUAUAAGCACAUUAUUAACAGAUCGCAAAGCAUAUACCUAAAACCCUUUAACAAAACAACCUAAUAUCAUUCAAUGAAUUUACAAGGGGAAGAUAGGGUUUGUACUUACAGGUUGGACGAGCUCACAGAUUCGACGGAGCCUGGAGAGUGCAACUUUUAAUUAGAGCAGAAGUGAGAGAGCGAAUGUUAUGUUGCGCGAAAUCUGAAAAUUUUAGGGUUCAGGGUUAGAAGUAUAAGAAUAAGAGCCAAAUAUAAAAAAAAUUAGGGCGCGCGAAAAUUUUUAGAGCGCGCGCUCUUUAAAACGUCGAAAGAAAAACCAUGGCGAAAGUUCUACAAGAACCGACGUAAAUGUAAUAUUCCACGACGGAAACACUGAACGUAACGCCGUUUAUUUUGACGCUUCAUUUUUCGGAUUAAUUUUAAAUUUAUUUUGAAUAUUUUGAUAUAAAGACGACUGAAAAACCAUGUCGGGGUUAAGAAAUUGAAAACGUUGUAAAUUAUAAUAGACGACUUACAUAUUAAAAUGACGUCGUUUAAAGUGGAAACCAUGUCGGAUAUUUUACUGCACGACGUAACAUAUGUAUUCCACGACUCAACCACCGUCGUUAACAAUUAAUACCCUAAACCCUUAAAACUAAAUUAUAUAAUUUUAAAAAUUAAGUUUAUAAAAGGGUCUAUGGUUUUACAGCCUAAUAUAUACCCUAGACUACCCAAAAAUUAUACUUUAAAAAUAAACCCCAAUAAAUAACAACCCUAAUCUCUAAACCCUAGACUCUAAACCCUAAACCAUAAAACUAGAAGUUAUUUUAUGACUCAUCAAAAUAAUUUUGUUUUGGAUGGUCAUUUUAAAUUUUUGUUAUUCAAAAUGAAUUUUUUCAAGGUUUAGGGGGAAGAAAAUAUAUCAAUGACUUCAUAGGAGUUGACUUUGCAUUUUUCUGAUUUAUUUUAAAUUUAUUUUGAAUAUUUUGAUAUAAAAAUAAUAAAAUAUUCUUAUCACAACAACAAACCACGUCGGUGUUAAUAAAUUGUAGACGUUGUAAAUUGUAAUAGACGACUAAGUUGUUAAAAUGACGUCGUUUAAAUGAGAAACCAUGGCGGAUAUUUAACUAUCCGACGUAAAAUAUAUAUUCCACGACUUAACCGCUGUCGUUACAAAGUACUACCCUGAACCCUUAAGAAAUUGAAGACGUUGUAAACCAUAAACGACUCAAUUGUUCAAAGAACGUCGUCUAAAUAUCCUUUUACGUCGGAUUUGUUUAAAACGAAACAACAAAAAACGACGGUUUUUGACUUUAUUAGGUCGUUGGAAAUGUAUUACACGUCGGUUACGCAAUUUGUAUGUUUGUUUUUUUUUUAAUUUAAGAAAACCUCAACAAAUUUUUACAUUAUAUAUUAUAGACAAAAUUUGUACAUUAUACAUAAAUAUCAAGUGUUCAAUAAUUCCCCUAUUCCAGGUGAAGGCAAACAAACUCUGCCCAUUCAUUCCGGACUUCAUCAAUUGCUUCUUGGGGGUAUGGCGCUUCCUAUUUUCCCUUGGCAUACUGCAUAAACAAUGACUAUUAGGGUUUAUAAAUAAAAAGAAAUUCAAUCACAGACGACGAUAUUUUUCAUAACCGACGUACUAUAUCUAUUCAACGACGGUAAUUUUACAUGACCGUCAUUGAUAAUACAAAAAAAGACGUAAAAUGUAUGAAGGUAAUUUCUUCUUACCUUCUUCUCAAACCCCAAGGAAGGAUCCAUGAUGAUGUCCCUCAUGAAGCGCAUCACAUAAUACCCGCAUUCGACACUGCUGGGUUGCUUUGGUGUGCCUGACAGAGUUUUCCAAAUGACUGCCUUACGGCCUGGUCUAGCUAUGUGAGAAUUAUAAAUUUUUAUAGCACUGUUCACAAUGUUUUUGGCCUCUUCAUCGACCACACGAUUUCCUGGCAGAGGAUCCAGAAAAUAGACGGUUUCUCUCUUUGCUCUUACAAUCAGCAAGAUCCAAUGACGGCUGCACAAAAUUAAUAUAAAAACGACGGUUAUUUACAAAAAUGACGUAUUAUAAUAUUUCACACGACGAAAUAAAGUAGCAAUCGACGACAUUAUACAUUUAUCACGACGAUAAAUAACUACCGACGUGGUUAGUAGUUUCAAACGACUCAAUAAAAUAAAACACCGACGUGGUUAGUUUAUACGCUGUCAUUUAUUGAAAAUCAUAAAAACAAAAUCCUGUUAAGGAGACUAACCCUGGAUUGUAAGGCAUCAGGAAAAUCUGUUCACCGUCAGUCCUCUGAAGUCGAGCUGCUAGUAGGCGUGAUCUGUCAGCUAUUGUGCCAGAGCUAGCACUAACUGUAGCAGGGUCGAUAAAGCCAACCAUGCUGCACAUAUUUGCUCGUUUCAAAACAUCGUGUAAGUACCUAAAUAUAUAAAAUAAUAUAAACAAGUCAGCACAAAAAAACACACGACGGUUAUGUAUAACAAAACGACGUAUUAUAAAAUUUCACACGACGUACUGAAAUAGACAACGACGUUAUAAUAUAUUUAUCACGACGGUACAUACUAACAACGUGGUUAGUUAGUUAAGACGACGCAAUAAAUAAACCAACGACGUAUUAUUUUAGAAUGACAAACCUCAUAUAUACAAAAAAACACACGACGGUUAUGUAUAACAAAACGACGUAUUAUAAAAUUUCACACGACGUACUGAAAUAGACAACGACGUUAUAAUAUAUUUAUCACGACGGUACAUACUAACGACGUGGUUAGUUAGUUAAGACGACGCAAUAAAUAAACCAACGACGUAUUAUUUUAGAAUGACAAACCUCAUAUAUACAGCAAUGACAGUGGCUCCUAUUUCUUCCAUGCCUGCAAAUUGUGUAAUAUCUUCAGGCAGGAGGAAGGUAUCGCGCUCUAGACCAAACACCUCCUUAUCAAUUGUAAAGUGCAGGGUCUUAUCCUGAGGCACGAGUGUCGUUUCAACAACUUGAAUAACCUGUUUAAAGAAAUAAAAAAAAUGACGUGGUAAUUCAAUAAAAACGACGGUUUAAGGAAUAAAACGUAAAAAAAAUGACGUGGUAAUUCAAUAAAAACGACGGUUUAAGGAAUAAAACGUCGUCUGAAAAGAAUUUAAACGACGGUGAAGAAACCGUCGUGGUGAAUAAUUUAUUACGUCUUAGAAAAAAAUUCCGCGGUCUAAGUUUUAAACAAACGACGGUUUAAAGAAAAAUAUCGACGUCUGAAAUUUUGAAAAACAAAUAAAAAAGGCAAAGUUAUGUGAACAUACCUGGUCGUCAUCUUCUUUCUCCUUUUCAUCUUGUUUUUCUUCUUUCUUCUCUUCAUCUAUUACGUCGGGAAUGACUAACUCCGUCGUCUAAAAACCACAAAGUUUUAAAAAUAACGACGUUUAAUGGCGUGUAAAACAAGUAAACUAAAUACGACGUGGUAUUGAAAUACAAACGACGGUUUAAUUUUAAAAUCGUCGUGGUAUGUAUUUCAAACGACGGUUUUAUUAAUAAUAACGACGUCUAAUGGUUUUAAAAAAAAACAGAGAAUUCAAAGUUCAGAUAUGUUACCUUUUCUUCCUGAUGUUUCCCAUUUUUGGCAGUAUCAUCCUCAAAAUGUAGGGAUCUCACAUCACCUCCAGAGCAGCUUGCUUUGUCAGACAUUGGAUUUUUGGGACUUUGGCUAAUUCUGGGUUUAAGCAUGGUUGGAUCAAAAUUGGGAAUUAAUUGGGAAAGCUGACUCAGGAAAUGCUCCCUCUCAGCCUCUACCAAUUGUUUCGUUCUAGCCUCCAUCCUUAAAGCCUCUUCCCUUGCCUUAGCUUCCAUCUUUUUAGUCUCUUCUUGAAGGAGAACUCUUAAACUGUCCUUCAAACGGUCGUCAAAGCUCACUCUCUGUGGUUUGGGUAAAUUGAAAUAUUGCCUUGGUGAGAUCCCAGCACCUACUCCUCUCACUCUGCCUGGAUGCUCGGGACCCAAAGCCAUGGUCAGCACAUCAUUGCUGCCAGAUACAGUGACUUUGCCUUCCGAGACUUGUUUUUGCAAUUCAUCCUAAAACAAAGAUAUAUAAAAAAGUAAGAACAAAAACACACGACGGUUAUUUAUAUACAAACGACGUAUUAUAUAAUUUCACACGACGCAAUAACAUAUAAAUCGACGUUAUUAUAAUUUAUCACGACGGUAGUUAUACUGACGUGGUUAGUUUUUAAAACGACGAAAUGAAUAAACCACCGACGUCUUAUGCUUUAUUUACAGAUAACAGAGGGAUGAUUCAAUAUUCACACCUUUAACGACCUUGUUUAAAACAUUUCGACGUAGUAAUUCAAUACAAACGACGCGAAAAUGAACCACCGACAUCUUAUGCUAUAAUUACAGAAAACAGAGUAGUGAUUCCUGAUUUAGACCUUUAACGACGUUUUCUAAAAAAUUUCGACGUGGUAAUAUCAUUCACACGACGCAAAAAAUAACAUAAGACGUAAUAAGAAUUAUUCACAGUUUAAUAAAAAUUUAAAACAAAGUGAGUAGGCUUACAAUUAAUUUUGCUUUCUCUGCCACCUUUGGAUCCGGGAUGUUACCAUGUUUGUCCUGUCUAGCUCUCUUCCAUAAGGUAGAUCGAUCAAUUUCUACCCCAGGCAUGGUUUCCUCCAAUUGAUCCUCCAAACCAGCAUAUCCUUUUUGAGACAAUCGAUGAUUGUACUCAAGUUUCUCCCUAAUCUGUACAUGUUGAGAAUGCACAGACUCAAAAUCUUUAGAUAACCUUGAAGCUACAAAGGCAUCCCAUUGUGCUUUCUCUAUGAAUUUAUAUGCUUCAGGGGGUUGGCUUAAUCUCUCCCUGUCAUUGGUGUAUGGAAGGAUAUAAUGCCUCGUUAGUGUAGACUUGAAAUCCUUCCAUUUCUUGGCAGCAGAAGCUAACACAGAGUUCUUGCCCCCUUGACCUACCACAAAAGCAAUGUCAACUGCUUCCCAAAUCUGCUCCUUUAUAUCCUUGGGGAUUUGAGCCCAUUUCAUGUCCACAAGUGGAACUCUGGAGCGUGCCAACACACCAAUGUAGGACUGCAUCUCACUAUGUGCUUGGCCAAUUCCUUUCCCCCUUUUAUUGUACUCAACAAUUGGCCUCAGUUUCUGAAGUUUUCUCUUCACAACACGAGGCAUUGUGCUCAUACCUCGACCAGACUUUGAAUCAUCAGAGAUUGUUGUCGUGCUGGUUGGUUCUGUCUCAGCAGAUGAUGAAGCAAACUUCAUCUUCUUCGAAGGCUUCACUUGAGGAGGUACCAUUGCAAGCUCCUUACCUCCAUUUUUCUUGGAGCCAGAAUCCUUACUUUGGUCUUGGUGAGAAACCAUUUUUACAGACAAAACUGCAAGUGAAAAUAUUUCAGGAAAAGAUUAAGAACACAAACGACGGUUAUUAAUAAAAUACGACGUAUGAUAUGAUUUUAAACGACGCAAUGAAAUAAUCUCAGACGUAAUAAAUGUUUAAAACCAAGGUAAUUAAACAACGACGAAAUAAUUAACUAUUAACGACGUGAUAAUUAACUAUAAACGACGAAAUAUUUAUAUAACGUCGUGGUAUUGAUGUUCACACGACGUCAGUAGUAAUAUACCGUCGUCUAUAUAAGGAUCCAAAACCCUUCUUUCUUUCUCUGUGAAUGUUUGAUUGCAGAUUUGAUUUUUCUGAACCAUGGUUUUUGUUUUCUAAUUUGAUAAAAUACAAGGCCAAGAAAGAAAGUUUUGGAAUCUUAUAUAGACGACGGUAUUUUAAUAUGACGUCGUGGUAUUAACAUUCACACGACGUAAAACAAUAAGAUACUGUCGUCUAUAUUAGAUACCAACCCUACUUUCUUUUUCUUUAUAUUUUAUCAAGUUAGGGAAAAACAAAAACCAUUGUUCAGAGAAAUCAAACCCGCAAUUAAACAAGCAAAUAAAAAAAAGACUAUAAUUUUAAAAACAACUUUGUCAAUUUUCAGACGACGCUAGAACGACUGACGAACCGUCGUGGUCUACAUAUUUAACCACGUAAAUAAGAAGCUACCGUCAUCUUAUUUAGUUGAGGUAGUUGUCUUCAAAGUUGGAAACUUUCCAUUUUAUCGAACUUGGAAAGAAGUAAAAUGAUUUUGGCCAGAAAAAAGGUAAAAAGAUUUUUCAAACAAAAAACGUAUGAGCAUGCAAAACAGCAACCAAAAUAGUGAAAAUGAAAGCUUACCUUUUGCGUGCAAUGAAAGCAAGAGGAAGAUUAUGUUUAAGUUCAGAGACGACGAAGAAGACGAGAGGAAGACGAUGAGAUACUCUGACAGUGCUCUGACAAGGAAAAAAGUCUAAAGUUUUCUCUGGGAGAUUGAAAUUUUUAAUCGGGUUUGGAAACAGCACAUGUGUAUGUCAGGUAGACGAAAAGUUGCUUACAUAUAAAACCAUUUCAAAAAAAUAAUACGGCGGUUACAUAUAACUACGACGUAUAAAUUACAAAAUACGACGGUAAAUUUAACUUCGGACGUGGUAAAUAAAUACGACAGUAGUGUUGUAGGUACCGUCGUAGUAAACUCAAAAAUUAAAGUACAUAAGUAAUAACUCGCGUCAUGGUAGAUUAUUUAACACGUCGUUUUUAUUAAUGUACCGACGUGGAUUUCUGUAAUAUACGUCGAUCAUACCGACGUUGAUUUUACAAUUUAAACGGCAGUUUUUUUGUAAGGACCGCCGUUGGUUUUAAAAAUUUAUUCUAUAAAUUUGUCGCUUUCAUUCAUUUUCCGUUUACAUUUAGGGUUCCAAGUUCUUCCUCUCUCAGUCUCUCACGUCUCAAAGACAAUAAUUUGGAUGUCUUUCUCAAAGAUAAAUUGAGCUUACUCGCAUCAAAUAUAUGUCCACAAGAAGAAGCUUGUCGACUAGCCUUCUCACUUCCUUGAUCAAGCCUGAUAGGACACUUAGUGCUUCUGAAUACUCCUUGCUUUCCAUCAAAAGAGAUGCAAGCCUGGCCUCCACUCGCUGUCGAAGGAAAGUUCGCUUCUCAGGGAAAUCUGCUUGAUUUUCUUGGCUAAGAAGAUCCGUCAGAUUUGUGAUAGCCUCUUCCUUUAUCCGUAGAGCUUCAGAAGAAGAAGAUGGGUUUCAAGAAUGCGAUAAAGAAUAGAAAUGGCUUCAGAUGGCCUCUAAAGCAUGAGCAAUCGAAUCAGUAUUUGCUGGGAGAUAUGAUGAAGACAUUGUCAAUGCUUUGAACUAUACAAGUCCUGCAGAAAGAUAAAGGACCAAACAGUUAAAGAAACUGAAACAACGGCGGUUUUCUGUUCUACCGUCGUCUUUUCUCGUCGUCUAUAUUAAGGUAAGAUGGCGGUAGAUUUAUAAUUACCGACGUAGAUUAUUUUGUUAAACGUCGUUAAGUGUACUACAACCGACGUGGAUUUUAUUUUUAAAUUAUAAAUAGAGUUUUUUUUCCCGAAUUCUUUCAGUUUUAGUUUUCAAUUACAAAGCGUGAUAAAUAGAUUUUUCUUUCCCGAGGAAAUUUAAAAUGAGGGAAAUUAAUGUUCUAGAAUUUGUAAACUAACACGACGCAAUAUUACUAACCCGAGGAAAUUAUAAAUAGAUUUUGCUUUCCCGAAUAAAUUUUAAAUUAAUUCAGUUUGAAACAACGACGGUUUUUUGUUAUGCCGUCGUUUUUAACUAACACGACGCAAUAUUUGUUUUGCGACGUGGAAUCUUUUCAUUUAACGUCGUUAUGUUUAAUAUAACCGACGUAGAUUUGAAUUUUUAAAUUAUGAAUAGAAUUUUUUUUCCCGUGACCUUUCAGUUUAUUUUUCAAUUACAGUGCGUUAUAAAUAGAGUUUUUUUUUCCGGAGGAAAUUUAAAAUGAAGGAAAUUAAUGUUCUGGAAUAUGUAAAGUUUCUUUUUUGGAGGACAGAUUUAAAUAAAAUAAGAAUAUAAAAACAACGACUGUUUUUUUAUUACUGUCGUCGUUUUUCGUCGUCUUAAGUAAGACUAAGACGACGUAAUAUAUUUGUUUAGCGACGUUGAUUUAUUUUUUAAACGUCGUUAGGUAUAAUAUAACCGUCGUUGAAAAUUGUCUCUCUGAUUGCAAAUUUGCCACGACGUUAGGUAUAAUAUUUGUAGAUACACAAACGCACAUACAUCAUCAACUUCCAAAAAAUUGUCUCUCUGAUUGCAAAUCUGUGUCAUCUGUUAAGAUUAUGAUGUGGAACAGAGUUCCAUCUGGUAAGAUUUUGUAACCCUUGGGAUCUCAAACAAAUCUGAUUAUGUCGGCGGUUUUCUAUAUAAACCGUCGUGGUUAUUUCAAUUCUUGUCAUUAAGUAGAUCUACCGACGUAGGAUAAGAAAAUCAAAGAAAAAAAUUGUUAACAAAAAUUCUUAUUAAGACGACGGUUAAAAUUAAAGGUACGACGUAUAAAAUGAAUACAUACGACGUUAAAUUUUAUUGUACGAUUUAAAGAUAACGUCGUAGAACUAUACGAGAAUGACGUCGAUAUAUUUAUAUUUUUCGUCGUUGUACAUUAAUUUAAUACGGCGAUAUUUUGUAUUUUAAAGCCGUGGAUUUGUUUGUAAUUAUACGGCGUCUUAUACGAAAACCUCGUCGUGUUAUUUUAUGAGUAAAAACGGCGGUUUUUAUUGAAAUCGUCGUCUUUACUUUCUACGUCGGUCGAUUCAUAACUUCUGCCGUUCUUUGUUGGCAUUGAUUUUACACUGCGGAAAUCUGUUUCAAAUAGACGUCGGUUGUUUAAUUAGGUACGUCGUUGUUUUUGAACAGCCAUUUGAAUCUCCAUUUUUUAGUUGUCUAAGGUUGUAUUACACGACGGUGUUUUUAGAACCGUCGUCUUUUUAAAAACCACGACGGUUUUCACUUAGACCGUCGUUGUUUUCUGGUCGUCUUUUUCACUUUUUGUAGUAGUGGAUGGAAUAUUGCUUUUGGUGCUGGUGCUGCAUAUCUAGAUGGAAUAUUGCAAAACGGUGAUUUGAGAUGGAAUAUGGGCUGGUGCUGGGUUUGUAUGACAGUUGUUGCUGCGGAAGCGAUUGCUAGGGUUAGGGCAAAAGACAGUCAAGGUCGACUGCUCUGAUACCAUAUCAGAUUGGGUAAAAAAUAAUACUUCAUUCAUAUUGAUAUAUAACAAUAGGAAGGUUAUAUUUACAGAGCCUAGGAAAUUAUUCUAGGAAAGUAAUUAUGUUCCUAUAAUCUUGCAGAAUCAAAUAGUUGACUUAGACUAAUUAGGAAUGUACAGCUCACUGACAAUAAUUGCUGACCAUCUUGAUACCAAUGAGCAGCCUAUGUUGAAAUCUCCAUUGACAAGGGAGAAGCAAAUGGCUGCCAUUUAUACUCGUAAAAUUUUCUACAAGUUUCAAAAAGAGUUGUGGAAAUGUUUGGCAUGUGUACUUCAACUUGCAAGGGAGGAUGACAAGUUAUGUUAUAAGGUAAUGGAGAGGAAAAAAAUGGUAGCUUCAAGUUGAAGGUGCGAGAAGUCAUGGUUGACAAAGUUGCAGACUAUGCUUCAUGUAUAUGUAAGAAAUUUGAAUUUGAAGGAAUCUUAUGCAGGCAUGUGUUGGCAUACAUGAAAAUGAAACAAACUGAGUAUUUGUCAAAUAAAUAUAUAUUAAAGAGGUCGACAAGAGCCGCAAAGUCUGACNNNNNNNNNNNNNNNNNNNNNNNNNNNNNNNNNNNNNNNNNNNNNNNNNNNNNNNNNNNNNNNNNNNNNNNNNNNNNNNNNNNNNNNNNNNNNNNNNNNNNNNNNNNNNNNNNNNNNNNNNNNNNNNNNNNNNNNNNNNNNNNNNNNNNNNNNNNNNNNNNNNNNNNNNNNNNNNNNNNNNNNNNNNNNNNNNNNNNNNNNNNNNNNNNNNNNNNNNNNNNNNNNNNNNNNNNNNNNNNNNNNNNNNNNNNNNNNNNNNNNNNNNNNNNNNNNNNNNNNNNNNNNNNNNNNNNNNNNNNNNNNNNNNNNNNNNNNNNNNNNNNNNNNNNNNNNNNNNNNNNNNNNNNNNNNNNNNNNNNNNNNNNNNNNNNNNNNNNNNNNNNNNNNNNNNNNNNNNNNNNNNNNNNNNNNNNNNNNNNNNNNNNNNNNNNNNNNNNNNNNNNNNNNNNNNNNNNNNNNNNNNNNNNNNNNNNNNNNNNNNNNNNNNNNNNNNNNNNNNNNNNNNNNNNNNNNNNNNNNNNNNNNNNNNNNNNNNNNNNNNNNNNNNNNNNNNNNNNNNNNNNNNNCGAUGGUAGAUUGACCUUGCGAAGGCUAUAUCUAAAGGAAAAGCAAACAGAGCCAUGCCACUAGAAUACAGAUUUUUGUUUUGUAAAUUUUUUAUUAAGUUAUUCGGUGUUGAUUUUUCAAGUACUUAUCAUGAAAAAAAUGAAAAAGUACGAUUUAUUUAUUUUAUUUUUUAAAAAACACUUCUGAAUGAAGCCAAUUUGGCCAUCUAAAAAGACUAUGUUUUAGCGGCUAGCUAGCAAUCUUCUUUCUGUCCAAACAGGACGCAUAACUAAGUCCAAAUGAUAAGACUUGUCGGAUUGGGAGGCUCUCCCUCCCUCCUUCAACUCUUAUGUGUGUGUGUGUGCGCGUGCGCGAUUAGAACCAGUGUUUUCAAAGGCAUGCCUAGGCAUGCGUUGAGGCGCGCCUCGGAGCGAGGCGGAGGUGAUUCGCCUCAGGCGCAGCUCAGUUUAGCGAAUGUUAUGAAAGGCGUACGCCUUGAAGUCGAGGCGGUCCGAGGCGGCCGCUAAACACAAAUGCGCUGUAAAAGGCGCAAGCCUCGCGAGGAAGACAGACUUCCUUUAUUUGAAAAAUCUGAUUCCAGACGACGUCAUUUGCACGGGCUGUGUUGUUUUGUUUCCCUUUAGUUAAGCUGUGCGUUUCAGUUUUAAGUUUUAAUAUUAGACACGCACCGUUUUGUUCAAAGGAAACUAGUUUACCCAUUUAUUCCUUCCCUCUCCCAAAAGCCAAAGUUCCUAAACAGACCAACAGAAACCGCCUCCCUCCUUCCACCAUCAGUUCAGUCCACCUCCAUAAUCUACUCUUUUAUCUAUUCGAACUAGGUAGAAAGGCACUAGACUUAGAGAGAUAAUUUAACCAAAAGGAUAUAUAGUAAAGAAUUGAGCAAUAGUAAGAGAAAUUUUGAAAUAAACAUGCUUUGAUGGUUAAUUUAUAUUCUAGAGUGGCAUUUAAUACAUUAAAUAGCUGUUUUAUAUUUUUGUAAUUAUAAUAACUCAAUACCCGAAAGGCUUACGUUUCAACGCUUUUAUACCUNNNNNNNNNNNNNNNNNNNNNNNNNNNNNNNNNNNNNNNNNNNNNNNNNNNNNNNNNNNNNNNNNNNNNNNNNNNNNNNNNNNNNNNNNNNNNNNNNNNNNNNNNNNNNNNNNNNNNNNNNNNNNNNNNNNNNNNNNNNNNNNNNNNNNNNNNNNNNNNNNNNNNNNNNNNNNNNNNNNNNNNNNNNNNNNNNNNNNNNNNNNNNNNNNNNNNNNNNNNNNNNNNNNNNNNNNNNNNNNNNNNNNNNNGAGCUUGGCAACAAACCCCAUCUCUCUCUCACCAAGCUUUCUCAAAUCCAUGGCCCCCAUUAUAACUCUGCAACUCGGCCAAAGUAACAACGGUGUUUGUUUCUUCACCAAACACAGCCAAACAAGUCCUCCAAACCCAUGACCAAUUCUUGUCCAACCGAAUCGUUCCAGAUGCAAUCCAAGCCUGUGACCUUCGCCAGGACAGCCUGUCAUGGAUACCACCUUCAGCCAAAUGGAGAAGCCUUCGACAAAUAUGCAACUCUCAAUUGUUCGCCGCCAAAAUCCUCGACGCCAACCAACCAAACUGCCGUGUAAAAGUACAAGAGCUCAUAUCUCAGGUCAAUGAAAGUGCGGUCAACGGUGAGGCGGUAGAUAUUGGAAGGGCCGCUUUCAAAACUAUGCUCAAUCUGCUGUCUCGUACAGUUUUCUCAGUGGAUUUGACUGACCCAAGUAGCGAGAUGGCCAGAGAGUUCAAGGAUACUGUGUGGGGUUUGAUGGAAGGGGCAGGGAUCCCAAACGUAGGGGACUUUUUUCCUGUCCUUAGGAAAAUUGACCCCCAGGGCAUUAGGCAUGAUCAAACAUUUCAACAAGAUGGAACAGCUUUUUGACUGCAUGAUUAGCCAAAGAUUGGCAUCAAGAAAAGCCCAUGAUUAUGUCACAACCAAUGAUAUGUUGGAUACUCUUCUGAACAUCAGUGAAGCGAACAGUGAGGACAUAGACAAGACCAAAAUUCAAAAUCAUACACCAGGAUAGGAAUCCACCCUAUAAUAGAUAUGGUUUUCUAUAUGGGUUGCGCAUAUUGGUCCAUUAAAGUUAUUUGUUCAAUCUCAUCAAGACAGAUUGGGAAAGGCAACUGGGGUGAUUUGAAGAAAAUGGAGCCAUCUAAAUUCUUAUCAUGUGCAUGUCGGUACGAAAUUUAUGGUCUGCAAUCGAAAGAAUUAGAGGCCUGCAACCUGCUCAUUACUUAUGGACAAGGGAAAAAGACAUGUUGAGAACGUAACAUGCAUCGAAUAACCUUUUUUUUUCACGGAAACGCCAAGCAAUUUAAGGUCAAUUUUAUCGUGCACGACAAAAAUUAAGACGGAAUCGCAGAGAAAAGAAAGAAGCCACCGAGGCCCGCGGUUAAUAUAACCAAGGAUGAAACAAUACAAAAAAAAAUCCACAGCCAACAGGUAGCAAUCAAAGGACCACCAACUCUACUGUUUUUUUACUAGUACCAUGUUUAAGGUGAUCAAAUCUUGUAAGAAUUUUCUUCGUGGGCUUGAAACUUCAGAUUUUCUCAAGCUAUUUAAACACAAACACCGCCAAUAUAAUUAGUAGCCCUAUUGUCAACAAUGGUAGGAGCCCCAUAAAGCCAAGACAGUCCAAUUACUCCAUGCACCCCAAUAAACCUUCCUCAGAAAAAAACUAUCUUCAUAGUUAAUUCUGCUGGACGUUCUGACAACAACCAAUUGUUAUUGAGAUUCGAACUUGAUGAAUGAUUGAGAUAUAUACACGACAUAGUCUCUAUUUUUAUUUUUUUUUAAUAAAAGCGAUCGAUAUUGGGUGGGUGAGAUUCAAACACAAAAUCUUGAGUGCAAGGAAGAUAACUGUUCAAAAUAUGGAUGGCAAUUUUUCUCAUGGGUAAGGGUCCUCGCAUGGAUUCGACCCUAAUAGUCGGGUAAGAAAGAUAAAAAAUGGGUAUGGGGACGGGUACGAUAAAUUUUUUGGGUAUGGUGUUAGGGGAGGGGGAGGGACAGUAUUUUCAUCCCCUACUCGAACUCUCCCCGUUUAGAAUAUACAUAUAUAUAUGUUAUUAAAGUGAUUGUGCCGACUAAAUUUUAUAUUAUAUAUUUAUGAAAUUUAUACAAAUCUUAAGCUACACUACUUAUAUAUUUAGUUAACUUCUCAGUCAAUAUGUAAACAUUGUACGUAGAUAAUAUAUUAUAUGUACUCAUUAUCUUGCUCUAGUCCUAUUUUUUUUCUUUCAAAAAAAGUAGUUUUAUAUUGAUUUUUCUUCCGUACAUAAUGGGGCAGGUCGGUGAACCAAUUCCCCAUUGAAGGUGGGGAUGGGGAAUCCCAAUAUGAAUAUUGCGGUAAUGAAGGUGGGAAUGGGGAAAAAAACUUAACGGGGUGGGGAUGGAAAUGGCAUACCUAGUUCAAAACCACUUGAGUUACACAGCAUGAGACAGAUAAAGGCUGGUGAGGAGAAGGCUCGGCAAGCAGUGAUGAGGCUCACAGAGGAAAUAGAAAUCUAGCCAUCACUGCCAAGGGAGAUAAAUGGAGCUGCCGUGGGUUUCCACGGGAGAGCUCAAUGGAGGGGACGGUCUGCAAUGAAGAUGGUGCAACGGAGACACAAAAAUAACGGGCUAACAGAAGAAAAGGUUGCAGUGGUAAAACAAAGGUGCGGUUACAGCUAAGGUGGAAAGAAAAAACAUAUUCAUCUUUGAGAAGAGGAGAUGAAAAAGCACAUAUAAACAAACACCCCUAAGGGUAAGGAGCGAGGAGCGCCAAUGACUCUCAAUGUUGGCAAUUGGAGGAUCGCUAAUCGGCGUUAGCCAUUAGCUCUGAUACCAUGUACAAAAAUUUUCCCUUAGUCAUUCAUAUGAUCAUUAUACUAUAUAUAUACAAGUGUGUAGAGAAUAAUCUACAGUUACAGCAAGCCAUGAUCAUAAACUUAAAUAUGGAGUUAUGGCCUAAUAACAACAUAACUGACCAUUUUCUAUCAUUAGUAGGAUUAAUUAUUGUAACUCCCUAAUAAUAACAUAAAUCCAUUUAUUGUAGAAACCAUAGCUAGCUAGGUUUGGUUCUGUCACGUGCUCUCUCAUGAGUGAGUGGAGAUGGUUACAUGGUUAUUAGUUGUUGCAUAAUUGUAGGAGUUUGCAUGUCUUUAGUUGUUGAGUAGUUUUAGGAGUCAUGUUAUCCACUUUUAUAGUGGGCGUCAUGGGAAAAGUUUCCCCCUUUCUAAGCUUUCAGUUAGAGUCCUUGUUUGUAUAAAUUUCAGUGGCUUUUCAUUAAUGAGAUAUCAGAUAUUAUCCCUUACUGUUAGCUUGUCUAACUUGGAGGUUUUGGGUUCCCUCGAAGCAACCCUUAUCGUCUAAUUGUUAUCCCAACUGAGCCUUCUAAAUAUUGCUGCAGCCAUAGGUGGCCGUAAGAAGAAAACUACAUACCAAGUUCCUAUACCUAAUCGCCCAAUCACACGAGCGCUGUCCCAAGCACAUAACAACUUGGUAUCAGAGUUGGGCAUGGAGGAGCAACGGGUAGAAUGCUUGGAAACUGAAGUGGGCUCCCUAGCCACUGGACAAGAAAGAAUACUCAAGGAGAUGCAAUAGAUGUUCGCAGCCAUGAAUGCUCGCUUGGAUCAAAUUUCUCGAACCGGUGAUUGAUCCAGUAGUGCUUUCAAUGGUGGUGGAGGUCGAACAUUUGGAAGUGGAUCCACCACUCCAAAUUCUGGCAACUCUUACCUUCCUAAAAUGGUGAAGCUAGACUUUCCUCACUUCAACGGAUUGGAAGAUCCCACAAGUUGGAUAUGUCGUGCUGAACAAUUCUUUGACUUUCACCACACUCCAGAAACGGAGAGAGUUCCGUUAGCUUCAUUUAAUCUUGAAGGGGAUGCGCAAUUGUGGUUCCAAUUGAUGAAGGAGGAAACCCCGAUCACCACAUGGGCAACUUUUAAGCAGGGACUACAUGACAGGUACGGUCCCACCCAAUUUCAAGACUUCUUUGGUGAUCUGACAAAGUUGCAACAAACAGGUUCAGUACGAGAUUAUCAAACCCAGUUUGAGAAAUUAUUGAUUAGAGCAGGACGACUCACUCCAGAUCAACAAGUUGGCUGUUUUGUGAGUGGGUUGAAGGAGAAUAUCAAAACUGAUGUGCAAGCGUGUAAGCCGCAAACACUCUCUGCUGCUAUCGGUUUUGGCUCGCCUGUAUGAGUCUCGCAACCAAACAAAUAGGCGAUACUCACCUUCGGAUGUGAAGCAGCCCUCUACCAAUAUUGUUACGAAGUCUGACCGUCGACAAAAUUUCAUGCCAAUUAAGCGGCUGUCUCCAGCCGAAUUAAAGGAACGAAGAGACAAAGGACUUUGCUUCAAUUAUGAUGAAAAGUUUAGUCCUGGACACAGGUGCAAAAAAUUAUUUCUCACUGAAGGUUGUUGGCCUGAUGUAGAAGACGAAGCGGAGGGCGAAUGUAAUGCUGAAGUUGACUUGGCUGGAGAAGAAUUACCUGAAGUAUCUAUUCAUGCAAUAUAUGGUGCUCGGACUCCCCAGACAAUGAGGGUGCAUGGCAACGUGGGAAACAUCAAAUGACUUUCUUGGUCGAUUUUGGAAGCACACAUAAUUUUUUGAGUAGUAAAAUCGCUCGAAAGGCUGGCAUUAAUCCCACUGGUUUUGGAAAGUUUGAGGUUUCGGUUGCAAAUGGCGAAAAGCUUGCAAGCGAUGGGCUUUGCAAAGGAGUCUACAUUCUAGUUCAAGGUGUUCCUAUAACUGUUAAUAUGUACCUUCUUCCGUUGGAGGGGUGUGAUGCUGUUCUGGGGGCUCAAUGGUUGAGCACGUUAGGGCCAAUUCUUUGGGAUUUCUCUCAAUUGCAAAUGAAGUUCAAUGUGGGAGGGAAAACAGUGGUUCUUAAAGGGGUGACACCACAGGAUAAAAUUGUUAAUGAGCAUGAGAUUUGUAAGGAGUUGAAGAAAAAGAAAGAAGGCGUCAUUCUGCAAAUCUACUCACUUGUUUUGCAAGACCAUGACGGUACAUCAUUUCCCAAACUUGAUUUGAUUAAUUCUGAUUUAAAGCAUCUUUUGCUACUUUUUGAUGAGAUAUUUGUUGAACCACGUGGAUUACCACCACCAAGAUCCCAUGACCAUGUGAUACCGCUAAAGGAAGGUAGUAAUCCGGUGAGUGUGAGGCCUUACAGAUACCCACAAUUUCAAAAGAACGAAAUUGAGCGGUUGGUGGCAGAUAUGUUGAAAUCAGGUGUGAUUCGGCCUAGUCAAAGUCCAUAUUCUUCUCCUGUGUUAUUGGUUAAGAAGUAUGAUGGCUCAUGGCGACUAUGUAUAGACUAUCGAGCGUUGAACCAGAACACCAUCAAAGACAAGUUCCCUAUCCCUAUCAUUGACGAACUGCUUGAUGAACUUCAUGGUGCCAAAUAUUUCACCAAACUGGAUUUGCGUUCUGGAUACCAUCAAAUAAGGAUGCAUCCAGAUGACAUAUCCAAGACAGCAUUCCGGACACAUCAAGGGCAUUAUGAAUUUUUGGUGAUGCCAUUUGGCCUCACCAAUGCACCCUCCACUUUUCAGUCACUAAUGAAUGAAGUCUUCAAAGAAUACCUUCGUAAGUUCAUUUUGGUAUUCUUUGAUGAUAUUUUAAUUUAUAGCUCAACAUGGGAGCAACAUUUGGAGCAUAUAAAAAUUGCGUUGUCUAUUUUGAGGGCUAACAAGUUGUUUGUGAAGGAAGAAAAGUGUGCAUUUGGACAGGAAGAAGUAAAAUAUUUGGGGCAUGUUAUUUCUAGCAAAGGAGUUGCUGUAGAUCCAGAAAAAAUUGAUGCUAUGCUGGAGUGGCCCAAACCAACCACUGUCAAAGCUUUACGUGGGUUCUUGGGCCUAACUGGGUAUUACAGAAAAUUCAUUCAAGACUAUGGCAAGAUUGCUAGACCAUUGACUGAGAUGCUUAAAAAAGGAAGUUUCAAAUGGAGUCUCCAGGCUGAAGAAUCAUUUGAGAGACUAAAAGAGGCGAUGACGAAGGCUCCUGUUCUUGCUUUACCAGACUUUAACAAGCUAUUUAUUGUGGAGUGCGAUGCAUCUGGAUCUGGAAUUGGUGGAGUUCUAAUGCAAGAAAAACGCCCAAUAGCAUUUUUCAGCCAUGCACUACAAGGUAAGACUUUGUUCUUAUCUACCUAUGAAAAGGAGAUGAUGGCUUUAGUGUUUGCAGUGCAAAAGUGGAGGCCAUAUUUACUUGGGCGAAAAUUUGUUGUGCGGACUAAUCAAAGAAGCUUAAGGCAUUUGUGGGAGCAGAAAAUUACUACAACGGCCCAAGAAAAAUGGCUUGCCAAGUUGAUGGGCUAUGACUUUACCACAGAGUACAAGAAGGGAAAGGAAAAUUUGGUGGCCGAUGCUCUUUCAAGAAGGAAUGCAAGUGGAGUGGCAGCCAUCUCAACCCCUGUGCCGAAUUGGUUAGAUCCAAUCAAAGAUGAGGUACAAAGCAACCAGACCACGCAAGAGUUGGUGGACAAGUGUGAACAAGGUGAAGCGGUGGGUCCUUGAGAAUUUAAGGAUGGCAUACUCCACUUCAAAAAUAAAAUUUAUUUAAUGUCAGAUUCUUCUCUAAUACCUGUCAUAGUGGAGGAGAUGCAUUCAAACACACAUGAGGGUUACCACAAAACCUUGCAGAGAGCAAGGUCAGUCUUUUACUGGCAGGGAAUGCGAAGCAGUAUCAGAGAAUUUAUCAAGCAAUGUGACACUUGUCAAAGGAAUAAAGGAGAAAAUACUAAGCCAGCAGGACUUCUUCAACCUCUCCCAAUUCCUUUACAGGUAUGGACCGACAUCUCAAUGGACUUUAUUGAUGGCCUUCCUAAAUCCAAUGGGAAAACAACUAUUUUUGUUAUAGUUGACAGACUCUCAAAGUUUGCCCAUUUCAUUCCGGUCUCUCACCCAUAUACUGCUACAACCAUAGCUCAAAUAUUUUUUGACCACAUCUUCAAACUAUAUGGUAUGCCGCAAAGUAUUGUUUGUGAUAGGGAUCCCACUUUUACAAGCCUUUUUUGGAGGGAAUUAUUCAAAUUGCAGGGAACAAGCUUCAAUUUUAGCUCAUCUUAUCACCCCCAAACUGACGGACAAACUAAAGUGGUAAACAGAACUGUUGAAAUGUAUCUAAGAUGUUUUACAAGUCACAACCAAAAAGAAUGGGUGCGAUGGAUUCCUUGGGCUGCAUAUUGCUACAAUACCAGUAUACAUGCUUCUACCAAAAAGACUCCAUACGAGAUAGUUUAUGGGAAACCACCCCCGAAUUUAUUGUCCUAUGUUCCAGGAACCACUCAAGUGGAAGCCGUUGAUCAGGAGCUACGCAGCAGAGAACAAGUCCUCAAGGACCUGCGAGAACACUUGCUUGUGGCUCAAGAGCGCAUGAAAAAGUUCUACGAUGCCAAGCAAAUUGAUAAAAGCUUUGAGGUUGGUGACUUUGUCUAUCUGAAAUUACAACCUUAUCGCCAAAUGUCUUUGUCACUACGAAGAAAUCUGAAGUUAUCACCAAGAUUCUUUGGGCCAUAUGAAAUUCUCUAGAGGGUGGGACAAGUGGCUUAUAAAUUGAAGCUUCCUGAGGGGUCCAGAAUUCAUCCAAUCUUUCACGUGUGAUUGCUCAAAAAGAAGGUGGGCACUAACGUGGCAGUCCAAGACUCUUUGCCUGCACUUUCAUAUGGAGAGGAUACUCUUUUUCCCAUGCCACAAGCCAUCCUUGGUCAACGAAAAAGGAAGAAUCAAGAAGAAGUCUUGGUACAUUGGAAAGGCUUGUCUCCAGCAGAUGCAACUUGGGAAAAUUUGAAGGAGCUGCAACUCAGAUUUCCAGAUGUCAACCUUGAGGACAAGGUUUUUUCGAUGGGGAAGGAAUGUCACGUGCGAUCUCAUGAGUGAGUGGAGAAGGUUACAUGGUUAUUAGUUGUUGCAUAAUUGUAGGAGUUUGCAUGUCUUUAGUUGUUGAGUAGUUUUAGGAGUCAUGUUAUCCACUUUUAUAGUGGGCGUCAUGGGAAAAGUUUCCCCCUUUCUAAGCUUUCAGUUAGAGUCCUUGUUUGUAUAAAUUUCAGUGGCUUUUCAUUAAUGAGAUAUCAGAUAUUAUCCCUUACUGUUAGCUUGUCUAACUUGGAGGUUUUGGGUUCCCUCGAAGCAACCCUUAUCGUCUAAUUGUUAUCCCAACUGAGCCUUCUAAAUAUUGCUGCAGCCAUAGGUGGCCGUAAGAGGAAAACUACAUACCAAGUUCCUAUACCUAAUCGCCCAAUCACACGAGCGCUGUCCCAAGCACAUAACAGGUUCUCCUAAUAUUUGAUGGGCACAACUAUCAGAGGGUGAGCCAUCUGUAAACUGAGGCCAAACUUCUCUUCCAUGUUCAUUUUUCCCGGCACAACUCCAUCUUCAAGCUUCCAAUUAUCAAACGAGUUAAUAAGCGAACCCAACAUCAAAUUCAACAUUCUCAUCACCAAAGGCAACCCAAGACAUAUUCUCCUCCCGCCACCAAAUGGAAUAAGCUCAAAGUUCUGGCCAGUAAUGUGGAUAUUGAAUCCAAAAAACCUCUCAGGGAUAAAUGAGGUAGGAUUGUCCCAAAUGCUGGGGUCUCUGCCGAUGGCCUAUGUGUUGACCAAAACUUGUGCACCCUUUGGUACAAUGUAACCGUAGAUUUCUACGUCUACUUGGGCUCUGCGAGGAAGAAGAAGUGGGACAAUUGGGUUCAGCCGGAAGGUCUCUUUUAUUAUGGCUUGUAAGUAAGGGAGCCGAGUGAUGUCUGAUUCUUUCACUGGUUUUCCUUUGCAAAUGACCUGCUUCAGCUCCUCUUGAGCUUUUGACAGCUUUUCAGGGUUGCGUAAUAGCUCCAGCCAUUGCCCAUUGGCCGCACCAAAUAAAUCCUAAUUCACCAAAAAGUUAACUAGUCAAUAAAUUAAUAUGGGCACAUAGACAUAUAAUGAGCAAAUAAAAUUAUAUAUAUAUUUUUAUACAAGCAAUAUAGGGGAAUUCGAAUACAAAACAUUGAUCAGUGUAGACAUUGAUUAUAGUACUAUCAUAAACAAAAACAAGAACAACAAUAAUAAGUUAUAAUUAUAAAAUAUAAGCAGUUUAAUUAUGAAUUCAGACAAGGUCAUCAAGAACAAUUAGUAGAGCUGGAGUAGAGUAGUAAUAUAGCAAUAAGUAGCAACUAACCAGAAACAAAUGUUGAGUUUCAGACAUGUCCAUAUCCUCAUUUUUCUCUUCGCUCAUGUUUAUAAGAGUAUCCAAAUAUCAUUCCCUGUGACAUAAUCACGUGACUUCCUUGAUUCUAACCUGUGGACGAUCAUGCGGUCAAAAAGAUCAAUCAUCUUCCGGAAGUGCUUGCCCAAACGGCGCCGUAUCCCCAUGGGAUCAACCUCCUUAAGCACAGGAAAAUAAUCAGCCAAGUUUGGUUUCGCAAUAUCCUCCAUAAUACUCCACACCAACUCCUUGAACUCUCUAGCCCUCUCACUGUUCGGGUCCGCUAAAUCCACCGAGAACACAGUCCGCGACAUCAAAUUGACAACUUCAACCGCCUUACCUUUCACAAUGCUUUCCUUAACGUCAGCUAUGAGCUCCUGCACUUUUCGGUGACGGUUGGCUUGGUUGGAGUCGAGAACUCACUAUGCCAAAAAAGGCCUUUAGCAACGGAUAAAUCUGUUGCCUAUUACCCACGAGGUAUGUAAUAGGCAACGGAUAAUAUCCGUAGCCUUUUAUAGUUACAACAUCGGAUAUUUGGUAAAAUCUGAUGCGUAAAUGAUUUCCGUGUGCCAAAAAAAGUUGACUUCUGAUGCCUAAACCUGAAACAGCAUCAGUAGUUUCAAAAAGGAGGAGGCUAAACAGGUAUUAUAGCAUCAGUGGUAUCUGCUAUACUGAUGCAUACCACUGAUGCGUAUUAUCAAUUACAACAUCGCAAAAACAAAAUAGUGUUGUCACGAAUUAUAUUAUACGUCAUUGCUUUUUCUAUUUUGCGGACGUGAAAAGCCUCCAAUAGUGUUGGUUGUUAUAUAAAUGCUAUGCUACUUCUAGUUUUAGGCAUUAGUGAUCAUAAAUGUCUGGUUGUUAUUUUUAUCUUUCAACUUCAGUUAUUUCUGAAAAACUGAAGUUGUUAUAAACAUAGGCAUCACUUAUGUAAGGAAAAUGUAAGGAUUUUGCGUGUUUCACAUCACACUUUACUGGGUUACUGCCUUAAUAUAUCAAAAAGGCAUCAUUUCCAAAUCAUGUUGUGUUGCCAUUGCUCAUUAAAAAAAUAUAUUAUAUAAACAAUAAUUUAAUAUAUCCAUACUUGUCUAUAUAUAUAAGCAAAAUACUUGAAUGAUCCAUACUUGUCACAUCCAAAUCACAAUUUUUCCAGCCCUACACCACAAAUUAUCUGUACUUGUCUAUAUAAGAAAAUUACUAAUUAGAAAGACAUGUAAAAUGGAGUGUUUAGCUCAAUCAAAAAGCCAUUCUAGGACAUGAGUUGCCAAUUCUUUUCGCACCUCAUCCAAUUUCAUUUGGGUGUACGUGUCCUUCCGUCUAGCUCUAUAUGAAAAGAAGAAGAAAAACAUGUAGAAUGUAAACACAAACAAUGUGUAAUAUGAACAUAAGAUAUGUUGUCACUUCAAAUUGACCAAUAUGCAAAUUUAUGAAAUCAUAAUGGUGAACAAGAAAAUCUAAUUUGUCAACCAAUCUUGAUGUAGAACGGAUGGCAGAUUUUAUCGCGGUUGAGCUAGAAAAAGGACGUAGUGGGAAUUUGUAAAUUUGUUGUCCGAGCUCCGAUUAGGACGCAAAAUACCAUUUCGGAAAGGGAACGACGCCACGAGUUGAACACACAGCUUUGCUGUGAUGUACGAUGGAUUUUGGCAUUCUGAGGUCGUUUGGCCUUCCAAAACUGCAUUCAAAGUUUCAUAGUUAAUUCUCCGAAUAAAUUCUGUUUUUAAGUUUUAAUGUAAUAACUCCCCUAGCAGUUCAAGGGUUGAGAGUUGUGUAUUUAGACAGGUUUAUCUGACGUUUCUGAUUAUCUCAGAUUUUAAUAAAAUUAUCCCACAAGAAUUCAUCUUAAUUUCUGGUGGAAUCCAGAUUUCUUGUUACUCAAGGUUUCGCUUGAAACCCUUGUUGCUUGUGCUGCGUCAAAUCUAAUUAGAUAACAAGAAGUCAAUAAAUGGAUCCCACUUCAUGCUUCAACUAGCAAUUAAAUGAUCAUGUGAUAGGAUAGAGAGCUGGACAAGAACAGCUAGCAUUUCUUCUUAAUUCAAUGGCUAGGCAGGCAGUGUUAUCUUUCCUCUUGAUUUUAACAAUCUAUUUUUUAAAUAAACACAGAACAAAUUAGUUAAAUGACAUUUAACUAAUGUGACUAUUUUAGUAUUUUUAGUUUUUUUUUUUUUUUUUUUUUUCAUUUGACAAACUGAUCAUGAAGAAAUAGUGGACGCUCUGGGCAGUUGACAUCAUGCAUACCACAUUUGUCUACCUGCAAUCUACCAUAAUUACAUUAAAUCAUAAUGUACACAUAAAUUUCACGGGACAAUAAUGCAUCUACAUACCAGAUGGUUCUUCACAAAAUUCAUCCAGACCUGCAAGGUUUCUGUACUUAACCUUAGAAAGUAGCCUCACUUAUGUUCAAGGAAACACACUACACAGAAAUCAGAUUGAUAAUGAAGCUAUGUUUCCCUGUUUGUGUCAUCUUCAAAUUGCAAGAUGUUUUUUCAUAAGAAACCAAACCUGUAAGCAAAUAAAGAGGGACUCAACCAACUACUUGAUGAUCCUCAGCGUAUAACUCAUCAAAUCUAAAACUAAAAACUAAACAGCAAUCAAUAUGAAACAUAUACAGAAUUGAAAUUCUUAUGUAAUUAGUUUAAAAACCUAAAUUUCUGCCAAAUACCAAGAUAGAUUCGACCCCAAAAACCAAAAUAAAUUAAAACUGAAAUGAAAAAUAAAGAAUUCUUACCAGAAUGUGGAGCAGUCAGUGGUCAUGGGGUAGUGGCGUUGAUCCUUGGCAGCAGAGGAAGAGGAUUAAAAAAAUUAAAAUGGAAAAUUAAAAUCAGAAAGGAAAAAAAUUCUGAAUCAUAAUCAAAACAAAGCACCUGCCUCAAACACUGUGUUCAGACCUUUCAUCAUUUUCAGGCAGAUCCAUACGAUCAGUCGAACACCAGCUAUCUGCCUCGCCAAUCGCAAUUAUCUAGCUCAGAAUAACGAGCUUGGGGUUGAGGUUGCAGCUAAAGAAAAAUUGAAGUAAAUGACUACUAUGUUGCUACUCUUACUCUUGCCUAGUAUUCAUUGUUUUGUUUUUUUUUCGUUUUCAAAUAUUCAUUGUUUUUCAAAUAAAUGAAUUACAUUCCUAAUGGAAAUACUUAUAUUCAACACUUCCGAAAAUAAUGAGAAUACACCAUACACAAUAAUUCCAUUAAUCUUUUCAUAAUGAAAAUACAGAAAGUGUUGCAAGUGGUGGACCUAUCCUUAGGAGGACUAUUACAUUAAUAUUUUCAUACUGAAAAUAGACCAAGUAUUGCAAGUGGUCAACCUUUUUAACAAGGAUAUUACAGUUAUGAAAUUAAAAACUAAAAACUUACUUGGAAAAGAGAAAAAAAAUACAGAAUUUCAUUAAGCUCCACCUUGCUAUUCACCAUUAACUGCCAUUCAGCUCCUCCUUGCUUGACUUGAUUCGCCAUUGAGUUUCUCCUUGCUUGACUGGAUUUGCCACAAUCACUCAACUGAGUAUUGGCCUUCCUCUGGCCAAAAGGUAAUUGUAAGGUACUCUCAGCAUGCCUAUAAAUUGGAAACCAAACUAAUUUGCAUAUUAUCAUUCAUUUAAGUGGUUCUCUCAAGAUCUGGAAGUGAGUUUUCACAGUAUAACUCACCCUCGUAAGAACUUUGCAAGAACAGACAAUCUUUUAGCACCGGGUCUCCCAACUUGCUUGCAAUGAUCACAUAUUAGUUUACCAUAUAGUAAAAGGAUUAUUUCUCCAUUGUUACAAAAGAAGCACUACUACAUUUUACGAUUUGCGCGACGAAGACAAUUUCGUCGCGCAAAGUUGAAUUUCGUCGCACAAAAUCAAGCGUGACAGAAACUUCGUCGCGCGUAAUCUGUCGCUCAAAGAUCGUGAAGAAAGACUUUGCCCGACCGAUUGUAUCACUCGUCGCGCAAAUUUGUGUGACGGUUACCGUUCGUUACACCAAAGGUUCAGAGACGGCGCAAUAGUUCGUCGCACAAACUUAUGUGCGACGAAAGAGAGUUCGUCGCCACAACGAUGCGCGGCGAAUAAUAUUCGUCACGCAAUACGUCUCGUAUAUAUUUGCGGCACAAAGAGAUCUUCGUCGCGCAGUUCGUGUCUACAAGUAUUGCGCGACGAAAGAUCAUUGUCGCGCAUACGAAUUUUGCGCGACGAAAGUUUUUGUCGCGCAGAACGUGUCGUAGAUAUUUGCGGCACAAACAGAUCUUCGUCGCGCAUUUCGGGUCAACAAAUUUUGCGCGACGAAACACUUUUGUCGCGCAAAUCCUUUUUGAGCGACGAAAAUUUUCGUCGCGCAAAAUUAGUAUAUAUAAUUAUUAUUUAUUUUCAAUAUUACUUUUUAUUUUAUUUUAUAAAAAAAUAAAUUUGGUUUUUUUUUGGGAUAAUAAAAUGAAAUUCCAAUAAAUAAAUAAAAAAAAAUUGUAAAGAACAUAUUUAUUAUAUAAAAUAAAUGUAUACUGCAAGAGAAAUAUGUAAAAAAUAAUUAUGAAAAUAAAAAAACUAAUCAAAUAAUGUUCCAAAAUCUACAUUAUCGUCUGGCACAUGCGGUUCAGAGGUCUGGGGGUCUACAGGGGCCGUCGUCUGGCGGGGAUGCUCGGGAUGGACGGGCUCGGAGGUCGGCGCAUCAAAAUGCGGGACUGGAAUGCCGGACUGUGCGAGGAACUGCAGAAUGACCGACAUCUGACUCUGAAGAGUGGCCACCUGUACUGUCAAAGCAGUGACCUGACUGUUUGACUGCGCCGAUGAACGGGAUCUGGGUUCCCUCCGCCUGGCAUUCCCCAUCCCUCGACAAUAUGUCCCCGGUCUCCUCCCGAGAGUCUGAUCCAAUGUCUCCGUCAAGAUCUGAAACCCAGCAUCCUGUGGAGGAUCCACAGACUCGAUCGGAGUAUCGGGAGGAAGUUGGGAGGCGGACUCCUGAAGAACCAACUGGCUCUUCUCCACCAUCGUCGUCUGUUUAGCAUAACAUAAAAUAUAAAUUAAAACAUUCAUAUAAUAACCUUUAAACUUGAAUGCGUAACAUAAUAAUUAAAAUGAAAUAAUACUCACAUGAAGGGACUCGGCCAACUCAUUCCCAGGUCGAACAUAAACAUCGCCAAAGACGUCGAUCUCUGGGAAUUUGGACCCCCCCUAAAUUGAACAAGAGAAGAAAAAUAUUAGUACGAAAAUCAUUCUUUAUGAAUAAUUAAAAAUUAAAAAUUAAAUAAAAUUUAUUUUAUUAUUACCUGCCGACGUGCAUCCAUCCUAUAGGAGAAGGGCCUGGAACCGGAAUGAUGGAGAAGAGUCUUCUUCUUCCUAUUGCCCUUAUUGGCUUUAUUUUGUUAUACAAAAAAUAAAACGUAUUAGUUGAAAUUGAAAUUAAAUAUAAAACAUUAAAAAAGAACAUUAAUAAAAAAAUAUAUAAUAAAUUUGAAAUUAUAAAUUACCACAAAAGCGGGCACCUGAAAAUGAGUGCAGAGCCACGCCCAACUAUCCUCCCACCCCUCCAGCUCCUUCGGGCAACCCUCCUGAAGAGCGACUUCUGGAUCAUCAAACGCCUCAAAAUAGUGGUGCAAGUCGCUCUUCCACUGUUUGUACCUCUCAGCGAAGAGUCUGUUGACGUAUACCAACGACUCGUCGUCCAGGUCCUCCAAGUUAUAGUUCGUCUGCAAUAAAUUAAUUACAUACAUUUAAAUAAUAGAAAUAUAAAAUUUGAAAGAAAAAGAAUUAAAAGGCCUACAUACCGACAACUGGCCGCGAACCUCCGUCUUGGUCUCGUCAGGCAUCACCUUCUAAGACUUCCAUUUCAUCAGGCAAUGGCUUCGAAUGACAUGACCAAUGUCGUGGGCCAAGGAGCUAUGCAACUCUGCCGUCGGUGCAGCCCGAUGUCGCUCGUCGUAUCCGAUGUUGAUACGACUGUUGGUCACCCGGGGUAACCUUCGCCGUCUUCAACUGCCGACACGGCCCUCGGGUGUUCUUCUUGGCUGCAAAGAAAGAUGACAUUAAUGUUAAAUAAAUAAUAACUUUAACUAUAAAAUACACACACACAAAUAAAAACAAAAACAAAAACCAAAAUAUAAAUAACUGGAGUUUAAGGAUAUCUAUACCUGGCUGUGACCCCGACGCAUCAGUGGAUGUGGUGUCGGUGGUGCUGGCGGGCCGAUGACGCCGUCUGGCGCUAACAGGCUGUGCCACUGAUGAAGCUGUGCCGUCUGGCGCUAACAGGCUUGGGACCCCCCGGGACCAACUGCCAAGUGGUCCAUCAGUGCUGGCGCAGUGGCAGCAGCUGUCGGGUGAGCCGGGGGCUCCAAACUCUGCGUAGUCGUCACCGCCCUACGACGUCUAAUCAGGUCUGACAUCUGCACAAUUUCAUUAAUACACGUACAAAUUAAUAAAAUAUACGAAUAUUUGAAAGCACAUACAAUUUUAUUAAAAUUCUUUGACCUAGGGUUGGCGAGUUCGGAGUAUCCGAGACUCCGAUCCACGAUCCGUCGAAUCCUAGAUGAUCCUAGAAAUACAAGGUACACCAUACGUGAGUUUGAGUUCGAUCCAACGGUCCGAACAUAACAAACCCGAAAAUCGCACAAUAGGCAAAAUCCGUUCGAGACUCAAACGGCAACGAAAUUCCAAUCCGAAAACACCUACGCACUCGUGACAAAUAGGGGAUUGCACUGGGACCCAAUGCAGUGGUGCUACAGUACCCCACGUGCCACCACACGCGCCGGCAGCGCGUGGGUGUCCAAAGCGAUACCAAUCGCAGGAAAUUUCUAAAAACUAAGGGCCAAGGUUCCUACCCUAGGUUCACAACAUCAAUUGGAGCCACUUUUAUUCUCGGACCUACCCCGAAAAAUGGCCAGAAGUGGCCGGAAUUUAAAUUAAAAAACCGGCCGAAAUUAGGGUUUUGAAAUCGACUGACCUAUUGCAACAAUUACGUAAAUCCUACCCAACCAUCAGCUAAAGCAUGUAAAAUAGGACAGAAACCAUACCUCAAUUGUCGGAUUUGGUCGCCGGAGGAGAGAGAACGACGGCGGCGGAGAUUCGGUGAAAAUCGAGGAAAUAACGGCGGCUGGCUCGACGGUGACGGCGGGGAACCUCCGGGGUACCAGCGUUGCUGCGGCGCCGUCCAAAAUGCACUGGGGUAGGGGCUGAGCUGACGGCGGAGAGAGAGAGAGAGAGAGAGAGAGAGAGAGAGAGAGGCAGAAAACUGAAGCUGGGGAAGAAGGAGGCUGUCGCGUCGUUUCGGCAAUUUUAUUCGAGUUUGCGCGACGAAGAACGAAAAGCGUCGCGCAAAAUAUUUUAAUUGACACUUGCGCGACGACAUAAUUAUACCAUACGCCGCGCAAUAUUGUAAAUCCCAAAUUUUGGUAUCACAGUGGUUUUUGCGUCAUGCACACUAUAAUAUAUUUGUCGCGCAAUGUUGUCAAUCCGCCAAAAUUUUGGGACUUAGGGUUUAGUGGGCGAGUUUGAAAACUUUGCGCGACGCUGACCUUGUUUCGUCGCGCAAUGUUGUCAAUCCGCCAAAAGUUUGGGACUUAGGGUUUAGCAGGAGAGAUUGAAAACUUUGCGCGACGAGUAAUUGUUGUUUCGUCGCGCAAAUCCUGUUUCUGUAAACUCUCAAAUUUUUUUGGCUAAGUGUCCGAGGAGAAAAGGGUGGCUGAGAUUGCGCGACGAAGAACACUAGUUUCGUCGCGCAAAUCCUGUUUCUGUAAACUCUCAAAAAUUUUUGGCUACGUGUCCAAGGAGAAAGGGUGUGGCUGAGAUUGCGCGACGAAGAACACUAGUUUCGUCGCGCAAAUCCUGUUUCUGUAACUCUCAAAAUUUUUUGGCUAAGUAUCCGAGGAGAAAAGGGGUGGCUGAGAUUGCGCGACGAAGAACACUAGUUUCGUCGCGCAAAUCCUGUUUCUGUAACUCUCAAAAUUUUUUGGCCAAGUGUCCGAGGAGAAAAUGGGUGGCUGAGAUUGGGCGACGAAGAGAAACGUAACCUGUUCGUCGCGCAAACUCUUAACCCUAAACCCUAAACCGCGGAAAACAUAAACCCGAAACUAGUUUUAAUGAUCCAACCGGCAAACGUUUUUUUUAUAUUUCGAGAUCGUAUACGCUGAAAAUCUGACAAAAGAAACGUUAGGAAAUCAAGUAACGGUACAAAACUUUUCGACGGUUCUAAAUGAAAAGUUAUGAUUUAACGGUUAUUUUAACUCCAAUUUUGAUGAUUUUUUAAUGCUACUUUUCUUGACCCUAUAUGAAUACAAUUACUGAAUUUGAUCUUCAAUUUAAGAUGUUUACACUGGGGUGAUACCACAUAAUCUUAUGUUAUACUUAACGAAAGUAUAAGUAAACUAUUCAUUGUUGGUGAAUAUAUGGUUUUGAUGGCAUACGCAUUCUACGAAAGUAGUUUCAAUAAUCCAGCCGUCAAACGUGUUUGUUUAUAUUUCGAGAUCUUAGGCCCCAAAAAUCAGAAAAAAUAAACAUUCAGAGAUCAUGUAUCGGGACAAAACUUUUGAACAGUUAUAAAUAAAAAGUCAUGAUUUAACGGUUAUUUUAACUCCGAUUUUGAUGAUUUUUUUACAGCUACACUCCAUGACCCUAUAUGAAUACAAUGAACCAACUCGAUCGUCAAUUUCGAAUAUAUAUGUGUAUAUAACAUAUAUUAUAAAAGAAUAUAUAUUUGCGCGACGAGUUUCAUUAUUCGUCGGGCAAACUUCCAUCGCGCGAUGGAUAAGUAUUUGUCGUGCAAUGUUUUGCCUUUAGGCGACGACAGUUGUCGGUCGCGCAAACUGUGCGCAACGAGGGUUUCUUGGUCGCGCAAAAUUGCAUCGCGUGACGGAUAAUAAUUUGUCGCGUAAUUUUUUCACUUUGCGCAACGAACAUAUUACUGGGUCGCGCAAACUUUGCGCGACGAGGUCUUCAUCGUCGUGCAAGAGUUUUCAUUUUUGAAAAAUGUUUGGUGUCAAUAAUUUUCAAACUUUGUAUGAAAAUGGUUUGGAUAUAUUUAUUUAUCAAUGUUUAUAACUAAUGUUUUAUCAUUUUCAUUUUGUAAAUGUGUUUUGUCAAAAAAAAAAUUUAAAAAUUAAUAUUAAAAGGGUUUGGAUAUAUUGAUUUACCAAUGUUUUAUAACUAAAUUUAUUUUAAUAAUGUUUUAAGGUUUGGAUAUAACAACUACAUAUAUUCAAACUUUUGUAUUACACAAAGUCUGUACACUAACAUAAUAAAAUUACAAAAAAUUUAAUUAUUCAUCAUCUGAACUAUAGUAACUUUCGUUAUCGUCGCUAUCAUCACUUUCGGUCUCCCAAUCCUCCUCCUCCUCCUCUAUAACUACAUCAUCUGCGUUGCUCGGGCCCACUGCAACAUCGAAUCUUGGAAGAUCCCCAAGGUCAAUUGUAAUUGACUGAAUUGGUAUUUCGAUUGAAGACACUCCUUGUAUUUGAAACGGUUCUUGUAUAACAUGUGUAUCUCGAAGUGUUUCCACAUCAUUUUCCAUUGAAGAUUCUAAACGUUGGUCAGCCACAUUGUCGACGUCGUUGUCAGUUGGGUCUAGUUCUGGUAUAGCAUACACGUUCCUAUGAUCCAUCUUCUAAACAACUUUCCAACUGCUCCCAACUUUAGGGUCAUCUAGAUACACAAUUUGUGUUGCCAUGUUUGCCAAAAUGUAAGGGUCGUCAUCAUACCAAGUUCUGUUAAUGUUCAUAGACAGUAAGCCAUGGUUGAUUUUAACACUUCCCGUCCUAUUUGGGUUGCUAUCAAACCAUCGACACUUAAACAUGAUCACGUGGUAUCGAUCUUUGUAAAGCAAUUGAACGACAGUUGUAAGUUUGCCAUAAAAAUCAAUGUUCGUACUUUCGCCUCUACCUGGGACAUGGACACCGCUGUUUUGCGUACACGACUUGUCAUCUCGUGCAGCCCCCAAAAAUUUGACGCCAUUAAUAUAACAACCCGAAAACAAUUCAGCGCGAAUUGGGCCGAACGCCAAGUUAUAUAACUCAUCACUGUAAGUGGGGGAAUUCGAUGAUUUCAACUUAUUCACCUAAUAUAAUACAAAACCAUUCACAUGUUAGUCUGACAAAAUUAAAUACUACAAUUUAUAUUUGUCAAAUACAAAACACUUAUAACUUACAUAAUCCAAAAACCAUUGUGGAAACAAUUCACGGUGUUUCUGGGCAACUAAAUGUGAUGGAUGUUCUCGCGCCAUCGUCUCUUCAUGCUCAUCUAAGUAUGCCAUUAUCUCAUCACAAUUGUUCAGUACGAACCAAUGCGCUACCUCCAUGUCAUUUCUAGAAAACGACUCUCCUCGUCCAGGAUCUCCAAAUGGUCGUGCGCUUUGGGCAAAAACAGAAAGUUUUUCCUUUCUCAUACCUCCGUUGUUAUUGCGCUGAAGACGAUUGAAAGCCGUCUCUACAUCUUUUAAAUACAUUCCACAGAAAGUAAGCGACUCAUAUUGAACCCAUGCCUCUAUAAUUGAUCCUUCGGGCUUCGCCCUGUUGCGUACACUUAACAAGUCUCAAACUUGCAUAGGACUUGGACAAUGUCAUAGCGCAACUGAAACAUGUCUGUCUUUCGCAAUGUUUUUGCCGUCAGUUGGGAAAAAAAUCUGGACAACAACAUGAUUGGCUUCACAACAUCUUUCGGCAAUAGAUGUCGAAUACCCACAGGAAGUAGGCGUUGCAUAAACACAUGGCAAUCAUGGCUCUUCAGUCCAGUAAAUUUACCCCCGUCAACAUUCACGCAACGUGCGAUAUUAGAAGCAUACCCAUCAGGAAACUUUACAGACGAUACAAACUUUAGAAACUCUUUUUUGUCAUUCGGUUUCAUAGAAAAGAAUGCAAGAUCCCUUCUAGCUUUAUCACUGUCCCUGUUCAUCCAUAAACCCCUUCGUAUGCCCAUUCUUUCCAAAUCAAGACAGGCUUUGAUUGUGUCCUUUGUCUUGCCCUCGAUAUCUAGAAUCGUGCCCACCAAUGUGUCAAAUACAUUUUUCUCAACAUGCAUCACAUUUAGAUUGUGCCUCAAUUUGAGUUUCGACCAAUAUGGGAGCUCAAAAAACAUAGGCUUGUGAGUCCAGUUCAUAUGUGUAGAAGGUCUGAUCCGACUAACUGUUUUUCCGAACGGAGCAAAAUCCAAACGGUUAAGCUGUUCCAAGAUCUCAUCACCGGACCAUUCUCUAGGUCUGAGGCGACGCUCUGUGUUCCCGUCGAACUCUUUAUCUUUUUCCCGCCACUCGUGGUCCCAUGGCAACCAUCGCCGAUGACCAAGGUAACAAACUUUUCCCACAUGCCAACCAGAAGUUACAUCUUCCUUGCAUAUAGGACAUGCCAUAUAACCCUUUGUGCUCCACCCAGAAACCAUUGCAUAUGCUGGAAAAUCAUUCACAGUCCACAUAACUGCUGCCCGCAAAGUAAACAUCUUCACAGUUGAUUUAUCGUACGUGCGAACACCGUUUGUCCAUAAAUCCUUCAGCUUAUCAACCAGCGGCCUUAAGUAAACAUCGAUUGACCUCCCAGGAUCCUCAGUUAUCAAAACAGUCAUCAUCAUGUAUUCUUUUUUCAUGCAUUUCCAAGGCGGCAAAUUAUAUGGGAAUACGAAAAUCGGCCAAGUGUUGUGGUGUUGGUGUAGAACCUCAUACGGAUUGAAUCCGUCAGUGGCAAGUCCCAAUCUCACAUUUCGGGGAUCAGCAGCAAACUCAGGGAACGUUCGAUCGAACUCUUUCCAUGCCUCCCCAUUUGCAGGAUGCCGCAUCACAUCAUCGUCUACCCGUUUUUCCUUAUGCCAUCUCAUGUCUGUGGCAGUAUGCGUCGACAUAUACAAUCGCUGCAACCUAGGUUUCAGGGGCAGAUAACGCAUGACUUUUUGUGGGAUCUUAGUCAUUCUAUUCUGAGAUGUCAUUUUGAACCUCGACUCAUUGCAUAUAGGGCAUGUCUCCAACGUUUCAUGCUCCUUGUAGAAUAACAUGCAAUUAUUUUUGCAAGCAUGAAUUUUUUCAUAACCCAAUCCAAGACCAUUCAACACCUUCUGCGCGUGUUUAUGGUCUUUCGGCAAACAAUUGUCCGUCGGAAGCAUUCUCUUGAAAACUCCCAAAAAGUAAUCAAAACACAGGUUCGAGAUACGAUACUUUGUUUUUCCGUGCAUUAGCUCUACAAUGGCCGUGAGAACGGAAAAGCUCUCGCACCCCGAGUAUAGCUCUUGGUUGGUAUUUUUUAACAGUUUUUCAUAUUGUUCAAACUCCGCGCUGUCUAUUGGUGUAGGCACGUCAUCUUCCCUUUCGUGAUUGAUGUUGGUUGAUGCAAAUGGAAAAGCAUCCUGUAUAAUAUCCAUGACUUGAUCAUUAUGAUCCACAAUAGGUUCAACACUGUCCAUUCUUGUGGCAUUUGAAGACGAAGCAUGGUCUAAUUGUUCCCCAUGAAGGUUCCAAAUGCUAUAUGUCUCAAUCAUUCCAUUCCUUACUAAAUGAAAUCCAACAUUUUCAAUUGUCUCCCACAACGUGUUAUUACACCUCCUACAAUGACAUCGGAUUCUAGUUGCACCCGGGUUGUGUCUACGUGCAAACUCAAUAAAAUCCUCGAUCCCAUCCAAGUAUUCGUCUGCACAUCUAUUCGGGUUCUGUAUCCACCUUCUGCUCAUAAUUCCUAAAACCACAAUCACAACAUAACAAUCACAACAACUUCAUACGAAGUUAUAAUGUCACCUUAUGCCUCCGGUAAGGGCCCUAUCCCAUUCGGGAAUGCAUAGUCCUGUCACGUAACCUACGGCUACAUGAGAUUAGAUUUCGACAUGGAUGAAUUUCGACAGCAUCUCGAUACAGUUCUUGAGGUGGGCAUAGGUAUAAAUACCUACGUACCACCCGAAGAACGUACUGAGAUGACACCGAAAUCUCCACAAUCGAAACCUAAUCUUGUAGCCGUAGAUUACGUAACAACACUAUGCAUUACCAAACUGUCCAAAUAGUGGGACAAUUCAAGAAUUAAUUGGACCGCAGUCAUGCUUUACUCAUCCAUGCACGAAAUCCAACUAAUCUCGAACGGGAAACUAAAUGUUACAAAACAUACAAAUAAAAGUACGAAGUUAAUUUCAAUUAACUUCGUACAUCACAACACAUUGUGCUACGUCACGUACAAUUUAAUAACAUAAUAUAAAUAUAACUUCACAAAAAAAUAUACACAUAACAAAUUAACUUUAACAUUUUUAAUAUAUAAAAUGAAUAAAAUACCUUAUCAAUCGUUCUCCACAAAUUGCUAAUUACAAAUAUCCCUAACGAGAACAAAAUUAAUAGCGUUAGUACGAAUUUACAUUAAUACUUAUAAAUUAACGAUAAAAAAAACUUACCCAAUCAACGUACUGAAUGUCCAGCAGAGGCAGCAACAGAGAGGUUGAGAGAGACGCAGAGGCAGAAAGGAAAUCUGUUUCCUUUCUGCCUCUGCAAUGGCAGAAUUCUGAUAUGAAGAAGGACUUUGCGCGACGAAACAUAAAUUUCGUCACGCAAAAUACCGUCACGAAAAACCAUUUUUCCGUCACACAAAACGUGAUUUUCCGUCGCGCAAAAACUUGCCGACAAAAAAACUUUUGCGCGACGCCAUAAAUUUUCGUCGCAAAAACAAUCGUCGCGCAAAUUCUAGAUAUCAUCGCGCAAAAACAAUACUCCGUCUCGUAACAUUACAUUUCGUCGCGCAAGAAUGUACCGACAUCUGCUUUACGCGACGAAAUAUAAUUCGUCGCGUAAACAAAAAUAUCUCCUCCAUUUAUUUUUGCGGCUAACCUUUACGCGACGAAGUUUAAGAUCGUCGCACUAGGUUUUCUUACGCGACGAUUGCUCUCGCCGCGCAAGUGUUUGGCACCAAAAAAAAACUUGGGUGUUUUGUCGCUCUCUUUGCGCGACGAAAGUAUGUGUCUGUCGCACGAAGAGUGUUUGCGCUUCGAAAGUUUUGGUCGCGCAAGUUUUCACUUUUUUGCACGACGCAAAUUUUUUCCCGUCGCUUUAUUGAAUUUUACGCGACGAAUUUUGAUUCGUCGCGCAAAAGCUUGUCGCGCAAAUAGAAAAACGUAGUAGUAAAGUAACUUUCUGAUUUGAAUGAGUAUGACAAUAUAGCAGUUAAAUUUCGCAUUGAAGAAACAAAUGGGAAUCAAUGUAGAUAAUCUCUUGGAGUUAUUUAAGUCAAUGAUAUAUCAAGAUCACAUAAGCAGUCAAGAACCAAUAACAAUUUGAUAAACCCAUGUCAAAACACAGAGAUAUGCACCAACCUAGCUGUGGUUUUCAAACAGAACAGCCUAUAAAGCUUUAGCCCAUGGCCUUAACUAUCUGUCCACUGAACAGCCUAAUAAGCAGACUAAUUCAUCUGAGUUAGCUUACUGUUAAAAUUGUUGAUAUUUAAUGGUUAGGUCCAAGUCAGCUUGUUUAACCUCUCUUUCAAGUCUGUCACGUCACACUGUUUACACUAUUGGGUAGCAGUUAAAAUUAAAAUCAGAAGUACACCCCACCUGUUCGACCAUAAACAUAGUAAGCAAGACUUUGGAACUGCCCCUGGCAAGUAUAUGUUUCGCAGUUAAAACUAUAAAGAGUAUAGAUCAAAGAGAUAAGCAACCAGAUGGGCCAGAAUUACCAUUUUCAUGAAUGAGCAUUCAGUGGUUUUUUAUUAUCUACACCGUGUAGGCAACAGAGGAUUCUAAAAAAAAGUCCAAAAAUAAGAACAUUUAGGCAGAUAUUUCCAAUGGCAUUGACCAAAAGUCCCAAAGGGUUUGCAUAUGACUUCAUAUAAACUGGACACCAGUAAUUAGUGAAAUUCAAUAUUUACAAGAUCUUGCUGAAAACCUUUAGCUAUACUUUCCAUUCUAAAAAACAAGAGGAAGCUGUAUUCAGAUUUCACAUGAUUUUUAUCAAAACGUUGAUGACUAACAAAGCCAUUAUUAUCUUAAUUUCAUAAAUAGAAAUCUUUAAUGCUAACAAGAGCUCAGCAUAUAUAUACCUUGCUUGCUAGAGUAAAUAUGCCCAAAAGGAAAAGAUAUGAAUCUUUCACAAUCAUCAGUUAAAGCUUUCAUUUCAAAAGAAAUCAGUACUCAUUAUAUGCAUGUCUGUAGAGUACUCAAAGCUUAAUCAUAAUAAUGAUUGAAAGUUAUAUGCGUAUGAUGUAGGCUUAAAUGUGGACUGUUACUGAGAACACAAUAUAACAAGAAAAACAGAGUCUUUGACUAGUGCAAAGAGAGAUACAAAGCAACGUCAAGCAAAUAACAGUACAGUAAAUCAAAGCUUAUUUGUGUUUGCUUUGAGAAACAAAGCUUCUUUUUAUUCAACAAGAGGAACGAAAAAUCAAAGUAAUAGUCAAAGCAAAUUUGGGUAGACUAAAGGCUAGUUUGGUAUGGCUAUGUUUUUUUUAAAAAUUGCUUCUGCUAUGCUGCGAGAAUAAAAAGCUGUGAAAAAAAACAGCUAGACGUUUGGCAAAUUGUAUUAGAAAAAGUGCUGUGAAGAAUCAAAGUGUUUGGUAAAUUUUUAUUAGAAGUGCUUUUAAUAUGUAUAUUGACCAAAAAGGAUAUCAUGAUGAAAUUGUUACUUAUUUUGCCACAAAUUCUAAAUUUUUAAAGUAACAAAAUUAGUUCCAAUUCCAAAUAUUGUUACCAAAAAUAUAAAAAUAUAAACAAAAUUAAAUUAAGAAAGUAACCUGAAAAAAUCCCUUCCCACACCGUACCCACCUGCAUCUCUCUCUCACUCUCUCUCUCUCUCACUCUCUCUCCAUUGCCCCAAAACACCAAGAGAAGAAACCCAGAUCAAGAAUUUUGAAACUCAACCCAAACCGAGAUAAAAACUGUGUUGUCAUCAAAGAAAACAAGGAAAUCAAAUCCAAAUGAAAAUUUUGUUUUCCUGUGGUUUUGAUUUGAGUUUCAACUUUCCCUUGAUUUUGGUUUCCAAGAGAAGGUCAACGAAUUGUUGGUGGAUUCAAGAUUCAGUUUUUUGUGAAAAUCGUUGAUCAAGGAGGGUAGAUGCAGUGAAUGAUUGAAUCUGUGUUGCUAUCGAUUUUGGUCCUCCACAAUUCGCAUACCGAUGUUUGAAGAUAUAUUUGGGGUUUGGAUCUUUUGUGGUUGGAGUGGAGAUCAUUGACUGCGGAGCUAGGGUUGAGGUUUUUUUUAAGCUGUGGUUUGGAUUUUUGUGGCUGGAGUGGAGAUAACAGCAUGGAGAGCUAGGGGCUAGGUUUUUUUUUUUUUUUUUUGGUAUGAAUCGAGUUGCAGACAGAAGUCGAUUUGCAAGAGAGGAGAAGAAGAAUCGAGUUGCAAGAGGGAUAAAAGCUGUCAAUUUAGAAAAUUAAUAGGUGUAUUAUGGGAAACGUGAAAAUUCAUUUAAAAGAACCGGCUGUUUUUUUUCAAAGCAACUUUAAGAAGCAGCGUGUUGGCUGCUUCGAGAUUCUGCUGUGGAUCACCGCAGUUUUUAAAAUAAGCAGCCUUCAAUUGUUUUACCAAACGCUUUUGUUUCCAGAACUUUUUUUAUAAGCUGCUUAUUUAUUAAGCGCAGCAAUCCCAAAUGCCACCUGAACAUUAAAGUUAAUUUUUGUUUUCUUUUAGAAACUGACAUAGUCCAAACCAUCAAGACCCCAGCCCAUGUAAAGUGGGUGAUACCAAUUGCAUCUCAAGCAGCAAUAUAACUGUUGUCUCUCGUGUCAAAUGUGAAUUUGCAAACGCUGGGGGGGGGGGGGGGGGGGGGGGGGGNNNNNNNNNNNNNNNNNNNNNNNNNNNNNNNNNNNNNNNNNNNNNNNNNNNNNNNNNNNNNNNNNNNNNNNNNNNNNNNNNNNNNNNNNNNNNNNNNNNNUGGGGGGGGGGGGCGGGAAGAGAGAGAGAGAGAGAGAUACAGACACAGCUUCAACUAACUGCUUAGCUCUAAUACGUUUCAAUUAUAUACAUAAAACCCCAGAACAACUAAUAUGGCCCCAUCAAAAAUUUAUUCAUCUAUGAAUUCAGCUCAAGUUUUAUGGUCCUUGAAACAAGAACUCAACACCACAAAUUGAGAACUAUUAUGCAAUAUAAACAAAGCUCAUGCUCCCAUUUUCCAGAGCACAAUUCUUAUAUGUUAAUUCAACCCCACGGAAAUCACAUGCAUCAUCUCAAAAUGUAGAUUAAUAAGAAUUGAUAAAGCACUCUGAUUGAGCGUCCUCUAAUCUGUACUACUAGCUACUGCCAAAAUAACAUAAUGCAUAAAAUUUAGAAUCUCAUUCUCUUUUCAUUACCACAGCUUUCUCAGCUAGCAAACAGAAAAAUCGUACAUUCAAAACUAAGAAAGAGAAACAAAAAUAAAGCACAAUAAACAAAAAAAUCUGUGAACUUACUCUCAUUUUUCUCUCCACCAGAUGUAGAACAAACCCAAGAAAUUAAUGUCAGAGGACAAUCUUUUGGGGCAAAUUCAAGUGCUGCAACCAAACCCACCACAAAAAUAUCACAACCCCAAAAGCUCCUCCACGAAAUCCCCAACGACUCACCAAGACAAAAAUUAUUUUAGAGAGCGAGGGAGCUGUAGAGAGAGAAGGGAAGAGUUCCUAGAGGGGUUUAUCAACCAUUGACGGACGCUACCCGACUAGAAAGACUCUACUAAAAUUUGAAGUUUUCUCAUGCAUCAUCAUGGCAAACUAUAUUAAGAAUAUACAGACAAUAGGAACAGGAAUAUGCCUUUUUUCUUUCACAUAUCUUUUUCUUUCACUAACUCUGGUUUUAAAAGCUUACAAAGUAGCCCCAAAAAUCAAACUUGAAAACUUAGAAAUUAACCCAAACUAAUUACACUAACAGCUAUAGCGUGAAGAGGAUAUGGAUAUCCAUACCUCACUCGAACCUUUCGAAGGUCGCCGCGGCUCAGGGAGGAGCAGGGGUGGCAGGGCUUUAGCCCUGACAGAAACGCCAGCCUUGAUCAGAGCUUCUGUGAGAGAAAGAGGCAGUGAUGGAGGAGAGAGAAGAAAGAGAGAGUUUGAGAGGGACUGGAAAAAAAAUGUGAGGGAGAGGGGACUGAAAAAAUUGAGAGGGAGAUGAAAUCUAGGGAGAGAGUUUGAGAGGGAGAGCGUGAAAACUUUUAAACUAGCGUUGACUACCCUUUAGGCACAGGUGGCUUUUAAAAAAAAAUAAGGUCCCUCUUAAAAAAAAAAAAAUAGGCAAAUCACUUUAGGCAUCUAUGAUUAUGAGAGAUGAUGCUAUAAGAAUCAAAGGCAUCGUCAUAAAAAAAAUCAAAAAUUCAUACUAAUGUCUUUGUACCUGUUUAAUUUCGUUAUUUAUAAAAUCAAUGUCUAAUGUACUAAUAGCAUCGAUUUUCCGUUUUAUUGAUGCCUAUGUAGUGUUGCUGACAGUGAAAUUUGGCAUAAUGACUUUGGCUGCGAAAAGCUGGGAGUUGCAUAUUUUGUAGAGGUUUCUACAAGGGGGGGAAACCGUUGGCCAGGGCAUGCCGUACUUAGCAUGCUUGCAGGCUUGGACUGCAUUUGGGAUAGUUCGGUUGCAGAAGAAUUGGUUGUGGGUGCAGAGGCCUUGUUUGGCCACGGCGGAUGAAGAAACUACAACUGUUGUUAUUUGGCCGAGUUGUAAGUCAUAAUGGGGCCAUAGCAUUGUGAAAGCUUGGUUAGAGAGAGAUGUGGUUUGUUUCCUGUUGACAUGAGUCUCCUAAUUAAUCAAGGAGAUUUACUUCCUUGAUUAAUUAAGGGAUUUACUUUCCUAUUUUUUAUAGUUGAUAAAUCAUUGUAUAAUUAAGAGAUACUUUCCUAAUUCUUUACUAUAUCUAAUUCCUUGUAUAACACCCUGUAAACUCUAAACACAAUUUUUUUACUGAGAAGAAUAAAGUUAACCUAAUACAUUCAAACCAUAUUCAUAUUUUAGCAUGGUAUCAGAGCAAUCAAUCCUCGAUUGUCUCUAAAUUCUCAUAUCAAAUUUUUUCUUCAAACACACAUCCUAAAUCCUCAUAUCAAAUUUGUUAAUGUAUGCAUUUUGGGUUUUUCUUUUGCUUCCCUUGACAACUUUGUAAUAGGAUUUCUAUUGUUAUUUAUCAAGCUCAAGUUUAGAUUGAGAAUAGCUUCUCUAGGUGUUCUUAACUAACAACUAUCAUAUGGAGGUUCAUGCAAAUUGGCAAAGGUAAAUUGUGCAUUGCAUAACAAUGCAUUAUACUGUUUUCAUAAAAUGAUGACUAGUCAUCUGUUUCUUGGAUGACUAGUCAUCCUUGCUCUCCAGCUUGAUAACCAACUUUUUUGUCCUAUUCUUUUUUCUCUCUUGGCUGCCACAUGGGAUUCUGAUCUAAGGGAAUUUUUGGUCUGUAAAGGCCUUGCGAUUCCUCUUUGGGAAGCCGUCACUUUUGGGGACAAGUUUUGGAAAGUUUCAUAGCAACCUUCCUCAAGAGUAACCUUCAUAUUUUUCAUCUUUGAGUUUUCCAAAUUGUUUCUUUUUGAAAACUGCAUUUGAAAUAUGAAAACUUCAUCUUGCUAGAUCAAACACUCUAUCAUAUACAUCUAGGUCAGAUUCAAGAUUGAUUUCUUCAAGAGUAUGGUUUCUUGAAGAAAUUGGUCAUUUUCUCCAUGAAUCCAAAUUUCAUUUUUGUCUGAGUUAGAGCUUGCAAGCUAGUGCCAUGGGAUGAAAGAGCUGGAGAAGGAGCUGUCAUUGCCAUGAAGAACUGAGAUUCAAGCUUUGCUAAGUUGGAGAAGAAGAUUGCACAAAGGAGGUAUAGCUCAUCUUCCUAAAUAGACCUAGGAAUUUCUUGAGCUUGCUAGUGUUCUUUGUAAGAAUCAUUUUGCUUAGUGGAUUGCCUAGUCGGUUGAUGACCCCCAAUUUUUCCCAAUGGUGGGUUUCUGGGUAAACAAUUUCUGGUUUCCAUCUCUGUAAAUUUUCUGGGUUUGUGUUCUUGAUAGUUGACUAGUCAUCUGAAUUUGUGCGGUUGACUAGUCAUCUUUUUCUGCUGUUUGGUGUUUGUUUGAUUAUGUUGUCUUCACACACUUUCACCAUAGUUGUUGCUAGCACAGGGGAUGCCUAGAUUGAUGGGUCCUUCUGAGUGCCUAGGUUGUCACUAGUAAUUCUCUAGGCCUGCAGGUACAUCUUGGUAUGCUCUGUUUAUGUUAUUGUUUGGUAUAAUUCAUAUCUAACAGUUGACUAGUCAUAAGAGUAUUUGGUCAAGAUCUAGAGUGUGUGAAGGUUGUUGUGUUCUUGAUUGAAUAUCUUUUAAAUUUACCCCUCGUCACCUAAGUACCAAUUUCAAAAUUUCUUCACACCCAAACCCUAAAUCAAAUUCCUCAUAUUUCCAGCUUCAGAUUCAAAUCUUCAUACCCGAAUCCUCAUAUCCUCUUAUCACCAAACCCUAAACACAUCUUUUUCCUCUUCUCUUAAAUCCUUCCGCUGCCAUGAAUAUCGUCUCAUAUUCCCAAACCACUGCCUCCACUUCGCCAUCCUCUAAAUUGCCACAACAGGUUCUCACGGUUAUGUUUUGCAUAGUUCUUCAAAGAAACACAUUUGAGUCAUUGACACUAGAGCCACUGAUCACAUGACCUUUGAUCCUGGACAAAUUACCUCUCAUACACCGUCUUCUCAACCGGUGGUGUUUAAUGCCAAUGGUACCCCCUCCCCAGUAAUUGGGGAGGGUUCCCUCUCUCUCUGUGACUCCCUCACUUUGGAUUCUGUAUUGAUUGUUCCAUCCUUACAUCAUAAUCUCUUAUGUGUUGCCCAAAUUACUACGGCUUUGAAUUGCACUGUAACCUUUUGCCCUACUCAUUGUGUUUUUUAGGACAUUCUCAACAACAAGACGAUUGGUUGUGGUACUAGGAGGGGCAAACUCUACUAUCUGGACUUGGCAUCUAACAGUGAAGCCAGCCUCAGUCACGCUUACAAAAUUGGGGGUACGAGUGUUGAGAAGCAAACUUCCGAAGUAUGGUUAUGGCAUUGCCAUCUUGGACAUGCUUCGUUUGGAUAUUUACAUAAGCUAUUUCCUUCCUUAUUUUCCCAAUUAGAUAUUUCCAGUUUUACGUGUGACAUCUGUGAAAUAGCCAAGAGCCAUUGGGUUCCUCUUCCCUUAAGUUCACAUAAAAGUUUGGUUCCUUUUUCUCUUGUUCAUUCUGAUGUUUGGGGCUCGGCUAAAAUUACCACUCUAGGGGGAGCUAGAUGGUUUGUCACGUUUAUCGAUGAUUACACACGUAUGAGCUGGGUUUCCCUUCUCCAAGCAAAAAGGGAAGUCAGUUCUAAGUUUCAAUAGUUCUAUCACAUGGUGGAGACCCAAUUUCAUACUAGAAUUCAAGUUCUUUGGUCUGACAAGGGAGGAGAAUUUCUCAACCAUGAUCUUAAUCAGUUCUUACCAGAUCAUGGCAUCAUACAUCAAAGCUCAUGCCUUUACACUCCCCAACAGAAUGGUAUGGCUGAAAGAAAGACACUUAUUGGAAGAGGUUCGUGCCUCUCUCUUUGGUGCCAAUAUGCCUCUGUCCUUUUCGGGAGAAGCCGUCCUCUCUGCAGCAUAUCUUAUCAAUCGGACUCCCUCCAGUAUCCUUAAUUUGCAAACCCCCUUCAAACACUCUACCACCAUAUCCAAAUACCUCAUACCAAAAACCUAGAACCACAGAUUUUUGGCUGUGUGGUCUUUGUCCACUUAAAUGAUCACCAACGCAGCAAAUUGGAUACUCGCGCCGAAAAGUGUGUUUUUAUUUUGUUACGCACCUCAUCAGAAAGGUUACCGGUGUUAUCAUCCUCCUAGUCAAAAGGUCUAUACUUCUAUGGAUGUUGUGUUCCGAGAACACGACAUAUAUUUUUCAGCCGUACAAGAGGAGCAUCGUGAUGCCAACACUUCUCAAAUUUCAAGACUGUUUCCUUCAGAAUUGUCAUAGACUGAAAAUGACCGGUCGCAGAAUACAAGUGACCGGUCGUCGGAGACUCUGCUUGAAAAAGACCGAUCGCCUCAUGAAAAUCUGAAUCUACUUCAAAACGACCAGUCGUCAGAGUACCACGAUCGGUCGUCUCCCUGCUGUCAAACUAAGGAGGAGAACAUUGAGUAGUUUUUGCCCGCUCAGUAAUUCUUCAGCUCCAGUACCACACUAAUCACCUGCUGAGGAUGUCAUUCAUGUAACAUCUUUUUCAAAAACUUAUAACAUUAAUGAAAUAUCCCGUGAUGAUUUAAUUUCAUAAGGCACAGAGCCUGCAUAUCAGAUUCCAAAACGGAAGAACUAUGGAAAACCUCCAGUUCACUACGAAGCAGACCUUAAUGCAAAAGGGAAAUAUCCUAUCAACGAUUAUGUAUCCCAACAACAAGGAGAAUCAAGUUUGCAAGCUUAGAAAGUCAUUGUAUAUGUUAAAGCAAUCCCCUAGAGCAUGGUUUGGCAGAUUCACUAAAUCCAUGAAGAAUUUUGGAUAUAUAUAGAGUAAUGCAUAUCACACCUUGUUCUUGAAGCGUGAUGUAAGAAGACUUAAUGCAUUGAUUGUUUAUGUGGAUGACAUAGUCGUAACUGAAAACGACACAGAAGAGCAAUUGAAACUGCAAAAAUAUUUGUCUCAGGAAUUUGAGAUGAAGGAUCUAGGAGAUCUGAAGUACAUUCUAGGAAUUGAAGUAGCCAGGUCCACAACUGGUAUAUUUCUGUCUCAAAGGAAGUAUGUAUUAGAUCUGCUCACUGAAACAAGAAUGCUUGGAUGGAAACCUGCUGAUACAACCAUCGAGAUGAAUUACAAGUUAUGUGAAGACAUGGAUCAAGAACCAACCAAUAAGGAACAGUACCAACGCCUUGUUGGAAGGUUGAUAUAUUUAGCUGUCACAAGACCAAAUAUUGCAUAUGCUGUGAGUGCGGUUAGUCAGUUUAUGCAUUCACCCAGUGUGUCCCAUAGGAAUGCAGUUGAUCGAACCUUAAGAUACUUAAAGUCAGCACCUAGGAAAAGGUUAACGUUCUCAAAAAAUAGAGAUUUCGAAGUUGUUGGAUAUACAGAUGCUGAUUGGGCUGGCUCCAUUACUAACAGACGCUCUACUUCAGGUUACUUCACUUUUAUGGGAGGUAACCUAGUCACUUGGCGGAGUAAGAAACAAAAUGUGAUUUCUCGAUCUAGUGCUGAAGUAGAGUAUCGAAGAAUGGCUCACGGAGUUUGUGAAUUACUAAGGAUCAAAAGACUAUUGACAGAAUUGGUGUUCAAGCCAGAAAAUCCAAUGGAGUUACAAUGUGAUUACAAGUCAGCCAUCGAUAUUGCCCAUAAUCUAGUUCAACAUGAUCAAACUAAACAUGUUUAGGUGGAUAGACAUUUUAUCAAAGAAAAAUAUGAGAAGAAAAUCAUCCGCCUAUCAUACGUAAAAUCAGAAGAUCAGUUGGCAGAUAUCUUAACCAACGCUGUUUGUGGAAGAGUAUUUUAUGACUCACUUACCAAGUUGGGCAUUGGUGACAUAUAUGCACCAACUUAAGGAGGAGUGUUGACGUGAAUCUCCUAAUGAAUGAAAGAGAUUUACUUCCUUGAUUAAUUAAGGGAUUUAAUUUCUUAUUUCUUAUAUAGUUGAUAAGUCAUUGUAUAACUAGGAGAUACUUUUCUAAUUCUUUACUGUAUCUAAUUCCUUGUAUAGCACCCUGUAAACUCUUAUAUAUACCUCCUUAUGGAGAAGAAUAAAGUUAACCUAAUACAUUCAAACCAUAUUCAUAUUUUAGCAUUUCCAAGCUCUAGAAGAUUGCCAAUGAAAGGAAAUGGGUUUGGUCCAGGUGGAAGGCUUGUGGGAUUUGAUGAUCUUCUUGCAAAGGAAUAAAAGAGGGCAUGGAUUGAAACUCAAGAAAUCCAUAAGACACAAUAGUAUGAAACUCAAGAAAUCCAUCUCUCUCUCUCUCUCUCUCUCUCUCUCUCUCUCUCUCAGUUUCUUUUCUCCCAACUCAUCUAAUUUUCUGUUACAUAUUAUGCAUUAUAUAUAUGUGUGUAAGGGUGGGCAUCAAAACCGGAAUACCCAAACCAUCCCAAAACCGUUCCAAUCUCGUGCCGUCCUGUUUGGUGUUGACGUGUAAACGGGAUGAUAUUGUUGGCGUGACUUGUGGAUAUUGACUUACUUUCCUUACACACCAAGAAUUCCUAUUAUAAUUGUAAUUGAUUUACUUUAAUUCCUGAUUUCCUACUGUAAAUAGAUUUAAGAAUUUAUUAUUUACUUGCCCAUUCAGGUUUCGUUGUAUUAUAAAUAUAACCUCCUACAAGGAGAAGAAUACACAGAAAAUUCCCACAAACAAAUAUUCUCUCAUAGUUUUCAUAUUUUAGCAUGGUAUCAGAGCCAGGUUCUUGGAAUUGCUGACUCUAGUUUCAAACCCCCGCCGCCGCUAUGGGGGUUGAUGAUUUUUUCAAACCUUAUGGAGGUAGUACCACCGACUCCUUCUCUCAUUCUCAACCAACCAUCGUUGAGUUGAAUGCCCAGAUGGCUCCGCCCAUACAGAUGCAGACUUUGACCCUGAACCCGAUCUAGAAUCAGGAUCCUCUUUUGACGACCCCGACCCCGACCCCGACCCCGACUAUGACUACGACGACGAAGACCCCGACCCCGACUACGAAGACGACCCCGACCCCCACUCCGAUGAUGACCCCAAUCCCGAAUUUGUCUCUGAUUCAGACCCCGAUCCCAAUUUCGACUCCGACUCCGGCCCCGACUCAGGCUCAGAUUCCGAUCCAAAUUCCUACUCAACCUGUAUCCUAUGCAUCUUCCGCUGCACAGAUUAUGACUUCUAGACUAACGACCCAGACACAUGGACCAAAUUGCGCAUAUUGUGGUGAUCCGAGACACACUUGUGAGACUUGUUUUAAAUCGCAUGGCUACCCCGAUUGGUGGGCUACUCUUACAGAUCGAGGACAAUGCAAUAUGACCAGUAAUGGUACUAGUUAUGGAUUCCAUACUUCCGAUAAGAUUGAUUCCAAGAGCUGGAUAAUUGAUUCUGAUGCAACUGAUCAUAUGACGUUUGACCCUGAUGAUUUUCUGAAUACUACACAACCUCGACGAACCUGUAUUGCAAAUGCCAAUGGUGUUACUUAUCCUGUGAUAGGGGCUAGCACUGUUGCACUCUCAUCCUCUCUCACCAUGUCUAAUACUUUACUUGUUCCAUCUUUAUCCACUAAAUUGUUGUCAGUUAGUCAGCUUACUGAAUAAUUGAAUUGUUGUGUACUCAUUUACCCGAGUUUUUGUUUGCUUCAGGAUAUUCACACUAAGGAGAUUCUUGGUCGUGGUACUAAGAGAGGGGGGCUAUAUUAUGUCGAUGACUUCAGUCCCGGCGUGGCUAACAGUGUGACACAUCCCUUUGAUAGCAAACAAAAGCAAAUCUGGUUGUGGCAUCGUCGAUUGGGACAUCCAUCUUUUAGUUAUAUGAAGCAUCUUAUACCAGAUUUAUUCUCAGGUUUCAAAGACUCCGAUACUUGUAUUUUGGCCAAGAGUCACCGUGUGCCGUACCCGUUGAAUACGAACAAGUGUACUACUCCAUUUACGUUAAUUCACUCUGAUGUCUGGGGACCUUCGCCUAUCACUGCUCCUUCUGGUGUUUGAUGGUUUGUCACAUUCAUCGAUGAUUGUACACGAAUGACAUAGCUUUAUUUGCUGAAGAAUAAAAAUGAAGUGUUUUCCCGUUUUCAGUCCUUCCACAAACAGAUGAAAACUCAGUUUAAUGCUCAAAUCCAGAUUCUUCGCUCAGACAAUGGUGGAGAAUUUGUCAAUCAUGACUUUCAGACUUACUUUCAACAACAUGGAAUUAUCCAUGAGACGACUUGUUCUCAGACACCACAACAAAAUGGUGUUGCUGAAUGAAAGAAUCGACAUCUUCUUGAAACCGCCUGAGCACUUUUGAUUGGCGCUCAUGUUCCUCGCCAUCACUGGGAUGAUGCUAUUGUCACUGCAGUUCACCUAAUCAACCGCAUGCCUUCUGGUGUAUUGACCUUUAAAACUCCCUUAUAGGUGCUUGCACAACACAGACCUCUGCCCUCUGUUUUGGUACUCACACCCCGAAUCUUUGGAUGUGUGGCUUUCGUUCAUCUCCACAAAAAUCAACGUAGCAAACUUGAUCCCUGUGCGCUUCGUUGUGUUUUUGUGAGUUAUGCCACUCAUCAGAAAGGUUACCGUUGUUAUUACCCUCCUACCCAAUGAACCUAUGUCACUUUGGAUGUGACCUUUUUGGAAUAUGAACUGUUCUUUCAUAACCCAUCAUCCAAUUCUGCUCUUCACGGGGAGAUACGAAGUGAAGAGCAGAAUUGGAGCAACUUGGAAAACAAAGAAAUUCUUCUAUGUACAGAAAUGAUUGAUCAUCCCGAGUCUGGAGCACGAGAUUACUCUCUGUUAAAAAGCGACCAAUCGCCCAUUCAUAGCGAUCAAUUGCCUGACCCACCUGAUCCAUGUGAAGAUAUUUUUGAUCCAAGUCUCACACCUACAGACAAUACAGAACAACAAGAUGAAGACCCCCUUCUAACUUAACAGUACCAACAGACCAAUCUCCUGAGAAUAUCCUUGAGGUAACUACUCCUACUAGACUUGUCCAUUUAGAUGAUAAAACUCUUGGAUAUCAAUUACCUUUCAGGCAAAAUCGUGGGAAGCCACCAAACCGUUAUUCACCUGAUAUUGGCAAGACAUCCAAGUGUCCAAUUGCAAAUCAUGUAUCCACUGAGAAGCUGUCUGAACCACUCAAGGCUUUUGUGCAUCAGUUGUCUGCUAUCCAUAUUCCAACCAAGGUUUCUGAAGCAUUGAAAGAUCCUAAGUGGGUCCAAGCUAUAAAAGAGGAGAUGAAAGCUCUUGAGAAAAAUCAGACUUGGACAUUGGCGACUAUACCACGAGGAAAAAAGACUAUCGAUGUAGAUGGGUGUUUACUAUAAAACACAAUACAGAUGGAUCUAUCGAGCGAUACAAGGCAAGACUUGUGGCAAAAGGGUACACACAGACCUAUGGUAUAGACUAUGAAGAAACUUUUGCACCAGUUGCAAAGUUAAACACCGUCAGAGUCUUAUUGUCCCUUGCAGCUAAUUUGGAUUGGCCACUACACCAGUUUGAUGUAAAGAAUGCUUUUCUACAUGGCGAACUCACGGAGGAGGUGUACAUGGACAUUCCUCCUGGAUAUAAUACUACUCAGACUGGAACAGUUUGCAGGUUACGAAAAGCAUUGUAUGGAUUGAAACAGUCACCACGUGCAUGGUUUGAACGGUUCACCAUGGCAAUGAAGAACAAUGGUUUCAAACAAUGCAACUCAGGUCAUACUCUAUUCUUGAAACAUCGAAAAGGGAAGGUAACAGCAUUAAUAAUCUAUGUUGAUGAUAUGAUUAUUACUGGGAAUGAUAAACAGGAAAUAUCACAGCUACAAGACUAUCUGGCUACGGAGUUUGAGAUGAAGGAUCUAGGUGGACUCAAGUAUUUCUUGGGAAUUGAGGUGGCUCGAUCGCAGCAAGGCAUAUUUCUCUCUCAAAGGAAAUAUGUCUUGGACUUGUUGACAGACACAGGAAUGCUAGAUUGUAAACCUGCGGACACUCCUAUUGUUCAGAAUCAUCAUCUUGGAGAAUAUCUGGAUCAAGUUCCAACUAACAAAGAAAGAUACCAAAGGCUAGUGGGAAGAUUGAUCUAUUUGUCACAUACUUGACCAGACAUUGCUUAUGCGGUGAGCGUUGUCAGUCAAUUUAUGCACUCUCCAAGUGAAGACCACAUGAAUGCAGUUCUUCGGAUACUUAGAUAUUUGAAGUCUGCACCUGAAAAAGGACUUAUGUUCUCAAAGCAUGGUCAUCUAAAUAUUGAUGGUUAUUCAGAUGCAGAUUGGGCAGGUAAUGUAACAGAUAGAAAAUCCACAUCGGGUUACUUCACAUUCGUGGGAGGUAAUUUGGUGACAUGGAGGAGCAAGAAACGGAAUGUAGUAGCUUUAUCCAGUGCAGAAGCCGAGUUCAGAGGCAUGACUAAAGGGAUUUGUGAACUUCUUUGGUUAAGAAAGUUGCUUAUUGAACUCGGGUAUAAACCUACAUCCACAAUGAAUCUCUUUUGUGACAACAAGGCUGCUAUAGCCAUUGCACAGAAUCCGGUUCAACAUGAUCGUACUAAACAUGUUGAGGUGGAUCGACACUUCAUCAAACAGAAGCUUGAGGCUAAAGUGUUUCAGUUUCCUUUUGUGAAAUCCGAGGAUCAAUUGACAGAUAUUUUGACAAAGGCGAUUUCCAGUAAAGCAUUCCACAAUUCACUGGAUCAGCUGGGCAUUGGCGACAUCUAUGCACCAACGUGAGGGGGAGUGUUGGCGUGACUUGUGGAUAUUGACUUACUUUCUUUACACACCAAGAAUUCCUAUUAUAAUUGUAAUUGAUUUACUUUAAUUCCUGAUUUCCUGCUGUAAAUAGAUUUAGGAAUUUAUUAUUUACUUGCCUAUUCAAGUUUCGUUGUAUUAUAAAUAUGACCUCCUACAAGGAGAAGAAUACACAGAAAAUUCCCACAAACAAAUAUUCUCUCAUAGUUUUCAUAUUUUAGCAGACAUCGUGUCAUCCUGUUACUGUUUGGCACGACAUUGGUUUCACAUUUGUGAUCCCGAUUGGUGUCAUACCGUACCAAACAGUACAUUUGUUUUAUUAAUCCUAAUUUAAUUUCAGCCUACUCUCCUCCACAGAUUUCUUCGACUCCUCUCUCUCUUUGUUUCUCUGCGUCCCUUCCUCUAUCUAAUUCUAAUUCUUCUCUUCUCUUCUCUCCUCCUUUCUCAAUCUUUCUUGAUAGAAAUGAGGUCUUUUUGUUCUCUUUUCCUUUGAUGGGUUUUUGAAAGAAAAAAAGGUUUGUUCUCUUUUUGUUCUCUUUUCCUUUGAUACGCAUCCUUCCUGUUACAGUUGGAUCCUUUAUCCUGGAUUAAAUUGAUUGUCUUCAUCUAAUGAUAUAUUGCAAAUAUCUGGAGACUUUCUUUUAUGAAAUUUAGGUAGGUAUUGGAGGUUUCCUGUGCAGCUGCCAAAUUUCACUUCUUUGGUUUCUGGAUUUGGACUUUACGUUUUCAAUGACAUUUUACACGCAUUAGCAUUUUGGGGUUAUCUAGAAGUCGAGUUUUCUGGAUAUGAGAAGUAAUGGUAGUUGGGUUUUCUCUUUUAAUUGAAAAGAACACUACUUUAUUACAGGUUUAGGUGUUUGGUUAAGUUUAGAUCUUUAACAAUAUCAGUGGGACUCUUGCUCCUUUUAAUCCAUCACUGCCAGUGUUUGGUUAUGAAAUUUUGCAGAUUGUUUACGGUAUCAGCAUUGAUAUCGAAUUAUAUCGAUCUCGUUUAGGUUUGGUAUAGUUUGAACGUGUUUUCAAAAACAACCAUCAUGUCUCAUCCCAUUUCGAUUCCCCUAUUCAAGAUUGACACCGAAAUAACCUCUAUUCUGUGUCAUCUCGUAUCGUGGCCAGCCCUAUAUGUGUAUAUCUUUUAGGAGACAUAUAGGGAAAGUCAACUAUUUAUAUCUUUUAGGAGACAAAUAUGAAUAGCCACUUGGCGUGACAUCAGGAAUUUGACGGUAUAUCUACUAGUUUAUUGGUAUAGUUCAUGGCCGUGAAUUAUUGAUAAAGGAAAAAGACAAGGAAAAAUGUAUAAAGUAAUUUCUUUUUGUUGUAAAAUAACUGGGAUAUGUGCGAAUAUUGAGCUGCACGUAAAGUAGAUGAGACACAGUAUUUAAAGAGGUUCGGCUAUGCCUACGUCCCCGGAGAGCAGCAGUAGUAACUUUUCCACUAUGUAAUAUAAUAGGGCUACAACUUUAGUGUUUACAAUAUGUAUGGCUCACUCAAUUUUCUCUCUUGGAGAAUUUCUCUCUUGCUCUCUUUCCUCUCAACUCACUCACCCUCUUUCUUCCUUCUCUUCCUCUUCUCUCAUUUCAUCUUCUCAUUACAAGCAAAUAUAAUGCCUAUUUAUAGGCAAAGCAAAUGGCUUGGUUUGGUGGGUGUGUGAUUUGGUUUGGUAGGUGUGUGGUUUGGUUUGGUAGGUGUGUGGUUUGAUUUGGUGGGUGUGUGGUUUGAAUGUUAGAGCAUGUGGGCUUCACCCAUUCUUCUUUACAACACUCCCCCUUGGAGACCACAUGUCCCUAGAUUGGUUGCCUCAUUAAAACCUUGCUUGGAGAAAAACCCAGUGAGGUAGAAAACUGAUGGAAGGAAGAAAAAAGAGUACAGCAAUCUGUAUAGCAUACUUCUGGAUGCUCCCCCUGAUUAAUAUCUCCCCCUGAUGUCUUCAUGACUAUCUUUUGGAGUGAGAAUCUUUCGGAGUGAGUGGAGGAUAUAGCCAUUAAUAAUUCUUGUAGUUGAGUAAAUAAAUAUAUUUCCAGUGAGCUAUCUCUAUGUAAAUCAUAGAAAUUUUCAGAGUCCGCGUUUCUAACAAAACUUGGGCUAUUUGUAAGUUCACUUGAAAGAAUAUGCCCGUACAUGGUGUUAUGCGGAGAUAGCAUCAAAUAUACCUCACAUCAUCCCAAAAUGAUGGUGAUGGAGUUGAGCCCUAUCUGGAAAAUAUGAUGUCCGGUCCAAUAUACUUCCGGAAAAUCAUUAAAAUGUCCAACGGAUAAUCCUCAUAAAAAUGCUUCAAUACUUUCUUAGUAUAAGCAAGAAUCUCGUUGGCAUAAUGCUCGAUCCUUAAGUCGAGACAAAUAUUUCUUGAACUCUUCAGAAGCUUUAAUGUGUUGCAAACACAUUAUAAUCCAUGUACUCACUGAGACAAUUUAUGCACAUUAGUAUUGAGUACAGAUUUUGUGCUUCAGGCACAUGUCCUUCAGGGACUUGCUUCAUGCAAUUUCAAUCCUUUCAAGGAUUUUGUUUAAAGGGAUUAAACUUUAUGACACAUUAUAUAGCUUUAAUCCAGCUAUUUAUACAUCUUUAGGGAAUCGCUUCUGGCAAUAUGCUCUGUGCAUUUAAUACCCCUUAAAGAUAAUAUGUUGGUCUCCGUAAAUGUGUAAUAAAGGGGCACAAUUGAAUCUAUAAAUAUGGAGAAAAUCCAACGUUCCUUAUUUAUGCCAAAAAUAUUGUGUCAUACAAAGUAGGUAUAUUCCCUUCUAUUCCGAACACCCAAGUAUAACUUUCAGUAUUAACAUCUUUUGGGGUUCGUAAUGUGGGUUUGUUCUUUCACGUUCAUUCUCAUCUAUAAUGGAAUUACCUCAUUCCAUUUUGGCCAAUGAUAUUGUCGACAUUUAAUAAUUGAACGUGGUUCCAAUUAACGCAGCCCAUUGAUGAUUUGAGUAGCUACUCUAAAACCAAAAAUUGUCAUUCAUCAAUUCAUGAUCUCACCAUUCUCAUUUGCAUGCGCAUGCAUCAAUUAUAAGCAUUUCUUUGCUUUUGGGUACCCAAGCCACUUCAUGGGGCUUUUAUUAUGUGAGAAUGUGGAUUAUAACCUCCAAUGGAACGUUAUUUUACAGUAGGGCGUGGAUAAUCUCUAUUUAGGGAGUUGGAACAUUUAGAACCCAUAUAUCUGUCAUGCUGCAGGCAUGCCACAGAUUAAUACAUACAUGUCAAUUAAUUUCUGGGACUUUAACCCAUACUAUUUGCUACGCAUUAGGCGUGCACAAUAUCAAUAUUGACAUGUCAAAGGAUUGUCCUUUCGGGACUUCAAUCAACAUCAUUUGCUACGCAACAGGCGUGCAUCAUAUUGAUCACUGCUAUACCCAUGUUCUGUUCUUAUGGGACUUUAAUCUGUGCAAUGUAUUAUCAAUGUAUCCAACUUGCAAUCUGUAAAAUUUGCAUUAAUAAUUCAUGGAUACAUACAAGCCAUUCUUUUAGAACAGACUUAUCUCCCCAUUUGGUUACCUUUCAAGAUAAAAUAUCAAAUAAGUAUAUAAGCAUAUAAUAACACAAAUAUUGCUUACAUCCUUAGGUGGGAGAAACUUUUCUUAAGUAUCAUUCAAGCUCGUAUCGGCCCAAUAAAUAUAAUGUAGCGCUUGAUGAUCUAGUUAUAUCCUGCAAGAGCAAAAUCACAACUCUUUUCUCUGUCAAAAACAAAUAACUCUCAGGGUUAGGAUCACUCCAUGGAUUCUUUCUUCAGAUGUUCAUUCUAAAGAAAUAAAAUCUCUUAUGAACAGAGAGUUACAAAAAGAGAAAAAAUGCAAAAAAAUUGUGAUAUUGAUUGCAAGAGAAGGUAAGCAAUCAGGGAAGGAAGCUGGUGGGAGCAGACAACAAGCUCAGCAAUCAAGGAAGGAAGCUGGUGGGAGCAAACAACAAGCUCUCAUUUCUUCUAGUCUAGAAGAACUUCCGGAGAUUAGAGCAUAAGGUUGCCUUCACAGUUCCCUGAUGUGGCGAAAACGUGAUCAAGGAUAGUCUCGCUUCCUGAAUGGAUGAUCAGAGAUAGUCUUGCUUCUCGGGCAUGUUAAGUGCUCACUGAUAAGAAAAACAAGUAGAUAUCGCAUCACUAGGUAUGGAGAAAACUGGAUGUCUUCUGCAAAGAAAAUUUCGUUAGUAACAUAUUUAUACACAAAUAAGAGGAAUAGGUAGAACCGGUGAAUUUCAAAUUAACCAUAAGAAAAUUGCGAGAUUCUCGGGGUGCUUUUGAAAAAAUAGCUCUGUGAAAUCCGCAAAGCAAGAUCGGCUUUUGACGAAAAUAAUACUUUGAAAACGCCGAAAGUGCCGACAAACAUUAAUGGAGGCCACGUGAAGUUUUGGAAAAAGAGAAUAUGGGGAUCCGAAAAGAUAUUGGGAUCCUGAAAAACUGUAGCCAUAUUUCCUCCUAUAGAUAUUGCCUUUGCAAAACUUGAUUGGAGCAACUGCGUUUCAACUUAACUUCCUUCAUUUUCUGAAACUUUAGUUUUCUUAAGACUUUCUUCGAAACCUUCUUAAAAAUGGCUUCCUCUUCUUCCUGCCCAAAUUAUUUCAAUUUAAAUGAUGCUCCCACAACAAAUAGUGACGCCAAAGUUUGGCGUCCAUCCUUUGUAUCCCAAAAUCGUCAUCUCACAGUUAAUGAUUCUGUGAUGAUGAAUGAUGCUACUGCUGUCAUAGUAGCUAGGAAUUUCAUUACUCCAAUGGAUGAAAUGCUGUUAACAGGGAGAUCUGAGGAAGAGGCUAUUGAUGACUCAAUGGCGUUUAGCAUUCAGAGUGCUGCUUCUGUUUCUAACAUGGCUGAUCGUUUGCGUGCCAGAGCAAACGAGGUUGAGAGGUUAACAACUGAAAAUUCGUCUCUCCAAAGAAUGCUUCAUGAGUCUCAACAGGAGGUUGAGAAACUUAAAGGAGAGAAUAAUGCCUUGUUGAAACUGGUGAGUUCGUACUCUGUUGAUACACUGAGAAGGCUAGACAUGCUGCAGGUCUCCAAUGAAAGAAUUUUGGGAGACCACGAGAGGCUCAUGGCUAAGCUUAAGAGGCGUCGUCCUCUUCCUUCAGAGGCUUCCAGAACAUAAUGUAAUUUUAUAGAUUUUACAGGGCCUGCACCUUCAUGGCAGGUGGAAAAAAUCUAUCUGUUGUAUGUUCCUGUAAUAAUAAUUGCGCACAUUCUUAAACUUGCACCUGUGGUUUUUACGUCUUUUCAAAAUGACGGUUUGGAACCUUGUGCCUUAUAAGUUCAAAUAACCACAUUGACUCUCCCAAAUUUCAUAUUUCAACGUAUGGGAGUUUUGGCCUGGGCUAAACACAAACUCAGAAUUUAUUCGCCCUUUUCAAAUGGACAUGAAAUAUGAAUUGAGUAAAAGCCACGAUAAUAUCGCAAUAUAGUAGUGAAGAGCAUUAACUACUACACACCCACAAACUCAAGUUCGGGAUCUCUCAUACAUUUGGAUCCAUGGGCUUCUGGCCCAGAUAUAACAAAAUAUGUGGGGGGGCCUCAAUUCAUCAUUUGAGGUUUAUACUGAUAUUAUCCAUUUCACAGUGUAUUCUUAACAACCGAAAUUCACAAAAUAUAUUUCUUCCUUGAGGUGUCGAUUAUAACAUAAUCGAACUUUAUUAAAUUCAUCAUUUUCUUAUGCCAAAGAAAUAUGUGGCGUACCACAAUCUGUAAUAAUACCUCAAGGGUUGUUCAUUUAACUGUUGGAGCUUUAGGUUCUUAACACUGUUAGAUUUUGAACUUCAGGCCAAAAUCACAUAUUCUCAUGGUAUGGACAUUCAAUCCCCUUAGAUUUUGAACUUCGGGCCAAAAUCACAUAUUCUCAUGGUAUGGACAUUUUACAAUUUUUUGUACAUAUUUCUGGACUUCAAGCCCUUACAUAAUUGUCCAUAUUUUGAGGAACUUCUGGCAUCUCAUUUAAUUGAUCAUCCAUGAGUUUAAGAAACUGCAGGUUCCCUUUUGAAUAUAGUGACGGUUUACCCAAAAUGGUUAAUAUUUAUGCAUACGUCACUAUUCAUGUAUACGGUACUAUUCAUCAAAUCAUGAAUACGUAUCUAUUCAUGUGUACAGUACAUUUGCCAGUACAGUUAUUAUUCAUGUGUACGGCACUUUUAACCAAUACGGUACUGUUACAUCAUCAAGGAACUCUAGGUCCUUAUUUACAUGUCAAGGAUCAAGGAUCUUCAAGUCCGAUCUCUUGUUUACAAGUAUAGUACCGGAGAGACUGCCAGCUCUCAUAUCAAUAUCAUUAUCAAGGAUCUUCAAGUCCUAAUGUAAUUGUAUGAUGAGGAUCAAGAAACUUCCGGUCCUGAUCUGCAUACUGUAAAAAACUCAUCAUACAGAACAAUUAAUCCAUAAAAUAAAUUGUUGGUAAAUAAAUUACUAGUAUGGACGAUAAACUCGCACCAUACUUUAAAUAAAUGUAAAUAUGCGGUAAAAUAAAUUCAUAAAUUAAAUUGCUUGUUGUAUGGACGUUAAUCCCGCACCAUACCUUAAAUAAAAUUAAAUGUGUGGUAAAGUAAAUUCAUAAAGUAUGAGGGUUAAUUCCACAUCAUACUUUAAGUAAAAGUAAAUUUGCGAUAAAGUAAACGUGCUUGUAUGGGCACUAAUUCUGCUCCAUACAUUUAAAUAAAAGUAAAGGCGUGGACGAUAAACCCGCACCACCCUUUUAAAUAGAUAAUGUUGUAUGGGUAAUAAACCUACACCAUACAGUAAAUAAUGUACAGUAAAGUAAUUUCAUAAAGUAUGAGGGUUAAUUCCACAUCAUACUUUAAGUAAAAGUAAAUUUGCGAUAAAGUAAACGUGCUUGUAUGGGCACUAAUUCUGCUCCAUACAUUUAAAUAAAAGUAAAGACAAUUAUUUGUGGAUUCAUAUCAACACCACAAUCAAAUAAUAUAGUAGUUAAUGCUCUUCACUACUAUAUUGCGAUAUUAUCGUAGCUUUUACUCAAUUCAUAUUUCAUGUCCAUUUGAAAAGGGCAAAUAAAUUCUGAGUUUGUGUUUAGCCCAGGCCAAAAGUUCCAUACGUUGAAAUAUGAAAUUUGGGAGAGUCGAUGUGGUUAUUUGAAUCUAUAAGGCACAAGGUUCCAAACCGUCAUUUUGAAAAGACGUAAAAACCACAGGUGCAAGUUUAAGAAUGUGCGCAAUUAUUAUAACAGGAACAUACAACAGACAGAUCAAAAUGGAAGAGAACAAACAUUCAAUAGAGAUCAGUUCCUAUACUUCCUCUAUAUCUCAAUUCCCUCUCUCCAAUUCCUCUUGAUUUAUAACACGUUAUCAGCACGAUUAUCUCUAAAAUACCAGCUGGGAAAUUCUUCAAAGCUUCCAUCGUUUUCUUCCGCAAAUGAAGACCUUGCUGUCUCAGACUCUCGUCCAACCGAGCCCACACCUUCUCAGCCAUUUGCCAUUGGCCACCACCCUCACUAAAUUUUAAACAAUACUUGGUCUUUAUUCCAAAGUUGCUCAACUUUGCUUCCACACAUUCGAAGCUCAACAAGAUUUUCUGGAGAAAAUUUUGAUGGCAAAGACUUCAAAGGAUAUUCCUCCCAGCAAAGAUAGCCAAUAGAAUUGGGAAGAGGAACUUUUAAUUUGCAGUACUUUCCAAAGCUAGAAUCAACAUUGAGUAAUCUUACAUCUUUUUGAAAUCUGCAUGAUCCAAGCGUAGUUGUCCACUCUUAGAGCUGUUAAAGAAUAUUGCUUGAACCGUUUCAGUCCCCUGACAAUCAAAAGCACUCCAGGCCUUCUUCAAAGGCCAUCGCUCAGACCAUCCUCACCUAGGACCUGGCCGACGAGCUCGUCCUCAUCAACGCCAAACCAGAGACUAGAUAGCACGACGUGGAUGAACACGGAGAUUCUGGUGACGUGCAUCAAAAACUUCAGGCGAAACCGGGGACCCGUUUCGGGGAUUUUGAAAGGUUAUGUGGGUCUGAGCACCGUCGCCACCGACCUCGUCGAGAUCCAGAUCAACUCGUCCGUGCUUAACUACGAGUUCAUAACCCACAGACUCGGCCUCAUCCCAUUGACAUCCGACCAGCAAAUAGGUUCUUGGGGCUGUUGUCAGAUAUGGAGGUUUCAAACAAUAUUAAUUCUUCUCAGAGCAAAAGCUUUGGGGGCCUUGAAACUGCUGUGAGGUUAUAAAUAUUUUUAAAAAAAAAAAAAAAAAAAAACCAGAUAUGCUUUCAAACGAGGAGCCAAGUUGAUAUCCUUGAUGAUGGAUAUCGAUGGAGGAAGUAUGGUCAAAAAGCAGUGAAGAAACAUUUUUCUAAAAUGGAGGUAAGCCACUAAAAGUUGUUGACAGGUCGGUGUUGAUUUGAUGCAAGGCACUGGAGAUCGAGCCUAGUGGGAUACAGCAAGAUUGAUCAGCCUAGUGGAAAGAAGAAAAGCCAACGUGACAUAUCUAGCUUUCCACUAAUAUAUCAGUAUAAUAAUAUUAUACUAUUUGAUCGUGGUGUUGAUAAGAACCCACCAAUAAUUGCCUUUACUUUAUCGCAAAUUACUUUACUGCACAUUAUUUACUGUAUGGUGUAGGUUUAUUACCCAUACAACAGUAUUUAUUUAAAAGGGUGGUGUGGGUUUAUCGUCCACGCCUUUACUUUUAUUUAAAAGUAUGGAGCAGAAUUAGUGGCCAUACAAGCACAUUUACUCUUACUUAAAGUAUGAUGUGGAAUUAACCCUCAUACUUUAUGAAUUUACUUUACCGUACAUUUACUUUUAUUAAAAGUAUGAUGUGGAAGAUGUGGAAUUAACCCUCAUACUUUAUGAAUUUACUUUACUGCACAUUUACUUUUAUUAAAAGUAUGAUAUGGAAUUAACCCUCAUACUUUAUAUUUCCUUUUAUUUAAAGUAUGGUGCGGAAUUAACGUCCAUACAGCAAGCAAUUUAAUUUAUGAAUUUAUUUUACCGCACAUUUACAUUUAUUUAAAAGGGUGGUGCGGGUUUAUCGCCCACGCCUUUACUUUUAUUUAAAUGUAUGGAGCAGAAUUAGUGCCCAUACAAGCACGUUUACUUUACCAAUUUAUUUUACCGCACAUUUACAUUUAUUUAAAGUAUGGUGCGGGUUUAUCGUCCAUACCAGUAAUUUAUUUACCAGUAAUUUAUUUUAUGGAUUAAAUGUGCUGUAUGAUGAGUUUUUACAGUAUGCAGAUCAGGACCAGAAGUUCCUUGAUCCUCAUCAUACAAUUAUAUCAGGACUUGAAGAUCCUUGAUGAUGAUGUUAAUAUGAGAGCUGGCAGUCUCUCCGGUACUAUAUUUGUAAACAUGUGAUUGGACUUGAGGGUCCUUGAUCCCUGACAUGUAAAUAAGGACCUGGGGUUCCUUAAUGAUGUAACAGUACCGUAUUGUUUCAUAAUGCCGUACACAUGGAUGAUAACUGUACUGGAAAAUGUACUGUCCACAUGAAUAGAUACGUAUUCAUGACUUGAUGAAUAGUACCGGAUAUAUGAAUAGUGACGUAUACAUAAAUAUUAACCAUUUUGGGUAAACCAUCACUAUAUUCAAAAAGGGAACCUGCAGUUCCUUAAACUCAUGAAUGAGCAAUUAAAUGAGAUGCCAGAAGUUCCUCAAGAUAUGGACAAUUAUGUAAGGACUUAAAGUCCAGAAAAAUGUACAGAAAAUUGUAAAAAUGUCCAUACCAUGAGAAUAUGUGAUUUUGGCCUGAAGUUCAAAAUCUAACAGUGUUGAGAACCUAAAGUUCCAACAGUUAAAUGGACAAUCCUUUAGGUAUUAUUGCAAAUUGUGGUACACCACAUAUUUCUUUAGCAUAAGAAAACGAUGAAUUGAGGCUUCCCACAUAUUUUGUUAUAUCUGGGCCGGAAGCACAUGGAUUCAAAUAUAUGAGAAAUUCUGUCAGUGUAAACACUACAAAGAGAAAUAUAAUCCCACUCCCAAUAUUACAGUGGUACUUCUCAUCAACUGAUUAUUCUAGUUUUAUAACACGUUGUAAAAUAACUGGGAUAUGUGCGAAUAUUGAGCUGCACGUAAAGUAGAUGAGACACAGUAUUUAACGAGGUUCGGCUAUGCCUACGUCCCCGGAGAGCAGCAGUAGUAACUUUUCCACUAUGUAAAAUAAUAGGGCUACAACUUUAGUGUUUACAAUAUGUAUGGCUCACUCAAUUUUCUCUCUUGGAGAAUUUCUCUCUUGCUCUCUUUCCUCUCAACUCACUCACCCUCUUUCUUCCUUCUCUUCCUUUUCUCUCAUUUCAUCUUCUCAUUACAAGCAAAUAUAAUGCCUAUUUAUAGGCAAAGCAAAUGGCUUGGUUUGGUGGGUGUGUGAUUUGGUUUGGUAGGUGUGUGGUUUGAUUUGGUGGGUGUGUGGUUUGAAUGUUAGAGCAUGUGGGCUUCACCCAUUCUUCUUUACAACACUUUUUUCCUUUUUUGUCGAAAGCAUCAAGUAAUUUAAUGUUUAAUUAGAAGGGAGAUAAGACGAAAAUUGUAAACGAGCUCCACAGCCGCCAGGAGGCUAUUCAUAUUCAAACAAGCACCGCCUCCCUAGUGUUCAAGUUCAAUUGUUUUACUUCUGCCAUGUUAGAGCAUCUCCACCCCAAAGGGCUAAAGCAAAGGCAAGGACCAGAUAAGAGUUGUCAGCUUUGUUAUUUGUAGUUCUACCCUAAAGGGCUAAGGUUAAGGCUAAGGCAAUUACUAUUCAUUAAACUUUAUUUCCUAUUUUUUUGUACUUUAAACCAUUAAUUUUGAUAAUCUUUUGUACUUAAAUUUUUGGAUAAGAUUUUUAGUUGCCACGUGUCUUAUUACAGAUAAACUUUUUUGGAUAUUCAUUAAAAAAAAUUAUAAUCUCAUAUUUCAGAUAAAAUUUUCACCAUUUAAAAUUGUGCCACAUGUCCCAUGUCAGAUAAGAUUUUCAGAUUUUUAAAAAAAUAAUUAUGAUCUCAUAUUUCAGAUAAGAUUUUCAGAUUUUUAAAAAAAUAAUUAUGAUCUCAUAUUUCAGAUAAGAUUUUCACCCCCUAAAAUUGUACCACGUGUCCCAUAUCAGAUAAGAUUUUCAGAUAUUUAAAAAAAAUUAUAAUCUCAUAUUUCAGAUAAGAUUUUCACCCUCUAAAAUUGUGUCAUGUGUCAUCUCUAUCUUCUGAAUCCCCUAUAAAACUACACCAUCAACUCAUACCUCUCACACCAUCUCUUAUCUGUUCCUUCAUUUCUCAGAUUUUACAAAACGCAUUCUACUCUCAAUGUCAAACUUGAGGAAGGUGUUGGACAGGCAACAGAAAGAAAAGGAAGAAAUCUAGCGCAGACGUGCUGAUGAAGAUUGGGAGGCCGAUGAAGAAGAGGAAGAAAUGCUUGCAGCAGCGGUGUGUAUGCUUAAUCAAUCAAGGCAACACCGCCAUCGUCGUGCCCCGAAUGUGGACAAACAUAGGGAGUCUCGGGGUAAGAAUCUCUUGGAAGAUUACUUUAUCCCAAAUUCGUUAUAUCUUGUUUAUAAGUUUCGAGAAAGAUAUAAAAUGCAGCCACAUUUGUUCCAAAAAAUCAUAUAUGAUAUUUGUAAUUACGACACAUACUUCAUUCAAAAGUACGAUGCUGUUGGAGUUUUGGGUCUUCUCCCGGAGUGAAAACUUACAGCUGCUUUGCGGAUGCUUGCUUAUGGGGCAUCUGCAGAGCAGGUGGAUGAGAUUGCAAAGAUGGGAAAAUCAACUAUUCUAGAGUGCUUGGUGAGAUUCUGUUAUGCGGUGAAAAAUUGGUACACGAGGGAGUACCUUUGCAAACCCACGCCGAAGGACCUGCAAAGGCUUCUACAAAAAGCUGAGGCUCGAGGUUUCCCAGGAAUGAUUGGAAGCAUCGAUUGCAUGCACUGGUAGUGGAAUAAUUGUCCUACUACUUGGCAAGGAGACUAUAGGAAUCGAAAGGGCCAAAAAAGUAUAAUUUUGGAGGCCUUAGCUUCAUUCGACUGUUGGGUUUGGCAUGCCUUCUUCGGGGUUGCCGGAUCUCAGAAUGAACUCAAUGUCCUUGGUCAAUCCCCAGUGUUCGACGAGGUAUUGCGAGGUCAUUCCCCCAAAUCACGUACCAAAUCAACAAUACCUUAUACUCUGGUGCGUACUACCUUGCCGACGGAAUUUAUCUUAGGUGGACGACAUUCGUGAAAACAAUUCCAAAUCUCCAAUCUGAGAAGGAAAAAAGCUUUGCUGCCUUUCAAUAAGGUUACAGGAAAGACGUGGAAAGGUGUUUCGGUAUCUUGCAAGCUCGUUGGGCAAUUAUUAGGGGUGCUGCGGAGCAUUAUGAUGACUUGCAUCAUCCUCCACAACAUGAUUGUGGAGGAUGAUUAUGAUGCUCCAGAGGUGUUUGAACCUGAUCCCAUGAACACGACGUUGACAAGAAUAUAUGAAAGGUCGAUGGGACCAAAUGGACAACCAAUGGAGCCCGAACCAUUACUUCGGGAUGGUCGAUACAACAACCCCAUGAUUGAUCGUUAUCAAGAAAUGCAAUCUUCAUAUGUUCACGAGAGAUGUCAACUUGACUUCAUCGAGCACUUGUGGGAGAUGAAAGGCAAUCACAGUGGUUGAGGUCAAUUAGUGCUUUGUUUGGAAUUAUGCUUUGUUUUUAAUUAUGCUUUAUUUUGUGUGUGGUGUUUUUUGGAAUUAUGCUUUUUUAUUAUUAUUAUGCUUUUAAGUAUGAUUUGUUUUGUUUGUUGUUUGCAAUAAAUUAAGGUUUGUUUUUAAUUAAUCUUUGUUUUGAUGCUCAAAUAUUUUUAAUAAAUAGUCAUAUUAUUUAAUGCUUUCUUUAUUGAAUAAAAAGGAAACAAUACAACAAAUUAAUACAUAUGGUAAAGGUGUUUCAAUACAACCUAAUGGUUUUCAUCAUUUAACCAAUCUAUAUGGCUGGGUCCGUCGUCAUGGAAAAGUUUUCUUCUCAUCACAUCCCUUCGUCUUAACUUCUAAUAGGCCUUUGUUUCAGGAGACAUAAGGCUCGUAUCCAUGGCCAUGAUUUUCAUCUCUCUAUCAUCCAUGUCUUUUUCUUAUGCAUGCUGCUGUUGAAUUGCAAAUGCUUCCUGUGGUGCCAUGUCCGCUUCAUCUCUUUUCAAGUCUCUCUCAAUUCUUAGUGCUGUGUUCUUAGCUAUUUGCUCCAAUAAUUGCACACAUUCAUUGUUCGAAGUGCUCCCUCUCUUGGCCUUCGUCGCCUUUCUCCCAAUAGGUCUCUGUGAACGUGGGAGUCGUGACUCCGUUUCCAUUGGGGGGGUCCAAUGGCGAAUUGUGGAGCGGCGUCUCAUUCAACACAACUGGCGGACCUGUGGGAAUAAUGUUGAAUCUCGAACAAUCCUUCACAACUUCCCAACAUUGGAAAUGCAAGAAACUUUUUUUGUCUUGCCCUAUGGCAUUGAACCAAAGUUGUGCUGGUAUGAUCUAUUAAAAAUAAAUAAUUAGAAGUGCAAGAAAAGAAAAAAAAGAUUAUGCAAGAAAAUAUAAACAAUUUUGAAAUGCAAGAAUAAAAUUGAUUAUGCAAGAAAAUAUAGACAAAUUGGAAAUGCAAAAAGCAAAAAAAAAUUAUGCAAGAAAAAGAAAUAAAUAUGCAAUAAAUAAAAAAGUUUAAAAUGGCAAUUAUAAAUAUUUCACCUCAUCGGAUAGAUUUUGACCGCUUCGAAUGUUCUUCCUUGCUUUUGUCAAGGCAUUUCUCCGUUUUCCUAACUCUUUAUUCAGAAUUUUCCAUCUACUAGACAAGGCCAUUUUGAUCCGAAUGGAACCUGAUUUUUGACAAAAUUCUCCAUGAAUUUUGCUCAACAUAUGAGGGAACUUCAUCUUAUUGCCUGAGACAAGGCAAUGACUAACGAUCACUCAAGACCGACACAACGCAAUAUCUUCCUAAGUUGUCCAUGCGCCUCCAGCUUUGACAGAAGAUGCCAUUUAUUUUUUGAUACAAAUGGAAAGUACUAGAAAAAUGUGAGUGGAGAGUAAAAAAUAUUGGAAGGAGAAGAGUUUGUAUGAAGAAUCGGUGUGGAAAGUGAAUAAUGUGAGUGGAGAGUAAAAAAUAUUGGAAGGAGAAGAAAUUGUAUGAAGAUUUGGUGUGGAAAGUGAAUAAUGUGAGUGGAGAGUAAAAAAUAUUGGAAGGAGAAGAGUUUGUAUGAAGAAUUGGUGUGAAAAGUGAAUAAUGUGAGUGGAGAGUAAAAAAUAUUGGAAGGAGAAGAAAUUGUAUGAAGAUUUGGUGUGGAAAGUGAAUAAGAUUGUUAGGUAUUUAUAGGGAAAAAAUUCAGAAUUUUUUGGUAUUUUUAAAAAAAAAAUUCAGAAUUUUUUCGAAUUUUUUUAGCCAAAAAAACGAGGAUUGUCGGAUUUCUGUAAAAAAACCGAUCGAAGCAUCUGGGUUCAGACACGUGGCGCAUGCCCGUUGGAUUCUGUCAGGGAUGACAUCAGCGCUGUGCUGACGUCACCGCCCUCUGGCUGAAGCCCAGGCAAAACCUGCCCUUGGGCUUGCCCGAGCUGGUGGGAGCCAGGGCUUGCCAGGGCCUCUUCUCUCGCGCUGGAGCCGUUUUGGGCUUGCUCAAGGGGCCUCCUGCCGGUUUGCAUGCAUUGCUGGAGCUGCUCUUAGAGUAUGGACGUCUCAGCAAAGGUCAACUAUUUUAUACUAAAGAAUGGUUUAGGUGUAGACAAAACUGAGUGGGGAUAGUGCCUUCACUGGCUUACAAGAUCCACCACUGCUUGUAGGUAAAAAUCCUCUCUUUUUUUUGGGUCAAAAGUACCCUAAGUUCCCUUCAAAACUUUUCUUAACAGUACGGAGGACUUGAAUUUGGCCCACAACUUGGCCAUCAUGAAGGUAUUGGACCUUUAGACAUGCGCUUCAAGCGCAAGCCUAGUUUUUCUAAGUUUUCAUUUUGCAUCGCUAUUGAUUGGGAACUGCCAUCUAAGGUGGUUUCCCGGUGUAUAUCUGAUUGUUUUCUGCCGUUUGUUGUGGUUUUGGGCUUCGUUUCUCCUUGAAGGAAGGCUCGCCUAGAGUUUUUCUUAGGAUUACAGAUUACCCAAGCGGAGUCGCGCUGCGGAUGUUGGGGAUGCGGAGAGUGAGAUGAUGUAUGCGUCCAAUAUGGCUGCGCUGCCAUCUACGGACACAGUGCUACCCAAAUCGGCUUCUGGUUCUGAGAGCUUUAGGGAUAAGCACAUGAAUAAGGUAAAUUUGGUUCGAAAUGUUGGAAUUGAUGUUAAUUCUGUAGAGGCAGAAUAUGAGGGUUUGAAUGACGAUGAGGAUGUGAUUGUUUCUCGUGGAGAUCGUGGGCCGUUUAUCCAGUUUUUGGAUUGCGCCAUUGAUCGUCUUAGCAAACCUUGGUAGAAUGCACUUAUUAUCAGGCUCCUUGGGAGAUCACAUACCUACAACUAUCUCCAUGCUCGACUGCAACAAAAGUGGAGCCUAAAUAGAGGGUGGAAACUGGUUGAUUUGGUCAAUGAUUACUUUGUGGUUCGUUUUGAGCUUGAGGAGGAUCUCAAUUUUGUUUUGAUUGGGGGACCAUGGAUCAUUGCUGGUCAGUAUUUGGUUAUGAAAAAAUGGAGGCCUGAGUUUUGUCCUGCAAUUGAGAAGAUCAAGCAAGGUUGGAUCAACUCAACGACACCUUCCGACAGAUUCUUAUUAGUGAAGAUGACAAAAGAAUGACUUUUUACACUGGCCGCUUGGAUUCGUGUUUCUACUAUUCAAUUGGAGUGUUUCGAUGUGUGGACUUUGAAAAGAAUUUGGAAUUUUUUGGGGAAGUUGUUGAAGAUUGAUGCUCUCACUACUUCUCUGAAUCAGGGGAAAUUUGCACGACUUUGUGUAAAGUUGGAUUUGUCACGGCCUCUUGAGGCAUUUAUUCAAAUUAAUAAUGUUUGGUACAAUGUGGAGUAUGAAGGCCUUCCGGAUACUUGUUAUAUGUGUGGUCGAUAUGGUCACAAAAGGGAACACUGUGAUGUGCAAGAUGUUGCCCCUGUGGAGAAGACUGGUGUGAAGAACGUAUUUUAAACGGAUAAAAGAAGAUAUUUAUCAUUUGGAUAAACUUGGACAAUAUUAUUUUUUUAAGAUAUUUAUCUUUUGGAUAAACUUGAAUGAUCUUAUCUUGUUAAGAUAUUUAUCUUUUGGAUAAAUUUGGAUGCUAUUAUCCUUUUAAUAUUGAAGUUUAUCAUAUCCCUAUAACCACUAUAAAUAGGAGCAUAACCUUAUAGUUUCAAAACAUGAGAAAUUAAAGAGAAAUUUAGAGAGAAGAAGAAUUGUUAAGAAAAAGAGUGGGAGACUGAGUUUGUGGAUGCGGUGGAAAAUUGGAAAAACACCUUACAUUUCUAGCAAAAGCUUUGGUGUCAAGGCAAGGAUUUCUUGGGGAGCCUUUUACAAAGAUUGAUUUAAUUAAAUUUCGUGAGCAUUAUAUUAUGCAUGGCAUUACAGUUUGGUUAACAUUCCUUGUUAUGGGUGUUUACUUUUUACUAAUUAUGUGAUCAAUAUUGGUGUGAUUAUAUUUUGAUACAUGAGAUAAAUGAAAGAUAGAAUUAUAUCAUGUCAUGGAAAUUAGUUGGAGUUGUUGGUUGGAGAAAAUAAUGAUGGAAAAUAGGGUAAUGGAAAUAGUCUUUUAUGUAUUUUAGUCUAACUCUUGGAAGGUACUAAGUCUCAGGGAUCCCACAGUGCACAUAGUUUUAUUGGGCGAUUCGGGACUGACGACAGAGAGUUAGACAAGAUUACUAACAAAAGGGGAAUUGUGGGAUGAUUGAGAUGGGUGUUAGUCCAUAUAAAUGGGCAUUCGGGACCAAGUGGUAUAAGCAUGGUAUGGGACGUGCAGGUCUGCUUGUCCAGUUAUUUGAAUUAACAAGAAUAGAUGAAGAGCAUUGAUAAGUCUAUAUUAUAUAUAUAUAUAUAUUUUAUGCCUCCUUUGCUUAUUUAUUUAUUAAUUUCUUGGAUUAAAUUGGUUGUUUUUAAUUGCUUUUGUGAGAUUUGUGAAGGAAUUGUGAAAUAGGAGAAAGUGUGCUAAAAAAGGCAAGAAGAUGAAGAUCAAUUAAAAAGAAGCCAAGUCAUUCUUUUUGUUGCAAGGAAUGUUGUCAAAUUUCCUAGUUCAAGAUGGUGCAAGUCUUAUCAAGUCAAACAAGGAGAAAUAAAAAAGACCUUAUUUUAGAAGGAAUCCUAUUUUUAUAACAAUUGUAAUUAUUCCUUAGGUAGGAUUUCUAGGAGUUUUAUAAAUAGGGAGUCUAGGUCAUUGUUGAAAGGAUCCAUUACCCAUCAUCAAUCCUCCAUCAUCUACCCUAAAAUUCCUACACAUUCAUAAGCAUAGCCGAAAUACUCAAAAGAGAGAGAGAGUGUGUUUUAGAGAGACAAAGAAGACAACCUGGAGCUAAAGUUGCUGUCGUGCAGAGAUCAAAUCUUCAAUUGGUUACUUCUUUCCUAUGAUAUUAUUUGUCAUGGUUUUUAUUAAAGUUGUCAUGAACUAAUUUCUUCUUGCUAGGGCUACAAUGUAGCCUAGCCAUGAAUACUCAAUUACUUUAGUCAAUGUUAAUUCUAAGUAUUUUUCCAUGUUGAGUAUCUAUUACCAUGCUUAAUGCUUUGAAUAUUUGGCCAACAUUUAAUUGUUUUGAUGCUAAAUUGACGAUAGGAAUAUCCAAUUUGGGGUUGCUUCUUGUAAUAGAUGCCAUGAGUUACAUGAUUAGACAGGGAUGUUUGUCAUGACUUAUGUGGUUGUUUUGUAGGUUUUCCAAGGAAUUUAAUGGGUUCUUAUUAUCUUAAUUCCAUUACUAGGGAUAGAGUGGGUUGGUAAUAAGAAUACUUUUGGUAUAACCAGGGAUGGAGUAUCGAAUAAAGUAGGGAAAAUCAACUGUUAACAUAGAGAAUAAUUAGGAUUAACAUGCUAAGGGAAUUGGGUAGAAUUGGCUAUGGUGAAAUCAGAAGCUCUAGUGCUCUCAUAACUUGAAUCUCACUACUUUAUUUUUCUACGCUUGUUUUUAUUCAUUGUUUUAGUUAAUUAAUCAAUCAAAUCUCAUCAUCAAUUGUUCAAAUAAAGUCUUGGGUUAAUCACAAUCGGUACUUGGUAAAUUAAAUCACUCUUCGUGGAACGACACUUCACUCAUCACUAUAUUACUUGUGCGAAUUGUGCGCUUGCAAUAAAUAUCUCAACAAGUUUUUGGCGCCGUUGCCAGGGACUGUUUUAAAUUUUCUUAAUAUCGAUAUAGAUUGAUUUGGAUUUUAAGUUGAAUUUUUUUUUGUUUUUUUAGGUACUUCACCUAGUGCAUGAGUUUUGGGAGACAUUCGCAGAGUCUUGUGCUUGUACCAUUAGAUCCGGAGAUCGAGCGAACACUUCACAAGCUUAACAAACUCAAAAGGGGGAAGGACGCAAUAUUGAAAAGCCAUCACCUAUGGCUGAGGAAGCAAAACCAGUAAGGGACUAUGAUGUCUCAUCUGUAGUGGCAUCACCAUCGAGCAUUCGUCGUCCAAACAUUGAUGCCAAUAAUUUUGAAAUCAGACCAGCCAUAAUUUCAAUGAUUCAGCAAUCCUCCAUCUUUUGUGGUUUACCUCAAGAAGACCUUAAUAGCCAUACCUCUAAUUUCUUGGAGAUAUGUGACACAUUUAAGUGCAAUGGAGCUACCAAUGAUGCUGUUCACUUAAGGCUUUUUCCUUUCUCAUUAAAGGAAAAGGCAAAGUCAUGGUUGAAUUCUCAACCACCUAAUUCGAUUACUACAUGGGACGACUUGGCCAAGAAAUUUUUAGCUAAAUUCUUUCCUCCUGCAAAGACUGCGAAACUCAGGAAUGACAUCAUAUCAUUUGCUCAGAAUGACAUGGAACCUUUUUAUAAAGCAUGGGACAGAUACAAGGAUAUGCUAAGGAAGUGCCCACAUCAUGCCCUACCUACUUGGAUGCAAGUUCAAGCGUUCUACAAUGGUUUGAACAAUACAAGCAAAACAACAAUUGAUGUUGCAGCCAGAGGAGUUUUGAUGGGAAAAACAGAAAGUGAAGCGUAUAACUUGCUGGAAGAGAUGGCGUCAAAUAACUAUCAAUGGCCUAGUGAGAGAUCAACACCAAAGAAAGCUGGAAUUCAUGAGAUUGACGCCAUAUCUGCAUUAACUGCGCAAAUUUCUACUCUGUCUAAACAACUUGGUACUUUAAAUGUUAAUGCUAUUCAGUCUACUAAUUUAAGUUGUGAAUUUUGUGCAGGACCUCAUCAUGGCAAUGAGUGUGGAGCUAGUCCCUUCACAUCACCAUCUGAACAAGUGAACCAACACUACUACAAAAAGUGAAAAAGACGACCAGAAAACAACGACGGUCUAAGUGAAAACCAUCGUGGUUUAUAAAAAGACGACGGUUCUAAAAACACCGUCGUGUAAUACAACCUUAGACAACUAAAAAAUGGAGUUUCAAAUGGCUGUUCAAAAACAACGACGUACAUAAUUAAACAACCGACGUCUAUUUGAAACAGAUUUCCGCAGUGUAAAAUCAAUGCCAACAAAGAACGGCAGAAGUUAUGAAUCGACCGACGUAGAAAGUAAAGACGACGAUUUCAAUAAAAACUGCCGUUUUUACUCAUAAAAUAACACGACGAGGUUUUCGUAUAAGACGCCGUAUAAUUACAAACAAAUCCACGGCUUUAAAAUACAAAAUAUCGCCGUAUUAAAUUAAUUUACAACGACGGAAAAUAUAAAUAUAUCGACGUCAUUCUCGUAUAGUUCUACGACGUUAUCUUUAAAUCGUACAAUAAAAUUUAUCGUCGUAUUUAUUCAUUUUAUACGUCGUACCUUUAAUUUUAACGGUCGUCUUAAUAAGAAUUUUUGUUAACAAUUUUUUUCUUUGAUUUUCUUAUCCUACGUCGGUAGAUCUACUUAAUGACAAGAAUUGAAAUAACCACGACGGUUUAUAUAGAACACCGCCGACAUAAUCAGAUUUGUCUGAGAUCCCAAGGGUUACGAAAUCUUACCAGAUGGAACUCUGUUCCACAUCAUAAUCUUAACAGAUGACACAGAUUUGCAAAUAUUGCGUCGUGUUAGUUUACAAAUUCUAGAACAUUAAUUUCCCUCAUUUUAAAUUUCCUCGGGAAAGAAAAAUCUAUUUAUCACGCUUUGGAAUUGAAAACUAAAACUGAAAGAAUACGGGAAAAAAAACUCUAUUUAUAAUUUAAAAAUAAAAUCCACGUCGGUUGUAGUACACUUAACGACGUUUAACAAAAUAAUCUACGUCGGUAAUUAUAAAUCUACCGCCAUCUUAACUUAAUAUAGACGACGAGAAAAGACGACGGUAGAACAGAAAACCGCCGUUGUUUCAGUUUCUUUAACAUAUCUUUCUGCAGGACUUGUAUAGUUCAAAGCAUUGACAAUGUCUUCAUCAUAUCUCCCAGAAACUACUGAUUCAAUUGCUCAUGCUUUAGAGGCCAUCUGAAGCCAUUUCUAUUCUUUAUCGCAUUCUUGAAACCCAUCUUCUUCUUCUGAAGCUCUACGGAUAAAGGAAGAGGCUAUCACAAAUCCGACGGAUCUUCUUAGGCAAGAAAAUCAAGCAGAGGAUCAGGCACAUCUGAUCUUCAGAUUUCCCUGAGAAGCGAACUUUCCUUCGACAGCGAGUGGAGGCCAGGCUUGCAUCUCUUUUGAUGGAAAGCAAGGAGUAUUCAGAAGCACUAAGUGUCCUAUCAGGCUUGAUCAAGGAAGUGAGAAGGCUAGUUGACAAGCUUCUUCUUGUGGACAUAUAUUUGAUGCGAGUAAGCUCAAUUUCUCUUUGAGAAAACAUCCAAAUUAUUGUCUUUGAGACAUGAGAGACUGAGAGAGGAAGAACUUGGAACCUUAAAUGUAAACCGAAAAUGAAUGAAAGCGACAAAUUUAUAGAAUAAAUUUUUAAAACCAACGGCGGUCCUUACAAAAAAACCGCCGUUUAAAUUGUAAAAUCAACGUCGGUAUGAUCGACGUAUAUUACAGAAAUCCACGUCGGUAAAUUAAUAAAGACGACGUGUUAAAUAAUCUACCAUGACGCGAGUUAUUACUUAUGUACUUUAAUUUUUGAGUUUACUACGACGGUACCUACAAACUACUGUCGUAUUUAUUUACCACGUCCGAAGUUAAAUGUACCGUCGUAUUUUGUAAUUUAUACGUCGUAGUUAUAUGUAACCGCCGUAUUAUUUUUUUGAAAUGGUUUUAUAUGUAAGCAACUUUUCGUCUACUUGACUUACACAUUCGUUGUUUUUAUAUUCUUAUUUUAUUUAAAUCUGUCAUCCAAAAAAGAAACUUUACAUAUUGCAGAAUAUUAAUUUCCUUCGUUUUAAAUUUCCUCCGGAAAAAAAACUCUAUUUAUAACGCACUGUAAUUGAAAAAUAAACUGAAAGGUCACGGGAAAAAAAAUUCUAUUCAUAAUUUAAAAAUUAAAAUCCACGUCGGUUAUAUUAAACCUAACGACGUUAAAUGAAAUGAUUCCACGUCGAACGAAAAAUAUUGUGUCGUGUUAGUUAAAAACGACGUAGUUAAAUGUAACCGCCGUAUUAUUUUUUUGAAAUGGUUUUAUAUGUAAGCAACUUUUCGACUUACACAUGCACUGUUUCCAAACCCGAUUAAAAAUUUCAAUCUCCCAGAGAAACCUUUUCGUCUUUUUUCCUUGUCAGAGCAUUGUCAGAGUUUCUCAUCGCCUUCCUCUCGUCUUCUUCGUCGUCUCUGAACUUAAACAUCGAUCAUCUUCCUCUUGCUUUCAUUGCACGCAAAAGGUAAGCUUUCAUUUUCACUAUUUUGGUUACUGUUUUGCAUGCUCAUACGUUUUUUGUUUGAAAAAUCUUUUUACCUUUUUUCUGGCCAAAAUCAUUUUACUUCUUUCCAAGUUUGAUAAAAUAUACAGACAAAGAGGGAAAGUUUCCAACUUUGAAGACAACUACCUCAACUAAAUAAGACGACGGUAGACCACGACGGUUCGUCAGUUGUUCUAGCGUCGUCUGAAAAUUGACAAAGUUGUUUUUAAAAUAAUAGUCUUUUUUUAUAUGCUUGUUUAAUUGCAGGUUUGAUUUCUCUGAACAAUGGUUUUUGUUUUUCCCUUAUUUGAUAAAAUAUAAAGAAAAAGAAACUAGGGUUGGUAUCUAAUAUAGACGACAAAAUAUCUUAUUGUUUUACGUCGUGUGAAUGUUAAUACCACGACGGUGUAUUACUAUUGACGUCGUAUGAACAUAAAUACCACGACGUUAUAUAAAUAAUAGUUUACCACGACGGUGUAUUACUAUUGACGUCGUGUGAACAUAUAUACCACGACGUUAUAUAAAUAAUGGUUUUAAACAUUUAUUACGUCUGAGAUUAUUUCAUUGCGUCGUCUAAAAUCAUAUCAUACGUCGUAUUUUUUUAAUACCGUCGUUUGUGUUCUUAAUGUUUUCCUGAAAUAUUUUCACUUGCAGUUUUGUCUGUUAAAAUGGUUUCUCAACAACAAACUAAGGAUUCUGGCUCCAAGAAGCUUGGAAUGGUAGCUCCUCAAGACAAGUCUUCGAAGGAGAUGAAGUCUUCGAAGAAGAUGAAGUUUGCUUCAUCAUCUGCUGAGACAGAACAAACCAGCCAGACAACAAUAUCUGAUGAUUCAAAGACUGGUCGAGGUAUGAGCACAAUGCCUCGUGUUGUGAAGAGAAAGCUUCAGAAACUGAGGCCAAUUGUUGAGUACAAUAAAAGGGGGAAAGGUGUUGGCCAAGCACAUAUUGAGAUGCAGUCGUAUAUUGGUGUGUUGGCACGCUCCAGGAUCCCACUUGUGGACAAGAAAUGGUCCCAAAUCCCCAAGGAUAUAAAGGAGCAGAUUUGGGAAGCAGUUGACAUGGCUUUUGUCGUAGGCCAAGGGGGCAAGAACUCUGUUUUAGCUUCUGCUUCCAAGAAAUGGAAGGAUUUCAAGUCUACACUAACGAGGCAUUAUAUCCUUCCAUACACCAAUGACAGGGAGAAAUUAAGCCAACCCCCUGAAACAUAUAAAUUCAUAGAGAAAGCACAAUGGGAUGCCUUUGUAGCUUCAAGGCUAUCCAAAGAUUUUGAGUCUGUGCAUUCUCAACAUGCACAGAUUAGGGAGAAACUCGAGUACAAUCAUCGAUUGUCUCGAAAAGGAUAUGUUGGAUUAGAGGAUCAAUUGGAGGAAACCAUGCCUGGGGUAGAAAUUGAUCGAUCUACCUUAUGGAAGAGAGCUAGACAGGACAAACAUGGUAACAUCCCUGAUCCAAAGGUGGCAGAGAAAGCAAAAUUAAUUGUAAGCCUACUAUCACUCUGUUUUAAAUUUUUAUUAAACUGUGAAUUAUUCUUAUUACGUCGUAUGUUAUAUUUUCCGUCGUGUGAAUGAUAUUACCACGUCGAGAAGUUUUUAAAAACGCCGUUAAAGGUCUAAAUAGGAAUCACUACUAUGUUUUCUGUAAUUAUAGCAUAAGACGUCGGUGGUUCAUUUUGGCGUCGUUUGAAUGAUAUUACCACGUCGAAACUUUUUUAAAAACGUCGUUAACGGUCUAAAUAGGAAUCACUACUCUGUUUUCUUUAAUUAUAGCAUAAGACGUCGGUUGUUUAUUCAUUUCGUCGUUUUAAAUAAAUAACCACGUCGGUAUAACUACCGUCGUGAUAAGUUAUAAUAACGUCGGUUUAUACGUUAUUGCGUCGUGUGAAAUUAUAUAAUACGUCGUUUGUACAUAAAUAACCGUCGUGUGUUUUUUUGUUUAUCUUAUUUUAGGAUGAAUUGCAGAAACAAGUCUCGGAAGGCAAAGUCAGAGUAGAUGGCAGCAAUGAUGUGCUGACCAUGGCUUUGGGCCCCGAGCAUCCAGGCAGACUGAGGGGAGUUGGUGCUGGUGUUUCCCCAAGGCAAUAUUUCAAUUUGCCCAAACCACAGAGGGUGAGCUUUGACGACCGUUUGAAGGACAGUUUAAGAGUUCUCCUUCAAGAAGAGACUAAAAAGAUGGAGGCUAAGGCAAGGGAAGAGGCCUUAAGGAUGGAGGCUAGGACAAAACAAUUGGUAGAGGCUGAGAGGGAGCAUUUCCUGAGUCAGCUUUCCCAAUUAAUUCCCAAUUUUGAUCCAAGCAUGCUUAAACCAAGAAUUAGCCAAAGCCCCAAAAAUCCAAUGUCUGACAAAGCUAGCUGCUCUGGAGGUGAUGUGAGAUCCCUACAUUUGGAGGAUGAUACUGCCAAAAUGGGGAAACAUCAGCCAGAUGAAGAGAAGGAAGAAGAAAAAAGAGAUGAAGAGAAGGAAGAAGAAAAGGAGAAAGAAGAUGAAGAAAAGCAUGACGACAAGGUAUGUUCACAUAACUUUGCCUUUUUUAUUUGUUUUUCAAAAUUUCAGACGUCGAUAUUUUUAUUUAAUCCGUCGUUUGUUUAAAACUUAGACGGCGGACUUUUUUUAAGACGUAAUAAAAUAUUUAAACGACGGUUUUUGCACCGUCGUUUAAAUGGUUUCAGACGACGCUUUAUUCAUAAAACCGUCGUCUUUAUUGAAUUACCACGACAGUUUUUUCACCGUCGUUUAAAUACUUUUAAGACGACGUUUUAUUCCUUAAACCGUCGUCUUUAUUGAAUUACCACGUCAUUUUUUUUAUUUCUUUAAACAUGUUAUUGAAGUUGGUGAUUAUUCAAAUAUGGAGGCGANNNNNNNNNNNNNNNNNNNNNNNNNNNNNNNNNNNNNNNNNNNNNNNNNNNNNNNNNNNNNNNNNNNNNNNNNNNNNNNNNNNNNNNNNNNNNNNNNNNNNNNNNNNNNNNNNNNNNNNNNNNNNNNNNNNNNNNNNNNNNNNNNNNNNNNNNNNNNNNNNNNNNNNNNNNNNNNNNNNNNNNNNNNNNNNNNNNNNNNNNNNNNNNNNNNNNNNNNNNNNNNNNNNNNNNNNNNNNNNNNNNNNNNNNNNNNNNNNNNNNNNNNNNNNNNNNNNNNNNNNNNNNNNNNNNNNNNNNNNNNNNNNNNNNNNNNNNNNNNNNNNNNNNNNNNNNNNNNNNNNNNNNNNNNNNNNNNNNNNNNNNNNNNNNNNNNNNNNNNNNNNNNNNNNNNNNNNNNNNNNNNNNNNNNNNNNNNNNNNNNNNNNNNNNNNNNNNNNNNNNNNNNNNNNNNNNNNNNNNNNNNNNNNNNNNNNNNNNNNNNNNNNNNNNNNNNNNNNNNNNNNNNNNNNNNNNNNNNNNNNNNNNNNNNNNNNNNNNNNNNNNNNNNNNNNNNNNNNNNNNNNNNNNNNNNNNNNNNNNNNNNNNNNNNNNNNNNNNNNNNNNNNNNNNNNNNNNNNNNNNNNNNNNNNNNNNNNNNNNNNNNNNNNNNNNNNNNNNNNNNNNNNNNNNNNNNNNNNNNNNNNNNNNNNNNNNNNNNNNNNNNNNNNNNNNNNNNNNNNNNNNNNNNNNNNNNNNNNNNNNNNNNNNNNNNNNNNNNNNNNNNNNNNNNNNNNNNNNNNNNNNNNNNNNNNNNNNNNNNNNNNNNNNNNNNNNNNNNNNNNNNNNNNNNNNNNNNNNNNNNNNNNNNNNNNNNNNNNNNNNNNNNNNNNNNNNNNNNNNNNNNNNNNNNNNNNNNNNNNNNNNNNNNNNNNNNNNNNNNNNNNNNNNNNNNNNNNNNNNNNNNNNNNNNNNNNNNNNNNNNNNNNNNNNNNNNNNNNNNNNNNNNNNNNNNNNNNNNNNNNNNNNNNNNNNNNNNNNNNNNNNNNNNNNNNNNNNNNNNNNNNNNNNNNNNNNNNNNNNNNNNNNNNNNNNNNNNNNNNNNNNNNNNNNNNNNNNNNNNNNNNNNNNNNNNNNNNNNNNNNNNNNNNNNNNNNNNNNNNNNNNNNNNNNNNNNNNNNNNNNNNNNNNNNNNNNNNNNNNNNNNNNNNNNNNNNNNNNNNNNNNNNNNNNNNNNNNNNNNNNNNNNNNNNNNNNNNNNNNNNNNNNNNNNNNNNNNNNNNNNNNNNNNNNNNNNNNNNNNNNNNNNNNNNNNNNNNNNNNNNNNNNNNNNNNNNNNNNNNNNNNNNNNNNNNNNNNNNNNNNNNNNNNNNNNNNNNNNNNNNNNNNNNNNNNNNNNNNNNNNNNNNNNNNNNNNNNNNNNNNNNNNNNNNNNNNNNNNNNNNNNNNNNNNNNNNNNNNNNNNNNNNNNNNNNNNNNNNNNNNNNNNNNNNNNNNNNNNNNNNNNNNNNNNNNNNNNNNNNNNNNNNNNNNNNNNNNNNNNNNNNNNNNNNNNNNNNNNNNNNNNNNNNNNNNNNNNNNNNNNNNNNNNNNNNNNNNNNNNNNNNNNNNNNNNNNNNNNNNNNNNNNNNNNNNNNNNNNNNNNNNNNNNNNNNNNNNNNNNNNNNNNNNNNNNNNNNNNNNNNNNNNNNNNNNNNNNNNNNNNNNNNNNNNNNNNNNNNNNNNNNNNNNNNNNNNNNNNNNNNNNNNNNNNNNNNNNNNNNNNNNNNNNNNNNNNNNNNNNNNNNNNNNNNNNNNNNNNNNNNNNNNNNNNNNNNNNNNNNNNNNNNNNNNNNNNNNNNNNNNNNNNNNNNNNNNNNNNNNNNNNNNNNNNNNNNNNNNNNNNNNNNNNNNNNNNNNNNNNNNNNNNNNNNNNNNNNNNNNNNNNNNNNNNNNNNNNNNNNNNNNNNNNNNNNNNNNNNNNNNNNNNNNNNNNNNNNNNNNNNNNNNNNNNNNNNNNNNNNNNNNNNNNNNNNNNNNNNNNNNNNNNNNNNNNNNNNNNNNNNNNNNNNNNNNNNNNNNNNNNNNNNNNNNNNNNNNNNNNNNNNNNNNNNNNNNNNNNNNNNNNNNNNNNNNNNNNNNNNNNNNNNNNNNNNNNNNNNNNNNNNNNNNNNNNNNNNNNNNNNNNNNNNNNNNNNNNNNNNNNNNNNNNNNNNNNNNNNNNNNNNNNNNNNNNNNNNNNNNNNNNNNNNNNNNNNNNNNNNNNNNNNNNNNNNNNNNNNNNNNNNNNNNNNNNNNNNNNNNNNNNNNNNNNNNNNNNNNNNNNNNNNNNNNNNNNNNNNNNNNNNNNNNNNNNNNNNNNNNNNNNNNNNNNNNNNNNNNNNNNNNNNNNNNNNNNNNNNNNNNNNNNNNNNNNNNNNNNNNNNNNNNNNNNNNNNNNNNNNNNNNNNNNNNNNNNNNNNNNNNNNNNNNNNNNNNNNNNNNNNNNNNNNNNNNNNNNNNNNNNNNNNNNNNNNNNNNNNNNNNNNNNNNNNNNNNNNNNNNNNNNNNNNNNNNNNNNNNNNNNNNNNNNNNNNNNNNNNNNNNNNNNNNNNNNNNNNNNNNNNNNNNNNNNNNNNNNNNNNNNNNNNNNNNNNNNNNNNNNNNNNNNNNNNNNNNNNNNNNNNNNNNNNNNNNNNNNNNNNNNNNNNNNNNNNNNNNNNNNNNNNNNNNNNNNNNNNNNNNNNNNNNNNNNNNNNNNNNNNNNNNNNNNNNNNNNNNNNNNNNNNNNNNNNNNNNNNNNNNNNNNNNNNNNNNNNNNNNNNNNNNNNNNNNNNNNNNNNNNNNNNNNNNNNNNNNNNNNNNNNNNNNNNNNNNNNNNNNNNNNNNNNNNNNNNNNNNNNNNNNNNNNNNNNNNNNNNNNNNNNNNNNNNNNNNNNNNNNNNNNNNNNNNNNNNNNNNNNNNNNNNNNNNNNNNNNNNNNNNNNNNNNNNNNNNNNNNNNNNNNNNNNNNNNNNNNNNNNNNNNNNNNNNNNNNNNNNNNNNNNNNNNNNNNNNNNNNNNNNNNNNNNNNNNNNNNNNNNNNNNNNNNNNNNNNNNNNNNNNNNNNNNNNNNNNNNNNNNNNNNNNNNCCAUGACAUUUUCAGGACUUGUAAACUUAUCUCCUAGUAUUAAGCAUUCCUGUGAAGUCAUCCUUCAAGUUUCGAAUGGGAGAACUUGGUCUGUUGGUUUGAGCAAAGGAAGGCCCAGAUUCAGGCGUGGUUGGAUGGACGUUGUGCGUGACAAUCAUUUGGAAGUUGGUGAUCUGUGUCUUUUUGUGUUGAUUUCCAGCAAAAGUACACCUUUAUUUGAUCUUGUCAUUUUCCGCUCUGGAGAAGGUGCAAAGUGCACCAAUGAUGGGGAGCAAAUAGUACCUACGAAGGAAGAAACUGAUAAUGAAGAUGGAGAUUCGAGUGAUGAUUCUAGUAACGAUUCGAGUUAUAUUAGGUUGUUUUGUUAAAGGGUUUUAUGUGUAUGCUUUGCGAUCUGUUAAUAAUGUGCUUAUAGGUAUGGGUUCAUGGAUUUUCUGUUUAAUGGGUUCAUGGAUUACAUUAUCUGUUAUGUUGAAUUGGGAAUGGAUUUAAUUUUGUCGUAUCUUUUAAUCACCCUAUGUUAUGUUGAAUUGGGAAUGGAUUUAUUGUUUUCAUGCUUGGUUUCAUGUAUAUGUUGGUUUCUUGCUUGGUUUCAUAUAUAUGUUGUGUUCUUAAUGGGUUUUGUGUUCUUGAAAAUAAACUGAGACACGACGAAUUUUAGGGCAUACGACGACGAUUACACGACGGUUUUUUUAAACUACCGUCGUUGUAUUACUUAUACACGACGGUUUUUUCAUAAACCGUCGUUUGUAUUACUUAUAAUAGACGACGUCUGUUGAAAAUCCGUCGUCUAUAUAUGCCAAGUACGUCUGUUUUUGUUUAAAACCCGUCGUCUCUGUUGUGUAUUACUUGCGAUUAGAUCAUUGUAUAAUCUGCUAUAGUGAUGGUCAUUGCCUGUAUUUUCACUUUAUUAUAGAUAAUAGGUUAUAGUGUCGGAGAUGGAUAAGUCAUGGAUGCACUCGGAUAGAAGAUCGAAGGCAUAUGAAUUUGGGGUGGAAGCAUUUUUGAACUUUGCUGUAGAAAAUCUUCUAACUACAACACAUAUCCGUUGUCCAUGUGUUAAAUGUGUUAAUUUGAAGUUGUUUGGGGUUGGAAUUAUAAGGGAUCACUUAUACUUUAAUGGAAUUGACCAAAGCUAUAAGAAUUGGACAUUUCACGGAGAACCUUGGGAAGCAACUACUAAUGCUAGUAGAAAUGUUGAAGAAGAUGAUGGCCAUAGUAGGUACAGUUUUGUGUCUGAAGAAAUUGAUAUGGAUGAUAAUGAUUUUGGUGAUUUUGGUGAUUUUGGUUCGGAUCCGUAUGAGUUUGCCAAUGUGAUUGGGGAUGGAGAUCAACCAGUGUACCCUGGUUGUAGAAAGUACACGAAGUUAUCGGCAUUAGUGAAGUUGUAUAAUUUGAAGGCAAAACAUGGGAUGAGUGAUGUCUGUUUUACAGAAUUAUUGAUACUUCAAGGCGAUUUGCUUCCAGAAGGAAAUACAAUACCAACCUCCAUGUAUGAGGCUAAAAAGACUUUGUGUGCAUUGGGGCUGAGUUAUGAGAAAAUACACGCAUGCCCCAAUGAUUACAUCUUGUAUAGGAAGGAGUAUGAGGAUUCAACUAAUUGUCCUACUUGUGGUAUCUCAAGGUGGAAGGAAGGCAAAGAUUCAAUCUUGAAAGAGGGUGUGCCAGCGAAGGUGGUGUGGUAUUUUCCCCCAAUUCCAAGGUUUAAAAGGAUGUUUCAAUCACAUGAGACAGCUAAGAGUUUGACUUGGUGGCAUGCUGCUAGAAAAUCAAUUGACGGUCAGAUGUCUCAUCCGGCGGAUUCCCCGUCUUGGAAACUUCUUGAUGAUAAAUGGCCUGAGUUUGGUAAUGAGCCGAGAAACUUGAGAUUGGCUCUUUCAUCUGAUGGAUUCAAUCCCCACAGUUCUCUAAGUAGCAGAUAUAGUUGUUGGCCGGUUAUCUUAGUUACAUAUAAUCUCCCUCCAUGGCUGUGCAUGAAACGAAAGUUCAUGAUGUUAACCUUAUUGAUUUCCGGUCCUAAACAACCCGGAAAUGAUAUAGACGUCUACUUGGAGCCUUUGAUUGAUGAUUUAAAAUCCUUGUGGGUUGGGAUUAGAGGAGUGUAUGAUGCACAUAAUGGAGAAUACUUUACACUCAGAGCUGCAUUAAUGUGGACAAUUAAUGAUUUCCCCGCCUAUGGAAACUUAUCUGGUUGUGUUGUUAAAGGAUAUAAAGCUUGUCCAAUCUGCGGCGAUGAUACACCUAGUCACAGGUUGAAAAAUGGCCACAAAAUUUGUUACAUUGGGCAUAGAAAAUGGUUACCAAUCAAUCAUCCAUAUAGGAGGCAACGUGCAGCUUUUAAUGGGAAACCUGAAUAUGGCAUACCUCCCGAGCCAUUAACCGGAGAAGAAGUGCUGCAUAUGGUUGAAAAUGGUGACAGAGUUUGUUGGAAGAAGAAAUCAAUAUUCUUUGAUCUCGAGUAUUGGAAAUACCUUCCUGUGAGGCAUGCCCUAGAUGUUAUGCACAUUGAGAAGAAUGUUUGCGAUAGUAUCAUUGGUACAUUGCUGGAGAUCCCUGGAAAAAAUAAAGAUGGGAUUGCUGCUCGAUUAGAUUUAUUGAACAUGGGGGUCAAAACUGAUUUGCAACCCGAGUAUGGAGAAAGACGUACUCGUUUGCCUCCUGGGCCUUGGAAUUUGUCAAGAGCAGAGAAGAGAGAGGUUUGCAAUUCUUUCUAUGGUAUGAAGGUCCCUGAAGGUUAUUCUUCAAAUAUUAAAAAUCUUGUAUCUUUACAAGAUUCAAGACUUCUUGGCCUUAAAUCACAUGAUUGUCAUACCUUAAUGCAACAAUUGCUCCCUGUGGCAAUUCGUUCUGUUUUGGAGAAGCCUGCAAGGUAUGCAAUAACUCGUUUGUGCUUCUUCUUCAAUGCUAUAUGUGCAAAGACUGUUGAUGUUUCCAAGCUAGAUAAGUUGGAAGAAGAUGUAGUAGUUACUCUGUGUUUGCUUGAGAAGUACUUUCCCCCUUCAUUCUUUGAUAUCAUGGUUCAUCUAGUAGUACAUCUUGUCAGAGAAGUUCGUCUAUGUGGGCCAGUAUAUUUUAGGUGGAUGUAUCCGUUUGAAAGAUAUAUGAAAGUGCUGAAGGGGUAUGUUCAGAAUCGUACUCGUCCCGAAGGUUGCAUUGCUGAGCGGUAUAUAGCUGAAGAAGUGGUAGAGUUUUGUACUCAGCAUUUAUCUGAUGUUAGUACAGUUGGAGUGCCUUCAAGCCAAAAGAUGGGACUUUCAAAGCCAUUAUCAGGUUGCACAGUGAGCGUAGUUGAUCAGGACCUGUUGAAUCAAGCACAUCUAUAUGUCUUGGAGAAUACGGAGGAAGUCCUACCUUAUAUCGAGUACGUAUGAGCUUUAUUCUUUAAGUUUCCAUUUUAAAUUAUUUCUUAUGUUUAUCUUCUAUAUUUGGGACCGUAAUGCUUGAAUUUUUCGUGUCAUGUAGGCAACAUAUGAUCCACAUCAAGAUUGCUUAUCCAAAAUUUAGAAAGAGAACAAAGUGGCUGCAGGAUAAGCACAAUAGCACUUUCAUUCAAUGGCUACGCUUCAAGGUAUAUGUUGUUGAAUAACAUAUUUCUCUUUUAAUUUUCUUCUUAUUUAUAUGUUAGAUUGAAUUAAGAUAUGAUUAAUUUGCAGGUUCAAAGUGAACUUGAGGAAGACAAUCAUGGCGUAUCAGAAAAUUUAAGGUGGCAAGCAGCUGGUCCAAACAUGUCAGUGCCAUUAUAUAGGAGCUAUCUUAUUAAAGGUAUUAAAUUCAAUAUCAAGGCACAAGAUGAUGUGCGGACAACUCAAAAUAGUGGAGUUUAUUUACUUGCACAUACCAUGCAAGUUGCUAGUGCCAAGGAUAAAAACCCAAUUCUCUCAAAUAUGGGUUUCUAUGGUGUCAUUCAAGAAAUUUGGGACCUUGACUACCAAAAGUUUACAAUCCCAGUCUUUAGGUGUGAUUGGAUAGAUAGUUCUGGUCUUGUAGUCGACGAACUUGGAUUUACCCUUGUAGAUUUGAGUAAAAUUGGACAUAGGAAUGACCAAUUUGUUUUGGCUUCUCAAGUCAAACAAAUAUUUUUUGUUGACGACCCGAUGCAUCGUGGUUGGUCGGUAGUGUUAUCAAUGCCUAAUAGAGAAUAUAAUGAUGUUAUUGGUGAUGAAGUCUUAGGUGAUGUGAUAAUUGAGUGUGAGCCAUUUACUAGAGGGAUGCCAAAUGUUGACACAUUUGAUGAACUGGUGGGUGAGUUAGGCGGUCAAAAUAUUCGAGAUGGGUGUGAAGAUAUAUGGAUUGAAUGAUGCUUAUGUAAUUGGCAGUGUAUGACAUUAAUUUUGUAAUAUAUUGUAAUGUGAUUUCUUCACUUUCUACGUUCAAAUAAAACACGACGUUAUUGUGAACCAGUUAUUCAGCAUAUUUACCGACGUCUUAAAGCAACGUAAUAAUGAAGAACCACGACGCAAUUGUGAAGCAAUUAAUCAGGAUAUCACGUCGGGGAAGGAUUAAGAACCGCCAUGUAAUUCAAAAUAACACGACUCCAAUCCCAUAAUACCGACGUCUAAAAAACGAGAUAUAUAAUCUGAACGUUAAAAAAUACGACGUCAUCAUACAUUUUCCACGUCGCAAGUUCUUUUAUAAACGAAGAGGAACGAAAUGAAUUCCGACGGAAAUUCAUUAUAACCGCCGUCUAAUAACAAUUAAACGACGUUAUUUGUAAUACGGCUCUCAUCAUAAUCAACGCCGUCUAUAUGUUCUGUAAUACGGCUCUCAUUUAUUUGGAACCGACGUUGUUUAGAAGUUCAACGUCGUCUAUAUUAUUAAGUGCGUCGUGAGUAAUGAUGAUAGAUAUAAAUACAACGUCGACUAUAUAAAUGCCACCGACGUUGUUUCGCAUUUCAACGUCAACUGUAUAAAUACAUACGUCGUAAAUAAUGACACUGACAACUAUUUCCACGUCAUCUUUUUUAGAAAAAUCGAAGUGGAAAAUUUAUUUCACGACGGUUGUUUGUAAAUAAGAGACGUAGUAUAUUUCAAUAACGUCGUCUUCUCAUGUAUUUAAAGACGUCAUAUUUUUUCUUGUCAUGUAAAUUAUAUUUAACGGCGUAGUAUUUUAGUUGUCGUCGUUGUAUGUAUAUCUUGCGGCCUUGUUCUUUUAACAUGUGUCAUAUUUUUCCUUUUUAACGACGGUGAUUUGUUUGAGUUGGUCGUCUAUUCUCAUCCUCGACUAUUUUCUAGAACUUUAGCAGACUAAACACGUCUGUUUUUAUUGUUUUCCGACGUUGUUUUAUUUAACAACGUCUAAUAUUUAUCGUCGUUGUUUGUUUCUGAAAAUAUGACGUAUAAAUUUUGUAAUACGACUCUCAUAUAUUUGUAACCGACGUUGUUUCGUUUUUCAACGUCUACUCAAUAAAUACAUACGUCGUAAAUAAUGACACUGACAACUAUUUCCACGUCAUCUUUUAUCGAAAAAUCGAAGUGAAAAAUUAAUUUUACGACGGCUGUUUUUAUAUAUGCGACGUAGUAGGUAUCAAUAACGUCGUCUUCUAAUGUAUUUAAAGACGUCAAAUUUUUUAUUGUCGUGAAAAUGAUAUUUAACGGCGUCGUAUUUUUAUUUUCGUCGUUGUAUGUCUAUCUUGCGGCCUUGUUCUCUUAAUAUGUGUCAUAUUUUUCCUUUUUAACGACGGUUUUUUUAGAGAGUUGGUCGUCUAUUCUCAUCCUCGACUGCUUUUUUAGAUCUUUUUGCAGUACAAAGACGUCGUUUUGUAUUUGUUGAUGACGUUGUAUAUUUUAACAAUGACGGUGAUUUAGCGUCGUGGUUUAUGAGGGAAAAGAUGACGGUGGAUUCCACGACCAUUGAAAAACCGAAUACACGACGGUGAUUUACCGUCGUCUUUUUGCUUUUUUGUAGUAGUGCAAGUCUCUAAUUUUAAUCGACAACGGAAUAAUCCUUACUCCAACACUUAUAACCCAGGAUGGAAGAACCAUCCGAAUUUUUCAUGGAGUAAUAACCAAAAUGUACAGGGACCUCCACCUGGUUUCACACCUCAAGAAAAGAAGCAUGGAUUGGAGGAUAUAAUUACUCAACUUGCUGGAAAUGUCAACACUCUCUCUGUCAAUACAAAUCAAUUUAUGAGCAAAAUCGAGACGACCCUUCAGAACCAAGCUGCCUCUAUUCGAAACUUGGAGGUUCAAAUGGGCCAGCUAGCUAAUGUAUUGACAGGAAGAGUAAAUGGAGCUUUGCCAAGCCAAACAGAGAUUAAUCCGAAAAACCAAGAACAUGCGAAGGCGAUAACUCAUCGGAAUGGAGGCCAAUAAAAACAGCAGUAGACUUGGAUGAAGAAAAGAAUAUCCAGCAACAAACUGCAGAGACAUCAGAAAUUACUAACGGGCCGUCGUCGUCGUCUAUCACUGCUGGAACUGUUGCACAACUUGAUGAAAUUUCUCCAGAAAUUGAACCUGCUACUGUAGAUAAAUUAUCUCAACCUGCUGCCCUUGUAAAGCCAUAUGUACCGCCAAUUCCGUUCCCUCAACGUCUUCGAAAAAACAAAGUGGAUGCCCAAUUUUCGUAAUUUCUUGAUAUCUUCAAGAAAUUACAAAUAAAUAUUCCUUUUGCCGAUGCUUUGGUGCAAAUGCCGAGUUAUGCCAAAUUCAUGAAGGAUAUUAUAUCAAAGAAGAGGAAAUUGGGCGAACAUGAGAUAGUGAAAUUAUCCGAAGAAUGCAGUGCUAUUUUGCAGAGGAAGCUACCACCUAAGCUAAAGGAUCCAGGGAGUUUUACUAUACCUUGCACUAUUGGAACCAUUUACUUUGAAAAAGCUUUAUGUGAUUUAGGAUCCAGUAUUAAUCUAAUGCCUUCUUCUGUUGCUAAACAUAUUGGGUUGGGGGUAAUUAACCCAACCACUGUUUCUUUGCAGAUGGCAGACAGGUCCAUAACAUAUCCCAGAGGCAUAAUUGAGGAUGUGUUAGUCAAAGUUGAUAAGCUCAUUUUUCCAGCAGAUUUUUUGAUUUUAGACAUGGAAGAAGAUGUCGAAACCCUUAUUAUCUUAGGCCACCCCUUUCUAAAAAUCGGGAAGACAUUAAUUGAUGUGGACAAAGGUUUAUUAAUUUUUCGAGUGGCUGAUGAGCAGAUGACCUUCAAUGUCUUUGAAGCAACAAAGUACCCAGUGGAAUCAGACUCUUGCUUCCGAGUGGAUAUAGUGGAAAAAGUUGUCUAUGAACAAUUUAAAGAAGAACAUCCAUGUGAUCCAUUGGAGGCUUGCCUUGUGCAUUCCGUUACUACUGAGCAUGAGGAUCCUAAAAUUUCUGAGAUGGUGUACUUUUUGGAAGCAAUGAAACCGCGCCCCCCUGGAAGGUGGCGCGAAUUUGAGGAGCUUGGCGUCACAACCUCCAAGCCACAACCCAGUGUCAUUACUGCACCAACCCUCACAUUGAAGCCCCUACCUUCCCACUUAAGAUAUGCAUACUUGGGUAAUUUUGAAACUCUUCCUGUGAUCAUUGCUGCAAAUUUGAGUAAACUAGAAGAAGAUAAAUUACUACGAGUUUUGAGGGAGCAUAAAACGGCAAUAGGGUGGACUAUUGCAGAUAUUAAGGGACUUAGCCCUUCCAUGUGUAUGCACCGUAUUCUGAUGGAAGAUGAUUUUAAACCUUCAGUUGAGCAUCAGCGCCGAUUAAAUCCGAAUAUGAAAGAAGUUGUGUGAGCUGAAGUAUUAAAGUUAUUAGAUGUUGGAAUAAUUUACCCGAUUUCAUAUAGUAGUUGGGUGAGUCCAGUUCAAGUCGUACCGAAAAAAGGGGGUAUUACAGUGGUGAAAAAUGAUAAGAAUGAGUUGAUCCCGACAAGAACAACUACAGGAUGGCGUGUCUGCAUAGACUACAGGAAAUUGAACAUUGCGACAAGGAAAGAUCACUUUCCCUUGCCUUUCAUUGAUCAGAUGUUGGAAAGACUUGUUGGGCAUUCAUAUUAUUAUUUUUUAGAUGGAUAUUCUGGGUAUAAUCAAAUUCCAAUUGCACCUGAAGAUCAAGAAAAGACGACGUUCACAUCCCCAUUCGGCACUUUUGCAUACAGGCGCAUGCCCUUCGGGUUAUGUAACGCCCCUGCCACCUUUCAACGUUGCAUGAUGAGCAUCUUUUCGGACAUGGUGGAGCGCUUCAUUGAGGUUUUUAUGGAUGACUUUUCUAUUUUUGGCUCAUCAUUUGAUUCUUGUUUACAUAAUUUGGCAUUAGUUUUGAAAAGAUGUGAAGAAACCAAUUUGGUUUUGAAUUGGGAGAAAUGCCAUUUUAUGGUGCAAGAAGGGAUAGUCUUGGUGCAUAAAAUUUCAGCUAAAGGCAUAGAGGUUGAUAAGGCAAAAAUUGAUACCAUAGAGAAAUUGCCACCGCCCACUAUAGUAAAGGGGAUUCGAAGCUUUCUGGGUCAUGCUGGAUUUUAUCGGCGGUUUAUCCAAGAUUUUUCCAAAAUCACGAAGCCCUUAUGCAAUCUCCUUCUUAAAGAUGUAGAAUUUAAUUUUGAUUCAAGGUGUUUGGAAGCAUUUAAUGUCUUGAAAGAGAAGCUUACUUCUGCACCUGUCAUUGUCGCACCGGAUUGGGACUUGCCUUUUGAGAUUAUGUGUGAUGCUAGUGACUAUGCGGUAGGGGCAGUUUUGGGUCAAAAAAGAAAUAAAUUACUUCAUGUAAUUUAUUAUGCCAGUCGUACUUUGAAUGACGCCCAGCGGAAUUAUACCACCACGGAGAAAGAAUUGUUAACAAUAAUCUUCUCCUUGGAUAAAUUUCGAUCCUACUUGAUUGGAGCGAAGGUGAUAGUGUAUACCGAUCACUCAGCUUUAAAGUAUUUACUUUUGAAGAAGGAUGCAAAACCACGAUUAAUUCGCUAGGUACUACUGCUCCAAGAAUUUGAUCUUGAAAUUCGAAACAAAAAGGGUCCGAAAACGUGGUAGCUGACCAUCUUUCGCGGCUGGUUAGUGAGGUCAAGAUGAGUGAUGAUGCUGCACCCAUUAUGGAGAUGUUCCCUGAUGAACAAUUGUAUGCCAUUCGAUCAUCCGAAGCUCCCUGGUACGCUGACUUUGUGAAUUAUUUAGCUAGUACUAUCAUUCCAACUGAUUUAUCAUUUCAUCAGAAGAAGAAGUUUUUCUCCUUGGUUAAACAUUAUUAUUGGGAUGACCCAUAUUUGUGGAAACAUUGUCCUGACCAAGUUAUACGGAGAUGUGUGCCUGAGGAGGAGAUGGAAGACAUAUUGCGACAUUGCCACACAUUGGCGUGUGGGGGGCAUUUUGGUGCCUCCAAAACAGCAGCCAAGGUAUUACAAUCUGGAUUUUUUUGGCCAACUUUGUUCAAGGAUGCCUAUGCAUUUGUAGCUGCCUGUGAUCGAUGCCAACGCACUGGAAAUAUCUCUAGCAGAAAUCAGAUGCCAUUGAAUAAUAUUCUAGAGGUUGAAUUGUUCGAUGUCUGGGGAAUAGAUUUCAUGGGACCUUUCCCUGAAUCUUGGAAGAACAAGUACAUAUUGGCGGCUGUUGAUUAUGUGUCGAAAUGGGUUGAAGCCGUUGCUCUCCCUACCAAUGACUCCAAAGGGUGUUGUCAAAUUUGUCCGAAAAAAUAUUUUCACCAGAUUUGGGACUCCGCGUGGAAUCAUCAGUGACGGAGGUACACACUUUUGCAAUCGUCAAUUUAAUUCUCUUUUAGCUAAAUAUGGUAUUACCCACAAGGUUACUACUCCCUAUCAUCCACAAACUAGUGGACAAGUUGAAGUUUCCAAUAGAGAAUUAAAACGAAUUUUGGGAAAGACGGUGAGUGCUUCAAGAAAGGAUUGGUCACUGAAAUUGGAUGAUGCCUUAUGGGCCUAUCAAACGGCGUUCAAAACACCAAUUGGCAUGUCUCCUUAUCGUCUAGUUUUUGGGAAAGCUUGUCACUUACCGGUUGAGCUCGAACAUAAGGCACAUUGGGCACUCCAAACACUCAAUUUUGACAUGAUUGUAGCAGGAGAAAAACGGGCAAUUCAAUUGAAUGAUAUGGAUGAGUUUCGUAAUGAAGCUUAUGAGACUUCCAAGAUAUACAAGGAGCGUACAAAGAAAUGGCAUGAUAAGCAUAUUCUAAGGAAGGAUUUCUUCGCUAGUCAGAAAGUUCUCCUAUUUAAUUCCCGCCUCCGACUCUUUCCCGGGAAGCUGAAAUCACGUUGGUCUAGACCAUUUACAAUAGUGCAAGUAUUUCCUUCUGGAGUUAUUGAGGUUAGGCAUGACGAAUAAGGUACUAUUUUCAAAGUAAACGGCCAACGAGUGAAGCCAUACUUGGAAGUCAAUUUUGAUCAACAACGGGCUUCCAUUCCUCUGCAUGAUCCAAAGUGAUGACCUCUCAAGUCGGGCUGGGGACUAUAAACCAAGCGCUUGUUGGGAGGCAACCCAACUAGGUACCUUCGUUUGUUUUUAUUUUAUUUUGUUUUGUUUUCCCUUUAUUUUCCAUCCUUCUAUGCCUUUACUAAUUGUUACAUGCAUUUACUUUAAACAUUGAGGACAAUGCUUAGUUUAGGUUUGGGGGUGUGGAGUUUUGUUGUUUUUGUUUGAGUUUUGAGUCAUAAAGUUGUUUUUUGUUUGAGGUUUGAGUCAUAAAGAAAAAAAAAAAAAACAGAUUUUGUGUUCCAAAGAAAGGAUUUUGUGUUUCAAACAACAUUUCUCAAUUUUUUCUAGCCCCAUGAUGAUUGCAAACAUGUUCCAGAUGUGUUACAGAUGUUGUUUUGGCCAUUAGAUGACUUUAAAACCCAGAAAAUAGCAAAAUAGGUUAUUAUGUUCUUAUUUUGGUCAAAAUCAAAAAUUUUGCCUAUUUUCCUUUUUGAUGUUUUUCGGCAAAUUUGAAGCCACCAACAUGUUUAGAAUGGUUAUUAUGAUGAUUUGAAAGUGUUUUGGGGGUCUCAAGUGCUUUACAUGACGUUUUAGGGAGAUUUGAAGUUAAAAAAGUGGCCUAAAACCCAAAAAAGACUAGCUGCUAUCUACCCAGAAAUAUGAAGCUUAGCGACGGUGUUCAUCAGAUUUUUCGUUGCUAAAGGGUUUUUAGCGACGGUGUUCAUCAGAUUUUUCGUCGCUAAAGGUCGAUUUUUCGUCGCUAAAGGUCAAUUUUCCAGAAUUUUCUAAUUUCAUUCCAAAUCAAUUAUGAUCCAUUCCAUUUGUGAUCAGAGGUUUCUAUGAGCUAUUCCAGGUGUGUCCUCUUCCUUUUGAUGAAAUUUCUUUAUCCCUAAGCAAUUAUGGCCCAUACAUUCACUCACAUUUGUUUGGAAAAAAAAAUCACAAAAUGCCUUUAACUUUUAAAAAUAAAAAUUUUGUUAAAGCUUUUACUUUCUCUUACUAAUAGUGAUGUAUAUGUGAUGUUUGAUCAUAUUUCUUCAACUAAAGUGUUGCCAUGAAAGUUUAUGCACCAUAAGUAUAGCACUUCACAUGGCCAUGCUUCAAGUAUUUUAAUAGACAAGCUAGCUAUACUUGGAUGAUUGUGGAGAAAUAGUGGAGACUACCAUUGUGAGAUACUUGAGCCAAAUUGCCAUUCAUUGAGAGAGUAUUUGGGAUUAGUCUUAUUCACUAUUUUCUUUCUUUCUUAUUUAAAUUGAUCUCAAUUAGACUUUUGAAUUGAAUAGUAAGAACUAAUCUCUAUUUUUGGAAUCAUCUCAUGCUUUUACUUUUGAGUUGGAUGGACCUUGAGAGAUGAUGUUAGGCUAUGCAUGUUCUAACCACUAAAUAAAACAUCAUGUCCUACCCAUUGUGUGUGCCAUCAACCCUUUGAAGCCAAACACUUAGCCUUUUCUUUCAUCACCCACAAUAUUUCCUUGCCCUUUUCACCCUAUUUUUAGCCAUACCCUAUAACUUGGGAUAUGCCAUGGCAUGAAAACAAGGAUGAAGGUUAAGAGGUGGCGUGUACCGAGGAAAUAUGUGCUUAAAAAUAAAUAAACAAAUACAAAGAAAAAAAAAAGAGAAAAAAAGAAAAGAAAAGAGAAAUCUAUUUUUUAAAAAAAUGUGAAGCAUAUCAAAAAUCCUAGAAGCCUCUGUGAAGUAAAUUUAAAGGCCGAGCCUUAUAACGUGAUAAAUGCCUUGGUAUGUCUCAAGUUCUAGUAUUUCCUUCCCUUUCUUUCAUACCCCAUAACCUAGCCCUUCAUUACAACCAUAGUAAAGACCUAACGGAUUUUUGGGGACUUCUUACUCAGAAGUAGAGGUAUGUACUUCAUCUAUGGUUUUUAGUAUUUGAUUUCCUUUCCAUGAGAUCUAUUGUUAGAAAUUGCCUUUUAUUCAUUCUUGGAUGCAUAUGUGUCUUAUAUUUUGAAUUCUUCACCUAACUUCAUUCACAUAUACGGGGUAAGAGUGCAACCCUAGGUUCUGUGAGAAAAUUGAGAGUUAUCCAGUGAGGCCUAGAGUUGAGGCGAAUUUGUACACACGCCGAAUGUGGUUAUCUUUUAUGUUUGAAUGCUUGGAGUUUUGGUUUUACACUUUACACUAUGGUGCAUUUUAUUUGUAGUGGCAUAACUUUAGUUUUUAAAUUGUGAUUGGCAUUCAUUGGUUAUUAUUAGUUUGUUGGACGUAUUGCUUUAACGAAUUUAUUUUGCAAGAAGUGUUUGUGGGUGCCGUGACUGGUAAACCCUCAGGAGACACAACUCCUCCUACUAGGGACACCUAGAGGUUUAAAGGCUUGUGGCACAUGCUAAGUGCCAUCGAGAUUACCUGCGAAAGUGGUUUAAUUUAGUUUGUUUGUUUUAAUUUAUUUUUGAUUUUCAGUUUUGCUCGAGGACUAGCAAAAGAUAGGUUUGGGGGUAUUUGAUAAGUCUAUAUUAUAUAUAUAUUUUAUGCCUCCUUUGCUUAUUUAUUUAUUAAUUUCUUGGAUUAAAUUGGUUGUUUUUAAUUGGUUUUGUGAGAUUUGUGAAGGAAUUGUGAAAUAGGAGAAAGUGUGCUAAAAAAGGCAAGAAGAUGAAGAUCAAUUAAAAAGAAGCCAAGUCAUUCUUUUUGUUGCAAGGAAUGUUGUCAAAUUUCCUAGUUCAAGAUGGUGCAAGUCUUAUCAAGUCAAACAAGGAGAAAUAAAGAAGACCUUAUUUUAGAAGGAAUCCUAUUUUUUUAACAAUUGUAAUUAUUCCUUAGGUAGGAUUUCUAGGAGUUUUAUAAAUAGGGAGUUUAGGUCAUUGUUGAAAGGAUCCAUUACCCAUCAUCAAUCCUCCAUCAUCUACCCUAAAAUUCCUACACAUUCAUACUCAUAGCUGAAAUACUCAAAGGAGAGAGAGAGUGUGUUUUAGAGAGACAAAGAAGACAACCUGUAGCUAGAGUUGCUGUCGUGCAGAGAUCAAAUUUCAAUUGGUUACUUCUUUCCUAGGAUAUUAUUUAUCAUGGUUUUUAUUAAAGUUGUCAUGAACUAAUUUCUUCUUGCUAGGGCUACGAUGUAGCCUAGCCAUGAAUACUCAAUUACUUUAGUCAAUGUUAAUUCUAAGUAUUUUUCCAUAUUGAGUAUCUAUUACCAUGCUUAAUGCUUUGAAUGUUUGGCCAACAUUUAAUUGUUUUGAUGCUAAAUUGACGAUAGGAAUAUCCAAUUUGGGGUUGCUUCUUGUAAUAGAUGCCAUGAGUUACAUGAUUAGACAGGGAUGUUUGUCAUGACUUAUGUGGUUGUUUUGUAGGUUUUCCAAGGAAUUUAAUGGGUUCUUAUUAUCUUAAUUCCAUUACUAGGGAUAGAGUGGGUUGGUAAUAAGAAUACUUUUGGUAUAACUAGGGAUGGAGUAUUGAAUAAAGUAGGGAAAAUCAACUGUCAACAUAGAGAAUAAUUAGGAUUAACAUGCUAAGGGAAUUGGGUAGAAUUGGCUAUGGUGAAAUCGGAAGCUCUAGUGCUCUCAUAACUUGAAUCUCACUACUUUAUUUUUCUACGCUUGUUUUUAUUCAUUGUUUUAGUUAAUUAAUCAAUCAAAUCUCAUCAUCAAUUGUUCAAAUAAAGUCUUGGGUUAAUCACAAUCGGUACUUGAUAAAUUAAAUCACUCUUCGUGGGAACGACACUUCACUCAUCACUAUAUUACUUGUGCGAAUUGUGCACUUGCAAUAAAUAUCACAACAAGCAUCCAUGCAUUGUUAUUAUUAAUCUGAUAUUUAGCAGUAUGAUUGUAUGUCACUUAAUAUAGUUAUAUCAAUUUCCUGUAGUAAGGUCUCAUGUCCCUACCGAGCGGUAGUUGCUCAUCCAUCACCCUGUUUAAUUUUUCAGAUGAAUUAGUGGGCAAGACAAGAACUAAACCAGUUGAGGCUGAAUUAGAUGAGAGUGAUAGAGGUUUAUUCAUUUCUUGUAAAGUUGUAAGAUUUUGGAGCUAUUUUUAUAAAGGAAGUUUAUUUUAAACUCAUGUUUUGGCUUUUUUUUAAAAAUAAUUUAUUUAUUCUUUUUAUUUUAUACUUUUUAUUUUCUCAUGCAUUGGGCGCAAGGUUUUCACCUAUCCCCGGAUCCGCGGCAUGACAACUAGUGCUGGAUCCAAUAUGCGUAAUGAUGGUUUGGUUUGAGGUGAUACUGUAUGGGGAAAGAGGGUUUUGAUGAUGGUAUUGAGAAUUUGCGUGGGGCAUGGAUGAAUGUUCCAGCUCGAAGGACACCUAAAGGUGUGACUCAGGAAGUUGGAGGCAAGGGAGGUCGAAAUAUGGGUUCUAGAUUUGAUGCGUUGAGACAGGUGGGUGAAAAUUUUGGGAUUGAUGGUAGGACUGAGAGGGUUGAGGCUACUCAAACUUUCACAGAGCAGUUGGGAUCAUCGAUUAGAGAUGCUGAAAAGGGAUAUAAAGUUUGGACCAAGUCUAAGGCUAAUAUCAUGGUAAGGCUAGAAUUGUUAUGAAUGACAUUUCUAAUAUGAAUCUCAAGGAAAAUGUAAAAGUGUGUGCUACUGUUGAUCAGUUGCUAGCUGUUCUAAAGUUAGUCAGUUGGUGAAUAAAAGUAAUCUGGUUUAUGAGGAUAAGAGAUUUGGUGGGAAAAUAUCUUUGAAUGACCAAUUGAAUAAUUGGACGAAGGGUCAGAAUUCGUAUCAGGCUAUAAGGGUCUAUCACUUUGGCCAUCAACCACCCAACAUAGCCACUAAUUGUUCUGAUACUGAGGAGGAGGUGGAUACUGAUGUCGAUGUUGAUUCUCUGGCUUCUUCUACUCAUGAGGGCUUGAUUCCAACAGAUACAAGGGACUUGGCUGCAGUUAAAGAUUCAGUUGUGAGAAGGAAGGAUGGAUGACAGGACCCGCCCCGGAAUUCCUCGGAGACCUGGACUGACCCCGUCUUGUUACCGACAUCACUCUUAUGCCGGGCCCACUUACUAAAAAUCGAGACAUUCUACCAAAAAUUUGGCAGAGUCUCCCCUGUAAAUUGAACAUUUCCCAAAUUCAACCUGCUCAAAAUUCACAGUUUAAUAAUACCCAACCGGCAGCAUGCUUUAAAGCGAAUAAACAGUUUACAACAAAGGUCUCUGGUCUCAUAAAUCAACCCUAGCAAGGGCAUAAUAACAGAGCAUAUCUAAGGAAUUCGAUUACAACAAAAACAAAGUUCAAAAGAAAUUAAAUGAACAAGGAGUCCUACGAAAGCUCAAGACUCGUAAGCACACGAUACGGCUCGACUGCGAAGCUCAAUCAACUACUAGCUAGGGGUGCAAAAUAGAAAAAUGUGAGUGGACAAACAUAAAGUUCAGUUCAGUGUAAACCAACAUAAUAUAACCCCACUGUUUAAUAAACCAUGCAAGAAAUCCAAAUGUAUCCCAAAACCAGCAUAACCAAGUAUAUUCAUAUAAAGUUAAAACAACACCGGAUGCCAAGUCCGAAAUCCAUAAAGAACACUUUACAAACCCACCAUUCAAAUAUUAAGUCCCAAACUAAACUCUCGAAAGCGUACCCCUUGGCACGACCGGCAAGGAAGUAUCCUCACCGAGAAACAAGAAUGAAUGAAUAGUUAUAUAUAUGUAAAUCUAUAAUAUAAGAUAUAUAUAUAUAUAAUAUAAAUAUGACCAUCACCUCGUUGUACCGGGGAAACAAUCCAACUGGGGGAUUGUUUGACAAGUCACCAUGACAGAGUCCUCAUGAAGAGUCCUUAAUUCACCAUGUGACUAGGGAACGAGCCGUCCAACUGGGGGACUAACUCUCAGCCAGCAUGUACAGUCGAUACCCUUAAAACUAGUACGUCUGUGACCAGUCCUACGCUCGCAGACUACCCAAUCAAGGGUCUACAACAACAUCCCUCAAGGAUGCCCCGGAUUCCGACAUCUCCAAGUAUCUCAAGUUUCCGUAUCCAAGUUCCAAAUCCGGGGAGGUACAUAGGGUAGUGCUUAUAGCAUUCCAAAAUGACAUUAUAGACACAUCACUUUCCACAAUCUCAUCUUAACAACCCAAGUACCCCACACAUAUCCAAACAUAUAUAAAAAUUCUCAAAAUCCAUAUAUACAUACUCAAGAUACUCAAAUAUGCCAAAACCCAAAAUAUAUUGCCAAUGCAUCAUAAAAAUAUCAAUUUCAACGAUUGAAUAAAUAAUAUAUCCAAUAUACCAUUUAAAACAUUAUGCAUAAGAUUUCCCAUCACAAAACCAUGCAUAAGAUUUGAAAACAAAGUCCACUCACAAGUAGUCCCACACUGCUUGACCCUGAGAGUGUCCGUCCUGCUGCGUACACCUGGUCGGAGUACCUAUUUCAGAAUACGAAUACGAGAUUAAUACAAAGCGUUUCAAAUGAGAACGUUGAAUUAAAUAUCCUAAUUUCUCAGGUUUAUAGCGAGUGCAUGAGGAACGGAACAAUUUGAAAGUUCCUAAGGCUUCCCCAAGGUUUAGGAUACACGUCCCGUAAGUCUGGUCCGAAACGGAUCGUUAGAUUGCUCAUGAUCGGACGGUUAUCGUAAAAUCCCAAACUUUAAAUUAUUGAAUCGGAACAUCCGGGGCUCCAAUUCACGAUCCACGAAUUCUUAUACGUUCCUAGGAAUGUCUAGAGUAACAUAUAUUGGAAUGGAGUCGAUCCAACCGUCCGAACAUGUCGAACCCGGAUAACUCCUAAUAUGUGAAAUUCGUUCGGGGUUCGAACGUCAACCAAAUUGGAAUCUGAAGGUACCUACGCACUCUUGUGGACCAAGAGAACACAUUGGCAUAAAAAUGCACCUUUGCUACAGUAUCCACAAGCCGGCAACGCGUGGGUGUUCAAAGCGAUAACGCUUCACCAAAAAAUCUCAACAUCUCGGCUCAAGACUCCUACCCUAGGUGUAACACUCUAAUUGGAGUCACUUUAUUUCUUGGACAUACCCCAAAAAGUGACCGGAAGUGGUCGGAAUCGGAAAUCCAAAAUGGGCCGAACCCUAAAUUGAAAAUCAACUAAAUAGGCUCAAAAUCAAAGAAAUCCUACCCAACCAUCAGCUAGAGCAUGGAAAAUAGUCGAAAAUUCAUACCUUACUCAACUGAAUCGGUGAAGAAAUGAGAGAGAACGAGAGGCUGAAAGUUUACAAAAAUUAUGCCCAAAACCGCCUGUUUUGUGGCUGUUUCCGGAGACCACGACAGCGGGUCGAGGCUGGGACCAGUUGAGAAUUGAAGAGGGAAGUGAGGCAGUUCUAACGGGACAGAGUGGCGACGAGUGGUGGCGGUGGCGACUUGGAGAAGUUGCUACUGUCGCACCAAAGGUGGGGUGGCUGUUUCGCGAGAGAGAGAGAGAGAGAGAGAGAGAGAGAGAGAGAGAGAGAGAGAGAGAGAGAGAGAGAGUUUUGAGAUUUGUAACAAAACAACUUUGAAGAAAUUACGGUUAUGCCACUGAGCUUGUUUUGCCUAUAACUUCUUCGUUACAACUCCGAAUCGAGCCUACUAUGUGUCUACGGACUCAUCUCAGUACAAUCUAUCUAAAAAUACCAGUCGUUGCUCCAAACUCUUUCUGGAUAAGAAAAGACUAAAAUACCCCUACCCCAAGAGUAAAUUCGUAAUUUCAUAUUUAAUUAACUUAAGUAAUUUAAUUUAGGAAUUUAAUUUAGAGUCGGGGUGUUACAAUGGAAUUGCUCAAUACUUGCUUGAUGUUAAGGACUUACAAUUACCUUUGCAAGGCCUUGCCUUAUGUAUUUACACAGAGCUUGGAUUUGGAUUCAGGAAUGGAAAUACUGUUGAGUUGGAACAAUAUGGUGUAAAAUUGGCUAAUAUAAUAUUUUAAUGAUUUUUUAGAAAAUGAAAAGUAAUUAGAAAUUGUUAUUCUUUUGAGGAAUAUAAUACACAAGCUAUACACUUCUUAUACAGAUACAAAUACAAAUACGAUAAUUAAUAUAUGUGAGUCAAAUCAAACAAAGUAAUAAAAAAUUAUGAUUCGACAUGAUGUUCAACUCUUAAUUGCAGCUCUAGAAAGUCAACAAUUUGCGUCACCAAACUCUCUCAUAGAGGUGUCAAAUGAACUGGGCCGGCCCGACAUGGCACGAACAUGGUCCACUCAAGUAAGACACGAUACGGCAUGAUUCAUAUCUUUGGGUCGUGCCGAGACUAAGUAAUUAGGUCUAAUGGUUCGGGCCGGCUCCUAACCUGUCGCAAACUAUACCAGCCGUAAAUCCAACAGAGCGGCCUAUUUAAAGCCCAUUUAUUAAAUUAUACUUAUUUUAGAGAAAAAUAAUACGUAAUAUUAUUACAUAUAUAUCUUAAAUUCAAGACUAUUUUUUUCCCUAAUAAUCUAUAUAUAUAUAUAUAUAUAAAAAGCAAAAGGUAGAGAAUGGAAAAAUAUUCAAAAUAUCAGAAAAUGCCCUUAGUUAAUGCAAACAUUAAGAAUUAAAAUUAUUAAUUAAAUGAGGAUAAUAUGGUAAAUUCACACUUUUUCAUAUUAAAAAAUUUUAUAAAAAAAAAUUAGAUAAUGGAUCCUAUUUUUAUAGAAUACAACUACCCAUUAUCUUUUUUUAUUCUAAAAUAAAAAAUAAAAUUUUUUUUAAAAAGCCUCUCGCAAGCUCGGAAGCGUGUGUGGAGUGGCUAGUAUAUAUUAAAAAUUAAUGUUUUCUUUAUAUAUUUUUAUUUUUUCAACUUUCAAUUUUUAAAACCCAAACAAUAAUCUAGCAAUUUUCUAUUUAAAUGUACUUUAAAUAAAGUUAUUGACCUUUUUUUGUUAACAAUAAUAAAUCUUAUUAGUAUAUACAUAAUUGUAAAAAAAAAAAGAUUUAAAUUAAGUUGUAAAAAAAAUUACAAAAAAAAAAAUGCAAUGCAUAAGUCAAAUUUGGCGUAUGCCCAUAUCGAAAAUGGCCCAACACAAGUGCGGCCCAAGCUCAUAUGGACUUGGGCCAUGAGCUCAAGCCAAAAUUGAUUUCUUAAAUGGGCAGGAUUGAUGAUUAUACACCACUACAUGUUGGUUUUAAGCCGUAGACGUCUUUUUUUUGUCGACUAAAAGCACUUUUGUGUUGUAAAAUAAACGAGAUUAUGCGAGAAUAUUGAGAUGUUUGUAAAGUAAAUGAGAUACAAUUUUUAACGAGGUUCGGCCUUGCCUACGUCCUCAGAGAGCAACAGCAGUAACUUUUCCACUAUGUAAAAUAACAAGCUACAACUUUAGUGUUUACAAUAUAUAUGACUCACUGAUUUUCCUCUGCUCUCUUUUUCUCUCCACUCACUCACCCUCAUUCUUCCCUUCCUUUCGUUCCUCUUUGCUUGGGCUCUCAUUUCUUUUCAGAUGGUUGGUGUGUAUCACGCAAGGGAAGGAUGAAGCCUUUUUAUAGGAAAAGUUGAUAGCUUUCCGUGAGUGUGCAAUAAACUCAUGCACCAAAGUCUUCAAACAAAUAGUAAGUGGGCUCCACUAAUUUAUUCUUUACAAUACUCCUCCUUGAAAACCACAAAAAAUAUGUUGGUUGCUUUAUCAGACUUUGCUUGGAGAAAAACUUAGUGAGGUAGAAAACUAAUGGAAGAAAGACGAGUACAACAAUCAGUAUAGCAUACUUCUGGAUGCUCCCCCUGAUGUCUUCAUGACCAUCUUUCUAGAGGGAGAAUCUUUACGACUGAGUGAGGAAUGUAGCCAUUAACAAUUCAUGUAGUUGAGUAAGUAAAUAUAUUUCCAAUGAGCUAUCUCUAUGUAAAUCAUAGAAAUUUCCAGAGUCCGCGUAUCCAACAAAACCUAGGCUAUUUGUAAGUUCACUUGAAAAGAAUAUGCCCGUAUAUGGUGUUAUGCAGAGAUAUCAUCAAAUAUGCCUCACAUCAUCCCAAAGUGAUGGUGACGGAGUUGAGCUUUAUCUGAAAAAUACAAUGUCCGGCCCAGUAUACUUCCGGAAAAUCAUUUAAUUGCCCAACGGAUAAUCCACAUAAAAAUGCUUUAAUACUUUCUUAGUAUAAGCAAGAAUCUCGUUGGCAUAAUGCUCGAUCUUUAGGCCAAGACAAAUAUUUCUUGAACUCUUCAGGAGUUUUGAUCAAUUAUCAACUCUUCAAGAGUUGUAAUGUGUUGCAACCAUAUCAUAAUUAAUGUACUCAUUGAGGCAAUUUAUACAUAUUAGUAUUGAGUACAAGAUUUGUGCUUCAGGCACAUGUCCACGAACUUGCUUCAUGCAAUUUCAAUCGUUCAAGGAUUUUAUUUAAGGGAUUACACUUUAUGACACAUUAUAUAGCUUUAGAUCUAGCUAUUUGUCAUGCUUGUACAUCUUUUAAUUAGGGAAUCGCUUCUGGCGAUAUUCUCUGUGCAUUUUAUAACCCUUAAAGAUAACAUGUUGGUCUCAUAAGUGCAAUAAGAAGGCACGAUUGCAUCUGUAAAUAUGGAGAACCUCAACAUUCCUUGUUUCUACUAGAAACAUUGUGUCAUACAAAGUGAGUAUAUUCCUCUUUAUUCUAAACACCCAAGUAUAACCUUCAGGGUUAACAUCUUUUGGGGUUCGUGUUAUGGGUUUGUUCUUUCACGUUCAUUCUCAUAUGUAAUGGAAUUGCCUCUUCCAUUUUUGGCCAAUGAUAUUGUCGACAUUUAAUAAUAGAACGUAGUUCCAAUCAACAUAGCCCAUUGAUGAUUUGAGUAGCUACUCCAAAACCAAAAAUUGUCAUUUAUCAAUUCAUGAUCCCACCACCGCAUGCAUCAAUUAUAAGUAUUUCUUUGCUUUUAAGUACCCAAGCCACUCAAGGGGGCUUUUAUUGUCUCUUUCCAGCUAGACAUCUCUUAUAAGAUGAAUUAUGUGAGAAUGUGGAUCAUAAUGCUCCAUAACCUCCAAUGGGGCAUUAUUUACAGUAGGGCGUGGAUAAUCUCCAUUUAGGGAGUUGAAACAUUUAGAACCCAUAUAUCUGUCAUGUUGCAAACAUGCCACAGAUUAAUACUCACAUGUUAAUGAAUUGUCCUUCUGGGACUUUAAACCAUGUAAUUUGCUAUGCAUUCGGCGUGCACCGUAUUAAUAUUGAUAUGUUAAUCGAUUGUCCUUUCGGGACUUCAAUCCAUAUCAUUUGCUAUGCAACAGGCGAGCAUCAUAUUGAUCACUGCUAUACCCAUGUUAUGUUCUUAUGAGACUUUAAUCUAUGCAGUGUAUUAUCAAUGUAUUCAACUUGCAAUCUAUGAAAUUUGCAUUAAUAAUUCAUGAAUACAUAUCAUAAUGAUAUAAGCCAUUCUUCUAGAAUGAUCAUAAUACAAGUCAUUCUUCUGGAACGAUCUAUAAUGCAAGUUAUUCUUUUGGAAUGGUCAUUUGCAUGGCGCUCUUCUAGAACGACCUUAUCUCCCCAUUUGGUUACCUUAAAGGAUAUCGUAUAUCAAAAUAAGAGUACAAGCAUGAAAUAACAAAAGUAGUGCUUACAUCCUUAGGUGGGAGAAACUUUUCUCAAAUAUCAUUGAAGCUCGUAUCGGCUUAGCAAAUAUAAUGUAGUGCUUGAUGAUCUAGUUUUGUCCUGCAAGAGCAAAAAUCACAAUUCUUCUAUCUCUGUCCAAAAAUAACCCUCAGUGUUAAGAUCACUACAUGGAUUCUUUCUUCAUAUAUUCUUUCUAAAGAAAUAAAAUCCAUUAUGAACAGAGAAUUAUAAAAGAAAGAAAAGAUACAAAGAAUUGUGAUAUUGAUUGCAAGGUAGGUAAGUAAUCAGGGAACGAAACUGGUGAGGUAACAGACAACAAACUCUCAUUUCUCCUAGUAUAGAAGAACUUCAGGAGACUAGAGCAUGUGGUCGUCUUUACAGCUCCCUGACAUCGCUGAAACAUAAUCAUGGAUAGUCUCGCUUCCUGAAUGGAUGAUCAGAGAUAGUCUCGCUUCUCAAGUAGAUCAAGUGCUCAUUGAUAAGAAAAACAGGUGAAUAUUGCAUCAUUAGAUAUGGAGAAUUGGAGAAAAUUUGAUGUAUUCUGCAAAGAAAAUUUCUUUAGUAACAUAUUUAUACAUAAAUGAGAGGAAUAGUUAGGUCCGGUGAAUCUCAAAUUAACCACAGAAAUUUGUGAGGUUCUCGGGGUGCUUUUGAAAAAGUAGGUCCGUGGAAUCCGCAAAGCAAAACCGGCUUUGACAAAAAUAAUCCUUGAAAAUACCUAAAGUUCCGACAAACAUUAAUGGAGGCCGCGUGAAGUUUUGGAAUCUAGAAAAGAAAAAAAGAAUAUGAGGAUCCGAGAAAAUAUUGGGAUCUCGGAAACGGUUGCCUCUACAAGGCCUGAUCUACGUUUAAACUCAACUUCCUUCCAUUUUUUGAAAAUUCAGCUUUUAUAAGACUUUCCUCAAACCCUCUUAAAAUGACUUCCUCUUCUUCUCGCCCAAAUCAUUUUGAUUUAAAUGUUGCCCCAAAAAUAAUCCGUAAUGCCAAAGUCUGGCGUCUAUCCUUUGUAUCCCAAAAUCGUCAUCUCACGGUUAAUGAUUCUGUGAUGAUGAAUGAUACGACUACUGUCAUAAUAGCUAGGAAUUUCCUUACUCCGAUGGAUGAAAUACUGUUAACAGGAAGGUCUGACGAAAAGGCUAUUGAUGACUCAAUGGCUUUUAGCAUUCAGAGUGUUGCUUUUGUUUCUAAAAUGGCUGAUCGUUUGCGUGCUAGAGCAAACGAGAUUCAGGAGCUGAACACUGAAAAUUUGUCUCUUCAGAGAAUGCUACAUAAGUCUCAACAAGAGGUUGAGAAACUUAAAGAGGAAAAUAAGGCCUUGUUGAAACUGGUGAGUUCAUACUCCAUUGAUACCCGGACAAGGCUUGACAUGCUACAGAUUUCCAAUGAAAAGAUUCUAGGAGACCAUGAGAGGCUCAUGGCUAAGCUUAAGAUGCGCCAUCCUCUUCCUUUAGAGGCUUCCAGAACAUAAUGGAAUUUUAUAGAUUUUAUAGAGCCUGCUCCUUCCUUGCAAGUGAAAAGAAUCUAUCUGUUGUAUGCUCCUUUCCUGUUAUAAUAAUUGGGUAAAUUCUUAAACUUGCACCUGUGUUUUUACGUCUUUUCAAAAUGAUGGUUUGGAACCUUGUACCUUUUCAAAUAACCACAUCAAAUCUCUCAAAUUACAUAUUUCAAUGCAUGUGAGUCCGGAACUUCUGGCUCGGGUUAAACACGACUUGAAAAUUUAUUUGCCUUUUUAAAAUGGGCAUGAAAUAUAAAUUGAGUAAAAGCCAUGAUAAUAUUGCAAUAUAGUAGUGAAGAGCAUUAACUACUAUAUACCCAAAACUUUAGGUUUGGGAUCUCUUAUAUAUUUGGAUCCACGGGCUCCUAGCCCAGAUCAUAUAAUAUAGCAAAAUAUGUGGGGAGCCUCAAUUCAUCCUUUGAGGUUUAUCCUGAUAUUAUCCAUUUCACGGUGUAUUCUUGACAACCGAAAUUCACAAAAUAUAUUUCUUCCUUGAGGUGUCGAUUAUAACAUAAUUGAACUUAUUAAAUUCAUCAUUUUCUUAUGCCAAAGAAAUAUGUGGUGUAUCACAAUUUGUAAUAAUACCUCAAAGGUUGUCUAUUUAACUAUUGGAACUUCAGGUUCUCAAGCUUGUUUUCAUAUUUUGAACUUCAGGCCAAAAUCGCAUAUUUUCAUGGUAUGGACAUUCAAUACUCUUAGACUUUGAACUUCGGGCCAAAAUCACAUAUUCUCAUGGUAUGGACAUUUUUAUAAUUUCAUGUAUAUAUUUUAGGACUUCGGGCCCUUAAUUGUCCAUGUUUUAAGGAACUUCUGGCAUCUCAUUCAAUUGCUCAUCCAUGAGUUUAAGGAACUGCAGGAUCCUUUUUGUAUAUAGUGAUAGUUUACCCAAAAUAGUUAAUAUUUAUGUAUAUGUCACUAUUCAUGUAUAUGGUACUAUUCAUCAGGUCAUGAAUACGUGUCUAUUCAUGCGUAUAGUACAUUUGUCAAUACAAUUACUAUUCAUGUGUAUGGCACUAUUAACCAAUACGACACUGUUACAUUAUCAAAGAACUCUAAGUCCUUAUUUACAUGUCAAUGAUCAAGGAUCUUCAAGUCCGAUCACUUGUUUACAAAUAUAGUACUGAAGAGACUGCCAGCUCUCACACCAUUAUCAUCAUCAAUGAUCUUCAGGUCCUAAUGUAGUUGUAUGAUGAGGAUCAAGGAACUUUUGGUCCUGAUCUCUGUAUGCUGUAAAACUCAUCAUAUCAUGCAAUUAAUUCAUAAAAUAAAUUGCUGGUAUGGACGAUAAUCCCGCACCAUACUUUAAAUAAAUGUAAAUAUGCGGUAAAAUAAAUUCAUAAAUUAAAUUGCUUGUAAAUAAAUUGCUGGUAUGGACAAUAAUCCCGCACCAUACUUUAAAUAAAUGUAAAUGUGCGGUAAAGUAAAUUCAUAAAUUAAAUUUCCUCAUGUAUAGACGUUAAUCCCGCACCAUAUCUUAAAUAAUAAAGUAAAUGUUUGAUAAAGUAAACGUGCUGGUAUGGGCACGAAUUCUACUCCAUAUUUUUAAAUAAAAAAUAAAGGCAGUUGUGUGAACGAUAAACCCGCACUACACCUUUAAAUAAAUACUGUUAUCUGUUAUAUGGAUAAUAAACCUACACCAUACGUAAAUAAAUUAUAUAAGUAAUAAACCUACACUAUAUAGUAAAUAAAAUAAAUAUGAAAUUAAAAACCACCAUUAAAAAUAUAAAUGGUGAAACCGUAGUUAAUAAUAGGAAAGUAAAUAAAUAUAGUAUAUUAUAUUACCAUAAACUUUUCAUAUUAAUAUUACAUAUCAUGGGCUGUCAACUUGAAAACCGCUUUUUUGUUUUUGUUUCUUUUUCUUUCGGUGGUUCUUCUCAAUGCUAGAGGAAAUAAUAUAAUAUUAUUAUACUAAUAUAGAAAAGUAGAGACAAACUUUAGUGCUAGUCAUUCACGUUUGUCUGCUCCCUUAAAUCAAUUGCUAUUCACAACAGUCUUAUCGCUUAAUUAUAUGGCCAUCAAGAAUUCUUUAUCUUUGGUAGAAGUAUGGCUUAGGAGACUCAGAAGAAGUUUUGUGAACCAAGUAUGGUUCUUAAAUCUGUGAAGUGAGUUAUGAAGGAAAAAGAUCUCAUCAAGCCUAUGCUUGAGUUUUUGCAAGGUGGUCUGUUUUGGAAUUUAAUAACUAUCAAGAAAGAAAGAGUAAAACAGGGGGGUUUUGAUAGGAGACUCAGCUGGUAUUUGGGAGAUAUUCGUGCUGAUAACGUGUUGUAAAAUAAAUGGGACUAUGCAAGAAUAUUGAGAUGUGCGUAAAGUAAAUGAGAUACAAUAUUUAACGAGGUUCGGCCUUGCUUACGUCCUCAGAAAGCAGCAAUAGUAACUUUUCCACUAUGUAAAAUAAUAAAGCUAUAACUUUAGUAUUUACAAUAUAUAUGACUCACUGAUUUUUCUCCCUUUGAGAAUUUUUCUCUGCUCUCUUUUUCUCUCCACUCACUCAUCCUCUUUCUUCCCUUCCUUUCUUUCCUUUCUGUCUAGGCUUUCAUUUCUUUUCAGAGGGUUGGUGUGUAUCACGCAAUGGAAGGAUGAAGCCUUCUUAUAGGAAAAGUUGAUAGCUUCCCAUGAGUGUGCAAUAAACUCAUGCACCAAAGUCUUCAAACAAAUAGUAAGUGGGCUCCACUACUUUAUUCUUUACAACAUUUUGUUAAUUCAAAAGUUUAGUUUUAGUGGGAUUAAUAAAUUAUUAAUACUGUAGGAGACAGUAGAUAGAUAAUUGGAGAAAAAAAACUGCGUUUAUUAAACCAAUGGGUAACAGUAAUUAAUCAUAGUUAAACCAAUGGGUGACAGUAACAGUUUCACAACAAUUGAUCAUUAUUGAGUUUCAAACUUGAUAAGUAGGAGGAUACAGUGCAUGGUUUUUAUUAAUGUACGUAAAAACCAAUAGCUAGCUAGGAUCUCCUAUGUCAUGGGCACAGCUAUUAGAGGCUGAGCCUUCUGUAAAGUGAGGCCAAACUUGUCUUCCAUGUUCAUGGUCUCUGGUGCAACCCCAUCUUCAAGCUUCCAGUUAUCAAAGGAGUUAAGAAGUGACCCCAACAUCAAGUUCAGCAUUCUCAUUGCCAACGGCAACCCAGGACAAAUUCUCCGUCCACCACCAAACGGGAUAAGCUCAAAGUUCCUCCCUGUAACAUCCAUGUCCAAUCCCAAGAACCUCUCCGGCAUAAACGAGUUCGGGUUGUCCCAGAUGCUGGGGUCUCUGCCUAUGGCCCAUGCGUUGACCAAAACUUGUGCACCUUUUGGUACAAUGUACCCGCAGAUUUCUACAUCUGCUCCGGCUUUGCGAGGAAUUAGCAAUGGAGCUGCCGUGUGCAAGCGCAAGGUCUCUUUGAUUAUGGCUUGUAAGUAAGGGAGCCGAGUGAUGUCUGAUUCCUCCACUGGUUUUCCUUUGCCAAUGAUGUGCUUCAGCUCCUCUUGAGCUUUUGACAGUUUUUCGGGGUUGUGUAGUAGCUCAGCCAUUGCCCAUUCUAAUAUGGCUGAAGUUGUGUCUGUGGCAGCAACAAAUAGAUCCUAUAAUAAUUGGCCAAAUUGAUUAACUAGUACGAAUAAAUACUUAUACCAUAUCAAUUCAACAUCUGAUCUACCAUUUUCGUGGUAAACUUGACCCCCGAUUGAGACAGUAUCAAAUGAAAUAAUCAGUUUAGAUGAUACAUAUAGCCGCAGUAAUAAUUAAGAAAACGAAAAACAAAAGCGAAAAUGUAUAGUAGUCAUAAUUAAUUUUGAAAUCUAAGCAAUUUAUACCUAUAUAUCAAUUGAAACAAAGUUAUCAAGAUUAAAGGAGAGCUAGAGUAUAUAUAGAUAGCCACUAACCAGGAACAAAUGUUGAGUUUCAACCAUGUCCAUAUCCUCAUUUUUCUCUUCACUACUGUUUAUAAGGGUAUCUAACAUAUCACUGGUUAUGAUAUAGUCAGGUGCUUUUCUUGAUUCCAUUCUUUGGAUGAUCAAGCGAUCGAAGAGGUCAAACAUCUUCAGGAUGUGACGAGUCAAACGGCGCCGUAUCCCCACGGGGUCAAUCUUUUUAAGCACUGGAAAAUAGUCAGCCAAGUUUGGUUUCGAAAUCUCUUCCAUAAUACUCCGCACCAGCUCCUUGAACUCUCUAGCCCUCUCACUAUUCUGGCUCGCUAAAUCCACAGAGAAGACAGUCCGCGACAUCAAAUUGAGCGUAGUUUUGAAAGCAGCGCUUCCAAUCUCCACUCCAUCACCUUUUACAACGCUUUCAUGGACAUCAGCUAUGAGCUCUUGCACUUUUAGGCGACGGUUGGCUUGGCUGGCGUCGAGAACUUUGGUGGCGAACAAUUGGGAGUUGCAUAUUUUGCGAAGGUUUCUCCACUUAGCUGAAACAGGUAUCCAGGGCAUGCCGUUCUCGCCAUGUUUACAGGCUUGGACUGAAUCUAAUACUGUUCGGUUGCAAAACAAUUGGUCAUGGGUUUGGAGAACUUGUUUAGCUAUGGUGGAUGAAGAAACCACAACAGUUGUGAUUUGGCCAAGAUGUAAAGUCAUAAUGGGGCCAUAGCGUUGUGAAAGCUUGGUUAGGGAGCGGUGGGGUUUGUUUCCAAGCUCUAGAAGAUUUCCAAUGAAAGGAAGUGGCUUUGGUCCAGGUGGAAGCUUUUUGGGACUUCUUCUUGCAAAUGAAUAAUAGAGGGCAUGGACUGAGACCCAGGCAACCAUAAGACACAUUAGAGUGGCUCCAGCGAAGGAGCCCAGCCCGAGGCAAGGGCAGAAAAAAAAAAAAAUUCCGCUCCAGCGUGCAGCCCAGGCCCGGGUUUGGUGUGGGACCCACCAACUCGGGCCAGCCCGAAGGCCAAACCAGCCCCAGGUCCAAAACGAGGGUGCUGACGUCAGCGCUGGCGUCACGCUGACGUCAGCUAGCUGGUACGCUGCCACGUGUCGCGCUCAGUGCCUUCCGAUCUGCUUCUCCUUUCUAAUCCAACGGCUGAGGCUUUUUUGGGUGAAAAAAAUAUGAAAAAAAAUUCUAAAAAAUUCUAAAAAAUUCUGAUAUUUUUUUCUAUAAAUACAUAUCAAUACCCUUCACUUUCAACACCAAUACUCUUACAUUUCAUUAUACUUCUACUAAUAUUCACUCUUUUUACACAACAUUUUCCUCUUUUUCAUCUAGCAUUUUGAAAUUCAUCCGAAAUUUGAACCCAAAUUUAUCUGAAUUUUGAAUUUUGAAAUUCAUUCGAAAUUUGAACCCAAAAAUUUAUCUGAAAUUUGAACUUUGAAAUUAAUCCGAAAUUUGAAUCCAAAUAUCUUAUCCGAAAAUUUUAUCUGAUUAUGAAUAGUCUUGACACGUAGGAAUCCGAAAAUCUUAUCUGAAAAUAUUACCCAAAUUAAUUAUUUUCAUUAAAAAAUAGGAGGAAAAAACAAAAAAGUGAAUAGUAAUUGCCAUGGCUAAGGGCAACGGGUGGAGAAACGAUUUACUAUUUGCAAGGGCAACCACUAUUCACGUGAAUAGUGCUUGCCCUAGCUCCACCCUUGCCAUGGCUAAGGGCAAAUGGGUGGAGUUGCUCUUAGAAUGCAACUCAAGAAAUCCAUCUCUCGCCUAACUUAAUUAAUUUUUGGCACGAUUGUUGAGACUUAUCAAGAAAGCAUGAAAAUAUCUUUUAAGUUCGUUUAUACUUAUCCUCUAAGCUAAGAGACAAACUUAGGUAAUAAAGACAUUUGAGAACAACUUGGGUAGGUAAAGAAAUUUGACAACAAUUUGGGUCUGGACUUAACUGUUACGAGUGGAUGCUUUUACAAGCUAUCUUUAUUUACUUUAAGGUGAAUUUCAAUAAAUAUCAUAUGAACUUUUAGGUAUGUGUGGGAUUAACUUAUAAAUUUUUAAUUUUUUCUAGUAAUCACUUGAACUAUUUAUAGUGUUGAAAUAUUUACAAUCUACGUCUAACUCCUUUAAAAAUUUCCGUUAAAUCAAAUCACAUGCUUCAAAAGUGAUAUUAUUAAAAGUCAUUUCCAUCAAUUCACUAUAAAUAAAAAAUAUAAAAAUAAAACCAACCUAAUUUUUCCACGACUUUCCCAUCGCCUUCCAACACCUCCCAAAUCUAGAAGAGUAGAAACAAAGGAAGAAAAGUGAUUGAGCUGACAAGAUUUCCAAAUACAUUUUUUAAAUUGAAAAAUCAACACCGAAUAACUUAAUAAAAAAUUUACAAAACAAAAAUCUGUAAACUAGUGGCAUGGCUCUGUUUGCUUUUCCUUUAGAUAUAGCCUUCGCAAGUUCAAUCUACCAUCAUAUCUACAGUUUCUAAAUUCAUCUUCCUGUGAUGUAUUGUGAACAAAUUUUAAGAGGCAGGACGUAUGAAACCCAAGCCUAGCGAAGCAACUAACACCAAAAUUUUGAGGAAAAAAAAAAGAAGAAAGAUGAAGAUUGGCCUCAAUCAUAAAGCCAAUACAGUCCAAUUACUCUAUGCACCCCAAUAAACCUUCCUCAGAAAAAAGAAAAAAAAAACUAUCUUCAUAGUUAAUUCUGCUGGACGUUAUUACAACAACUAAUUGUUAUUGAGUUUCAAACUUGAUUAAUGAUUGAGAUAUAUACACGACAUAGUCUCUAUUUUUUUUAAAUAAAAGCGAUCGAUAUUGGGUGGGUGAGAUUCAAACACAGAAUCUCGAGUGCAAGGAAGAUAACUGUUCAAAAUAUGGAUGGCAAUUUUCCCCGGGUAAGGGUCUUCGCGCGGAUUUGACCCUAAUGGUCAGGUAAGAAGGAUAAAAAACGGGUAUGGGGAUGGGUACGAUAAAUUUUUUGGGUAUGAUGUUAGGGGAGGGGCAGGGAUAGUAUUUUAAUCCCUGACCCGAACCCUCCCCGUUUAGAAUAUACAUAUAUAUAUAUAUAUAUAUAUUAUAGUGUAUAUAAAUAUGUUAUUAAAGUGAUUGUGCCAAUUAAGUUUUAUAUUUUCUAUUAUUAUAUUAUAUAUUUAUAAAAUUUAUACAAAUCUUAAGCCACACUAAUUAUAUAUUUAGUUAACUUCCAAUCAAUAUGUAAACAUUCUUAUAUUGUCUUGUACGUAGAUAAUAUAUUAUAUAUACUCAUUAUCUUGCCCUAGUCCUUUUUUGUUUUGUUUCAAACAAAGUAGUUUUAUAUUGAUUUUUUCUUCCCUAGUAAUGGGGCAGGUCGGGGAACCCAUUCCCCACUGAAGGUGGGAAUAGGGAAUCCCUGAUAUGAAUAUUGCAAUUAUGAAGGCGAGAAUGAGGGGAAAAGCUUAACGGGAUGGGGAUGGAAAUAGCAUACCCACCCCCGAUCCGACCAAUUACCAUCCCUAGUUCAAAACCACUUGAGUUACAAGGUAUAUGCAUACACAACAUAAUCUUAAUUUAUAAAAUAUGAAAACUUUAUAAACUGAUUUUCCUUUUGUCAUUAAUAUGAUCAUUAUACAGUAUAUAUAUACAAGUCUACAGAGAACAAUCUACAAUUACAGCAAGCCAUUAUCAUAAACAUAAGGAUUAACUACACUUUAGUCCCUGGAGGUUUAGUGUCAGUAUCGAAAUGGGCCCCAAGGUUUCAUUUAAAUCAAUUUCAUACCCGACAUUUUGAACUAUUACCAAUUUACACUUACCGUUACAUUGAUCGUCAAAGUCAGACGUUAAAUGCUGACGUGGUAGUCGUGGGACCCACCUCAUAACCAAACAACAGUUAGAAAGAAACGAGACUAAGGGCAAUUUUGAAAGAAAAAAAAACAAAAUAAACAAAGGUUUGACUUCUGUCCAAUGCACACGUUCCAAGGCAUGCUUCGGAUACCCAAGCUUGGAAAAAUCAAAGAAACUCAGUUUAUGAGUUUUCGAGAGAGACAUAGAGGAAAUGGUUUGUUCGUGUUUUGGAGAGCAAAGAUUUGAAAUUGACUGCAAAAAUCAAACUGAAACAGAGGCUUCCGAAAUAUCUGAAGAGUUUGAGUUGGGAACUUCGUCCCAAAGGAUAUAGAGGACCUUUCUACGGUACGUAUGGCUUACUGUUCUAAGGUUCUUGGUAGAUGAUGUUUCUGAGCUAAACUUUCAAAUAGAGAGUUUGAGUUUCGAGUGAAAGUUUGGUUUUUAUAAUGGAUUGUGAGUUUCGAGUUAGGUGUCGAUAUCACUGUGUCCAUUUAAUUGGUAGAUGGAAUUGUGUGAAUGGUAGGUGGUAUGCGAAAGUAAACUUUGGCUUUUGUAUGUGGUCCUACAACCAGUAGGAAUCUUACCUUUUGUGUAUGUGUGUAUUGACAUAGAAAGUUUGUACUUGUAUGUGUGUAUGCAUAUGUGUCUUUUUGUAUUUGUAUUUGUAUUUGCAUUUGUAUGUGUGUAUUUGUAAACAGCCUUACAUGUAUUUUUGUUUGGUAAAAUUCAUGUGUGGCUUUCGACAUGCGGGGGAUGAGGCAGGAUUUUCUAUUGAAAUGUACCACAAUGGUGAAAUAAGAGGUAACUAUUAUGUGAAUGGGUCUGUUGAUUGGUUUGAUUAUUGUGAUAAGGAUAAAAUGUCAAUGACUGAGAUAGAUGUCAUGGUAAAGGAGUUAGAGCACGAAGGUAUGAUUAACUACGGGUACAGUAUUCCAAGUGAUCAUUUUGAUUGUGGCCUAGUUAAGCUGGGUGAGGAUGCAGAUGUCUUAGACAUGCUAGUAUUUGUGCCAGACACUAGGUUGAUAAAUAUAUUCCUAGAACAUGUCUUGGCAUACAGUCAAGAGCAGUUUUACAGUCAAGUGGCUUCAAACAUAUUUAUAAAUUUGGAGGAUGAUUUUGGGACCAACACUAGGGUAGUGAUUGAAGAGCUUGAUGACAAUUAUGGUGCCAUUGUUCUAGUGGGUGGGGGAGUAUCCCAAGUGCAAAAGGUGAAAAAAAAAAACAAGUGUUGUAAUAGAAGAGUUAAAUGAAGAAGGGUUGAAUCAAGAAGCAGGUGGACAAGGCAAAUAGUCGAAUCAAGAAAAAGAAGGGUUGAAUCAAGAAGCAGGUGGACAAGGCAAAGAAUUGAAUGAAGAAGGGUUGAAUCAAGAAACAGGUGGACAAGGCAAAAAGUUGAAUGAGGAGGGGUUGACUAAAGAAGCAAGUGGACAAGGUAAAGAGUUAAAUGAAAAAGGGUUGAAUCAAGUAGGGUUGAUUGAAGAUGGGUUGACUGAUGCAGCUUCUGAACAAGCCAAAGAAACUGCCACUGUGAAUAAGGAGGAGAAUUCUUAUAAGGGCCAAGAAAAGCCAAAUAAGGGUUUUUCUGAUAAAGGCAAAGGCAAGAAUAAAAACAUGUCACAUAUGGUGAAGCGUGCUUUUGGUAUAAAUAAAAAAAAAAGAUGCGGCAAUUUGAGGAGGACAAAGACUGUUCACCAUAAAGACGAAGAAGUUGUGGAAGGAAGGGUUGAUGGCGUCAGGACUGAGUCCAAAAGCCAUUCCGUGAUGUUGAGAAGUGGAAGAAGAUAUGCAAAUGCUGUAGACUUUGAAGAUGAAGAUGAUGAUGCUUUUAAUAGUGAGGACUCAGAUUAUAUGAUUUCCAAGAACUUUAGUGAAGAUGAAGAUGAUGUUUUUUUUUUUAAAUGAAUAAGUGGAUAACCAAACUGAAUGGACAGGGGUUAAAGAAACUGGGAAUGAGGCUGCUCUUGUAUGCCUACGGAUGUUGAAUUGGAUUCUGAAGAUUCUGAGUGCAAGGAUUAUGCCAAGUAUAAUUCUGACAAGGAAGUUGAUAAGAAUUAGCCGAAGUUCAAUGCUGCAACUAACAUGGCAGAUCCAAAGUUUGAGAUUGGCAUGUUAUUUACUGAUUGUAAGGUGUUUAGGAGAACUGUUAGAGAAUACUCCAUCUUGCAGAAUAGGGAUGUUGUGUUUAUUAGGAAUGAGGCUUUGAAGUUGAAGGUAGUUUGUAGGGACCCAGAUUGUGGGUGGAUAAUAUAUGCUUCAAAAAUGCAACAUGAGAACACAUUGCAAGUGAAAACAUAUGUAAGUGAGUACACAUGUACACAGCUAUGGGAGAACUCUACUAUGAAGUCAACAUGGAUAAGCAAGAAAUAUGUUGAGACAUUGAAGUCCAAUUCCUAAUGGCCAAUCAGGUCAUUCAAGCAGACUGUUAAGAAGGAUUAUAAUACAUGAGUGUCAAGACUACAAGUGUAUAGGGCAAAGGAUAAGGCACUAAACCUGAUUGAGGGCAGUUUCAAUGAACAAUAUUCAAGAAUUUCAAAUUAUUGUGAGGAAUUAAGAAAGAGUAACCCAGGAACCACAACAAUGGUUAAGUGUGAUUUCCAACAACAGUUGGGGCAACCAAAGUUUCAAAGGUUGUAUGUUUGUUUAGGAGCUGCUAAGAAAGGCUUCAAAGUUGGGUGUAGGCCCAUUAUAGGUUUAGAUGGGUGCUUUUUGAAGAGUGUUUAUGCAGGGUAACUGUUAACUGUUAUGGGUAUAGAUGCCAAUAAUGAAACCUGGGUAAUUGCAUAUGCAGUUGUGGAUCAGAGUGCAAGGGUUCCUGGAUUUGGUUUUUGGAGCUAUUGGUUAAGGAUUGUGAAAUUGUUAAUCAAUUUGGCUUCACAAACAAAAAGAUUUACUGCCUGCAUUUGAGCAAGUGGUCCCUAAUUGUGACCACAAGUUAUGUGCAAGACACAUGUUUUUCAACUAUAGGAUAUUGUUCAAAGCAAAAAGCCUGAGAGACAAGUUUUGGGAAGCAUCAUAUGCGACCACUGUCCCCCACUUUACAAGGGCCAUGGAAGACCUGAAAAACCUAUCCAAGGAUGCAUAUGAAUGGCUAACCACUCCAGAUAAACCUCCAAUACAUUGGUCCAAAUCACACUUCAAUACUCAUUUGAAGUGUGACAUGUUGUUGAAUAAUCUGUGCGAUUAUUUCAAUGCUACCAUAUUGGAAUGUAGGGAUAGACCAAUUCUUACAAUGUUUGAGUAUAUUAGAUGUAGUUGAUGAGGAGAAUACAAGGAAGAAGGGAAAAAAUGUUGAAAUGGAACAUGCCUAUCUACCCAAGAAUAUUUAAGAAGGUGAAGGGAAAUAAAGCCAAGGCAAGUGCUUGUGUGGCAAUGUGGUCAGGUGGAGGUAAAUUCCAAGUGUGAGGUGGUGGCCAUGCAUAAUAUAUUGUGGACUUGGAAUUAAGGACUUGUUCUUGUAGAGCUUGGGAUUUGUAGGGAUGACCUUGUGUUCAUGCUAUUGCAGCCAUAAAUUAUAAAAGGGGUCUUAAUGUCAUGGAUUUUGUGGAUGACUGCUAUUCGAUAACAAUUUACUUGAAGACAUAUGAUAAUCUCAUACUGCCUAUGAAUGGGAUAAUGUGUGGGAUAAGAGUGACUUUCUAUCAUGUCUUCCUCCGUCUUACUCUAAACAGCCUGGAAGGCCAAGAAAAUGUAGAAACAAAGAAGAAGGAAAGCACAAGGGCAAAAUGAAGAUGAGAGCGUCAAGCAACCAAGUUGAAACUGCAUUGUCUCACAUUCCCAACACACAGGACUUUCUCAAAUGUGGGCAAUGUGGGAAAAAGAGACACAAUAAGAGGACUUAUCAUAGGAAUCUUCCCCCAAACACCAAACUGCAACUAAGAGGAAGAAGGGUAUUGAAAAUACCUAGGUAUAGCAACUCAAUAUUGUUCAAUUCUAUCCCUUAAUAACCCUAAGCUUUUGUUGCUAACUGACAAGAAUUUUUAUGUUGUAGACCACUAUUAAUCCAUCUGAAGCAGCCACUCCAGCUGGUCCAAGCACCAUAAAGAAAAGAUCUAAGCCUCCAAGGCGUGUGCAAAAAGGGAAGCCUCUAGUAAGUAACUUUGCGUUGUCAUGGUUAUUAUCACUUUUCUUAAAUUUUCAAAUAAAAGGUUAACAUCCUAAACAUUUUUCAGCCAAAACCAAGUAAGAAAUGACAUGCCACUUCUGAAGCACAACCAUCCUCAACUUCAUGUCCUCAUGCCUUCAUGCAUCAACUUCUGUUUCAACUGUAGGAUCAAAUGUUGUAGAUUGAAGCUGACUGAAAAAGGAAUUUGAUUACUCGCCUUUUUUUGUUAGACUGGCAGUUUGUGAUUAGGAGGUUUUUGUUUUUGAUAAAUUGAUCAUGUAUAACUUAAGUACUAACCUUUUUUUAUGGAUGUCAUGGCAUUCACAUAAGCCUCAACCACUGUGAAUGCAAAUACAUCCACUAAAACUGCCAUUUUGGAAUAAAUUUGAAUGGACAUGAAAUAUGUAAGAUAUGCAAUGUUAUUAUCUAGCUAUUUUGAGCCCAUUUUGAAUGCAGAAUUUUCUGAGUUUUUGGGUUGGCACUUUACUUCAUUAUUUUGGCCAUUCACUUUAUUGUUCCAGGUGCAUCCAUUUUCUAACUUCCCUGCUACAUUGUUUUUGGCAUUCCUUUGCAUAAUUUGACUAGCACUUGGGAAGCAUCAUUGGCCAUUUACUUGAUUGAUUUGGGCUAAUUUUCUAACUUUUAUUUACAUUGUUUUUGACAUUCUUUUGCAUAAUUUCACAACCACAUAGAUUUAGAUGGCCAUUCACUUCAUUUGCAUACUCUUUAUGAUGGCCAUUCACUUCAUUUAGAUAUAAUUCGCUACAUAUUUUGUCAUUCCAUUCACUUCAUCAAGUUACAAAAAGUCAGCAAUUAAACCCUUAACCCUUACCCCUAACCCUUAACCUUAACCCUUACAUAACAAUUAAACCAUUACAAAAUGCCACUAACAACCCAACACUUACAGAAUCUCACAAACAACCCAUAAACAAUUCAUUCAAUGGCAGAAGCUAAUUCCAAGCUCCUCUUUUUGUUCACUCCACAUUCACACAUCCUUCCCAAAAUGAUGUUUGCAAAUAGAACCCACGAAGCCACCAACAACACCCAAACUACCUUUUCUCUUUCUCUUGCCUUUGCCACGGAUUUCUCCAGCUGAAUCCGUGAUUUUAGAAGCACAGGAAUCACUACCUUUGACCGUUCACACAUGGCCGGAUCAAACCAUGCCCAGAAUUGACAACCCUUAUUCUUAGUCCCACGUACCUUUGCUGCACACAUGGAAAAUCGCCUCCCAAGAUUCGAAUAUGUCCAAGAGGUUCGAAUUGUAGCAGUCUUUCUGCACCAACACAUCGGCGCCUCUUCAUCCAAUCCAACUAGCCAAUCGGAUCUUCUUCGUCAGUUUUCUCUCCACUUUUUUCCUUUCUCCUUUUUAUCUUUGCUCUCCAAAACACGAACAAACCUCUCCUUUAUGUCUCUCUCAGUAUCUCUCGAAAACUCAGAAAUUGAGUUUCUUUGAUUUUUCCAUGCCUUGGGUAUUCGAAGCACGCCUUGGAAGUCAAACCUUUGGUUUUUUUUUCCAAAAUUGCCCUUCGUCUCGGCUUUUUCUAACUGCUGUUUGGUUAUAAGGUGGGUCCCACAAUUGCCACGUCAGCAUUUAACGUCUGACUUUGACGGUCAAUGUAACGGUAGGUGUAAAUUGGUGAAACUUCGAAAUGUCGGGUAUGAAAUUGAUUUAAAUGAAACCUUGGGGCCCAUUUCGAUACUGACACUAAACCUCAGGAAAUAAAGUGUAGUUAAUCCUAAACAUAAAUAUGGAAUUAUGGCCUAAUAACAACAUAAUUGACAGCUAACCAAUUCCUAUCAUUAGUAGGAUUAAUUAUUCUAACUGAAAUACUAUUCUAACUCCCUAAUACUCCCCCGCAAAUUGAGCACGGACAACAUAGCAAGAUUUGAGUGAAGAAACUACAUGGUGACGGAGAUGGCGGCAACAGUCAAAUGUAGUAGUCCAGUAAGGGAAGAAGAACUCCAUAGGUGCAACAAGGCUUGAUAGAAACAAAGUAACAGAAAAAUAAAAAUAACGCCCUUUGAAAGGCAACAAGUGAAGGAGCGCAUGGGCUUAUGGAAGGAAAGAAUAAAAUGACGGGCUGACAUAAAAGUCCGAUAUACCUAGGAAACAACUCUAGGCACCUGAGAAACAUAACUCUACCUAGGAAUCACCCUCUAGGUAGGAUAAAGAGCAUGCGUUAAGUGGGAAAAUAAAAGGAUGGGGGAAGUGAAACCUAUCAUCAGGUGGGAAAGGCCAAAAAGUGGUGCACAAAGAGAGAGAGAAACAAAUUUUAAAAGUAAAGGGAUGGGGAAGAAUAAAACCACAAAAAAAACAAACACCUGCCAUAACGCAUAGAUAAAAAAGAGGAAAAAAACCAUGCGAGAGUCUCACGGUGAGACAAACAAAAGACAAGGAGCGUGAGCAAGACAGGCCCUUGAGACAAGUGCAGAAAUAAAUUAGGUUUUUUUUUAAAUAAAUUAAAUAUUAGAAAAUGAGGACAAAACCCAGCACGUGGAAAGCAUAGAAAUAUGGAGCUCAAGAAAGAGAGCCAAGCGCAGGGAUAUUAGUGGUGUGCAAAGUAAAAGAAGAAGAUUACAAAGAUAAAAGUGAGAAAGGUUAAAAAGGGAAAAGAGAGAAAAGAGAACUCUUUGAUAGGGAGGGAGAGAGUCUCUCAAAUAAACAGAGAAAUAUGGCUCAAAACAAAGAAAGUUGAGGGAGAUUUCAAGAGAAGAAGGGAAACCAAUGAUAGAGAGGUAUGGUCUUCGAGGGAAAAUAAACAAAAAGAGGGAGCUUGUGAGAACAAGAAGCUCAAGAGGGUAAGGAAAAGUUUGAUGCUCGGUUUCAGCAGAGAGAAGUGGCCCCAUAUUGAUGGAUAACAAGGGGUUGGCGAGCCAAAAGAGGGUUAGGCAACGGCUGUGCAAGAGAAUAACAAUGGCAGGAUAGCACAGCAUGAGAGAGAUAAAGGCCGGUGAGGAAACUCACGGAGGAAACAGAAAUCUAGCCAUCAUGGCCAACGAAGAUAAAUGGAGCUGUGUUAGGUUGCCUUGAGAUAGCUCCACAAUGAAGAUGGUGCAGCAGAGACACAAAAAUAACGGGCUAACAGAAGAAAAGGUUACAGUCGUAAAAGAGAGGUGUGGCUAUAGCUAAGGUGGAAAGAAAAAAUAUAUUCAUCAGAAGCUCCACGACCAGCCAAAUUUUCUCCUCCAAAACCGCCACCAAAUGCCUCCAUUCUUGGCGGCACUAGUCCCGUUAGAACCGUCUCACUUCCCUCUUCGAUUCCCAACUGGUCCCAGCCUUGAUUCGCCAUCGUGGUGGCCGAAAUCAGCCACGAAACAAUUGGUGUUAUAGAGUUUUUUUGUAAACUUUCGGGAGCUCAUUCGGAGGCCUCCGGCCACCAAAUCUUUCGAAUUUUAUAUGAUUUUAUAUCCUUUCAACAUGUUCUAUCUGCUGGUUGUGUUAGUUUUGAGAAAUUUCUGCAUUUAAUUGGUUGAUUAAGCGAUUGAAGUUUUGGCCAGUUUCGAUCUCUGAUUCCGGCCACUUCCAUCAACUUUUUGGGGUAGGUCCAAGAACAAAAGUUGCUCCACUAUAUGUGGUGAUCAUGUACGUAUAAGUCUUAACUAGCAGUUUGGAGAUUUUUCGAUCGCCGGAAUCACUUUGGACACUCACGAGCUACCAAAGCAUGGGACACCUUUCGGCCUGACCUUAAGUCCUAAAAUUAUCUUCAUGUCAUCCCAAGCACGAUGGUAUGCUCGGAUAUGAAUUUGGUUACCGUUCGAUUGUCGAUCGAAUAUUGCAUAUUAAGCGUUAUCCGGGUUCGAUAUGUUCGGGCCGUUGGAUUGACUCCAAUUAGAUAUAUAUUGAUCUAGGCAUUCCUAAGAUUGUGUAGGAAUUCACGGAUCUUGAAUCGGAUCGCCGGAUGUUCCAAUUCAAUUACUUAAAGUAUGCGUUAAACGAUAACCUCCAAUCGUCCAAUCACGAGCAAUUCGGACCAAACUUGCAGGGUAGAUUUAGAGGGGUGUGUUGAACCUAUAGGAACUCCCGAAUUUGUGAUUGGAGGUCGCGGGCCCCGCGGGUCCAAUUGACCAAGUUUAGGCGGUUUGACCCCUCGGUUGACCGUGAGUCUUUUGAGGUAUUUAUAUCAUUUGAGAAGUAUUAGAAUGACCAUGCAGACGAGUCCUCACUGAAAAUUUAGUUAUUCGGAUCAUGUUAUGGAUUUAUAUAAUUAUGAGAAGAGUAUAUAUAGUUAUAUAUAGAUUGCUAAAUUGUGCAUAGUUCUAUUAUUUAUAUUUUAAAGUGUAUUAUAGUAAUUGAUAAUAUAUUUGAAUGUUAUUCUCAAUGCUUGGAGAUUAUACAUUAUUGGAACUAAUGGAAUCUCUAGGAGUAGUGAUUAUUUAUUUAUUCCCUUAUUCAUUUACUUAUUUAGUUAUUUAUUGCUAUGAAGAUUAUAAUUACAGUAUUGGAAUGGUUGGAUAAUCGGAGUUUGACAUGAUUAACAAACUAAUUAGCUAUUUAAGUUCAUGUCUAUAUUUAAUACAUAUACUCAAUAGCUGAAAAUGGAUUUGUUGAAUAAAGGGAAAGUUUGUGAUAAGUUUUGGAUAUGGCUUUUCAAACCCAUCUCAGGAGUCCCCCCCUCCCCCCCCCCCCUAUUGCCCUUGAAAUAGAUUUGUCAUUUAUGACAUGCCCCAUGAGUUUCGGGACGCCUGAACUGUGUAGUUUGAAGAUAUGCGUUCUCGGGCCUACUACAUGUCCCUCGAGUUCUGCGAGGAAUGAGGCCCAGGCUAACUAAUGGCCCCUUCAGGCCUACGAGGAAUGCGGCUCGGGUUAACUUUGUGUUUCCGAAGCCUGCGAGGAAUGCAACUCGGUUAACUUUGUGUUUCCGAGGCCUGCAAGAAUGGAAUUCACGGACUAAUAUUGGAAUUGAUAGAUUAUUAUUGGAAUUGACGGAAUAUUAUUAGAAUUAACGAAAAAUUAUUGGAAUUGACGGAAUGUUAUCGGAAUUGAUGGAAUAUUAAAGGAAUUGACGAAAUAUGGAUAGGGGUAUGUCCAGGUGGAAAGAAUCUCAAGAGACAAAACCUAAUCCUAUUUAAAAUAGGACUAACAUAAAAGCACUUAAGUGAAAAUAACUCCAACUAGGAAUCCUAUAAUGAAUGCAUGAUUAUGUCAUGAUUAUGCAUGAUUUUUUCCCUUCAAAAAAUAACAAUUUGGGUUUUGCCCGUACUCAAAUCAUUUUUUCUCCCAACCCUCCGGACUCAAAUUUUAAGUCUGCAACUUAAUUAAAUUGUUUAAGAAUGGUUUAAGUCUUUUUUUUUUUAUGGAUAACUUUUCUUCAUUUAAUCUUUUUAAAUAACAUCAUAAUUUAAUUUUUUGAACAAUUUGACCUAAAAAAAAUUGAAAUUCCAUAAAUUUAAUUUUAUUCCAAAAGUAAACACACAACAUAAAAAAAACACACACAACAUAAUUGAAACACAAAAUGAGGAUUGAAACAAUUGUCGACCUCAUUCACCAUCUCCAAAGCUCCUCCAAAGGUGAUUGAUCAAAUCAUGUCGGAGACUCUGAUGCACAUGUGGAGAUUGAACUCUAUUAUGACGAAUCAUGUAAUCAGAGAGAGUCUGCCUAUCUUGGUGGUACUCAUAUGUAAUGCUUGGCUCCAGCUCAUAUUGUCUUGCUUUGGCCCUCAUGGAUCGUUGUGAACACAUAUCCUCAUCAUCAAAUUCCUCUUCAACAUAUUCAUACUCAUCCUCCACAAUCAUGUUAUGCAAAAUUAUACACAUCAUCAUGAUUGAAUAGAGGUUAUCCCUGCACCACAUACGUGUAGGGCCCCGAACAAUAGCCCAUCGAGCCUGUAAUAUUCCAAAUGCUCUUUCAACAUCCUUCCUGUAUGCUUCUUGCAUUCGUGCAAAAAGCCUCUUCUUUGGGUUAUCAGGAGAAGAUAUGGUCUUCACUAAAGUAGCCCAACAGGAGUAGAUCCCAUCUGCCAAAUAGUAGCCAAAUGGUAUUGAUUUCCAUUGACAAUAUAUUCAACAUGAGGAGCCACUCCAUGUACCACAUCAUUGAACAAUGGAGAACGAGCUAAAAUGUUGAUAUAAUUGUUGGAUCCAGGGGCUCCAAAAAAGGCAUGCCAUAUCCAUGUGUUGUACGAGGCCACGGCCUCUAGCACAAUAGUGGGUUUUUUUUUGUGACCGGUAAACUGGCCUGCCCAAGAAGAUGGGCAAUUCUUCCAUUCCCAAUGCAUGUACUCAAGACUUCUUAACAUGCCUGGGAAGCCUCGACUGCUUGCCUUGUGCAAUAGCUUGUAAAGGUCAGCUGGAUUUGGAGACCUGAGGUACCAUUGGCCAUACACAGCUUCAACAGUGCAACAAAACUUACGGAGUGACUCAAGAGCUGUGCUUUCACCCAAUCUACAGUACUUGUCGGUCGCGUCAGCUGAGCAUCCUCAUGCGAGCAUAUGAAAGACAGCGGUUAACUUUUGCUCAGGGGAUAGCCCUUGUCGACCGAGCCCGUCUUUUUUUUGGCGAAAGUAUGGCUCGUGGUUGACAACAUCAUUCAAGAUGCGGUAAAACAACUCUUUCCCCAUUCGGAACCGCCUAUGAAAGUCCGUAGUAUUAAAAUGUGGCCUUUCAACAAAGUAGUCGAACAUAGAUUGCGAUGACGAUCUUCCCUCUCACGGUUCUUAUACACACGACCGAUUGCCGACCCACCAUGUUUGGUGGCUUCAUUCUCCAGUGAAGUAUGGUGGACAAUGGCUUCUAAAUCAUCUAAAUCAUCAUCAAACAUAAAGGAAAAUAUGGCCUUGCCACGGUUAUCCAUUGAAAACUUCAAAUGAUAUGAAAAGCAUUGGAAUGAAGAAGAUGAUGUGCUUGAAAUGAUAUCAAAAGUAUGAGAAUAAAAGAGUUGAUGAAAUUUACAAAGGAAAAAUAAAUUGAGAAAUAGAAAAAAUAUUUUUAGUAGAUUAAUUGAGAAAUGAGGGAGUAUUUAUAGAGUUUGGAGUGAGUUUUGGGGUUGGAUCUUAUUUGGAUUAAUUUAAAAUAUUAUUUUGACUAUUGGAUCUUUUUUUUUACCCUUAAAAUAGCUUAGAUUUAAUCUAGAUCGUUAAUUUAAAGUUACUAUUAGAAUUUUAAAUAUAUAUAAAUAUUUGAAUUGCAACGCCACUUUGAGUUGGAAUAAAGCCAGCAUGUGGGCCUAGUCUCUUUUUAAAGAUACUAUUACAUUUAUAAAUAAAUAAAUAAAAAAGGAGCUGUUGGAAUUGCAACGGCUCUCUCACCAGGAGCUGACACGUGGCAUGGGCAGCAGACAAACUCAUCAGAGCUGGUCCCAGCGCGGGUCCCAAUAUUUUUCCCAUGCAUAUGGGCUAUGCCACCUUAGCGCGGGCUCCACUAAAUAGUUUUGGGUCCAGGCUAAAUGUGGACUGGUAUUUGGGUCCAAAUUUAGGUUUUCUCAAAUUUUGGGUUUUUCAUUUUCUUGGGUUGGGAGAGAUUUUGGGGGAUAUUUUGGGUUUAAGUCCUUGGUUGAAGAUGGCCUUAUGUUUACUGUUUCAUUCUUCUUCUUCUUUUUUCCUCCUCGCUUUUUUUUUUUUUUCAUGACAUACUUCAAUUGUUCUAUGUUUCUAUAUUUAAAUAUGCUUCCUUUUUUUAAGUACAAAUUUGAAACAUUGGGACUUUAUAUUUUAUUGUGUUUACUGUCAAAUUUUAUUUUUUUAAUCUUUUCCAAAUUUUUUAUUUAUUGAAAUGCUCGUAAAAAAAAUUAAUAUAAUAUAAACAUACAUUAAAAUAAAAUAAGUUAACAACAACAAAAAUGAACGCGUAAAAUAAAUUACAUCAUAAAAUAAAAUAAAAAAUACUUAUAAAGUCCCCUAUUGUGAGAAAGACAGUAAUAUUUCAUCGGGGCUCUAAAUGGAGUUCUAUCCACCAUAUUUAGAGCCUCAACCAUUACAGAUGGCCUUAUAGAACUCCGGAUAUAGAGCCCCUCAUUGUGAAAAAGAUACCUUUAGAGCCCGUAAUAUUUCAUUAGAACUCCAAAUGAGACUCUAUCCACUAUAUUUAGAGCCUCAACGAGGAUGGCCUUAGAUAACCUGAUAAGAUAAACAACGCCAUCCACCAUACGAAGUGGUGGCCUUAGAUGAGGUUUGUAAUUUAAAUCACCAUCUUUUUCAAUCCACAACAUGAUGAAAGAGUUGAAGGCAUAGAAACAAACAACGAGGUCCAAAUAACAAAAUGCAUCACACUCAAAUAGGGACAGUGGGACUUUUUUGGUAGGUGCUUACAGGAAAAAUGGUUAAAAAGAGGUCAAGUGGGGAUGGGGAUGGGGCUCUAUAUUCUUUAUAUUUUUUAUUUUGUGUGUCUCCUUGAGCCCCUCAUGACAGUGGCAGAAAAAUUCUCCACCACUUCGUAUUUUAGCUGCAUGUAGGCUUCCCAAGAGAUAGAAGAGAAGUUCACUUGGGGGCCCUGCAGGCCCUUAUACCCAAGCAAGUUCAAGGCUUCCUCCCUUUAAUUUUUUUUUUUUUUUUUUUUUAAGAAAAGAGAUAUAUAUUAUUGCUCUCUAUUUUGCCACAUGGUAGGAAAGUCCCCACCUAAGUUUUUCUCUUUCGUGUUUAUCUCCUAGCAUGUAGGAUAUAUAUAUAUAUCAGUAGUGAAAAAAAUGCUCAUGUCCUCUGAACAAUUGUGCCAAAAAUUAACGGGCUGGAAGAAGUAGAGAGAGAUGGAUUUUUUGAGUUGUGUACUAUUAUGUCUUAUGGUUGCCUGGAUCGUAAUCCAAGCCCUCCAAUAUUCAUUUGCAAGAAGAAUUCCCACAAACCUUCCACCUGGACCAAAGCCAUUUCCUUUGAUUGGAAAUCUCCUAGAGCUUGGAAACAAACCCCACAUCUCUCUAACCAAGCUUUCAAAACGCUAUGGCCCCAUUAUGACUUUACAACUCGGCCAAAUAACAACAGUUGUAGUUUCUUCAUCCAUCG